CCCAAAAGGCAAAAGCGCCCAAGCACACGGCCCAAAGCCUCUAUGUAUAUUCAGACGGGCCCCAAAGACCCAUCAUCUCAUAUCAUUUGUAUCAUUGUAUCUAGAGGGAAAGGGUAUUGUCCAAUAAUUUUGCAAACAACCUUUUAUACACAUGUACAUAAACAUAUAAUCACAUCUGAAAUCUCAUUUCCUUUUUAUUUAACAUAUCUCAAAUCCACUCAAUUCUAUUAUCAUGCAUUUACUCAAAAACGAUAAUAAAAUCAUUAAUCAAACUCAUUUUUAAUAAUAAUAAAUAUCAUCACGUAAAUAAAAAUCCAUUUUCUAGGAAAUCAUCAAAUCGAAGCAUCAAAUACUUAUUAUCAAAACAUGUUGUAUUGUAUCGUAAAAUUAGAAUAUACUAUGAAAAUAGGUUUUGUAUAUUUCACUCACAGUGACGAUGUUCAGACUCGGUAUCAACAACGUCCGUGGGUUGAUUCUCAUUCACGGGUUGUUGGUGAAUUACUCAAUUGCUAUUGAUGCCAAUGUGCAAGUGUACACAACAAGUAAUAAAGUGAUGAAUAUUCUAGAUCAUCUCCACAGAGACUGAUGUUACUAGAAAUGCUACAGCAAUCACAAUAGUGCAAUCUACCUUUAUUUCAUGAUGAACCUAGUUAAAGUUGAUUACUACCGAAAUUAAAAAUUGUAAAGAAAUAAAUCAAAUAAUUGCAUUAAUGAAAUAAAUUAGAUAAAUUGCGUAAAAAAAUGAAAUGAGAAUGAGGUAGUUGAAUGAUCAAACUCUCUUCAUGGGUUGACUGCUUUUCAUCAAAUUAGCACAAGUUGCUACAACAAUUCCUACAGCACUGGGCAUAAUUAUUUUGCAUCCUCAGCUGUCGCGUGUUGGACUUCUCAUACCCUUAAGUAUCUUAACAAUGACCAGUUACUAUUCUACCUACGGCAUGGCAUUAUGAACAUCUAUUCUCUCCACCCUACAAGAUGAGUGUCUAUGUCUAGUUCUUCACAAAUCUUAACUUCAAGUAUAGCCCUUAUGGGAUUCAAGAUAAACUUAAUCCAGGAAACUCAAAUUAAGAUCAAGUAUUACUCUAAUAAUAUCCACUAAGACAGGCCUUUUGCGACUCUAUCUUAACUUGAACCAUUAAAUGGGUGAUCAACCGAAAUAACAGUUAUAAUAAUAGCUACUAGAGUAAAAUGCUACAACAAUUAUAUAGCAACUCAUAAGAAUAGUCAAAAACCCAUUGAGAUUGUUUGUCACUCAACUACAAGCAAGUUUAGUUCAUACUUUGAAAAAGAAAAACACAUAGCAAACUAUUGGUCACGAAAUACAUCGGUUCAAUCAAAGAGUAACGAAAAGAACAAUGAAGAUUGAAUCCAAAUAACUAUGCUGGAUUCUUCACUGAUACAGCUUGGUUCUCUUGAAUUCAUAUUGUUUUCUUCUUUUCCUCUUGAUUUUUCCAAUGUUAAUUCCUUUCCGCCGUUUUAUGUGAUGCGCGCCCCUUUUUAUAACUGAAACUUAGGGUAAACAAAAGCCUAGGGCGAGCAUGAGUCAAAUUAGAAAACUGUAGAUUGCAAUUCUGCAGAUAUCCCGUGCUAAGUUUUCUCUGUCGUUGUUCCAGGAUUGCUACAGCAAUGGUUGCUCCAGCAACAGCUAUAACACUGCACUGAUCUAGGUUUUGUUUCCCUUAUUUUUUGGUCAUAUUCUUCCUCCUUUUUGCCAACCUAUUGCAUCAGCAUCCCUUCCAUGAAUUAUAAACUUCUGAAAACCUACAAUUAUGCACAUGUUUUGAGCACAAAUUACUUUAAAUCAAGCAAAACUUAUUAAGACUAAACUAAAAUGAAUGUUUAUGCAAAACGUAACAAAAAUGUAAUAAAAACACAUCAUUACUUUCUAAGUGAUCUUGAUUUAAGUCUAGAAUUGCCAUAAUAACUCUCAUUUCAUGAAGUUAUCACGGGUCCUCCUAAUCAAGUAAACGACAUAAUUAUUAUCUGUAACAUGAAAUACAUCUAACAAUACAAAAUAAAGCUUGAAAGGAAACUCUCAGAUACAUAAAUUUCAAAAUUACCCUUAUAUCCAAAAAUUACCAAAAUCCCCCUGACAUCGAAAUUUACUGAAUUGCUAUCGGAACCAUAAUUUAUCAAAUUAUCCUCCAAAUCCUAAAUUACCUAAUUGCUCUCAAUUCAAAUCACAAAAUUAACCACAAGUUCUGGAUUUAUGAAAUUACCCUUAGAAUGCAAAAUUACUAAAAUGCCCUCAACAACAUAAAUUAGCGAAUUUCCCCCGAAAUCUUAAAUUACCUCACUGCCCUAGUCUGAAAUUACCAAAUCAUCCACCAAUUUCAGAAAUUACGAAAUAAUCCCAGAGUUUGCAAAAUUACCAAAUUGCCCAUGCCGGUCAACGAUACCGAAGUUCAGUCAACGGCGACGAGAAGCUCAGGUCUGAUAGUUCUUACCUCGAUCAGUCCAAUGGUGCCAAUGAUGACCCCCCAGGCGUAGCGACAAUGGCGGAUCGAACUUCCCAAACCGCAAGAUUUCUGACAGUUGUUCGCAGCCAAAACGGCAGUUAUAGAUGGCGGGGUUGGUUGGAAAACGACGAGGGUGAGCUGAGGAUCAAGAUCUAAGUGGUGAUGCGGCCUAAAUUCGGCGAAAUCAACUGCGACAAAAGCGAGUUGAGUCGCGGUCCUUGAAGCUUCGAUCACCCGUGUUCUGGCUGUUUUUCGGCGACGAUGACAGCGGGGAUAUGACCGGCAUCGCUCAAACUUCAGAUCGAUACCAAACUUGACUGGAACGGUGGCCGAAAACAAGAGUUGGAGUCGGGUCGGCUUCGCUAGUCAGGUUGGGUCAAAUGGGUCAAUUUCUCUUUCUCUCACGCGCCCCCUCUCUUUCCAUUUUUGGAAACCAACUCCCCUCUUUCUAUUUAUAGAAACUAGCUUCCAUUUUUUUUUAAAGCUUACUACCAAUUAAGCUAAUGCGAGACCCGUGUUGAAAUAAAAAUCCAACGACACAGCCAUUGAAUUGUGUUCGAAUUGUCUCAAUUUUAUGUCGUGACAAAUUUAAAAUAAUCCAAACAUGAUUUAUUUAAGAAAUGCAUAACAUUUAACAAUCACCACUCAUAAUGUCAGAUAAUCGUGUUGUAUCAACUUCACCGUAAUAAUUUGGAACAAGUCCGACAAAUUUAAAAUUAAUGUCGAAGGGAAAAAAUUAAAUAAUACACUUAAUUAGGAAAAUUAAAGUGCAUAUGUUACAGUUUUAUUAUUAAUUAUUGACUUAUUAUUUUUUGCAAUUUAUUGUGACACAUAAAAAAUCAUAUUAUUGAAAUUCCCAAUUGAAUAUAUAAAGUGAGUAAGUAUAACGUUACUCUUUCCAUAAUUGAUAAGGAUGGCAAAAAGACUAGACCAUGUUCUUGUCUGAUUGACCUAACUUUAAUUUUUAGGGUUUUUAAUUGAAUUUAAAGGGUCAAGGAUCAAGUUUCGACCGGAUUACAUUCAAGUCUGGGUUAGGACUUUAUAAAAAAUCCUAACUCAACCUUUGACCCUUAAAUUAAUUUUCAAAAUUAAAAAAAUAAUACUUAAAAAUUAGAACACAUACACUACAAAUGUGGUCAAAACUCACUCCUCAAACUGAUAGUAUUUUGUAUUCGAUUUAUUUACUUGCUAAUUUGGUUAGAUUUUUACAUGUUGGAUUUUCAAUAAAGCUAAAUAAAAAGUUAAUUUAUUAAAUGCCUUACAACCAAAUUUAUCAUAAAAUGGAACAAUAAUAGUACAAUAUAAUUAAUAAAGAAUGAAGAGUUGGAGUCCUACUAAAGUAUCUAAAAAUUAAAAGGUUAUUGCAAAGUGUGGAUAAAGCUCGAGCCUGAACUUGACUUGAAAAAGGCCGACCCUAGUCCAACCCUUACUUUUGAGGAUCAAACUUUUGAAAGUUAAGACCCUUUAUUUUUAAUUAUAAGGGCAAGGCUAGGGGUUGGCCAAGCCUGAGCUCAACUAGAUCAAUUGCCAAACUUAUUGAUAAGAAAAUAAUUAAUAGAGUUGUGAUAUUUGACCCCCUCGUUGUACCUCACCAGCCCCCACUAAUUACUUUUAUACUAAUAUUUAUUUUAUCUUUGUAUGAAAUGAUUUAAAAGAGUAAAUAGCUUUUAAGUGCACCCACAUGAUAAUUUCCAUUAAUAUAUAAUUUAACUAAUUUAUUUUCUUAAACCUUAAUUUUUUUAAACUUUUUAAUUCUUUCUUAAAUAUUGUAUACUUUACUUUUGGAAGAAAUUAAUUUAUAGCACGCAAUAGAAGAUGAUGAAGAAAUAUUAAUUUUUUUAUGGUUAUGGUAAUGAUGGAUAAAUCUUUAAAAAGAGAGAGAGAGAUUAUAGUGAUUUUGAGAUUUUUUUUUCUUUUUGAAAUAGAUUUUAUAAGUUUCAGUGCUUGGAAAAAAGAUAAAAAAUCGUAAUAAAGCUAAGUUCGCGAUUCAAUGAGGUAUGUUGAUAUAUAAAGUUUAGUUUAAAAUUUUUAAUAGCGUUAACUGAAAGGGGUUGGUAAAAUAUAAUAAGUGGGUCAAAUCUACCACCCUAAUUAGUAUCAUUUUACUCGAAAGUUUUACUUAUAAAUUUUGGAUUUUGACCAGCUUUAAAUCUAUAAAAAAAAUUCAGAAAAAGUUACUUUAAAAAAUCUAUACAUUAUCCCAAAAGUUGUACCCAAAAAAAAUAAAUAAAAAUCGGCCCGUUCUGGUUAAAUUCAAAAUGAAAAAACCCGGCCCGUUUCCCUACUUAAGACCCUCCUAGCAGUUUUAAAAAAAAUUUCCCAGCGAAGAAUAGAAGUGAUAGCAGCUGCUCUGUCUUGCGACCCAUCGCAAUGGGAAUUUAGCUGGUUUUAAUUCUCUCUCUUAGCUGUUUCUGUUUCUUUAAUUUAACAUUGUGAUAUAUAUUUAUUAUGCUAGAGGUUCAACUAAGUCUCCAUUUACUGGGACUUUUCUCAUCUUGGGAAAUGUUAAUUUUGCCUUAUUUAUUCAAUAUUGUUAUCUUCCUCUGUCAAUAAAUUUUAUGCUUCGGUUGGUUAUUCAAUGUGGGUUUGUUCCAUUUUGUUCUUACGCUGUUUGUAUAAAUAUUAAAGGUUUGUUUUUUAAAAUGGCUUUCAGUCAAUUGCCUUCAAAGCUUUAUUUCCUAAAAGAGGAAAGAAAAAUAUACCAAAAUGUUUAAUUUCUACUGCUAUAUGUUUGCGUUUUUAGCUUCUGCUAUGCUUUGUAUUGUGUUGUUUGUGUUGGUAUUAAUGCUAGAAAGAUGUUUUCUUCUCAAAUCUGAUUGCUUAGAAUGAAUAUGAGGUGGUUAUUGAGUUGCAAUAUAUCGAAUAAAUUGAAGACGUCUGCUUCAUAGGUUUUGAUUCUAUUAAUUGUUUUCAUUUCAAGCAUGACACAAUUGCAUGGGUGUUCGAGGAGGCUAACGAUGAUUUCUUAGGGUUGAAGCUAUAACUUUCUUUUAUUAUUGUCUAGUAUCAAAACUUGAAAACAAAGUUUAAAGAUAAUACUUAUGAUACAAACACAAAUGAUUGGAAAGGUAACUUGAACAAAAUAGAAGGAAAUCAAUAAGAAUAGGUUAAUUCGAGGAACUCUAGACCUUCAAAAUAAUAUUGGUUAUUUGAGAAACCAAUAAACUCACAAAAUUUAAUUUACAAGUUGCGAAAAUAAUAGCACUCAAGACACUCUUUUAUUGAACAACAUCAAGCUUUAAAUAGAGCUUUACUUCAAAGCUACAAGUAUAAAAAUAAGCAAGCAUUAAGCUUGUUCUCCAUCAUUCUCCAUGAAUCCACAAAAUAAGGAACCAACUAACAACUUGAUUUUGACUUAUUAAAAACCAGCGACACUUAAAAUAUAAAGUAAAUAAUUAAAACCAAUAUUAAAAUGGAAAGAUUGUAAAAUGUUAUAGUGUUUACUUUAAUCAAUGGGCCGUGGCGCAUAUUGUUAAAUUGUGGAUCGGAUAGUUUACUGGACACGCGAACUAAUUUGUAAUUUAGUUAUAAGUUGUGUGAACCAUAAAAAAAUAAAGUCAGUGGUACUAUUAUCAGAAUGUUGGAUAGUUCUGAAAGAUUUUUGAAUAAGCUGGCAUUGAGGAUAAUAUACUAUUGGAAGUUGAGGAACAGGACAGAGCAUCUGUAAUUCCUCUGUUAUUUACGAGUUAUCUAUUUUUAUCCCAUGACAGUGUAGUGCUCUUUCUCCCCCUUUCAGAAAGUUUUUAGAGGAACUGUACCUGAAAUGUUUUGUUGUUUCUUAGAAAAUGGUUUUUCCCAUGCAGUGACUUUGAAGUGGAUUACGAGUCCAAUGAGAAUGCAUCAAUUGUGUAUGCAGCAUUAGCUAUUGAUAAGGAGGUGAUCCACCACGAUCCUAUUCCCAAGAUCAUACUUUGCUCCUUUAACUUUAUUGCUUGUUCAAUAAAUUCCUACUUGAAUUCAAUUUCCAAGUGCAGUUGCAACCAGACAAAUUGAAAAGGCAGAUAUCUGUGAUUAAUGGGAAACUUUUAGUGUAAGUUUCUAUUCUUUGGUCAUUCUUGUAACUGAUUUUUCAUUCUUGUCCAAUAUUUAUUCAAUUUGCAUCUAUCAGUUUAUCCUAUGAGACAAUAUUCAUUUGGAACUUUUGUGUGGCUCGUUCAAUAAUCAUUUUUCCCCUUUUCCUGAAAAAUUUUCAAAUAUGUUACUUCAGAAGAGUUCUUCCUCUAAGAUACCAUUGUUCUUUAGUAUAUCAACUUUUCUUGGACAUUUUGUUUAUUUUCUCAUCUGAUUCAGGCACUUUGAGGCAGUUGAGGCAGGGUUUCUUCGUGCAUCAUUUUCUGCUUUUGUAGAUGUGCUUACACUUGCGACAAAAACAAUCGAACAGUUUGGUCAUGGAACGGAAUUGUAACAUCAUACUAUCUUUGGCAGUUGGAGAAUCAUUCAUAGUAGGAACUGUAUUACUUUAAUUCGCCAUCUUGUUUCGGAUUAGUUGACGUGUUUGUAACAAGAGAAUCUAUAGUGUUCGUUUUAUAAUGUAAACCUUCAAAUUAUCGGAAAGCUGAAAUCUUCAAAGCUGUGAAUUAUAAUUUUUUUUUUUCAAUCAUUGGGUUUUAGCAAGAGGUUGCAGCUGUAAAUGUUACAAUCCUCCCUUAGACCUUUUCAAUAAAGUUAUUGGCAAGCUAUCUCCAACUCUUUCAGUUUGGGCCUAACUAGAUUGCCAGACCUCACUUCUAGGGCUUUUCUGUUUACCCUCAAAACAGUUCAAUCUGAUAUUGAUUUCGUAAAGUGAAUAGAAUGAAGAAUUCAUUAGUGCUAAUAUUCUUCCAGCCAUUGAUGCAAUUCUUUACCAUUGUGUGACGCAGGAGGUACCUACUUGGCUACCAAGUGGCCCUCAGCUUAACGUGCCUCGAUAGCCUUCAAGCUUUUAGAAUUCAUCUAGCUGGUGGAAUCCUAUCAGGCGUCUCUCUAUAAGUUCGAAAAUCAAGAUUUUUCUAUAGCAAGCGUCAAGGGAUUUCUUGUCACCCAAAAGGAACCCAGAAAAGAUAAAAUCGUAGACAGCACUGUUUCACAUGCUGGAAUUCUCGGGAGGGUGCUUAUCAUGUGCUUGUGGCUAUAAAUAUGCUCGAAAAAAAUUGGAAAUUGAUGCUGCAAUCCCUCUGCCUGAAGCCUCAAAGAAAAAAAAAAUGCAUUUUUAUAGCAUUGCUAAGAUGAAAGAUUACAGACUUAGCAACGCUGACAUUGAGCAACAAUUUUCUGCAUACACUUUAUCUUGGGCAGAAUCACCAAAAGUCGAUGCAUCUUUAAAUUUAGAAUAAAAGCAGAUUCGACUUGUAUUAUAAGAAAUUCAAAUGGGGUGUCACGGCUGCUUCCAUCUCUAGGAAAACUUGCUUAGAAAAAAUGCUGAAUGCUUUGGCAAUUCUUGAUGGCAUCAAAAUGGCAGUUGACUCUGGACUGCACCCACCACUAACUUGAAUCUGACUAUUUUAAUGCAGUGAAAUCAAUCUUAAAGAAGAGACUUCGGAUGGAUGAUCAAAGGAAUGCUCGGUUAUGUAAGAAAAGGAAAACAAUUUAUAGUUGCAAUACACUCAUCAAUAAUCUCAGGAACCUCUGAUGAUUGAAUUACAAGCAUACCUGUUCAUGCAAGAUAUUCGAUGCUCUGCAUCCGAAACUUCGUCGACCUUUGCAUCUAAGAGAUCAUUAACCUUACAAGUCACAGAACCCAAAUGGUCCACAGUAUUCACAACAGCUUUGCUGGCAUGAUCUUUCAAUGUUUCCACCACUUUGCGUAAAUGUGAAGAUGGUUUGUUUUCUCAAUAGAAAAUUGAAAUUAUCAGCAGUAAUUAGAGCAACUUACAUUUGUUUUUGGUCAUCACUGGUGUUUGUGGGAUAUUCUUCAACGAAGACCAACACUAAUGAGCAGACAUCUGGUAGCAGGGCUCCUCGAACAUGUAUAUCUGGUAAGAAUCUGGUAUCCGGGGGAGCAGGAGCAGGAAUAUCCGGCUCGUCCACGAGUACGCCAUCCACAAGGCCAAUCUUCGGCUGGAAGCAUAAAGCCAUUCCUACUGCAUUCCUGCUAAGGGCUGAGUAGAGGAGACCCGGUCAACGACAGUUGGUGAGACAUGCUCUCCAGUCCGAUAAUCAAGGCACAAAGGCCACGCAACCAUCCACGACUACGGAAAUGGGGCAUCCACUUACGAGAGGUGGGGAGAUAACAACCGCGAAUGGAGGGAAGGCUUGAGUUCAGAGGUGGCCUAUAAAAAGGUAGCCAACGAAGGUAAAAGGGUUAGCAUUUUUGAGAUUAUAACUGAGAAAAGAGAGCUCUAAAGAACGGGUACUAGAGAAAAGCCAUAAGAUUCGUGGCAAACAUUCCCAGAACCUUCAUAUCUGACUUGAGCAUCGGAGGGUUUACGCCGGGGAAACAACCGGCGUACUCUGACCUGCUUCUGUGUACGCAGGAACUUUCGGAGAAGAAGCCUUAUGAGGAGAGAACCUGAUCUGGUAGAGUUGGUCGAGCAGAGGUCCUAGUCUUGGUAGAAAAGGCAACCAGAAUCUCGCAUCAACAUUUUGGCGCCGUCUGUGGGGAGCUGAUCAAAAAGCUUCUAUUGAUAGUAAGAAGAGGAGUAAAGCAAGUGGAAAAAACAAUGGAGGCAGGAGGAAGUAGUGCGCAAAGGGGUGAUUUGCGGCUUAAUGAUUCCGUGACGUUGAGGGAGAUAGCCAGUGAAGCACGGGAAAAAGCCAUGUCUGACCGGAUGGAACGGAUGGAAAAGCAGAUGGAGACCCUGACAACCAUCCUACAUGAGCUGCGGAGUGAACGAAGGGGAACCCAGGAGGAAAGGGUGAGAAAUGGUGGAGUGGCACCAGGUCACGAUAGUAUAAGGAGAAGUCAAACCACCAGGAGAUUUGGUGGUGAGAGAGGUAACCUAUCUCUGCAGGGAGAAAUUCACAGAGAGGAAGAGCAAUCCCCAGCAAGAUAGAUUUUUGAUGAGGAUGAUGGGGUGGCAAAUGCAGAGGAAACAGAGCUCAGGCAACACUUACAUGAUGUAGAGCAAGAGCAGGAUCAAGUUGCAGCACGUGACCCUGGUCGUGUAGUGCAGCUGGAGGAGGAAGUGCGCAGAUUGGCGUAGGCAAUUGAUGACAUGCAAGGAAAGAGCAGAGCUCCUGGUUGGAGGAUAAUGCUGGACGGAGAAUCAUCGCUCGCAGCAGAGAUCAUGAGGGCAAUCAUUCCAAGAGAUUUCCGCCUCCCAGACCUUAGAUAUUCGGGACGAACUGACCCGCUGGUACACAUAGAGCGCUUCAACGAUAUAACCGGGGUACAAGGAUUAUCUCAAGCCCAAAGGUGCAGGGUGUUCCCACUAUCCCUAGAGGGACGUGCACGCGAGUGGUACAGGAAACUGCUUCAGGGGAGCAUUAAAACCUUAGAGCAGAUGUGCCAGGAAUUUACAGAGCAGUUUCGUGAGGCAAUGGCACCAGAAGAUGACAUGAUGGAGUUGAAAAGCAUGAAGCAAGGGGAGCAAGAAACCCUUUAGGAAUUCAUCAAAAGGUUUCAUUGUGUUGUCCUCGAUUUGGGAGCCUUCAACCAUCCUCAGGCACAAAGGGGAUUGAAAGAGGGAGUGAAGAUAGGAAGGCUGUGGUACAACUUGAGAAGCCCAACUAUUCAGACGUAUGCAGCUGCAUACGAGCAGGCUAAAAGAGACAUAGAGAUCGAGGAAGAAAAGGCAGCUCGGAUUAAGACAGACCAGCUGGAAGGGUUGGGAAAGAAAGAGAAGAGAGCAUUACCAAGAAAUGGGCCGAUCAGGAGGAAGGACCACCAGACCGCAGGUAGUGGUGCAGGAGGUCGGAUAACCGCUUACUAGCCUUAUCAAAGGCCACCAUAGUAUCAGCGCAGCAGGGCACAACCUCUUCGCUCACCAGCUAGGGAGCCUUGGAGAAGGCAUGACUCGGCAUUAGGUGGUCUUCAUCCACACUCCCACGGUAGUAGAGGGAGCAGACCAGAAGCACUGCCACCGCCUCCAACUCAGAACAGCGCAAAUAGUGAAAGGGCAGUGCACAUGAUCGACCAAAACCAGGACUAUGGACGGUAUACCUCCUUAAAGAUGCCCCUGGACGAGGUGUACGAGGCUAUAAAGGACUGGGGACUACUGUACCUCCCUGCCCCAAUAACAAAACUACCCAGCAUGAGGGAUAGAGGACGCUAUUGUAAGUUCCAUGGCACUCAUGGCCAUACCACUGCAGAAUGCAGAGAUCUCAAAACCCAGGUUGAAGAUUUGGUGAGAAAUCAGUACCUGGAUGAGUUCAUAGAUGGGACUUUCCCGAUGGUUGCCUCGACAUGUGAAGGCGAGCAAAAUCCCCAAGUAUCGAAAUAUUCACUAAGGCAUGCAAAGGCUCACCAAGUCUCAAAGCCUGUUUUACAGCGAGACAGAAGCCAAGCGUGCCAAGAUUUGCUGGACCGAACGAAGGCGAGCAGAAUCCCCAAGCAUCGAAAUAUUUACUAAGGCAUGCAAAGGCUCACCAAGUCUCAAAGCCUAUUUUAUGGCGAGACAGAAGCCAAGCGUGCCACGAUCUGCUCGACCGAACGAAGGCGAGCAGAAUCCCCAAGCAUCGAAAUAUUCACUAAGGCAUGCAAAGGCUCACCAAGUCUCAAAGCCUGUUUUAUGGCGAGACAGAAGCCAAGCGUGCCAGGAUCUGCUUGACCACGCGAAGGCAAGCAAAAUCCCCAAGCAUCGAAAUAUUUACUAAGGCAUACAAAGGCUCACCAAGUCUCAAAGCCUGUUUAUGGUGAGAUCAGAAGCCAAGCGUGCCAGGAUCUGCUCGACCGAACGAAGGCAAGCAGAAUCCCUAGACAUGCAAAAAACUAAGUCUAAAAGCCAGUCAUGUGGCAAAACCAUAUGCCAAGCCUAAGCCCGCUCGACCGAGUGAAGGCGAGCAGACUCUCAAAUGGAAAAAUAGCUCGUAAUUACAAACAUAAGAAAGUAAUCAAAAACAUUUUUCAUUAAUUUGUUAAUAACUAACAAAGCCGAUAAUCAAUACACAUAUUGUUCAUUACAAUACAAGAAACAUAUUUAAGAAGACGGUAGGUCAGUAAGCCGAGCAGCCUCAGUUGGCUGGUCCACCUCAGGUGCUGGGGGAGUAUCACCAGUUGCGUCCGGGGGGGUGCUCGCCUCACCCACAUCAAUAAGAACGGCACGAGGGGGAGAGUUUUCCUCCUCAACUACGAUUGGUUCCACCCAUUCGGCAUCUUCCUUUGGCUCCUUGUCCAUAUGUUGAGCAACACCAACUGCAAGAUCAUCCAUCUUCAGAUCAGGAUGCUGCUUUCCGAGGACGGCCAUGAUGCAGCGAUAGAAAUGCCGGAGUCCCUGGUCGUACUGGUUGUCGGCUUCCCUCUCCAAGUUCUCGACCUGAACUCGGUGAGAAUCGCGGAGAGAUUCGAGCUGAGCCUCGUACAUAGCCUUCUGCCUUUGAAGAUCCUCAUUGACCUUGAUCAGCUCUUCCUCGAGGGUAAUGGCUUUUGCUUGAGCAAGAGAUUCCUGCUCUAUCAGCUUCAGAUUCUCGACAUUCAGCUCCCCUACUUUCUUCUCGGCAGCGUCAGCUCUGGUCAUCGCCGACUGAAUGUCCUCCUUCAUCUUUCUGUCAUAACGGCCAACCUUGGCCUUAUAGUAGGUGGUUAUGCAGCUGAAAUGGAAAGCGCUAUACUACAUGGCCCCCACCAACUCGCCUAGGGUGCAGCCAUCAAAGUCCUCCAGGUCCUUUUUGCUCACAAGUUUAGAAAGCUCGUUUAGAUAGGGGACCAAGUGUUCUGCUCGAUUGUCAGGCAAACGAGAUCUGGGCCCGAUAGGGGGAGAAGAGGAAACAGGAUCAGUGGCUGCUCCACUAGUUUCCCCGACUUUGGCAGAAGGAGGAGGUAAAGUGUUCAAGAGAGAGACCUACUGCACGAUGUUGGCCCGCUUUGCAGUAGGGGCGUCUUUGUUCUGGUCCCUCUUCGCGGUUUGAGCUAGAGAACGUUUCUGGUUCAGAGCCCCGAUCACAGCAUCCUCCAUCUUAUGGUCGGGAAGCACCAAGUCAGAUUCGAUCAGGUUGUAAGUGGUUAGUAGCUCUCGUUGCGAGCAGGAAUUGGCCAGUACAGCCUUGACCCGUUUGAGCUGGUCAGGUUUGAGUGGGAGGUGAACACCCUAAGAACCUGUAAACGAGCAGACAUUUGGUUAAAGACAAAACAACAAAGUAAGAACAAUUAUGAAGACAAGACAUCUAAAACGAGCAGGCAACCUAGGACCACGAAACGGAGUGGGACACGACAAUCUUUCCCGUCAAUUUGUGCAACUUGACCCCAAGAACCCCCAGCGAAAAAUAUUUUUUUCUUCCAAGUCCCACCACCACCAGUUGGAAGAUCAGUUAUGGGUUUUUUGCUCUUGGUACUAGAUUGGAAGUAGUACCAGCUGGCAUCUUUGGGGCUGCUCUUUAGCUGGUACAGGUGCUUCACCUCAUCAAUUGUGGGCUCGCUUUGGCAACAUCUGUCCCACAAUAUGAACAGACCAGAGAGCAAUCUCCACCCGUUGGAGUUCAGCUGACCAGGAGCUAGAUUUAGCCCGUUGAGUAUCCGGGCAAAAUAGGGUUGCAAGGGGCACCUCAGCCCAUACUUAAAACUCUCCAGAAACAGGGUAACAUAUCCCCUAGGAGGUUUGCUAGGAGUAUCCUUUUUUCUUGGGAUCCUAAGGGGUAUUUCACUAGGAAUAUGGUACCUAAGCCAGAGGUCAUCGAGCUCAUUGAAUGUGGUCGUGCACGUUAUGUAAUCAAUAGCAUAAUCCCGUGACAGGGCUCUACCUCCUACUGUAUCCCGCCCUUCUGGUCGCGAUGUUCCCGGUGAGGAUCCCUCACCAGAGUCACCUCCUUGAUCUUCACUUUGAAAUACUAACUAGGCAACCCAAGAGGGGGGUGAAUUGGGAUUUUAAAAAUUAUCUUAGGCAAACCACACAACAAUUUAAUCUAAUGCCUUAAUAAAUUCGAAAACAAUAAAUUCAAUAAAAGCACAAUAAUAAAUUAGUAGGGGAAGAGAAAGCAAACUCAAGGAUUUUUACGUGGUUCGACAAUCCCCGCCUACGUCCACGCCUCCAAGCACCCCGGGCUUGAGGAUUCCACUAAGCAAGCCUCCAAGGCUUCAAACGCUUACAAUUGACUUCCAAGGUGUCAAUGGACCUUUACAACAAGAGAUUAUCCCCAAUCUCUUAACCCAAGUGUAUCCCAACACUUACAAUCUUUUAACUUGAUUUUACAAAAAAGAUUACAAAUGAAUCUCUCUCACACAAUGUGUUUGAUCACAAGUGAAAGCUCAAUGUGUGAAUGAAUAAGAUGAAUACAAAGAUUUAAAGCUCAAUGAAAGUUGUAUUCUCAAUAUUUUGCUCAAUGAUGAUUGUUGGAAUUCUACUUGUUUGAAUUGGAUUGAGCUUAUUUAUAGUUGGAGCUGAAAAACUAGCCGUUAUAGACUGUCGGACAGAAAAUGGUUCGCCGUUAACCCUAAACGGUUAACCGUUUCGGUCGGUCAAAGUUACCGUUGGGCUAAUUUUCAAAUAAACGGUUAGCCGUUUAGGCUUACCCUUUCGCCGUUAAUUUCCAGAGACCUGCAAAACAAAUUUGGUUUAACCGUUCUUACUAAACGGUUCAAGGUUAGCAAACUGGAAAUAAUCGGUUAACCGUUUUCAAUAAACGGUUCACCGUUAGUUUCCAGAAUCAUCAUAUUAACAAUACUUUAAAGAACAUGCUUUCUGGAAAUUAUCGGUUAGCCUUUUUAAAUAAACGGUUAGCCGUUUUUAAAUAAACGGUUAGCCGUUUGCUACAGUGAUUGCUACAGUAACCUGCACAGUGCACUAUUUUUUAAAAUUACCGUUUGACCCCAAAACUUUACAAAACUAUACCAUAGCCCAACACGUCAUGAAACUUUGCAAAUAGGUCCAAUUUCAAAAUUUCUAAAUAAUGCUUUGUUAAUCCCAAAACUUUCUGAAAUUAUGUUAUAGCCCAAAAUGCUAUGACACUUUUCAAAUAAGUCCUUCACCAAAAUUUCAAGCAAUACUUGUUUGUUUCAAAGUUUUCAAAAUGCUUUCAAUUAAACCAUAAACUUUGAAAAACAACAAAUUUCAUAAAAUCAUUUUUCCAUUAAAUAUGAAACAUUUAUAAUGUGAAAAUAAUGAUUUAUUAUUUAAAAAGAAUAAAAACAAUCAAUUUCAUAAAAUCAUUUUUCCAUUAAAUACAAAACAUUUAUAAUGUGAAAAUAAUGAUUUAUUUAAAAAGAAUAUUAAAUAAUUUGAGCUUAAAAGAUUAAUCAUUCUUAACUUUGUUUGUUAUCAUCAAAAUCAAUAUUAUGGAAACAUAUAUGUUAACAAUCUCCCCCUUUUUGAUGAUGACAAACAUUUCAUGUAUUUAAAGAAUGAUUCCACAAAUUGCUCCCCCUAAAUAUAAUCUUCUUUUACAACUUGCCAAUUAGCUAAAUUAAUGAUUUAAAUACAUGGAUUUUUCUCCCCCUCAUCAUCAAAAAGAAAAACUUAAUUGGCAAAGACAAAAGUAGCAAAUUUUUAUAGAUUUGAAAACAUGUAUUCUUCUCCCCUUUCAUCAUAAAAAAGAAAACGUAAAGGAAAAGAAUAAAAGUAGCAAAUUUGUUACCCAUGUUGUUUGAGUAGAAAUUUUGAAAGAAUCUCCCCCUAACAACAAGCAUUACCUCAAAUACAAGAUUAGUAAUAUUACUCCCAAAUUAUUAUAGAUCAUGAUAAAAGCCAACUCCAUACACAAAUCAUCACACCAAAAUAUCAUGAACCAUUAUUCCAUUAAUCACCAAAUCAACAACUCAUAACAUGAAAUUUAUCAUAUAAAACACCCAUGAAAUCAAAUCGUCAUUAUAUCUCAAAAUCAUCACCAUAAUCAAAUAUCAUCAAAAUGAUCACCAUAAUCAAAUAUCAAUUAUCAAAAGAAUACUCAAAGUGCAUAUUAUUCUCCUCCCUUUUGAUAACAUUGAAAUGAUAUAUUAGUUUAUCUCCCCCUUUGGACAACAAAAAAAUUCAAAAUGCAUAUUAUCCAAAAUCAUAUUAUAUGCUCCCCCUAAAUAUAUGGCCAAUUUUAAAUUUUAACCACAAUGAUUUUAUCCAAAAACAUAUCAUAUUUAUCUCCCCUUAAAGAUGAGCAAAUUCUCAAAUACUCAACGUGAUUAAAAAAUAUUUCCAUAUAAGCUUCAACAAUUAUAACAAACCAAUAACUCCUUCAAUUCAUCAAGCAACGCACAUCUAAUCAUCAAUUACCAAAAUCAUCAAGAAAUCAAAUCAUUCCAAGUUUAUGCCGAAUUUUUGAAAAUUCUUCUUCGCAAAGAGGUUUUGAUUUCUUUACCAAAUUGGCAUGCAUAUUAUCAAAUAUUCAAGCUCCAUAAUUAUCAAUCACAUUUUAUAAAUAAAGACAACUAAACUCAUCAAAUAUCUAAUGUGACAUUCAAUAUAACAAAAAAAUCUCAUAUACUUAAAACUCUCGAAGUAUAUGUAUUUCUCCCUUUUUCGAUAUCAUUUAAAAUAAGUAAGACAUAUUCAACAAUACAUCGAUAAAGUACAAAAAAUGCAUUCAUUCACUGAUCAUAGAUUGCAUAAGAUCAAAGCUUCAUCAAAUACAAUGUAAUCAUCAAUGCACAAACUUUAUCAUCAAAACUUAAGCAAAGCAUAAGUACAUAAUGACAAUGUAUAAAUCAUCAAAAUCAACAUAUGCCAAUAUAUGGAUCAUCAAAAUUAACAUAACUAUUAAGAAAAGCCAUAAUUAUGAGUUAAAUAACAAGUGAUCAAAUCCAUACUUACAUAUAUUUUUAAAUGAUGAUCUAGUAAUUACAUCUUGUGAUGGAUCUUUCAAAAUUAAGUCAUUAGGGUGAGAAGAAACAUACCUCCACUCUUUAGGGAGUGUUUGAGAAGUACUUUCAUUUUACUCCGCGUGUUGCUCCUCUUGAUUUUCAAGUGGUGUGUUCUUUUGGCUAUCAUUUGAUAAUCUUCUUGUAGCUUUUCAUCUACAUUAUCAUCAACAACAACUUUCUCCAUAGAGGAAGAAUUAGACUCAUCAAAUAUAACAUGUAUAAAUUCUUCCACAAUCAAAGUUCUUUUGUCAUACACUCUAUAAAUUUUGCUUGUGAUUGAAUAACCAAGAAAAAUACCAACAUCAAAUUUUGGAUCAAAUUUGCCAAGAUUAUCUUUUGUGCUCAAAAUAAAACAUUUGCAUCCAAAAAACUUUGCAAUAACUAAUGUUGGGUUUUCUAUAAUUCCAAAGCUCAUAGAGAGUAUUACUGAGAUGAAGUCUAAUCAAUGUGGUCCUAGCCAUUUUUAUUUUUUUUAAUAGACCUAUUCUUUCUCUCUACAACUCCAUUUUGUUGUGGAGUCCUAAGUGAUGAAAAUUUAUGCUUAAUGGAAAAUCAUUAAAAAAAAUCUCAAAUGCAUGAUUUUCAAAUUCUCCACCAUGAUCAUUUAUAAUACAAGAAAUAACAUAUAACUCAUCUAUCAUGCAUAUACCUCACACAAUCAUGAAAUAUGUAAGUAUUCAAAGAUUGAGAAUUAAAGCAUAUCACUUAUUUUUCAUGCUUAGGCAUUAAAUAAUCAUUAAAAUCAAAACAAAUUCAUCAUGAUGAGUUGACAAGCUAUCAUCUUAUAUAUAACCAUGCAUCAUGAUAAAGCACUAAAUGUUAAACACAAUGAUAAUUCCAUCAUGUAAACAUACAAGCAUACUUUCGUAAAUUCAUUUGUCAUGAUUCACUCAAUAUAGUAAAUAGGCAAGAUAAACUUAUCCACUUCAUGUUAAUGCACUCAAUGUUAUGAUACCAAAUGAAAUGUUAAAUAUUUACUAAGAUUAAAAGACCAUAACUUAUAAUCAAUAAGGCAAUAAUAGUUACCAAAACAAUUAAAUCAUUUUGCCUCAUUAUUUUUGCUUAGACCAUGAUCAAGUGAUUAUCCUCAUAAGCUUCAUCAAGGAACUCUCCACCAUUCCUUGAUUGUGGUUCCUACAAAGAGAACAUUCACGUUGUGCCCUUUGGUACCCAAAUACUCUUGGGUCCUUGAGUGUUAGAUUUAGUUCCUUUCGGAACCCAAAUACAUUUAACUCCAUAAUACACAUUUCUUUUAAUUUGACAUCUAUUCUUCAUAUGACCAUUUUGAUUGCAAUAAUGACAUACAAUUUGAUCAUUUGUGGAGGUAGCCUUAACAAAAUAAUUCUUAUAAUAUUUUGUUUCAAGUAAGGCUUAUACCCAAGUCCUCCUUUAUCAAACACACAUUUUUGUGAAUUAAGCAUGUUAUCCAACAUCUUUUGCCCAUUUGUGAAUUUCAAAACAAUCUCAUUCAACUCAUUGCUCCUUUUCUUAAGCGUUUCAUUUUCAUUUAUUAAUUCAUCAACAUGUGAUUUCUCAUGCUCAUACAAAGUACUUUGUUUACAUGUGAAUGAUGCAAUUCUAUCAUGUAACAUUUCAUUAUCUAAUUCCAAUUCUUUGAUCUUUUCAUUUAAUGAAACAUUGGAUUUUUGCAAGGCAUCUUUUUCAUUUUUCAAGUCAUUUACAUGUGAUUCUAGAUGCUUGUGUGAAAUGUUAGGUUUCUCAUUUGAUAAUGCAACUCUAUCAUACAAUGUUUUAUUCUCUAAUUCUAGGCAUGUAAUCUUUGCACAUAGAGAUUCAUUUUCAUUUUUGAGCUCUACCAUUUUCUUUUUAAGACAUGCAUUCUUUUUACCAAUUUUCAUCCACUCAUCAUACAAUUCUUUAAACGCAUCAUGUAAUUCAUCAUAAGUAAGAAGAUCAUUUACCUCAUCAAGUCCAUCAUCCGAGUCAUCUCCAAUUGCCAUAAGUGCCAAAUUCGACACUUCAUGAAAUUCCUCCUCCUUUGUAGUCUCCUCAUACACAAUUUCAAGUUUUCUCCAAAUUUCAUAAGCAUUAGAACAAUUUGAAACUUUAUGAAAUUCCUUUUUAUCUAAGGCACAAAAUAAAGCAUUCAUAGCCUUGGAAUUUAAUGACAUCUUUUUCUUAUCCAAUUCACUUAAAACAUUCUUCCUAGGAAUGAAUGAAUCAUCACAAACUAUUUCCCAUAGUUCAUAAUCUAAGGCUUGUAAAAACACUCUCAUCCUAGUUUUCCAAUAAGGAUAGUCAUUACCAUCAAAGAACGGUGGUCUAAUUGUGGAUUGUCCUUCCCUAAAAAUUGAGUCAUUAUGGGUUGCCAUGGAUCUUUAACUCUAGACGGUUAAGUCUACACAAGAGCACCUCUCUCUGAUACCAAAUGAAAUACUAACUAGGCAACCCAAGAGGGGGGUGAAUUGGGAUUUUAAAAAUUAUCUUAGGCAAACCACACAACAAUUUAAUCUAAUGCCUUAAUAAAUUCGAAAACAAUAAAUUCAAUAAAAGCACAAUAAUAAAUGAGUAGGGGAAGAGAAAGCAAACUCAAGGAUUUUUACGUGGUUCAGCAAUCCCCGCCUACGUCCACGCCUCCAAGCACACCGGGCUUGAGGAUUCCACUAAGCAAGCCUCCAAGGCUUCAAACGCUUACAAUUGACUUCCAAGGUGUCAAUGGACCUUUACAACAAGAGAUUAUCCCCAAUCUCUUAACCCAAGUGUAUCCCAACACUUACAAUCUUUUAACUUGAUUUUACAAAAAAGAUUACAAAUGAAUCUCUCUCACACAAUGUGUUUGAUCACAAGUGAAAGCUCAAUGUGUGAAUGAAUAAGAUGAAUACAAAGAUUUAAAGCUCAAUGAAAGUUGUAUUCUCAAUAUUUUGCUCAAUGAUGAUCGUUGGAAUUCUACUUGUUUGAAUUGGAUUGAGCUUAUUUAUAGUUGGAGCUGAAAAACUAGCCGUUAUAGACUGUCGGACAGAAAAUGGUUCGCCGUUAACCCUAAACGGUUAACCGUUUCGGUCGGUCAAAGUUACCGUUGGGCUAAUUUUCAAAUAAACGGUUAGCCGUUUAGGCUUACCCUUUCGCCGUUAAUUUUCAGAGACCUGCAAAACAAAUUUGGUUUAACCGUUCUUACUAAACGGUUCAAGGUUAGCAAACUGGAAAUAAUCGGUUAACCGUUUUCAAUAAACGGUUCACCGUUAGUUUCCAGAAUCAUCAUAUUAACAAUACUUUAAAGAAUAUGCUUUCUGAAAAUUAUCGGUUAGCCUUUUUAAAUAAACGGUUAGCCGUUUUUAAAUAAACGGUUAGCCGUUUGCUACAGUGAUUGCUACAGUAACCUGCACAGUGCACUAUUUUCUAAAAUUACAGUUUGACCCCAAAACUUUACAAAACUGUACCAUAGCCCAACACGUCAUGAAACUUUGCAAAUAGGUCCAAUUUCAGAAUUUCUAAGUAAUGCUUUGUUAAUCCCAAAACUUUCUGAAAUUAUGUUAUAGCCCAAAAUGCUAUGACACUUUUCAAAUAAGUCCUUCACCAAAAUUUCAAGCAAUACUUGUUUGUUUCAAAGUUUUCAAAAUGCUUUCAAUUAAACCAUAAACUUUGAAAAACAACCAAUUUCAUAAAAUCAUUUUUCCAUUAAAUAUGAAACAUUUAUAAUGUGAAAAUAAUGAUUUAUUAUUUAAAAAGAAUAAAAACAAUCAAUUUCAUAAAAUCAUUUUUCCAUUAAAUACAAAACAUUUAUAAUGUGAAAAUAAUGAUUUAUUUAAAAAGAAUAUUAAAUAAUUUGAGCUUAAAAGAUUAAUCAUUCUUAACUUUGUUUGUUAUCAUCAAAAUCAAUAUUAUGGAAACAUAUAUGUUAACACACUUAGGGUGUUUUCCGAGCCAGAAGAUCCCUCCUCACCGCUACUUCCGCUCGUGGAGGUUGUUUGGGGAGACAUCCUCCUAGCACUAGUCCCGACACUAGACCUAAUGGGUUCUAAGGGGAUCCCGGGGUCAAAAGCAGGAUCGAUGAGCAGACUAGGCAAGAAACCUAGUUCGUCGUCAUCAAUCUCAACGACUUUCUCUUUGCCUUUCGACAUUCCCUAAAUUAUAACCAGAGCACCACCACCAACCACUACCCAAACAAAGCACAGAGAAAAGAAAUUAUCUACAACUAACCAAGACCGAGAAAAUAGAAGAAAUACCUGAAGUAGGGACUCGGUCAAAGAGAGACAGGGAUGAAAGCUUUAAUGCCGAGGUUCAUUCGCCGGAGAGACAAGAAGGGAGAAAAUGCAUAUUUUGGGUUAUCCUAAUUGUUGAGUGUUAGAAAAUGCAUAUUUAUAAAGGAGAAAACCGUCAUUUUACCUUUCAAGCCUUACUAACAACCCUUACUUUUAUAUAUUUAACCUUCUUGUAAUUUAAUUACGUGUCUGUUAUUUUAAUUAAGUAUUUUAUGUAUUUUAGGGGCAUUAUAGUCAUUUCACAAUAAAGGAGAGAUCAGACGGCAAAACGGACAUCACUUUUGAACUUAGGACAGUCGAAAACCUUAAGAGGAGCAUAAAAGGAAAAAUGACACUAUUCACAUGUACGGUACUAUUCACGUAUACGGUACUGUAUACGUUACUGUUCACGGCAUUGUUUACCCUCGUCAACUAACGGUCAAACCGUAUGUAUACUAACGGUAGGGGAGGUAAGUGAGAAUACAAUCAAACUCGCCAUCUAAGUGAAAUUAUAUCAAACCUCAGGGGAGGUUUCUGAAAAUUGCCCUUUGUAUGAAUUGACGACCUGUCCGGUGUCCCCUGGCCUACUUAUCAUAAAAAUAAAAAUUGAAGCCCAAUAACAAAUACAUCCGCAAAAUAUUCAUCAAAGAUAUUUCAACAAGCCAGUCAAGUACUGGGACAGGGAAUGGCUCUGUUCCUCAUAAUGAAUUGACGUCCGGUCCAGUACCCCAGUGUCCCUCCUUGGCUUCUCAUCACAGAGAUGAAAAUUGAAAUUAGGCCAAUUAGAUUAAAGGCAAGACGGAAUGGAAAUAUGGAACCGUUAAUUAUUAUACCCAUGACCCCUCUAAUUAAUGGCUCUUUGCCUUUCAAUAUUAUUGUAGGUAUUUGCAAGGAAACCUCCUCUAUCUUUCUUCCAAUUAAGACUUCUUGUGUCCAAUUACUGUCGAUUCUUUUUGAACGUGUAAAGGAUAGCAACUUGAAGACUUGAGAGGGCCGGCGUUUAUUCAAAGUCAAGUACAGGGACUGGGAAUGGCCCUGUUCCUGAAGUAUGAACUGACGUCCCGUCCGGUGUCCCCUUGCCUACUCAUUAUACAAACAAAAAUUGAAAUUAGGCCAUUUAGAUUAAAGAUAAGACGGAGUGGAAAUAUGGGAUCGUUAAUUAUUAUAGCUCUGACCCAUCUAAUUUGCAAAUGGUUCUUUCCCUUUCAAUAUUAUCGUACGUAUUUGCAAGGAACCCUCCUCUCUCUCUUCUUGCAAUCAAGACUUUUGCGUAUCCAAUUACUGUCAACUGUUUUUGAACGUGUAGAAGAAAACAACUUGAAGACUUGAGAGAGGGCCGCGUUAAUUCAAAGUCAAGACAAGCUUAUUCUUGCAGGAUUCUUGAUGAUGAGGGUAAAAAAGGGUUGACAGAUGCUGGUAUAACGUCUAUAAAACUUUAAUUAUUUCAUAAAAUUGUUUUAUUUUUUAUUCGCCAUCACGUUUGAGAUUCCCCCCCCCAUGGCCCAUUUUAUUUUCAUUUUUUUUUUUAUGUAGGUCAGUACUCAGUAGUGUUACUGGAGUCUGGAAAUCAACCAUUGCCUCUUUUUUCUUAUGGAGAAUUAAACAAAACUCACCAAUGACCUAAAAUAGGACAUGGCUACGGUACAGAGGCUGCAAGUAACAGCUUCGAACUUUCCCAUUUCCAUCACCUUGCAUUGGGACCUCUUUCUCUCUUCUCUAGCACCCGUGGAAGUUCUCCAUUGGCUGCUGUUACUUACAGAAGCCGUAACAUAGACUUGUCCCCUAAAAUAAAUAUAUAAUGAAUAUUUAUUAACAGAUUCUAGACAAAAUUAAUUUUUCAACCGAUUGAAGCUUCCAAAAACUCAAAUUUCGAAUUUUUAUAUAAAUAUAAUCUAUUUUAAGUAUCAUUAUUAAAUCCUCCUCUAUAGCACAUUAGCAAAUAUGCAACUUUUCUAGCUUAAAAUCUAGGUUCAAAUCUUGCCAGCAGAGUUGAUUUUCGUUAUUUUUUAAGUCAUAGUUAAUUUUGUUAUAUAAUUUCGAUCACAUAUAAUUUUGAAAAUAUUACGAGUAAUUGUGUAAUUCACUCAAACCUUAGAGACUAAAGGAACAUUUACUAAAGAUUAAAAAAAAAAAAUUUUUAAAGCUACAUUUUGUUUCAUCCAAAUGAAGCUACUCAAUCCAUAUUUUAUUCCGAUAAAACUAUGGCUUCGUUUCAUAUCUUAAUUAAAUUAUAUAAUGAUGAAAUAUUAUAUUCUGAACUUAACUGAAUCCAAUAUCGUUUCACCAAUUGGUCAUAUGAGAUGAAGGAAAAAAAUCUGUUGAAAUUAAUUUUAAAUUAAAGUUGAAGAAUGGCGAUAUGAUACAUACACAUACAUGACUCUAAUUUUAUUAAAUUGAAGACGUACUCAUCGUCUUGACGAUGUGACCAAAUACUGGAACGUGAGAAGGGUCUUUGGACUUUGGAGAAGACUUGAGAGGGCCCGGAGUAAUUAAAAGUCAAGAUUGGCAUGCCGAAAUUAAUCUCUGGCUUUAACUUGCAGCACUUUCGUGUCGGUGAGAGUUUUAUGAGGAGCUAAUAUAUGCACUUUCUGAACUAAAGAAAACUGAUUUUAAGCGGCGAAUGGCUGUGCAUCUUUGUCUGGUGUUGUUGCAGAUUAUUGUUUUGCACCUAAGGCCGAUCAAAGCAUCAAAAAGACUCCCCUGUCCAACUGAAUGUGGAAAUGUCAGCAUCAGCUACCCCUUCGGAAUCGGAAAAGGGUGCCACUUUGACAAGGGUUACGAAGUUAUCUGCGAUCACUCUUCUGGCUCUCCCAAAGCUUUUCUUCCUGGCGUCAACAGGCUAGAAUUAUUGGAUAUUCUCCCUUAUCCAAAUCCCGCGGCGGUUAGAGUCAACGUUCCUACAAUUUCUUUAAACAGCAGUAGUAAGCGAACAAGCAAUAUUGCUAAAGGCGUCAACUUAUCAGGUACCCCUUUCGCCUUUUCGACUGACAAUAAAUUCGCUGCGGUAGGCUGCAGCAUGAGAUAUCACCAAGGGAACGGUUCAUCUGUGUUUGUUGGGUGUCUGUCGAUUUGUACUUGUGAUCCCACUCUCUACCCUGCUUGCUAUGAUUUCCUAUGCCCCCUUGGUCCAAAUAUUACUCAUCUGUUCAAUGUAAAUACAUCAUACUUGUUUUCUCCAAGUAUUCCUCAGAAAUGUCAGUCUGUUUUCCUGGUUGAUGAAGAUUGGGUCAACAGCAAGUACCUUGGAGAUCCUCAUGAUUUGAAAGAUCAACAAGAAUUUCCUGCAGCGUUGAAGUGGGGAGAAAAGAUAGGCAGUUGUUUUGAAGAGAAUAACUCAUAUUCUAUUUCUUGUAAUUCGGAUAACACAAGUUGUUUAAAACAAUUAAGCCCAGGCCAUUUAUGUCUUUGCUCUUCCACCUACUACCUACUGAAAGGAUACUGCGCAGGUACAUAUUGGAUUAUGAGUUAAAGAGUAAUUUUAUUUUUUUCAAAGAAAAUAUCCGAACGAGAAGAAGAAAAGGGAAAAUUCUUGGUGCUCCACGAGCGUUAUGAAAUUAUUGAUUUCAUAAGUGUGAAUGAGAAACAGAAAAUGCUAUUGGAGCACCCUAGACUUUACUAGCAAGAGUUAAAUGUCAAAUGAUGUAACAUUCCUCUAUUGGAUGGUAAGAUGAUCAGAAAAGAGUUGUAAAAUUUAUCAUCAAAUAGAUGAUUGAAAUUAUUGAUUUUUAAAAUAUCCACCGGAUUACUUGUAAAUGAGUAAAGUUUUCCAAUUACUGUAACUAUCUAUGUAAACAGAGAAUCAGAGACUAAAAAUGGUGGAGUUUUAUUUAGUUGUAGCCAUGAUUUAGUUUGAUCUUCUCUUUGAUUUAUUUUUUUAUUUAUUAUUUCCUGGGCAGGCGACUUGAUCUGUAAUAUCUCAAGCGGCUACAAUUGCUCCAACUGUCCUGACGGUUAUAAUCGUCUCUCAUAUGGUUGCGAUAAAGUUUCAACAAAUCUCGGGUUAAAUUCAUUAUUAUAGGUAUGCAUGUCGAUCCGUUAAUUUACAUCAUAACAAAUUAAUAAUGUUUUUUAACAUAUAUUUCAAAUGAAAAUACUAAGUGUUCAUACGUUCAUUUGAUGAUAUCUUUCAUUAUUGUCCUCGAGAGCCGCAGGCUGCGGUGGUGGGCUUGCGUUAUUCUUUCUGCUCAUUGGAAUAUGGUGGUUGUACAAGUUUGUAAAAAGAAGAAGGGAAAUCAAGCUCAAGCAUAAGUUCUUUAAAAAAAAUGGUGGUUUAUUAUUGCAACAAGAAUUGUCUUCCAAUGAAGGUAAUAUUGAGAAAAUGAAGUUAUUUACUUCAAAAGAUUUGGAGACGGCCACCGACAACUACAACGCCAAUCGGAUCCUUGGUCAAGGAGGCCAAGGUAUUGUAUACAAAGGAAUGUUAGCAGAUGGAGAAAUUGUGGCUAUUAAAAAAUCCAAAAUAUUGGAUGAGAAUAAUCUCGAGCAAUUCAUCAAUGAGGUAGUAAUUUUGUCUCAAAUAAACCACAGAAAUGUUGUUAAGUUGUUGGGAUGUUGCUUGGAGACAGAAGUUCCUCUUUUGGUGUAUGAAUUUAUUCUAAAUGGAAGCCUCGAUCAAUACAUACACUACGAAUCAGAAGAGUUUCCAAUCACAUGGGAAAUGCGUUUACGCAUUGCUGUUGAAGUUUCAGGUGCUCUAUCUUAUCUGCAUUCAGCUGCAUCUAUUCCUAUUUAUCAUCGAGACAUCAAAUCUGCAAACAUACUUUUGGACGAUAAAUAUCGAGCUAAAGUUUCAGAUUUUGGGGCUUCUAGAUCUAUCACAGUUGAUCAAACUCACUUGACCACUCAAGUACAAGGAAGUUUUGGAUAUCUAGAUCCAGAAUACUUUCGAUCAAGUCAUUUUACUGACAAAAGUGAUGUUUACAGUUUCGGAGUAGUUCUUGUUGAGCUUCUAACUGGACAAAAACCUAUCCGUUCAACUGUAGCUGAAGAAGAUAAAAGUUUAGCAAGAUAUUUUAUCCUAGCAAUGAAAGAGAACCGUCUGUUUGAAGUCCUUGAUGAUCGAGUUCUUAAGGAAGCUGAGAAAGAAGAAAUUAUUACUGUUGCUACACUCACCAAAAGAUGCUUGAACUUGAAUGGGAAGAAAAGACCUACGAUGAAAGAAGUGGCAUUUGAAUUACGGGGUAUAAGAGAAUCAGUUGGAGCUUCUAUUUUGCAGCAAAAUUGUGAAGAGACUGAUUUUGUGGAUGGUGACAUUACCGGACAUGAUUUCGAAAGGGAUUCAUCUUCCAGUGGUUCAACUUUAAAUAGUGUCUCAGUUUCUGUGGAUGCCGACCCUUUAAUUUCAAACGAAUGGUGACAAACAGAAGAAUGGCCUUGAAACUGUUUCGUAUUUCAUAAAUAAGAUUUUUAGGCUUUUCCGAUACUAUCAUUCUUGUAUCCUUACAGUUUCUUUGGGCACCAUCAUUUGUAAUUAAACACUUCCAAGUCAUUUCAAACAAAAUUUCCACUAUUUCAUUGCAUGCGCUGCAUCUUUCUCUUUUUUUUUGGGGGGGGGGGGGGAUGGAGGAGAUGAAGGAAAAAUCUGUUGAAAUUAAUUUCGUAGUUGAAGUUUAUAAAUGCACGAUGAUAUGAUCUCAGUCUAUUAAAUACUGAUGUGCAAGAACUUUAGCACUAUGUGACCUUCUCAGAGUCUAUUAAAUACUGAUGUGCAAGAACUUUAGCACUAUGUGACCUAAUAUCUCUAGUAAACAGGAGAGAACAACUUGAGCACUUAAAGAGGGCCAACGUUAAAUAAACUCCAGAGUGGCAUGUCGGAAUUGUUGGCUUAUUGUGAUGCAGGACUUUCCCGGUAGCGAAAUAAAGUCGAAAGGAAGAUGGGAGGAAAUAAAGAUCAAUGCGCCUUCUUGUAUUUCAUGGGUUAAAAAUCUUUUUAUCUGAUUACAAACUGAUAGAUAAAAUACCCUUGUAUCAUUUGUGAGUGAAUCUCUUAGGUCAAAAAUAUAAAGUUAGAACAAUCCUCAACUCUUUAGUUAGAUUUUGAGUAUGGCUUAAACCCAUGAACUUUUAUAUUUUAUUAGAGAUAAACUCACCCACGAUUAUGCCCGCACUACCUCCCACAGUACCUUACCACUAGACGCCCUUCACAUGGAGGCUUGGGUACCACUCGAAAAGUCAUUUGAAAGAAAAGUCUGUUUAAAAUUACGUUCCAAUUCUGUACUCUCAACUCUCCCAAGUUAUAAAUUGAUAUUCACUCAUGUUAUAAAAGAGUAAUGCUAGAGGAUCCCAUAUUGGGUACCAAUGGAUGUGGCAUUCAUUCAGUGGAUAGUAAAAUAUUUAUGUUAUCAGUUAUUAUUCAUAGAUAAACGAUAUAUAAUAGUUGGGACUCAAAUCGGGACUUAAUUGGUGGGUCACAAUCAUUAUUGGUUAAAAAAAAUAUACAGAGAUAACUAGCGUAAGAGGUAAAUCAAAAACUCUUUCUCUCUCUCUGCUAAGACCCUUUCUGCCACCAGCUAAAAUUCACUAGUUUUGAUCAAUCAACGUGCCUGAAUUACACGGCCACCACAUUUUCGAACCUCUAAACUUUCAAAUCUAUUUUUCAACUCUGUUUUUCCAACCACUGCAGCCUCGAACCAACCGAAACUCCCUGCUGCUACCUCUAGUUACCACGUCGCCAAUUGCCCAUCACACAGCAAAAAAUUAUACUAAAGGAGUUUCAGUCGGGGGAGAGAACCAGUAGGUCUAUCCUUUUUUCUUAUUUUCUAUUUUUCUUCUAUAUUUCUUUUAUUUUUAUUUUUGUCUCUGCUUCUGUUAUUGUGCUUGUUUUUAUGUUUUUAUGUUUUCUAAGAUUUUAUACUGCUCCUAAGGUGGUUCUGGUGGUCUCUACAUAGAUGGUGUUGUUUCAAUGUCCAAAUCGAGAUUGUGUCAGUGUUCGGAUUGGAACGGUAUGCCUAUAUCGAAGCUGUUGAGGACUUUAAUAGUGGUACAUCAAGGUUCUAAUAACCUAAGGGGAGGUUCUGAUGGCCUAGGUCAAGGGCUCAUUGAGAGGCUUUCUAGUGAACCGUAAGGUUGGUUUUUUUUUGGUUGCAUUUUGUGGUUUUUUUUAUUGUUAUUUGUUUGCAUUCUGUUGUUACAAUUGUAUUUUCUUGUGCUCUGUUGUAUUAUCAAACACGAGGGGGAUUUCAGCUAUAGUAGCUAAGAUUGGUUCCUCUAGUUUUUCUUUGGAUUUUAAUUUGAGCUUAUUGUUAUCUUAUGUAUUGUACUUAAGCCUGUUAUUAUUAUUACAGGUCCGUCAUACUUCCUUUAAAAUAAAAAGAAAAAAAGAAUAUAUACGGAGGAGAACAACUUGUAGACUUGAGAGGGCCAUGGUUAAUUAAAAGUCAAGUUGACUUGCACGACUUUCUUGGUAUUGGGAUAAAAGCUAAAAGGAAGCUAGAAGGAAUUUAAUUAAAGAUCAACGCAUGCAAUUGCUCUGUUAAAUCUUCAUUUUUCCGAGUAAAAAUAUUGAGAAUGGUUGUUCAUCAUUAUCUGGCGUUGUUGCAAUUGAUGUUUUUGCUAUUAUGGCCAAACAAAGCUUCGAAAGAUUUAUGUCAAUAUGAUUGUGGGAAUGUCACUAUCGAUUACCCCUUCGGAAUCGGAGACGGUUGCUACUUUGAUAAGAGUUUUGAAGUAUUCUGCGAUUACUCCUCUGGCUCCCCAAAAGCUUUUCUUGCGGGCAUCAACAACCUGCAAGUAUUGGACGGUUAUGUUUAUGAUUCAUAUACUUCUUUUGAUGUAUACAUGAUGAGGGUAUACAUUCCUGUAAUUUCUUUGAACAGCAGUAACCUGACAAGCAAUGAUAAAGGGGUCAGUCUAUCAGGUAGCCCUUUUACAUUUUCCCGGUCGCGCAAUAGAUUCACUGCCAUAGGUUGCAACAACUAUUCAACGAUUAUUAAGCGACAGAAUGAUUCAUCCGUUUUUGGUGGGUGCCUUUCGAUUAGCACUUGUGAUCCUGCUCUUAACCCCAGUUGCUACGAUUUCCUAUGCACCCUUCCUCAAAACAUUACUCAGGUUUUCAAUGCAGAAAUAUCUAAUUUUUAUUCUAAAAGUAUUCCUCAGAAAUGCCACUCUGUUUCCAUGGUUGAAGAAGAUUGGAUCAACUCAAAGUACCUGAAGAAUCCUCACGAUUUGAAAGAUCACGGACAAGUUCCUGCAGUGUUGGAGUGGGCUGAGUAUAGAGGAGAUUGUUAUGAAGAAUAUAAUUCGAAAACUACUUGUAACAAGGACAAUAGAUGUUUAAUACAAUUAAGCUCAGGCUACCUUUGCCUUUGCUUUAGGGAAACAAGGUUUGACCGACACCACCAUGGAUAUUGCUCAGGUACAAUUUCGAAUACUAAUUAAAUUAAUUUCAUAUAUGAAGUGUGUACUGCAUUUCCUUGAACCAACUACGUAUCUAACACAAAAUUAGUGAAAGUAAUUGCAGAAUUCGCAUAUGUAAAAAGGGCAAGAUAUAUAUAUAUAUAUAGCCGUAAUUUAUUUUGAUAUUCUAUUUCAUCUUUUGGGUUUGUUCAGGUUACUUGCUCUGUAAUAUCACAAGCCCCUACAAUUGCUCAUCAGGAUGUCCCAAAGGUUACAACUCUUCAAAUCCCCCCUUCAGUGACUGCCGAAAUGAACUUCUUCCAAUUUUGCACAAAAAUUCUCAUGUCAAAUUCAUUAUUAUAGGUAUGUUUUGGAAUUGCAGAUUUCGUCGACAGAAUUAACUGUUCUUUUUUUUUGUUAAUUUCAGUAUAUAUAGGCUAACAAACGCAAAAACUUCUGCACCUGAAAUUUGCAAUAGCUUAUACAUUUAUGAUCUCCUAUUCUAAACAGUUCCUUGCCAUAAAUCCCCUCGAACGCGUAUUAAAUAUUCUUGUCCUGGAGCGUUGCAGGUUGCACUAGUGGGCUUGGAAUGUUGUUCCUACUAAUCGGAACAUGGUGGUUGUACAAGUUCAUUAAAAGAAGAAGAGAAAUCAAGCUUAAGCAGAAGUUCUUUAAAAGAAACGGUGGUUUAUUGUUGCAACAACAAUCGUCAUCAAAUGAAGGUAAUACCGAGAAAAAAAAAUUGUUUACUUCAAUGGAAUUGGAAAUGGCUACUGACAACUUCAAUACCAAUCGAAUCCUUGGUCAAGGAGGCCAAGGCACAGUGUACAAAGGAAUGUUGACAGAUGGAAGAAUUGCGGCUGUGAAAAAGUCGAAAUUAGUGGAUGAGAGUAAUAUUGAGCAAUUCAUCAAUGAGGUGGUAAUUUUAACUCAAAUUAACCACAGAAAUGUUGUUAAAUUGCUCGGAUGUUGCUUGGAGACAGAGGUUCCUCUUUUGGUGUAUGAAUUUAUUCCAAAUGGAACUCUCUAUCAAUAUAUACAUGAAAUUGAGGAGUUCUCAAUCACAUGGGAAAUGCGUUUACUCAUUGCCAUAGAAGUUUCAAGUGCUCUAUCCUAUUUGCAUUCAACUACUUCUAUUCCAAUUUAUCAUCGAGACAUCAAGUCUGCAAAUAUACUAUUGGAUGAUAAAUUUCGAGCAAAAGUUUCAGAUUUUGGGACUUCUAGAUCUGUCACGAUUGAUCAAACUCACUUGACCACACGAGUACUAGGAACUUUUGGAUAUCUAGAUCCAGAGUACUUUCGGUCAAGUCAAUUUACAGAGAAAAGUGAUGUUUAUAGUUUUGGAGUUGUCCUUGUUGAGCUUUUAACUGGACAAAAACCUAUUCGUUCAACCGACGCUGAAGAAGAUAAAAGUUUAGCAGGGUAUUUUCUCCUAGCAAUGAAAGAGAACCGUUUGUUUGAUGUGCUUGAUGCUCAAGUUCUGAGGGAAGCCAAGGAAGAAGAGAUUAUUACCGUUGGCAUGCUUGCAAAAAGAUGCUUGAAUUUGAAUGGGAGGAAGAGACCUACUAUGAAAGAAGUCGCAUUUGAAUUAGGGGCGAUUAGAGCUCAAAAGUGUGAAGACAUUGAUCUUGUGGGUGGAAAUUUUGAAACUGGUUCAUCUUCAACUGGAGCAAUUUUAAAUGCUGUUGCUUUUUCUGUAGAUGCUAGCCCUUUGCUUUCAAACAAGUGGUGAUUAAAGGGAAGAAUUUUCCCUUGAAAUCUAAAGAAUUUUCUUUUGAAAUCCAAGUAUUUCAUUUCAUAUAUAAAUAAAUUAAGUUGUGGAUUUUUGCAUUAUGCUUCUCUUAUGGCUAAAAUUUUUCAUCUCUAGAAUAAAAUAUACAGAGUUUGAUGUUCAGUUUGUAAGCGGAGAAAUAAAUUUAUAAGGUAGAUUCCAACAAAGCAUCUGUGGCAAACAUAUUUAAAUAUCUAAGAAGCAAGCUUCUAAUGCUACCAAUAUUUAGUGCACUAGAACUUUGAAGCUGACAGAGUGAGGCAUCUCGGCAUCUGAAUCUGCAUACAAGUGGAACAGGAGAUGCUGACAUGAUAUCCUACGUGGAGCUUAUGUGACACAUAUAAUGAGUCCAGUUCGUUCCUAAUUCACACGCUUACAUUGUAGCCCCGUUCUUUGUGUUUCGAGUACCAUUGGUGAACCAUCACUUGGUGCCAUUGUAUUGCUAAUAGCACCUUUGCCUUGAUUGAUUUUGCUGACAAUAUAUAGGGUGUGUUUGGGAGUAAAGUCCUACAACUUUUAUGUUGCGUUUACUUUCCGGACUUGGGAAUCAAAAUUAUUAACAGUGUUUUUUUCCCAAAAUAAAUUCAAGAAUAAGAAUCGGAAUCAUGGAGCACACCACAAUUUUAGAAUGAGGAAUGGGAGACUCAUUCCUAAGAGGGACGUGGGAAUGAGUCUCCCAUUUUCAGGAUUGACUAUUUUACCUUCCUCAAAUUUUUGUCCUCAGUUAUAAUUAAUUAAUGUAUUAUUAUUAAUUAAUUAAUAUACUACUAUAAUAAUUAUUAUAAUUAGUUCAAAUAUUAUUAAUUAAUUAAUUAUAAUUGUUACUAUUAAUUAAUAUAUUAAUAUAUUAUAAACCAUAAUUAUUAAUAAUUUUAAUUUUUGAUAAAUAAUCACAAUAAUUAAUAUACUUUUAUUAUAACUAAUUAAUUAGUAUACUAUGAUAAUAAUUACUAAUAUACUUAUUAUAAUUAAUUCAUAUAUAUUAUUAAUUAAUUUAUAUAAUUAUUACUAUUAAUUAAUAUAUUAGUAUAUUAUUAACAAUGAUAUAUUAAUAAUUAUAGUUUUGGAUAAAUAAUCACAACAAUUAAUAUAUUUUUAUAAUAAUAAUAAUAAUUAUUAGUUAAAAAUUUGUACAAUUAAUUAAUAUAUUAAUAUAUUCUUGUCAAUACUAAUUAAUAAUAAUACUUUUUGAAUAAAUAAUCACUAUAAUUAAAAUAUAAAAUAAUAAUUGUGACAAUAAUUCAUUAAGUGCUUUUUAGUAAUUUUUUACAAUAUAACUCAUUCUGAUUCUGAUUACAAGAUAAAAUAAAUACAUCAAUAAGAUUCUAACCCAUUUCUAUUCUGAUUCAUGUAGAUCAAGUAAACAACUUAUUCUGAUUCCUAUUCCUCAUUCUCAUUCCAGCUCAUAAUGAUUUCAACUCAUUCUGAUUACAGUCCAUUUCGAUUACUAACAAGUAAACACAACAUUAAGAUGCAGCUGUUGUGGAGCAAAAAUCAUAGUUGUGGGAUAGAAGCUGCUGGGGUUUAGCAAAUUUUAAUAGUUGUAGAGUCAAAAUUGAUGGUAUUUGGUAAAUUUUAAUUGUUGUAUAGUGAAAGUUGAUGAAUAUUUGUAAUAAUUAAUUUUAAAUAACAUUAUUUUUAAUUAGUAAUUAGUCAAAUUAUUUUUCAUAUUUUGAAUUAUCAUAUUAACAUAUGAUUAUUGUUUAUUACUUUGACAAAUCAAAUUAAUAUUUAAUUAAUCGAAGUUAUUUUUCUUCACAAGUUGUAAUAAAUAUUUUUUAAAACAAAAUAAUUUAAAAUUGAAAGUACAUAAAUUCUAAUUUUACUCAUUGAUUGAAGAAAUAAAUUAUACCAAAUAUGUCUAAUAAAGAUUGUACAACAUAACAUUAUAAAAUUAAAAUGUAACUAAUUACAAAAUUCUUAUAAAUAUUUACAUUGUCAUGCCUCCAUUAAACUUGCAGCAAUGCCAUCUCCCAAGAUUAUCAUAUUUUGAGCUAUGUUAUUAGUUGUAUCAUAACUUUCUUUAGGAGACGCAAUCCUGCUUAUAUGUUCGCUAUUACUAUGACUUGGUUCAUCCAUUGUUUCAUCAAAAUGAUCAUGAUUUUAUGAAUGUCUUCUUAUGUAAUUAUGUAAGGCCAUGGUAGUAAUAACUCUCUCCACCUGCUUCUUGAAUGUGUAGCUUGGCAUAUUUCGUAAAAUCUUCCAUGUGUUCUUUCAAACCCUAAAAGUACUCAUUAGAGUUAGCAUUACUCUCAACACUAAGAUAUUCAAAUGCUUCAUUACUCUCUAAAGGAAAACCAGAUGAGGGAAGCCAAACAUGCUCACUCAUAGCCACUGUGUUUGAACAUUAAAUUUAGGUUUUUUUUCUAACUCUAGAUCAAUACCAUUUUUUUUCGAAAUCUACUCAUUUGCAAAUUUUCCUUUAUUUUCUUUUUCCACCAAUCUUCACUUGCAUCAACUAUCCAUAACCUAUGAUUCCACCUUAGACCAAUUUCCAAGCUAAUCAAAUUCUUUCACAAUUUCCAAUCAGUUCUAAGAGAAUCCCAUUUGUUUUUCUUUUGAGUUCUAUUGUAAUCCGAUCCAGUUUCUUUAGUGGAUUCCUUAAUUAAAUUUUCAUAUGCUUCGGAAGUCACAUGAGUCCUAGGACGAUGUUCGGAUCCACCACCUUAAUACAUAACUCACAAAAUACAUAUGAAGUCUGAGGGUUCCAAAUAGCCUUACUAGUUGAGUUACUAGACAUAAUUGCGUACACUUAAACCUAGAAAAUAGAGUAAUAUUUCUUCAUCAAACAGCAAUAUAGGAAAGAGAUUAAUUAAGAGCAAUACCCAAUUUUCUUUUUAAAACAAAUAACAUUAAUUAAGGAUGAAUUAUGUCUAGCAGCAAGGAUGAAUUAUGUCUAACAUUACAUAACUUGUUUCAAAAUGAGUUGUUAGUUUAAUAAACUUGCGGGUUCCUCUAAUUACAUAACCUGUUUCGAAGAAAUUAAAAUAAUUUUUCUCAAUAGUUUAAAUUUUCUUUAGUUACCUUUAAGUGAAUCCUUUCAAAUUUGUGUGAAGCUGAAAUGAUUUGUUCAAAAACAUGUAUUGUUGGAAUCUAUAGGAAUUGAUUACUUGUUUGUUCACUACUAGAAAAAUGGGCUUUACUGACACUAAAUUAGUGUCAGUAAUUACUUUUCCUGACACUUGUUAAUUGUGUCAGUAAUGCUCCAGCCAGAACACACUGACACUAAUUUUUAGUGUCAGCGAUUUUUGUGUCAGUAAUUCAUGUCAUUAUGGUAUCACUAAAAUAAUGACACGAUAGCAUUAGUAUUUAAUGAUACUAUUUAGAUGUCAGUAAUUUAUGAGACUACAGUAUCAAGAGCACACUGACUCAAUAACAUCAAAAAUUAUUACUGUCAUUUUAAACAUUUAGUGUCAGUAUUUAGUGAUGUUAUGAUUCUUUUGGUUAAUAGUAUACUUUGAUUUUAAUUAUAUUUUCCUAUUUGUUUUACAACUGAAAGAAAACUCAAAAUAUAUUAAAUAUACAAAAUCUCGCAACACAAUUGCAUAAGAAACAUCUCAAAUACAUCACUUAAAUUCAUAUAAUUCAACUACAUCAUUGUUUGGAAAAGAAAAAUAUAAGUACUAAAUUAAGUCUUGGACAAGCUCUUAACAACCAAGUACUAAGUUAAGAUUCAACAAAUAUUAACCAACAGAAAGAAGCACAUAAUGUCAUUGAACAUCCACAAGCAGCUUCAUUGUUCUUUUCCCACCUACAAGUACAUAAAAUCAAUUAGUAUACCACAAAAAAUAAUUCUUGGAUUUUUGGGAGAAAAAACAAUCAGGCCAAUUUCAGUGUUCAAAGAGACUAACAAAGAAUGGGGCAAAAACAAUACAUAGCUCUCUUAGUGCAAGCUAAUUGUAAUAGGUAGUAUUGUGAAGAAUAUUUAUCUGCUAAGAAUUGAAUUUGAGUGGAUUUUCCUACAGAUCUAUACACAACUCAACUUAAGUAGAAUACAAAAAUAAAAAAUAAAAAAUCCUAAGGAUUAAGAAAGAUAAAUGGAGAUUUAUUAGUAUACAUCCAAAAUUAAAAACUCAUUAAACAAUCCAGGGGUAAAAAUUGAGGAAUAAGAAUAUAGCGUAUCUCAGGAUAAGACCAAAGACAUAAUAACAGAAACAUUUGAGGCAAACCACUACAAAGUUUUUACAUAAUAACCCAAAGCAAAGCAAACCAUUAUAAAAUUUUUACAUAAUAACCUAGAAACAAAACAGACGAAAAUUGGGCAAGUCCAUAUCCCAAACCUCUGUUAGGAAAAAUGUGUUCAGCAGACUCAUGGCUCCAACAAUAGAAAUUAACCCGCACACAAUGAAACAAAUUAAUUGAUAUAAAAAACAGUCAAAGACAAAGCCAACUAAGAAGAUUAACUAAUUUGGAGAUUGAAUUACAUAGUUAUUUUUACAAAAAUAUAGCAUAAGCCCAUUGUAUUUCAUAGUAAGCAACUGCAAAAAUGCCUAGAGGUAAAUUCAUAAAGAAACAGUAGAUAGAAGAAAAAAAAGACGAGGAAAUAAACAGCAUGAAACAAACAAAUCACCUAACACAUCAUGGGAAUUGACUUGUUAACGUUAAAGAGCAAAAUAAAACUUGGCACCUUCAUCCAAACAAGAACAGACGCUUACCCCUUACAGAGAAUGGCUUAGGUUUUUCGUUGGAGUUUGAGGCUGAUUUAUAAGAAUAUGAAGAAGAAAUGAUUGUUGAAGUUUGAUAGUGAUCAAGGAUUGAGUAUUGGGCUUAAAAUACAAAUUGGCAGUGAGGGCUAGUUUUCGAUCAUAAUGUUGAGAGACCACUAAUCCCCAAUACUUGUACCGUCUCACAUAAAAAUCCACAUUUAAUAAACAUGAACUAAAUCCAGUGUAUUGAGUGUUAUUAUUUAAUGGAACAUAAAAUCUCUGGGUCAAAUAAUUCUAAAGUUAAACCAACAAUAAUCCCAAAAGCUAAAGUUGAUAAGAAAGGCCCAACAGUAUACUUCUAUCACACAAAAUUUGAAGAUAGAAAAAAGAAGGGCCUUUUUUUUUUUAACUGAAACUGAAAAAAGAUUCAGUAUUAACAAUUCAAUAAUUUUAACAUUGAAAACUUGGUGUUUAUAUAUCCGAAUAUAAUUAAGCCAAAAAUUUUAAUUUAUCACUAAAUAGGAAAACAACUAAAUAAGCUGCAUAGUUUUAUUUUCCAAUAAAUGCUUAUAAUAUUUAUACCUAUCCUUCAUUAUUUAUUUAUUUUUUAUAGGAAACAGAGAAAUUAGUAUUAAUAUGAACAAUAAUUACAAAAUGUCAAAAAGGAGUCCACAAAAAAAGGCUAUUGAAGUAUCACACACCAAGAGAAGAAUAAAUAGAAAAAUAGAAAACACUGAGGCAUUCAAACCCUCAACAAUAAACUCAACAUAUCAACUUUAAACAAAUAGAUUCUUGGCUGUUCUUAGUGACAUUAAGAAACAAAUCAAAAGAAGGAAACUCCCCAGAAGAAUUAUAAUAAGUGAGAAGACAUAUUGUAAUUCUAUCAUCAAAGAAAGAUAAGCUUAAUCAUUUUUAAUUUUUUCUCAAAUAUCCAGUAGUACCUUAAGGUAAUAGGACAAGAUCGCUGAAGUUGUCAUGAAGAGUGUAAAGCACUAAAUAACAAAAAUUAUGCUAAUAAAUAAAACUCAAUUUAUUUUCUCCCUCAAUCAAUUGCUUUGAGCUUACUAUGAAUUCAACUAUGAAUUUGAGGAAAAAAUAUAGACCGCAGUUUGCCAACUUCUUGUUCAUGAGAUUCAGCCGCAGUAAAUGCAAACCUCCAUUUCUCGUCAAGCAUUGUUAACCUCUACGACAAAUUGAAGGUAAGAAGAUGAACAAAAUAAGUGUAAUGUGCAGGAAAAAAAUGAAGUCUAUGGGUACAACAACACUUCAAGAUUUUUCAAGUUCUAGUUCAUUUAAAUAGACAUUCCUUGAACUUCAGCAGCAAAGAAAGUACAUUAUAGCAACAAUUUCAAUUCAUUCCAAUCUUUAGAAUUUUUUAUUUUAAAAAAAUAAAUUCCUUCAAACUAGUGAAAGGAAAAUAAAAGUGUGUUUACAGAAGAAAAAUUAUGGAAUGAAUUAAUGACCAUGCAAGUGAGGAAACACAUAAAUUUCUGAAUAAGAGCGAAACUAACCGUGCAAAUGAACAAAGAAAAUGUAAGUCUUCAAGUGCUACAACAAGCAAAACUACCUAAAAACAAGCAUUUUCUUCUUGAAUUAAAGACAAAUCAUGAACUUUGUGCAAUCUCAAAACAUUCAGACAAGCAUGAACUUAGUUAAUUCAUAUCAUAGUCAUUGUCUCUAUUAAAAAUCUUCCAACUGAAAAAAAUAAAAAAAUAAACAUGUUGGUUUCUAUAACAUAAUUUCCUAUCUUUACAUGAAACAGAGCAAUAAAUAACACGUAAUAAUUAUGAAAUACACAGCCAUUCAAUCUAUAUAAUAUAGAAAUAUAGGAAAAAAAGAAAAAAAAAUUCAAAUUACAAUUAAAUAAACAAAAAAUAGAUAUGGAAAAGAAAUCCCACCAAGACUGCACUACUGGGAGAAUUUCUCAACAUCUGCAACAACCCAAAAAAUUAAAUUAACAAAAAACCCCAAUAAUCAUAAGCUAAAAUAAAACAAAUCUAUUAAUUAAUUUGACAAAGAAAAUAAAAUAUUAAGCCAUUACUAGCAGUUAAGCCUUAAUCAAGGCAACAUGUUUGCCCUUAAAGUCAUUGAAAAUCUCCUUCACAGGUCUACGUAUAAGGUGUGGUAUCCCUUCCAUAGCAAGAAAAUUAACUAAUUUCUCAAUAAUUUUAUUCAAAUUCAAGAAAAUGGGUUUUGAAUAUUGAACAAAAAAAAGAGAAAUUUGACCAUAAAAAGAAAAAAAAUUGAUGAAAGAAGCCUCGAUUACGGUUUUGGUCCGUUUUUCAAUUUGGGAAAAAAAAAGGAAAAAGGGAAUAAAAGCCUCACUUAGGGUUUUAGCUUUAUAUUAUCUAUUUGAGUUAAAUGAACGAAUUUGUGAAUGGACAGAAAAAAAAGGAAAGAGAUCGAGAAGAGAAAAAGGAAAGAGAAAGAGAAAGAGAAAGGCAAGAGACAGUUUUGGGUUUGAGUUUGGGUUAGAGAUUUGUGUGUAUAAAAGACAACGAGACGGGGACAAUUGCUAAGUUUGGGAUAUGUUUUACUUUCGUUUUACAUGUUUUAAAUUCUUAAUUUAGUACCUGCAGUGUCGAACCACUUGAACGGAAGUGACAGUGGCAACGGCGUGGGGGUGGGUGCAGCCGUGGGGGUUGGGCGCGGCCGUGGACGUGGGCGUUUGGGCCUUGUCAUUCGGCAUCUUUCACGAUAGAGAAGAAGAAGUCAAGAAAGGCAAGGAUAUUAUGCAGCAGCUGCAGCAUGGGCUCUAUUGCACAAUGGAAAAGGGGAAUUAGGGUUUGGUUUUUUAUAUGUUAAUAUUUUAUAUAACAUUGUAAUUCUAACUCAAUUUUAUGGGGUCCAGUGGUUUGCAAUCUAAACGUAAAAGUUUUGAGUUUUAGAAGUCGCAGGUUCGAGUUAAAAUCAAAACACAUUUUAAUGAUUUUUUUUAGAUCUCUGAUGCUGAAGUAUCAGUAAUCUCUAAUAUUUAAUUUACUGAUACAUUAGUAUUAAUAAUUUGUGACAUUUAUUUGUUAAAAGCAGAAAAUGGUGCAUAGUUAGGUAAUUACUGACAUUUUUUUCAAAGUGUCAGAAACAAAGUGUCAGUAAAAGUCAUUUUUGUAGUAGUGUCGUUGCUGCCUUUAAUGAUUUUUAUUAGGGAAAUUUCAUCAGAUAGGGAUUGUGCAUGUCUAUAAAACCAACUAAAAAAAUUAAAAAUGCAAUAAAGAUAGUGACUUCAAAGCAAAUAAAUCACACGUGACCAAUCACCUAUUAAUUUAUUCCAAGCAAAAGGCCCAGCACAUUCUGAACAAAAGGGAAGAAAAUGAAAAAUUACAUGUAACAAAGUAAAGGAAAACGCACCUUUCUUAGAUAUUUUGAAAACAAAGAUAGAAGAACAGAGGUGUAUGAAUAUGAUUGGUGUCAAAAUCGCGUCGAUGAGAAUAGCCGCUUUUGGAAUUGCAUCGAUGAGAACUGUCGAUGUUGGAAUCAUGCUAAUAAGAUCGGUGUUUAGAGUUUGUUUUAUGGAAAAAUCGAUUUGAGAUUAAGUUUAAAAAUGAGGUGGGUAAAAUUGAAAUUAAAUAAUAUGUAAGGAUAAUUUAGUAAUUUAAUACACAACUGAGAAAAAUUUCUGUUGAACUGCCAAAGCCCAACUACAAAGUGUUACUACUAAAAAUGAGGGGAUGAUAUAUGGAAAAAAAGAAGCUUCAUUUUAAAUUAAUGAACAAAAACAAUUUAAAGAUUUAAGAGAUCUGAUUUGUCGUUUCAUUUCACUAAAAUGUGGAUAGAUAAAAUUAGUUAUUGGGUGUGUCUUAUCCUAAAAUUAAUCUUUCACGAAGUCCUUAGAAACAAGAAAAUACUAUUACAUAGCUCGGAAAGUGUUAAUAGUUAUAGAAUUAGGCGUCUCUUACACAUAUGUCUUCCCAUGUAUAAAAGCGUUCGUAUGAAGUUAUGAAAUGGUGGAUUAUUAUACUAAACAAACGGCUCUUUCCCUUUCAAAAUUAUUGUACGUAUUUUGCAAGGAAACCUCCUCUACUUUGUUUCUUCCAAUUAAUGUCCGGUUAAGACUUCCGUGUGUCCAAUUAAUGCCAAUCGUUUUCGAAUGUGUACAGGAUAACAACUUGAAGACUUGAGAGGGCCAGCGUUAAUUCAAAGUCAAGACUCAAGACUAGGUUGUUACCCUGCAGGAUUCUUGAUAGUGAGGUGAAAAAACAAAAAGUUGAAGGAGAUUAGGAUUUAAUGCUGAGUUUAGUUUUUAUUGACCACUAAGUUAAUGAUUAUAAUUUAUUUUGUACUUUUUCUUUUAUUUAUCUUAGUUAAUAAUUAUUUAUUGAGAUUCUUGUCCAAUUGAAAGAUACUAGAGAAAAGGGUUUUAAAACUUUAGUUAUUUUUAUGUAUAAAACAAAAAAUUUAAAUUAUUAAAAGAAAAAAAAAUGUAAUUUUAAGAGACAUCUUUUAAGGUUUGACAUAUUAAUAUUUAGAUAAAAAAUAUGCCUCUAAUUACAGAGAUCUUCCCGCCGUCUAUACUCAGUUUCGUAUAUUGUCAGCUAGGAGGGUAAAUUAGUAAAAGCGCAUUUAAAAUUGAAAUAAGUAAAAAGCUAAUUUGAAGAUAAGCCCACUGAAACACUCAAAAAAUCCCGAUGAAAAUCAGUUACCACUAACUAGAGGAUGGAUGAAUGCUUGCUCUCUUUCAUCAACCUAACUCAUCACAAAACCAUUUUCUCUUUCAAUCAACCGAGGCCCACAUGCACUCCUCAUCUCUAAAUGCUUUGAAGAUGAAAAAAAUCAGAUUUUUAUUGCCAAGUUCCGCAACUUUAGCUUAGAUUUAUUAACAAGAAAAGCAUCGAUGGUGGCCUAAGGGUGGUGUCAGGUGAAAAUAGCUGACUAUUCGGCGUCGGACAUGACUGUUAUUGACUUGAAUUCAAAGAAGGUUAGUCUUUGAAACAAUUUUGGAUUUAAUUUUUUUUUUGUUUUAAUAUGUUUUAUAUUUUAAAAUAAAAUUGAAAUUUUAUUUCAUUUUAAUCAUAGAUUGUUUUUUUUUUGUUUGAAAAUGAAAAUGGGCUGAAGUGUUGGAGAACAGUUGGCAUUGUGUUGUUCAUAAAAAAAAAAGAUAUCAAAUUGUUGAUGUAUUAGAGAAGAUGCAUGUUGUUUGUUACUUUCAGACCGUAGCUAUUUGGAUUUUUCAAGUUAAGAGCUAAUCAUAACAUAUGUGUUGGAAAUUAGUGAUUUUUAUGUGACUUCUUUGUCAAAUGAAAAUGGGUUAGCACUGUUAUGAAGAAUAUGGAUGCUAUUUGGAGGAAUUAACUUCUUAACAUGUGCUUGAACUAAAAAUACCAAUGCAUAUUAGAAAUUAGUGAAGUUAUAUGCAUUAAUAAUAUUGGAAAUAAGGGUUUGUUUGUGAUGCUUUAAAGAAGCUGAAAAGGGUAUUGCUUGUGCUCCUUAAUAUGGAGAAUUUUUAGUUGCUUGAUAAAAAAAGCAUUAGUGACAAAUAAAAUGAAGAAAUUUUGGAUGAUGUUUGUGUAAAAGAUUUAAAUUAUUUAUUUUAUUGAAGCUGUACUGUGUUUUUAUUUGUGAUUUAACCAUUAAAACGGCUCUGUAACAUUGAUUAGAGGCUGCAUGUGCUCUUUUUAUAAAAAAAGUAGUGGCAUUCCUAAGUGGAGUAAUGAGAUGCUAAGAUGGGAAUGUAUGAAUAUUUAAUUUUGUUCUUGCUUUAAACUAUGACUAUAAAUCCUAAGUCUUCUAAAAUGAAACUCAAUUAUGCUUUUAAGAUGUAAAAAGGCAUCAUUGCCAUUUUUAAGUGACUUUGAUAAUGCUUCAAAUGGAAGUUCGCAUUGGUUUGUCAAAAUCUUUUGUUAAGCAGGGUGAAAUGAUUCAAUUUGCAUUGAAUAUGCGAAAGUUUCUAAGCGAAUAACUUGUGGUCUCAUGUUAUUUUUUUUCAGAUGAUGCUCUAGUGGAGGUCGAAAAGGAAAAGAGAGUCUUUGUUAAAAAAAAAAAAAGCAGGGAACAAAUAUGCCUUUCUAUAAUUGUCUUCCUUUUAACAUGUAUGUCAGGAUUGGUGUGCAUAAAUGGCCUUUAUUGACUAAAUAAUAUAAUCAUGAACAAGUAAAAAUAUAAUUUUUUUUAGUACUUUUCCUACUGAUCAUAUGUGAAUUGAAUCAAUUGUGUUGAAAAUGUUGAUCAAGGCAAAAAAGCUCUCAGCCUUUGCUACAUUCGAAAAUAGCAAGAAGGAAUUUUGUAAGCCCAAUUGAAAAAGAUUGAGGUAACCUGUCUCUUCUUAUUCUAGAUUCUUUUUUUUUUCUUUGUUUUACUUCCCAUUUCAUCUUCAACAAAUCUAGUAAUUGGCAGGAAAUAAUUGGAAGGAAAGAAGGCUGAAUAUGCUGAAAAUCUAAAAAAUAAGGCAGCUAUACGUCACAAAGAAAUAGAAGAGAAAAGGGCAACGGUUGAAGUUAGUGGUGGAGAUUGAAUUCUUAAGUUAAAGGAGAUGGUUGAAAAAAUCGGUGUAACUAAGAGCAUUUUAAUGAUCAAUGGAAUUAAACAAAUGUUAACAAUAGGUUGUUGUCUAUUAGAUAUACCAAAUUUGACUUUGAACUGUUGUAUUAUGUUAAAUUUCUAAAUUUUAUUUCACUGUAUAGUAUCGCUAGCCCUAGUUUCCCUACGAUAUUUUUUUUUUACAAUUGAUGAAUAUUUGAUGUCAAAUUUUUAUUUCCCAAGAGUGGUAAAGUGUAAUGAUUAAUUUGAUAUUUAGUACUACUAAAUUUUUAAAUUUUAGUUCACUGUAUACUAUCGCUAGCCCUAGUUUCCUAGUAAUUUUUUUUACUUUUAACAAUUGAUGAAUAUUUGAUGUCAAAUCUUUGUUUCCCAAGUGUGUUAAAGUGUGAUGAUUAAUUUGAUAGUUAGCAAUAAGGCUGUUUAGGUCUUUUCUCAAAUCAAGGGUAAUUUUUACAUAUCACUAGUCAACUAACAUUCAAGGAAACUGAGUACAGACAGUAGGGGAGGUCUCUGUAAUUAUGAUUAUACUUUCUAUUUAAGUGUCAAUAUGUCAAAUCUCCGAGGAGGUCCCUAAAAAUUAUCCAAAAGAAAUCGAGACUUUGAGCUGGUUUGGAACAAAUUAUAUUUUCAAUUGAAAUUGAAAAGAAGAAAAAAAAAUAUAUAAGAGAGGUUUUAUAAGAUUAAUGAAGGGGUUCCAAUAAUCCAAUAUUUUCACAAUUUUUUCUUUUAAGUUUUAUUCAUCACCCCAUAGGCCCAAUUUAUUUUCGUUAUUAUGUAGGUGUGGUGUUACUAGAAAUCAAAUGUUGCCUUUUUUUCUUUUUCUUUUUUUCCUCUCCUCUCCUCACUUAUGGUGGAAUGUGGAGAAUUAAACAAAACCAAUAUCCUAAUAUAUAAUUAAUAUUUUGAAAUGACCCGCCCCGAAUCCCCCUAAGCAAGUCUAUCUAGUCUCAUCAAAACAGACUUGAUAAAAAUUCUAUUAGUAAAGAUUCUGCCAAAAAUUCGGCAGAAUCUCCUUUAUAUAUAUAACACUCCCAAUCUAUAAAUAUGAAUAUAACACUCCCAAUACAAUUCAAUAUACAACAAACUCCAGUGAUUAACAUCCUCAACUAAAAUGCUGAGUUUUAUAUCUCCAGAGUCUCAAAAGAUAAUAUUAUAACUAAUAUUAAUAUAUCAGUUUAUUCUUAAUCCCAAAAGAAUAGUAUAACAAAAUUAUACAAUCCCAACAGAACGAGAUAACCAAGAUGUCCUAACAAAAACAUUUAUAUCUUCUAACACCAUCACGUGGCCAAGACUCAAAAUAUAUUUACAGUCGCUGGGUCGGUCUGGUGUACCUGCAACCUCCUGGUGAGGGAGGGAAAAUAUAAUAAAAACGAGGUGAGUUUAAAACUUAGUGAGAUCAGUGAGUGGAUAGUAGUUUUGAAAAUUAAUUCUUACUUUAAAAGAAAUAAUCAUAUCAUUUCCAAACACGAUUUCAUUAAACCAUAAGCGAGAAACCAGUAAUAAAUCAUUAAACAUUUAAAUCAGAUUACUAACCAUGGAAAUCAUAUCACAAUAUCAUAUAGAAUUCACAAAUCUGAAAAUCAUCGCCAAACAAGUACCCAGGGAAAUAAUCUCGUCAUAUCCGAAUCUCAACGGAUGGGCAAUGAUGUACUAUCUGGGUAACGUCACGCCCCGGAGCUACACGGAUAGAUAGGGAAAUCUCAUAUCUCAUCAUAUCUGUGCAUGCAUAAUCUAGUCCCCAAGGGACAAAAGCGCCCAAGCACACGGCCCAAAACCUCUGUGUGUACUCAGACGGGCCCCAAAGGCCUAUAUCUCAUUUGUAUCAUAUGUAUUAUUUGUAUCAUAUGUAUUAUUUGUAUCUCAAUAUCUGUCUGUAUCUCAUAUCAGUAUAUCUGUAAUCAUCAUACCGCAUGCAUAUGGCCCCAAAAGGCAAAAGCACCCAAACACACGGCCUAAAGCCUCUAUGUGUCAAAGGCCUCUCAUCUCAUCUCAUCUGUAUCACUGUAUCUGGAGGGAAGGGUACUGUCUAAUGAUUUCAAAAACAAUCAUUAUACUCAUUCACAUACCUCUUAACCAUAUUUUAAAUCAUACCACAUUUGAAUCCACUUUUCUUAUCUUUAAAAUACUAUCAUGCUUAUUCAAAGUCGAUACGCAAAAUCAUUAACCAAACAUUUUAAUAAAAUAUCAAUGCGUGAAUAAAAUCCAUUUCGAGAAAUCAUUAAAUCAGAACAUUUAAAAUACUUAUUUCGCAAACAUGCUUUACUAUCAUCGCUAACUAUGAAAAUAAGUUUUGUAUAUUCCACUCACAGUGACGGUGUUCACGGUCGGUUAUCGUCCACGUCCGCGGACCGGUUCUCGCUCGCAAAUCCUCCUAAAUUAAGGAAACGACAUAAUUAUUUUCCGUAAAUCGGAAUUAUGACUAAAUUUUAUGCAAUAAACUCGAAACGAACAUCUAUCCAUAAUUUACAACUCCUGUGUCCAUAAAAUUUCUAAAAUGCCCUUGAGUCCGUAGAUCAUUAACAUGCUCUGAAAUCGUAAAUCACCGAAUUACCCUCGGAAUCGUAAUUACACCCAAUCCUCAAUUCUAGGAAUUACUAAAAUAUCCACAGGCUCAGAAAUUACAAAAUUGCCCUCAUAGUGUGAAAUUACCAAAAUGCCCUUGCCGAUCAACGGUCACCGGAAUUUGGUCAACACUGGCUAGGAAGCUCAAAUCUUAAAGUUCCAAUCACGCUGAGUUCAAUGGUACCGACGGUGAGCUCCAACGCGCGGCAACGACGCCGGAAUCUAGCUCGGCAGCCGUGAAUUCCAAGAAUCGACCGGCGGCAAAACAGUGACUCUCGGUGCCUAUGAAUGGUCGGAAAUGGAAGAGGGAAUCGUGGGGAACAAAAUCCAACUGGUGGUGUCACCCAAAACCGGCGAAAAUCCCGGCGGAGUAAAGUGAAACAGUCGCGGGUUUCAAGCUUCGAUCUCCGGUGUUCCGGUUGGUUUUCGGCGGAGAGGAUGGCAUGGGAACGACGGUCGGCUUCUAAGCUUCAGAUUGGUACCAAGCUCGGCCAAAACGGUGGCCGGAAAUGGGAGAUAUGGCCGGGUCACGUUCGCAGGUCAGGUCGGGUUUUUUCGGGUCUGUAGUUGGGUUGGUUUGGUAGCUUCUCUCUCACUCUCUGUUACACGUGCAUAUGUUUCCUUUGUUUCUAGCUUAUUCUUUUACUUAUAAAAUCCUUAACCGCCUCAUUUUCAUUUUAAAUUCACAUAUGUUACAUAUUUAUUAACAGAUUUCAGAAAAAAUUAAUAUUUUAAAAUAUUGCAAACUGCCAAAAAGUCAAACUUUUAUUUGCUACAUAAAUAUAAUCUAUUUUAGAUAUCAAUAUCAAAUUUGUUAGGUUAAAUUCUAGGUUCAAAUCUUAGCAGGCAGAAGUUUGAGUUAAAUUGGUAAAUGAAUUAUUUUUUAAUUAAUUUCUUCUUUUUGAUUUUGAAAAAAACAUUCGAGAGAAAGAGAGGAAGUUGAAACUGAAGCCGAAUCAACUGGAGCAGCAUCAAGCAUCUUUUGAAAUUCUUCUACAUGCUGCUUUUUUUCAGCUUUUGUUUUCAAAUGUUAUUGAGGGCAAAUAAAGUCUGUAUGCUUGAUAUUGAACAUAAUUUUUAACAAAUAAAAACUAACACUGACGUUGUGCCAAAGAAUUUGUUUCUAGCUUAACUGGGCCCAUUUAGGAUAGCUAAGAUAGCUGCGCUGCCAAACAGGGCUUUGAUUUCAUUGCUAUAAGUAUUUAUCAAGUAUUUUUAAUAGAUUUUUUUGGGUGGGCUGAAUGGUUAAGUAAAUUAAUUAAAUGGUUUAAAUAAGGAUAUUUUUUUAUAUUUUAAAAAAUGUACGUAUUAAAAUUUUAUAUAUUAAAUAUACAAAAUAAUAGAAUGUUUAGAAUAAUUUUUAGACAGCAAGCAGCCCUACUCAUUUUAUUAAUCAAGACUUAAGUGUCACUAAACUAAACCUCCAUAUUCCAAAUCUAUAGAAAAAAACGAGAAAAGGUACCGAAUGCAAGCGAUCUGCUGUUCAUCAAUAUUAUCUGGUGCUGUUGCAGAUCAUUUUGUUAUUCUGGUCCAUCAAAGCAUCAAAACAAUUUGUCUGUGAAAACGAUUGUGGAAACGUGUAGAUGAUAUUCCCCUUUGGAAUUGGAGAAGGGUGCCACUUUGGUAAGAGUUAUCACGUAAUAUUCACUCUUCUGGCUCUCCCAAAGGUUUUCAUCCUAGUAUCAAGACGGAAUAUCGUACCGUUACUCCGUAACUAAAACUGGAGCAACAUUCCUAUAGUUUCUAUACACAGUGCUAUUGCCACAAGCAAUAAUAUUGCUAGAGCAGUCAAUAUAUAUGGUAGUCCUUUUACCUUUCCCUGGGGGCUCAAUAAAUUUACAGCCAUAGGCUGUGACAAUUAUGCAAUUAACCUGGACAAUGAUAAUGAUUCAGCUGUGCCUGUAUGUCUGCACUUGCGAUCCUUCUCAGAAAAGUGGUUGCUUUAUUUGUUCAGAGUAAAAUUUGGAAUGUAAAAAAUUCCAUCCAAAACUUUAUCAUCGAACAAUUUGUAUGAAUUCCUGUAAGGAAUACGUUGGCAUAUCACAGAAGCCCAAUUACAAAUACAUCCGCAAAAUAUCUACCAAAGAUAUUUCAGCAAGCUUGUCAAGUAGUGGGACAGGGAAUGGCUCUCUGUUCCUGAGGCAUGAAUUGACGUCCUGCCCAUCGUCCCCCUUUGCCUCCCCACCAUACAAAUAACAAAUGAAAAUUAGGCCAAUUAAAUUAAAGGCAAGACGGGAUGGAAAUAUGGAAUCGUUGAUUAUUAUACCCAUGACCCCUCUAAUUAAUGGUUCUUUCCCUUCGAUAUUAUUGUACGUGUUUGGAAGGAAACCUCCUCUAUCUUUUUUUCCAAUUAAGACUAUUGAAUGUCCAAUUAAUGUAAAUUGUUUUUGAACGUGUAGAGGAUAACAUGACAAUGCGGAGACAUUUAAAGUUGAUUGACAGAAUGAACAAAAUAUCCUAAAUAAUGAGGCUAAUUGAAAAAUUUUUAAAUUAACAAAACUAGAGUUUUAGAUCUUUUUAUAUAAUAACUUUAAAUAUAAUAAAAUUCUCUUAAUCUGAAUAAAAAAUCCAAAACAAAUAGUGCUCAAAUCUAUUAUUUAGGGAAAAAAAGAAAUUAGAAAAAAUAGAAGAAUAUCUUAAAAAUCGAAAAAUGAUAAGGAAAGAAAUAAUUUUUCAGGCUCAAGCAAGGCCCAAAAUGGCAUAAGCUUUGUAGGCUUGAUUUGUCUUCUCGCAAACUUUAAAACGAUAUAUUAUACACUCAAAACAGACACAUGUAGCCUAAGUUAUACCCUUUGGAAAGUACCCUUCUCAUCCCACACACCCAUCAUACAGUAGUCCCUCUCACUUGGAAAAGAACUUGCCCUCGAGUUUGACUUGUACAAUGCCUCAUCAUCUAGAUGAUAUUUAAAUAGAUUAGCCAUAUUGAAUGUGUAAGAGAUCUUCUAGUUGUCCGGCAGUUAGAGCACAUAAGCAUUAUUAUUAAUCUUCCUUGCCACACGAAACGGUCCAUACUUGAUGUGGACAUGCAUCACUUUCCCGUGUCGAUGCAUGUUCACAUCGACCUUGUACAUAGCGUUUGCAGCCUCCAAAUGAGCUCGUUCCUUGACAUGAAUCUGUAGAGCUCUUUUUACCACAUUAUUCACUAUUUUACUCCCUCCAGUUGCUAUGGGCAUGAUAGCUAAAUCAUAAACAUGGGGUAGGGAACAAGUGUAGACAAUCUCAAAAAGGGUCUUACCACCAUGUUAUUGAAAGCAAACUUGACUUGAGGCAAGAUAGUUUCCCAAUUCCGUUGCUUGUCACCACAAACAUAGUGCAACAUGUUAACCAGAGUGCGAUUAACCACAUCCAUUUGACCAUUUGUUUGCUAAUGAAAAGCACUACUAAAUUGUACUGAACUUAUCCUAGAGAUGAUGCCAAAACUUACUGAUAAACUUCACAUUCAUGUCAGAAGUAAUAGUCUUUAGCAUACCAUACAAACUUACCACUUCUUCAGAGAACAAAUGCGCAGCUAAAGCAGCAUCUUUAGUAUUCUUGCAAGCAAUAAAAUGCAUGAUCUUUGAAAACCUGUUGAUCACAACCUAUCAAUUUGUUCCCUUAGAAUUUCGAGGCAUAUAUAACUAAUUAGAAUUGAACAGAUACCCAUCUUGAAUAAGGAAAUCUUUUACAUUUUGAUGAUUAAUGCAUCGAUCUUAAAUAUGCGCAAAGUCUUCAUCCUUAGCGUACAACUCCUUCAAGCAUUCAAAACCAGUACCUUUAAUGACGAGAGUAGUAAAGUUGCUCGCCUACUGAGUGCAUCUGCUAUCUUAUUAUGUUGCCCAAAUUUAUACUUAACAAUAAAAGUGAACUUUUACGUAUAGCGCACCCAUCUUGCAUGCAUCUUGCUCAGAUAUUGCUGGUUAUUAAAGUACUUGAAUGCUUGAUGAUCACUAUAAAGUACGAACUCUUUAUGAAUCAAGUAAUGCUCCUAUGACUUCAACACCCUAAGGAUUUGAUAAAAUUCUUAGUCGUAAGUAGACCAUUUCUGUUAUAUUUUAUUUAACUUCUCACUCAUAUACCUAAGUAGUCGUCCCUCUUGAGAAAUAACAGCCCAAUACUAUUACCAUAAGCAUCACAUUCAACCUCAAACAACUUGAUGAAGUUUAGUAAGGCUAACACAGGAGUAGUAAAAAAAUUCUCUUUUAAUAAAACAAAACUGCACUCUGUAAUAAGUGGGGCUAUGUUACUAAAACUAUAAAUAAAUCUCUUAUAAAACAUCGUCAACCCAUGAAAACUCCUAACUUCACCCACUAUCUUCGGCAUAGGCCAUUCAUUAAUGGCUUGUAUCCUCGACUCAAUAACUCGAAUCCUAUCUACAUCAGUUAUAAAACUAUAAAUUCCACAUUACUCUACAGAAAGCUACACUUCUUUAGAUUAAUAUAAAGUUUAUUUUUUUUUUGCAACAUCUUUAUAAUCAUUCUCAAAUGUUCUAGGUGUGCCACUGCAUUAACAAAAUAAACUAAGAUAUUGUCAAAAUUCACCACAAUAAAUUUGCAGGAAAAAGACUUAAGAACUUGAUUCAUUAAGUGCAUAAAAGUGCUUAACACAUUAGACAACCGGAAUGGCAUAAAAUACCACUCAUACAGCCCUUUUUUUAAUUUUAAAUGUUGUCUUCCACUCACCAUCAGGCCUAAUUAUGAUAUUAUGAUAUUAUGAUAUCCAUUACACAAAUCUAUCUUUGAGAAAACCCGAGCAUCAUUUAGUUGAUCUAAUAACUCUUAAAACGUGGAAUAAGAAAUCGAUUCUUCACUAUAAUAUGGUUAAUUAGCAUACUAUCUGUAUAUAUAUGCCAACUCUCAUCCUUUUUCGAUACCAACAAAGCUAGUAUAGUACAUUAACUCAUGCUCUCAUGAAUGAAACCUUUCCCUAACAAUUCAUCAACCUACCCUUGUAAGAUCACAUGCUCGUGAGGGCUCAUACGAUAAUGAAGCAAGUUAGGUAAACUCGCACCAUAUCUCAUAAAGGUGGCAGCCCAUCCAACAACUUUAAUGGUCUAAUAUCAACAAACUCAAUUAAUAAUGGCUAUACUUUUUUCAAGAACAAUCUUCACCUUUAAUUCUUCUUUUUUCUCUAGCUUCUAGCAAUCAUCGCAAUCAUCCUCUUGAUGAUUUUUAACAACCUUAGUAUUCUUCUUGUUGUUCGUUAAAGGCAUCAACGAACCUUCUUGUUAUUUCACUAAAACUCAUACACAUUAUCCUCUCUUCUAUACUGUAUCAACAUCAAAUUACUAAAGUCUACCAAAUAAUAGAUGGCACACAUCCAUAUUCUUUACAUCGCUCAACACAUCACUCUUAUAAAUCUUCCCAAUGGAGAAAAGAACACGACGGUCCUUUAUUACUUGCAUUUUUGUCUCUCUAUUUAUCAAUCAUAUUCUGUUAGAUACUGGAUUUUUUUGGUUGAAAGUCCUAUCAUGUCAAAUAGCACCUUUGAAAAUAUGUUCUCGCUAUUGCCACUAUUAAUUAUAAUGUUGUACACCUUAUCGUUGAUAGUGCCACAUGUUUUAAAAAUCUUAUUGCGCUGAUUAUCCUCUUUAAAUUUUCAAUGAUAAUAAAAUCUUCUAUAUAAUACAAUUUAGUUUCUCCUUCAUUUGCUUUCAACUCUAAAGCUUCUUUGGCAUCCCCAUUCUCAACGUCGUUCAGCUCUGUCUUGCUGACUUUACCCUCUACUAAAUUCAAAAUUUUAAAAUGAUAGUUACUCGAUCGAUGGCCUAGCUCCCUACACUUCAAACACUUGUCCAGCAUAGGCUUCACUAUAAGUGAUUGUAUCUACUAUCUCAUCUUAUAUCUCUUGUUUUAAUCUGCCAAUAUAUUUCGUAACUAUUCAAAAUUCUGGCUCAUCCAUAUUAUUUUGAGUGUGUAGACAAUAAAAUUCGUUUAUAUAUUCAUUGACACUAUGAUUUCCUUACCUGCAGUUCUGAUAUUUAAAACUGCUGCCAGUAUUCUACUGGCAGGAAAUACUCUCUCAUCAUCCUUUGCAUUCCAGGCCACUAUUUGAUAAUUUUUUUUGCAACUUUUCUUUAAUUAUGUAUGUAUUGCCAUUAUGCAGAAGCUGGACAAGCUUAAUUCACUUCUCUUGAGGAAUCUCCAUAUACUCGAGAAAAUUAUCCACUUGUGAUAUCCAGUCUAAAAAUUUUUCAACAUGCAUCCCACCAAAAAAAUUCAGAAUAUUAACAUUAAUCUUGUAAUCUAAACUCUUUUUGGGCCCCUAUCAUCCUCCAUAUAUUUUUCUUCUUCUAAAUCGUUUCUUAGCUCCUUACGCACGUGUACUGGUAUUCAUCACGUAGGACCUAAAUUUUGAGGUACUACUUCAUGAUUGAUGCCUUGAGGUUUUAUUUCAUGACCGACCCCUUGAGGUAUCUCCAUGUAGUUGUAAUCUUCAGGUUGUACACCACGAUUGACUCUUUGAAGUUCUUCCUCGUGAUUAACUUUUUGUUGUUGACCUCUCUUUCUGUUUUUGUUCAAGGAAAACUUAAGACUCAUAAUUGUCUUGCUCUAUCACCACUAAUCCCGAGUUAUAAGCUUCCUCAAUUGCUUCCAAGGUUGCUUCUCGAGCCGCCCGUUUCACAGCCUCCACAGUCUUUGGCUACAUCCCUUUGUUAACAUGUAUGUGUCUAUAAUAAUGAUUUUGAUGAUAACAAACAAGAUUAAGAAUGAUUAAGUUUUUAAAAGCUCAAGUUAUUUUUCAUACAUUUUAAAUAAAUCAUUAUUUUCAUAUAAUAAAGGUUUUUUUUUCAAAGAAAACGUGAUUUCAUGAAAUUGGUUGUUUUUCAAGCUCAUGGUCUAAUUGAAAAAAUUUUGAGAACUUUGAAAUCAACAAGUAUUGCUUAAAAUUCUAAAAAUGGACUUGUUUGAAAAGUAUCAUAAAGUUUUGGGCCAUAGUACAAGUAUAUAAAAUUUUGGGGCAAAAAUAUAAUUUUAGAAAAUAGUUUCAUUGUAGCAGUCGCUGUAGCAAAUAGCUAGCUGUUUGGAAGAUAACAGCUAACUUACAUUGAACAGAAUUGAAGAUUAGUGUUUGUAUACUAACGGCAAACCGACUUCUUGAAAAUGGUAAAUCGACAUCUUCUUUGCAAGUUACUGGACGAUAAUGGCGAUCCGACAUUUCAAUAACGGUGAUCUGACAAUUUGAAAUUCUGUCUAAUGGUAACUUGCUCAAGUCAAAACGGCAAUCCAACUUCUAUUUAACGUUGAUCCAACUUCGAGUAAAUUAUCUCUAACGACUAUUCUUCAGCUCAAACUAUAAAAAGGCUCAUUUAAACACAAAUAAUAGUGAUUGCAACUACUAUCAAUGAGCCAUGUAGAUGCUGUGGUUCAAAACGAAAAUAGAAGAGUGUGGAGAUGUACCAGUAUUUAUGGCCAUCCAAAAUUGACCUAAAAGCACCAUACUUGAACUCUCUUGAAAAGGUUAGCAGCUCUCUCUUUUCACCCCUGGUGUUGCUUUGGAGACUUCAAUGAGAUUUUGUAUUUGCAUGAGAAAAAAAGAGGGAAUGAUAGAAACCGAAAUGUGAUAGCUGAUUUUAGAGAAGCUGUCCAAGCUUAGAAUUUGGUUGAUAUUGGGUAUCACGAGUAUCCUUAUACAUGGUUGAAUAGGAGAUUUGGCCCUCACCACAUAGAAGAGAGGCUAGAUAGAUUCCUGUGCAACAAGGAUUGGUGUGAUAAUUUUCAAGCGUCAACAACAAUUAAUCUGGUGAAUUGGGUUUCAGAUCACUACGCAGUUGUUUUUUAUUGUAAUGAGAGAGGUAGAAACAAAAGCUAGAGGAAACAACAUCCCACUCGAGAGCAUUACGAAGACACGUGGAGUCCCUAUAAAGACUGUAAGAGAAUAGUUAGUGAAGAAUGGGCUCACUAUGGAGAGAAAUCUUGGGAGAAUCUGGCGCAACAAUUCCAAAGGGUAGCUAAAAAUUCUUUAGCUCAGCUCAAGUUGUGGAGUAAAGAUGAGUUUGAAGGCAACCAAAAAAAAACAAGAAAAGCUUAUCAAACAGCUGGAGAACCUCAGACAGAGCAACGAUCAAAUGAGGGAAGGGCUGAAAUUAGAAGAAUUGAGAAUCAAAUUAAUAACAUGCUGAUUGAUAAAGAAGUCUAUUGGAAGUAAAGAUCAAGGGCUGAUUUGCUUAGAUAGGGAGAUAAAAACACCAAGUUCUUCCACUCCAAUGCUUCAGAUCGGGGGGUAGAAAACAAUCAAGGCCAAUGGACAGCGAAGCAGGAUGAAGUCGAGAGGGAGUUCUGCAAUUAGUUCCAAAGCUUAUUGACAUCAUCCAGCCCAACCUACAACCAAAUUUAAGCUGCCUUAGAGAAACUUCCAGCAAAGGUCACCCCAGAGAUAAACGCCUAUCUGGAAGAGCCUUUCAGUCUUGAGGAGAUUGUCAAAUCUCUAUCUCAGAUGCCGCCCACAAAAGCUCCAGGCCCUGAUGGACUUCCUGCUGCUUUUUUCCAAAAGCACUGGAAAUCAGUUCAUAAAGGAGUGGAAGAGACUUGUUUAUACAUCCUUAAUGAGCAAGGUAACCUCGCUCCUCUAAAUCAUACUUUCAUUGCUCUUAUUCCUAAGACAAACAAGCCAAGGAAAGUCUCUGAGUUUAGGCUAAUCAAUCUCUGCAAUGUAGUGUACAGAAUAGUUGCCAAAGUUAUUGCAAAUAGACUGAAACCAAUACUCUCCCAAAUUAUCUUCCCCACCCAGAAUGCCUUUAUUCCAAAUCGGAUAAUUACGGACAAUGUGAUAAUUGGCUAUGAAUGCAUGCAUAAGAUCAGAAGCAGUAGAGGGAAAAGAAAGGGUUUGGUAGCUCUAAAGUUGGAUAUGAGUAAGGCAUACGAUAGGAUUGAGUGGCCUUUUCUGAAGCUCACAAUGGCUAAGCUCGGCUUCUCUCAAAAGUGGGCAAAGUUGAUAAUGAACUACAUACAACAACAGCCACCUUCUCAGUCUUAAUCAACGGCAGUCCCAAAGGUUUUAUCCAACCUGAGAGAGGUCUGAGAUAGGGCUGUCCCCUUUCCUAUUAUUUAUUUAUUUUGUGUGCUGAGGUUUUCUCAAAUUUAUUGCUCCAAGCAGAGAAAAAUCAGCUGAUCAGGGGCUUGAGGUUUGCCAAAGAAGUCACAAUUUCUCACAUACUGUUUGCAUAUGAUAGCCUUAUCUUCUCAAGGGCUACAAAAUCCGAUUGCAGGCACUUGAAGAGAAUAUUUGACUGUUAUGCUAAAGCCUCUGGGCAGAUCUUUAAUUUUGAAAAGUCAUCUAUGGUGUUUAGUGGCAAAGUGCCGAACAACCAGAUUACAGCAAUCAAAGAUAUCCUCAACUUAAAGGUAGUCUUCAGCCAUGAAAAAUAUCUCGGCCUCCUAUCCAUGAUAGGCAGAAAGAAAACCAAUUUUUUCAAGGACAUCAAGCUGAAAAUCCUGAGUAAAAUUUCAAGCUGGUAUCACAAGAUGUUCUCAAGUGGUGGGAAUGAAACUCUUAUUAAAGCGGUAGCCCAAGCAGUCCCAGCCUAUGCCAUGAGCACAUUUAAGCUUCCAAAGAGCUUAUGUGAAGACAUACAAAGAGCCAUUGCAAAGUUCUGGUGGGGAUCUAAGGAGGAAAAACAAGGCAUCCAUUAGGCAAAAUAGAGCAGACUCAGCCGUGCAAAGAGUAGAGGGGGUAUGGGAUUUAGAGAUCUCUUCAGCUUUAAUCAAGCUUUGGUGGCCAAACAAGGCUAGAGGUUGAUGCAGUAUCCUAACUCUCUGGUUUCCAAAGUGCUGCAGGCACGAUAUUACAAAAACUCCACCUUCUUAAAUGCAAGCAUAUGAUCCAACCCAUCUUAUAUAUGGAGGAGUAUCAUAUGGGGGCGGCAAAUCAUCAAGGAAUGAGCUAGAUGGAGAAUAGGUAAUGGUAAAAAUAUUCGGAUUUACAAGAUUGCUGGAUUCCAAGACCAACCUCUUUCAAGCCGAUAUCUCUACCAAGCUUGUCUACAGAUGCUAUCGUGGCAGACUUGAUAAACGCAGAAAACCAAUGGGAUGUGGAAACAUUAAACCAGCACUUCAUGCCAUCAGAUGCCGAUUUGAUCUUGAAGAUCCAUUUGCCACAUAGGCAAUCCGAAGAUGAAUUAAUGUGGCAUUUUGAUAAGAAAUGAGAUUAUUCAGUGAAAAACGGCUACCAAAUAGCUUUAAAAAUAAAUCUUCCAGAAGAGCCUGGCUGCUCAGGAAGCAAUUCAAACCAAUGGAAAGGAAUAUGGUCUCUUGCUUUGUCCGAAAAGAUUAAAAUUUUCUUAUGGAGAGCUUCAAUAACCUGCUGCCAACAGCUGAGAAUUUGUGGAGGAGAAAAAUCAUUCAAGAUCCAAUUUUUCAAAGGUGCAGAAGGUCCAUUGAAUCAAUAAGUCAUGCGCUCCUAAUCUGUAAAUCAGCAAAGAAAAUCUGGAACCAUGCCCCUUUUCCAGUGAACAAACAUGAAUUUUAUUCCCAGGACAUCUUCACUAUCAUCCAGGACAUGAGCAUCAGAUUUAGGAAGGCUGAUAUAGAGCUAAUGGCAGCAUACUUGUGGGUUUCAUGGUAUGCAAGAAACAAGUUCUUGUUCGAUGGGAAGAACCUGAAGCCAAGCAUCUUAACAGCUAAGGCAUAAUCAACAGUGGAAGCAUACCAGAGGGUAAGGAAGAUAGGGCUUUCUCAUAUUAGCAAUACCAUCAACAAGAAGCAGGAAAGAUAGAUCCCCAUCCAGACAACUCUUUCAAAGUCAACGUUGAUGCAGCCAUAAACAGCAAGAACCAAACAGUGGGCAUAGGUGCAGUUAUCAGGGAUUCAAAAGGCAUUGUGAUAGUAGCAGGCAUCCAGUAGACCACGCUAAAAGGAGAAGUCAGCUUUGCCAAAGCAGAGGCUAUGAGGUGGGGUUUGCAGAUUGCAAAGGAAGCAGCCUUAUCGAAUCUAAUAGUUGAGACAGAUUGUCAAGAGGUGGCUGAGUUGGUUAACAACACAAAGGGCAGCAAAACUGAAAUUUUCUGGAUUGUGUCUGAUAUCCAAGACCAGAGAAAGUAUUUCCAGAAGACUACAGUGCAAUAUGUUCCUAGAUAUUGUAAUGCUUAUGCCCAUUCCUUAGCAAAAUUUGCGUUAGGAAGAAAAACAUCUGCGAUCUAGUUUUAUCCAUUACCAGCAGAGAUAAUGAAUGUAUUUGACAGUGUUGUUUGAAGUAAUGAAAGUCUUUACUUUCUUUUAAAAAAAAAAACUACUAUCAUUGAGCAAACUAUUGAGCAUACAACUUUCAUUGAGUUUUAAAUUCUUAUAUUCAUCUCAUUUACUAACAUUUUAAGAUUUCAUUUGUAAUCGAACACAAUGUGUGAGAGGGAUUUAUUUGUAAUCCCUUUUGUAAAAUUAAGUUGAGAGGUUAUAAGUAUUGGGAUACACUUGGGUUAAGAAAUUGGGGAUAAUCUCUUGUUGUAAAGGUCUAUUGGUAUCUUGGAAGUCAAUUGUAAAAAGUUAUUGAAGCCUUGGAGGCUUACUUAGUGAAAUCUUCAAGUCCGAUGAGCUUAGAGGCAUGGACAUAGGCACGGGUGGCCAAACCAAGUAAAAAUCACGUGUUUGCUCUCUCUUACCCUAUUUCCUUAUUUUUUAUUACACAUUAAUUUGUUUAUUUCAAAUUUGAUUGCCUUGUUUAAAUUGCAUUAAGUUUCUUAGUUGCUUAAAUUUUUUAGAAACUCAAUUCACCAUCCCUUUUGGGUUGUCUAGUUAGUAUUUCACCAUUGAUUAUCGUCUUCCGGGCAAUUGCUCCUAUGAUCGUGUGGUUGCACCAUAAUGAUAAGCGAACUUGCUUUGAUACUAAUUAAAGAUGCGGAAAUGUUUAAAUUUGAUUGAUAGAAGAAACAAAAGUUUCUAAAUGAUAAAAUUUAAAUGUCUGAAAUUAAUAAAAUUAGGGUUUUGGGCCCCUUUAUAUAAUAAUCCAAAAAAUUUUGAAUUUACCAAAUAGGUAAAUCUAAAAAAUUAUUUUAUAAUAAAAUUCUCCUAAUCUGAAUAAAAAAAUCUAAAACAAAUGGUGCCCAAAUCUAAGAUCUUAAAAAAAGAUAAAAAUCAUAAAAGAAAUAGAAAAAAAAAUAAGAAAAUAUCUUAAAACUAAAAAAACGACAAGGAAAGAAAUGGAUUUUUAGGCUCGAACACUGCCCAUGCAACAAUUCUAGUUUUGAUUCGUCUCGUCACAAGCUUCAAAAUAAUAUAUAAUAGGCCUAAUAUCUCAUUCGUCCUAUGCAUCCAUCCUACAUCAUAACAGCUUGAAGACUUGGGAGGGCCAACUUAAUUCAAAGUCAACACUAGCUUAUUACCUUGCGGGAUUUUUAAUUGUGAGGGGAAAAAACUGUUGAAAGAUGUUGGGUUUAAAGUUUAUAAAACUUUAAUUAUUUCAUAAAAUUGUUUUAUUUUUUAUUCGUCAUCACGUUGGGAUUAUCCCCAAUGGCCAAUUUUAUUUUCAUUUUUUUAUAGGUCAAUAAAUGCUACUAGAAAUUGAUUAUUACCUCUCUUUUUCUCAUUUAUUGAUGACUAUGAAGAAUUAGAUAAAACUCAUAAAUGACCUAAUAUAUAUAAUGAAUAUUUAGAUUUUGUUUCAUAUCCAUACGAUAUCUGGGAGUAUGACAUAGUCUCCAAAAAUAGCCAAAUAUUUCACAUCUAUCACAAGUGCUUUCUUGAAUAUUAUCUUGUGGCAGGUGUUUCAUCCUCAAUUUUUUUCCUUUUCUAUGGUUCUUAUAACCACCGUGAGGUCGACAAUAAUUUUUUUUUUCAUGACCUCAAUCUUAAUAAUAGCCAUGACCACAACCAUGACUACAUCUACGGGCAUAGUUAUGCCCACGACCAUGCCCAUUUUCAUCAUGAUCACAUAGACAACAUUUGCUCCAAGAACUUGUUUUGUAUCAAUAGGAUGGGCUUAAUAAUUGAAUAUUCUUUUCUACCAAAAGAAAGCAUGCAAUCAAAUCAGAAUAUUUUGUAUACCGACGAGCUCUAUAUUGUUGUUAUAGAACUGUAUUGGAAGGAUGAAAUUUUAUAAUUUUUUUUCAACAUAUCCCCAUCAGUAAUAUUUUCCCCACAUAGUUUUAAUUAUUUAGUAAUUUUGUACAAUGUAGAAUUAUAUGUGUUGGAGAAAAAUCAGUUUUUUAAAUUUUUAUAAAACAUUUUAAGAUCGCUCUCAUACAAUAUAUAAGAAUUUGUAAUCUAGAAAUCGUACCUUGAAAAUCCGAUUUGGCUUUUUCCACUGAAUUGAUUUAGGCUCCCAGAUCACGAUCCGUCACCACCACUCCUGUUAGAUCACGAUCCGUCACCACCACGCUUGUUAGAUCACGAACUGUUACCAAUGAUCUUCCAGGUUAUGAUUCAGGUUUGAUCUGCACUUGACGUGUGGGUGCCUUUAUCACUACCAAAGCAGCUAGCACGAGAAAAUUUUUCUCUCAACAAUAGAGAGAAAAAUCUUUUUCUCUGAUCUGUAUAAAGUAGCUGCUCCCCUUUUCUUUAGAGAAAAUAAACCUUUUUAUAUCUCCCUUUAGUGAAAACCCUAGACUCCAAAUAAUGAAAAUCAAAACUCACGUUACUUGCUUUUUCUAUAGGGGAUCCACCUUGUAAAAUAACAUAAGGCCCCUUACACACAAGCUAAUAAAAUAGAGCCUCCCACUAAAUGAUAUAUUUAGGUUUUUGACCCAAAUAACCAGUUAUCUUUUUUAUUAAUCCAGUAGUGGUGCAGUCAAUUAAAUGAGCUAACCAGGGGAUCAUUUGGGAACAUACAAUAGUGGCUAUAACAAUUAAGCAUGUAAUUAAAAUAGCCUAAUUUUUUAAUUCCAAAUCUACUCCACUAAAAGAUUGGAAUUGACCUCCAUAAUUGUAUACUCGAAUAAUAAUUCGUCCCAAGCCACAUUGAUUUCUUUACUGCACAAUCCUUUGUACCACAUCAUUAAUUAAAUCGAUAUCUCAACUGUCCAAUCAAUUUAAUUACAUCUUGUUCCUUAAUACUUACUGGUUUUCUCUAAUGAUCAUUUUCAACAUACUAAAUAUGUUGACACACUCUGGCUAGAGAAUUCUAUGAUCAAGUACCGAAAACCCAUCAAGAGAUAUGUUGUACAAAUUAUUGUUAAUUCAUAACUCCAAUCCUCAUAAUUGCUCCCACCAAGAUACCGGGUAAUCUUGACCACAAGUAUUUGUCGUGCCCAUUGGUAACUCAAAUGGAAUAACAAUUACAAUCAUGAAAUCGUAAUUAACUCAAGAUUAAGAUUACAGUAAAAUCAAUGCCUAUGAGAUUUAAUAAGUAUGACAGUUAUUACAAAGUUAAUUAAAUCUCAUAUGUGAUCAUGUUCAAUGUAGGCGUACUACAUCAAUAAAUUCAUACAUGAUUAAGACAAAUCAUUCAAUGAAUUCAUUACAGUCUAUACCUAAAUAAAGUGCCCAACUUUAUUUAUCAACUGCGAACUAAAUUUAUUUAAUCAUAAGAUAACUUGUAUUUAUGUCUUCUGUGAAUCCACAUAGUGAUCACAUAAAUACAUAUACUAUGAUUAAAUAGAUUUUAAUCAAAAUAUUAAUUUAAUUAAGAUAUUUGAAUAAAAUACCUCAUUUAUUUUAUUAAUUAGAAAAAUUAUUUAUUACAAUUAAAUAAACACAUAUGUUUUUAAAGAGCACAUUUUCCCAACAAUCUCCUAAUAGCUCUCAAAGCAUAUUUGGCAUCUCACGCAUGCCCAUGGAUUCUAAGUGCAAGUUAAAAGGUUUCCCAGGUAUGGCCUUAGUAAAAGGAUUUGCCAAGUUUUGCUCUGACGCAAUCUGAGUAACCUCCACAUCACCUCUCUGCACUAUAUCCCUUAUAAGAUGAUACUUCCUCUCAAUAUGUUUUGUUUCUUGUGGUUCCUUGGUUCCUUAGAUUGAGCUACUGUACCACUAUUAUCGCAAAGUAGUUUAAGGGGUGCAGUUAUAACAGGUACCACCUCAAGAUCUUGUAGGAACUUGCGGAGCCAUACAACUUCUUUUGCAGCUUCGGAUGCAGCCAUAUAUUCAGCUUCAGUUGUGGGGUCUGCGAUACAAGAUUGUUUCACACUCCUCCAACUAAUAGCUCCACUUCCCAAUGUAAACACAUAGCCGGAAGUUGAUUUUCUGGAAUCCUUAUCUGACAUAAAGUCAGAAUCAGUAUAACCCAUUGGAAUGAGUUCAUCACCAGAAUACACAAGCAUAUAAUUUUUAAUUCUUUUCAGAUACUUCAUUAUAUGCUUGACCGCAGACCAGUGUUUAGGUCCAGGAUUAGAUUGAUAUCUACUAACCAUCCUUAUUGCAAAACAAAUGUCUGGCCUAGUGCAAAGCAUGGCAUACAUGAGACUUCCCACAGCUUCUGCAUAGGGAGCUUGUCUCAUUUUCUCUAUCUCUUCAGAUGUUUUAGGUGAUUAAUCCUUAGAGAAUGUAAUUCCAUGUCUGAAUGGUAAUAAACCAGUCUUGGAAUUUUCCAUGCUAAAUCUAGCUAAUAUCUUAUCGAUAUAGACCGCUUGAGACAAGGCUAAAGUUUUAUUCUUCCGGUCUCGUACUAACUUGAUAUCAAGAAUAUAACUUGCCUCUCCUAGGUCUUUCAUAUCAAAUUGUUUUGCUAACCAACUCUUUGUUGUAGUCAAUACUCCUAUAUCAUUUCCAAUUAGGAGAAUAUCGUCUAUAUAAAGAAUUAGGAAGGCUACAUAUUUUUCUUGAAUCUUCUUGUACACACAUGGUUCAUCAAUGUUCUGAAUGAAUCCAAACGAUUUAAUCGCUUGAUCAAAUAUGAUGUUCCAUGACCGGGAUGCUUGCUUCAAUCUAUAAAUGGAUCUCUGCAACUUACAUACCAUGUGUUCUUGGCCUUUUUGUAUAAAUCCAUCUGGUUGCUGCAUAUAGAUGUUUUUUUCAAGAUGCCCGUUAAGAAAGGCAGUCUUGACAUCCAUUUGCCAAAUUUCAUAAUCUAGCACUGCAGCAAUAGAGAGCAGAAUCCUGAUGGAUUUAAGCAUAGCAACCGGAGAAAAAGUUUCCUCAUAAUCGAUUCCCUCUUUCUGAGUAAACCUUUUGGCUACCAAUCUUACUUUAAAUGUUUCCACCCUUCUGUCUACUUCUCUUUUUCUCUUGUAGAUCCACUUGCACCCUAUAGGUUUUACCCCAUUUGGUGCCUCAACAAGUUCCCAGACUUUAUUGGAAUACAUAGAUUCCAUUUCUUGAUUCAUGGCCUUUUUCCAAAAUUCAACAUCUCUAUCUAUUAGAGCUUCAUUGUAACUAGUGAGAUCUUGUACAUGUUCAUAUGAGAUAGCUGUAUAGGUUUCUCCCAAAAGUAUGUAUCUCAUAGGUAACCUAGUUACCCUCCCACUACGACGAGGUUCUAAAAGUGAUGGUUGUUCAGGGAUAAUCCUGUAUUGAUCAUCUGGUUGUUGAUGUUCUUCCUGUUCUGUAACAGGCGUUGAAAGCUGACCAUCAACUUGAUCACCUGACAGUUCUUCAAGUAUUACCUUACUCUUAGGUUUAAAGUUAUUCAUAUAGUCUUCCUCGAGGGAAGUGAAAUGUGUGCUCACGAUCACUUUCCUAUCUUGAUGACUAUAAAAUAAACCUCUCCUUGUUCCUUUGGGAUACCCCACAAACAUACAAAUCUCAGAACGUGAAUCCAUUUUGUCUGCCUUUGGUUUCAGUACAUGUGCUGGUGAUCCCUAAAUACGAACAUGUCGUAAACUUAGUUUGCGACCUGACCAUAAUUCUAUUAGGGUUUUAGGCACUAACUUAGAUGGAACUAAGUUCAAGAGGUAAACUGCAGUUUCUAGUGCUAGUCCCCAAAAAGAGAUUGGUAAUAACGAAUAACUAAGCAUAGAUCUCACCAUAUCCAAAAGAGUUCUAUUUCUUCUUUCAACUACCCCAUUUUGUUGUGGUGUUCCCGGGGCAAUCAACUGAGAUAUAAUCUCAUUUUCAACCAGAUACUCUUUGAAAUCUCCUGAGAGAAAUUCACCACCUCGAUCAAAUCGAAGUUUCUUUAUGUUCUUAUCUAAUUGCUUUUCUGUCUCAGCCUUAUACUCUUUGAAUUUCUCAAGAGCUUCAGACUUAUGAUGCAUCAGAUAAACAUAAUCGUAUCUCGAGUAAUCAUCAGUGAAAGUGAUGAAAUACUCAUAACCUCCUCGAACUUGUACAUUGAUUGGUCCAUAUACAUCUGUAUGAACUAAGUCAAGUGGUACUGUUGCACGUACUCCUUUGGCCGAGAAUGGCCUUUUGGUCAUUUUCCCUUCUAAAUAGGAUUCACAGAGUGGAAAUGAUUCAUUUUCUAAUGGACCCAAAAUCCCAUCUUUGAUCAUUCUCUGUAUCCUAUUUUGGUUUAUAUGACCCAAACGUAAAUGCCAGAGGUAACAUUGGUUGGAAGAAAUAUUUAUUUUCUUAGAUAAAUGUGUAUGCUCAUCAUUAUUUAUCACUGUGUCGUGCAUAGAAUGGAUCAUUGGACUUAAAUGAUAUAAAUUAUCUUCCAAUGUACCAGAACAAAUAAGUCUUUUAUUAUAAAAAAUAAAAACAGAGGAUCCAAAAUUUACAGUGUACCAUUGCUUUGACAAACAAGCUACUGAAAUUAAAUUCUUCUUUAUGUCUGGAACAUAAAGAAAAUUAUUCAAAAUUAAAGUCUCAUUAUUAAAAGAUAAUAAAACAGAUCCGGUCUUCACUGCUGACACGAACUAUCUUGUCCCUAACUGCAGCUUGACGCUUCCUUCACUUAUUUUCCUGGUUUCCUGAAACCAAUAAAGUGAAUUACAAAUAUGAUUAGUUGCUCCUGAAUCCAACACCCAAGUGUCAAUAGGAUUCUGAACUAAACAUGCCUCAAUUACAAAAAGAUUUCCCAUACCUGAUUUCACAAUCGUAGGGCAAUCCUUUUUCCAGUGACCUUUCUGUCCACACUUGAAGCAUUUGCCUUUUGGAAUUGACCUCCAUAAUUGUAUGCUCGAAUAAUAAUUCGUCCCAAGCCAUAUUGAUUUCUUUACUGCACAAUCAUUUGUACCACAUCAUUAAUUAAAUCGCUAUCUCAACUGUCCAAUCAAUUUAAUUACAUUUUGUUCCUUAAUACUUACUGGUUUUCUCUAAUGAUCAUUUUCAACAUACUAAAUAUGUUGCACACUCUGGCCAGAGAAUUCUAUGGUCAAGUGCCGAAAGUCCAUCAAUAGAUGUGUUGUACAAAUUCUAUAUUGUUAAUCCAUAACUCCAAUACUCAUAAUUGCUCCCACCAAGAUACCGGGUAAUCUUGACCACAAGUAUGUGUCGUGCCCAUUGGUAACUCAAAUGGAAUAACAAUUACAAUCAUGAAAUCAUAAUUAACUCAAGAUUAAGAUUACAGUAAAAUUAAUGCCUAUGAGAUUUAAUAAGUCUGACAGUUAUUACAAAGUUAAUUAAAUCUCAUAUGUGAUCCUAUUCAAUGUAGUCGUACUACAUCAAUAAAUUCAUACAUGAUUAAGACAAAUCAUUCACUGAAUUCAUUACAGUCUAUACCUAAAUAAAGUGCCCAACUUGAUUUAUCAACUGCGAGCUAAAUUUAUUUAAUCAUAAGAUAACUUGUAUUUAUGUCUUCUGUGAAUCCACAUGGUGAUCACAUAAAUACAUAUAAUAUGAUUAAAUGGAUUUUAGUCAAAAUAUUAAUUCAAUUAAGAUAUUUGAAUAAAAUACCUCAUUUAUUUUAUUAAUUAGAAAAAUUAUUUAUUACAAUUAAAUAAACACAUAUGCUUUUAAAGAGCACAUUUUCCCAACAAUAUGUUGGAUCAUAAACUUGAUCCAUACAACUUUGAAACGCAAAUGACUCUUGAUCUAGUUCAUGCAAGCUUCUUUGGGUAGUUAAGAUUUGGGGUGUUAAAUGUGGUAAUAUGGGAAGUAGAAUUUGUGGUGUUGAGUAUGUUGUUAGGUUUGGUUUGUGGUUAUGAUUUAUGUGGUAGUUAAGUCAACGUAUGGUUGUGAUUAAAUUGUAACAAGUAUAAAUAUCUACUCUCUCAGUUGGUUUAAGUAACAAGAAGUAGUAAAGCUUAUUAAUUGCAAAAGAGUCGUAAUUAAGGAGUUAUAUUGAGUUAAUAAGAAAAGAGUGUUUUGAGUGUUUGAUUAUUCAAAUUCUCUACUAUUAUGUUCAUGAACUGACUUAAAAUCCUACAACUUAAGGGCAUUCCAUUCAUUACAAGUAUUUGGAAGAAUUACUAACCUUAAAUUACUAUAUCUCUCAUCAAGCUAUUUCAUAUGACAUAUAUGUCCUUUAUAGGAAGAUAUCUUGUUUUGAGUGCUAGAUGGAGAUGGUGACAUUGAUAAAUCGUGGUCUUCUCUUGAUCUUGAAGAGAUGAGUCAUUAUUAUUUUUCAUUGUAUCACUAAGCAUCAAGAUAAAUUUCAGCAACAUCAAGUAUUUUUGGAAAUCCUUCUUGUUCUUGUUUUUUUAUUUCUUUUUUUUGUCAAGAUGACCAUUUUUUCCCCGAAUGUUAUCGAGGGCAAAUAAAGCAUAUAUGCUUAACAUUGAAUAUAUUUUUAUAAAUAAAAGCUAACACGAACGUUAUGCCAAAGAAUCUGUUUAUAGGUAAACUAGGCCCAUUUAGGAUAGUAGCGUUGCCGAACAAGGCUUUGAUUUGAUUACUGUAAGUAUAUACUAAAUAUUUUUAAUAGAAUUUUUGGUUGGGCUGAAUGGUUGAGUAAAAUAAUUCAAAUGGUUUAAGUAACGAUUUUUUUAAUAUUUUAAAGAGUGCACAUGUUUUUUUUUUUGAAAAGAAACUUCCAUUAAAUCGAAGAAGAGAAUAAAUACAUCAAUUGUGAAGGGUAAGAACCCAUCCAAACAACAUUUUCACAUUUCUCUAAUGCUAACUUAGAUAGAGAAUGGGCAAUGGCAUUACAAGAUCUAUGAGUAUAUUUAAUGCUAACUAGCUCAAAAUUCCUCAUUAAGUUUUGAAUCUUCAAAAUUAUCCAAAAGAUCUCAGAAUUGCCGCCUUGCUUGUUGUUAACUAACUUGACUACGCUUUGAGCGUCUGAUUCAACAAUUAAAGCCUUUGCACUUGCAUUCCUAGCAAUCUGUAAUCCCUAUUCCAAGGCUUCUGCUUCAGCAAAGGAAACAUCUCCAUGAAAUUUCCAAAUCUUGAUUGCAGCUGCUAUGACAUUCCCCCGAUCAUCUCGGAUUAUAGCUCCGAGCCCUGCAAGGUGCUUUUCUGAGUUUGUAGCAGCAUCCACAUUGACUUUAACAAAUCCACUUCGGGGGGGAUUCCAAAUUCACUAAGCCUGAACCUACUGAAUUUCAUUUUGAGCUUGCUCUGGUUUUUGAACUCUUUUGUAAGCCUCCAUUACUGCUUCAGCUUUAGCAACCAGAGCCUGGGGGUAAAGAGUGCACAUGUUAAAAUUUAAUAGAUUAGUGUACAAAAUAAUAGAAAAUGGAACUAUCGUACUCUUACUCCGAAACUGCAAUUAGAGUCAACAUUCCAGUAAUUUCUUUACACAGUACUAUAUUACAACAAGCAAUAAUAGAGCAAUAAUAGAGUAAUAAUAUAGUUACAAAUUCUUGUAUAAAUAUUUUUGUAUACAAAUUGAUGUAGCAUGAUUUAAUUGGUUGGAUUAAAUAUCUAUUAGUUUGAAUGAUUUGUUUUUAUUAUUUUCUAUUUUCACUUAACCAAUGAGUUAAUGUCAAAUUAAUUUAUGCAAAAUAAGUUUGUGUAAGAGUUUAUAACUAUAUCAACGCUCACAAUAAUAUUGCUAGAGGAGUUGACUAUUACUUUUCCCUGGAGGCAUAAUAAGUUUACAGCCAUAGGUUGUGACAAUUACGCAAUUAACCUGGAGAAUGUUAAUGAUUCAACUGUGCCUAUGUUUGCACUUGGGAUCCCACUCAGAAAAGUGGUUGCUACGAUUUCCUGUGCUCUAUUCCUCCAAGUAUUAGUAAAUUUUUCAAUGCAAAAUAUGAAUUUCUAUGAAGAAUCCGUUGGCAUUUCACAGAAGCCCAAUAACAAAUACAUCCUCAAAAUAUCCAUCAAAGAUAUUUCAACAAGCUAGUCAAGUAAUGGGACAGGGAAUGGCUCUGUUCCUCAGAAUGAAUUGACGUCCUGUCCAGUGUCCCCCGUUGGCUUCUCAUCACAGAGAUGAAAAUUGAAAUUAGGCCAAUUAGAUUAAAGGCAAGACGGAAUGGAAAUAUUGAACCGUUAAUUAUUAUAGCCAUGACCCCUCUAAUUAAUGGCCCUUUGCCUUUCAAUAUUAUUGUAGGUAUUUGCAAGGAAACCUCCUCUAUCUUUCUUCCAAUUAAGACUUCUUGUGUCCAAUUACUGUCGAUUCUUUUUGAACGUGUAAAGGAUAGCAUCUUGAAGACUUGAGAGGGCCAGCGUUUAUUCAAAGUCAAGUACAGGGACAGGAAAUGGCCCUGUUCCUGAAGUAUGAACUGACGUCCCGUCCGGUGUCCCCUUGCCUACUCAUCAUACAAACAAAAAUUGAAAUUAGGCCAUUUAGAAUAAAGAUAAGACGGAAUGGAAAUAUGGGAUCGUUAAUUAUUAUAGCUAUGACCCAUCUAAUUUGCAAAUGGUUCUUUCCCUUUCAAUAUUAUCGUACGUAUUUGCAAGGAAACCUCCUCUCCCUUUCUUCCAAUUAAGACUUCUUCUGUCCAAUUACUGUCAAUUCUUUUUGAACGUGUAGAGAGGAUAAUAACUUGAAGACUUGAGGGCGCCGGCGUUUAUUCAAAGUCAAGACUUAAUUAGCCUGCAGGACUCUUGAUGGUGAGGGGAAGAGAAAAAGAUGAAAGGCGCUGGGUAUAAGACAUAUAAAACUUCAAUUACUUCAUAAAAUUGUUUUAUUUUUCAUUCGUCGUCACGUUGGGGAUUACCGCAAAUGACCCAUUUUAUUUUCAUCUCUAUGUAGGUCAGUAGGGUCACUGGAAAUCAACUGUUGUCUCUUUUUUCUCACUUACUGAGGAAUUUGGACAAUUAAACAAAACACAUCAAUUACCUCAAAUAUAUGAUGAAUAUCUAGAUUUUUUCGAAUCCACAUGAAGUGUGGAAAUACGACAUUCUCUCCAAAAAUAACCAGAUAUUUCACAUCUAUUACAAAUAUUUUCUUGAAUAUUAUGUUGGCCAGAUAUUUUCUCCUCAUUUUUCUCUUUUCCAUCGAUAAUAAUUUUUUUCAUAACCUCAACCUUGAUAAAAGCCACGACCAUGGUUACAACUAUGUCCACAGUCAAUAAUAAUCUUGCUGAGAAAUUAUUUCUAAUUAAUUUUUUUGUGGUGCUUUUAAUGACACAACAUAAUAACCUUUUUUUAUCUUUAUUUUGUUCCCAAUAAAUCUCAAAACUCACAAAUUUGCACCAUUAUACAUAUGAUAUCUUUUUUCUUCCGUUUAUUAGCUUUAUAGAAUUUUGAUAUAAUACGUGCGUCGCACUCAUAACAUGUACGGCCUGGCGCAUUAGAUUAUUUUUCUAACUUUAUAUAAGUAAAGUAUCUCUCUUAGCGUACAAAUAUAAUUUGAUGCGACGUGGCGCACUGGUCGCACUAGAUGAGUGCUCUAACUUUGUUUAAGUAAAAGCGUCUCCCUUAUUGUGCAAGCAUAAUUUGUAGUGGUUCGGCCCCAAAAUGGCAAAAUUUAUCACUCCAUCGCCUCAAAUUUUAAAAUCCGCAACUAUUGGGCUGUGUGGCGGGCUCGCCAAAGUCACAACCCAACCUUUAUCAUGGGCCCUUUCCAAAGCUAACUUGCACUCUCCAUAUUCUUCCUCUAUUAAAUAAAACCGAAUAUGAUGCAUAUUAACAGACUCUCACCAUUCACGUAUUUUAUAAUGAAUCUCGCACCAAUUCUAAGUUUUCAUUUUUUUCCUACAAAGAAGAAACUUUGGAGUCUUAGGCCCCGUUUGGUACUGUUUUGCAAGUUAUGUUUUCGUUUUCAUUUUUAUAAUACACACAUAAAUCAUGUUUGGUGGAUUUAUUUCACAAAAUAAAUUACAAAACACAAAAUCCGGAUUCAAUAUUAUAACUAUACAACUGAAAACAAGUUAAACAUGUUCUCCAAAUUUUACAAACUAAAUCCAAAAAUGAAUUAAAAAACAACAAAAAAAUCGUGACCCUGCAGCCCUCACUUUUCUCUUCACUGCAGCCCUCACUCUCAAUCCAGUUCACUGCAGCUCCCUCUUUCCCCUCAAUUUUCUCAAUCUAGUUGCAGCAAAUCUCUCUCUUGGUCGCUCUUGGUGUGCUAGCCACUGCCGCAGCUCUUUCUCCGCCGUAACCGCUGCUGCUCCGACUCCGUCCAGCUGCUGCUACUUCGUCUUUGCUCUCUCGGAUCUGCACUUGCUCUCUUGGUUCUUUGCUCUCUCGGAUCUUCGUCUACUGCUACUUCGUUGUUGCUCACUCGGAUCUGCACUUGCCCAACCAUUGUUGCUCUCCCGGAUCUGUCACUUGCUGGUGGGCAGUUGAAGCAUGUUAUCGGAAGGCCAAUAUUUAAAACUGAUCAGAAAGAAGAUUGCAUUUCAAUGGCAGUUCUGUAUUCACCUCCAAGCAUCACUAGCAGCAGCAGCAGCAGCAUCACCUACAUUCCUGAGAAGGGAAAAACUAUUUCCCUUGGCCAACAAUUUAUGAUUGCAAUAUUUUUAACUCUUUUGUAUCACUUUUUGGUUUAUGUUUACAAAAAAUUCUGAUUCUGUCAAGAUUUUUAUUUUUUAUUUUUUCCUUUCAAUUGAUGAAAAUCACACACAUUCACGUCCAUCAAUCAUGAUCCACAUUGUCUAUUGCCCUUUUUUUUUUAAAAAAAAAGUAAAGCUUUCAUUAUCAUUUAGAAUAAAUUUGUAAACAUACUUUGCUCAUUAUAAAAUUAUUGUUAUUAAAUAAUUUAUUUUUUCAUUGUUUUAAAAUUAUUUUCAUUUUAUCAAUAGAAUUGAUUAUAUCAAAUAUUAGGAUUAAAAUAUAGUUAGGGUCCAUAAUUAAUAAAGACAUUUUAGUGGGGAUAAUAUAAGGAUCUUAAAGGAGUGUGAAAAGCAUUACUCUAAUUUUUUUAAAAGAAUAUAUACAGUAUAUGAAUAGGCAUAUAAAAUUAAAGCCAACACCAAAUACACAAUUAAAGCCCAAAUUAAAAAAAAAUGAAAAGACUCAAAUUCUCCACCAAUCCGCCUAAAAAGAUAAGAAAAUAAGGUCUUAAUCAAAAACACUACACUAGCAUACCAAAUAUCUGGGUGGGUAUUUCCGUGGUAAAUGAUUCCCAAAUCUUCAAGUUGUAAGCUGUCCGCAUUGAGUAACAAAUAACCAAGUUCAAAAAGCAAGUUCAGGCUUUUAGUUAUCAAUAUUAAUGCAAAAAGUCAUAGCAAUGCAACCUUUAUGCUGAUUACAUUACUGAAAUUGAGUGGGGGAUUAAUAGCAUGUACUGAAAAUUGUAUGUUAUAAUAUUGAAUCCGGAUUUUGUGUUUAUUAGCUAAAUAAUUAAUGUUAAUUCUUAAAAUUUAUUAUCGUGUAAUUUUUUUAUAUUAAAUUUGGUUAAAUUAUUUUGUUGUAUUUGUGUGUAUUAGGUAAAUAAUUAUUUUAUGACUAUAAAUAUAAUGUAAAUGAUUAGUAAAAACUGUUUUUAAAAAAAGCAUUACCAAACGCAUAUUCUCUGUUUUAAUCAUUUUCAACUGUGUCUACCAAACGCAUAUUACUGUUUUCAGUUUUAAAAUAUAGGAUACAGAAAAUGAUACCAGACGCAUAUUUAAAUUCGAAAUACAGUAACUGCAAAACACCAUUUUCAUUUUCGUUUUUAUUCUCAGAAAAUACAAAUUCAAAAACAAUACCAAACAGACCCUUAGUGACUGCCUAUUUUUUUUUCUUAUCUCGAGGAAAAGAAAAAUGCUAUAAUAACCUAUCAAAUUAUCCAUUAAACCUAUUUAUUAAAUAAAUCACCGAUUAAAAUUUAAAAAUUCAAAUUUUUAUCUAAACUUACGUAUUUCAUUUCAUCAAUAAAUAAAAUUGUGGACUUUUGCCUCUAGUGUCUUAUUUGGUAACAAUUUUUGACUCUAGAACCAAACAUGCAGAGUUUGAUGUUCAUUUUAUAAGGUAUAAAGUACUCAAUGGAGAAAUGGAAGUGGUAGAUAUAUACCAACAAAGCAUAAUAAGAUGGGAAACAUGUUGUGCGCAAAAUGCGGAAUCAAACGCACCGAAUAAUCACAGAAAGGACACAAGAAUUAUGUGGUUCAACAAUAUGCCUACGUCCACGGGAGUAAGAGAAAAAAUAAUUGUAUUAUUAACAAUUAUUUGAAUACAAAUUUGAGUAAAGAAACCUCACUUUCCCAGAACCCAAAUACACCCAAUACUCUCACACACACUCUACAAUUGCUCACACUCUCAGAACUCUCAAAAGCUUAGAAACUUAUAAGCUUAACAAAUUUUUAGGAUGCAAAAACCUCUAUGAAUGAAGCUCUAUUUAUAGUUAAGCUUCAUUGCAAAAAGUCUUAAAGUAGUUGGCAAAAGUCCUAUAAUUUGGUGCCGACUUGAAAAACAAAAGAAAUGCAUGUGGGUCACCUUUUCUUUUUCAACCAAUUUGAAUAAACUCACCAAAAAUCUUUGACUUUUUAACAAUUCUCCACCUCGUCAAAGAUUUGUCCAAAUAUGAGUCGACUACCAAUAAACCAUCAUUCUCAAAGUGAUCAUUCAAUAAGGAUCCAGAAUGGCUGUGUCGCUUUGACUGCCUACGUACCCAAAAUUUGGGAUCAAGCCAACCGUAGUUCAAAAUUCCCGAAUGACAUAACUUAAUACAAUCGAAGGAUUUGAAUUAGUUUUAAGCAAUGUUGAAACUUAACUCUAGAAACUACCUUCGUCAACAUAUCUGAUGGAUUAUCUUUGGUAUCGAUCUUUCUCAACAACACAACACCGCUCUCGAUAAUCUCCCUCACAUAAUGAUAUUUCACAUCUAUGUGCUUUGACCGAGCGUGAUAUGUUUGAUUAUUCGCAAGGAAUAUCGCACUUUGAUUAUCGCAGAAGACCGCAAUGUUCUCUUGGAUUAUUCCUAAUUCACCUAACAAGCUUUUCAACCAGAUAGCUUCUUUUACAGCUUCAGUUGCUACCAUAUACUCUGCUUCCGUAGUGGACAGAGCAAUUGUCGAUUGUAAAAUCGACCUCCAGCUAACCGGACCUCCAUCCAAUGUGAAUAAGUAGCCCGUUGUUGAUCUUCGCUUAUCUAGGUCUUCGGCGAAAUCAGAAUCACAAUACCCAACACAUUGUUGACCACAAUCCUUCUUGAACAAUAACCCAACAUCAACUGUCCCAUACAGAUAUCAGAGAAUCCACUUUACCACAAGCCAGUAAUUUUUACCCGAAUUGUGCAUGUAUCUACUAACUAUGCUCACUAAUUGAGAUAUAUCGGGCCUUGUGCAUACCAUAGCAUACAUAAGACUACUCACAACACUAGCAUAUGGAACACGAGCCAUGUAAUCACGCUCUUUUUGAGAUCUAGGAUAUGAAGAAGAGCUUAAUUUGAAAUGAGGAGCUAGAGGUGUACAUACUGGUUUAGUUUUGUCAUCCAUACCGAAUCUUUCUAGCACUUUUUUCAAAUAAGACUUUUAAGUCAACCAUACGCUCCCAUUCUUCUUGUCUCUACGAAUCUCCAUCCCAAGUAUUCUCUGUGCAUCACCCAAGUCUUUCAUCUCGAACUCAAAAGCCAGCUGCUUCUUUAAUCUUUCGAUCUCAUCUCUAUUCUUCGAAGCUAUAAGUAUAUUGUCGACAUAGAGUAACAAAUAGAUGAAAGCUCCAUCUAGUAGUUUUCUGAAGUAAACACAAUGAUCGUGUUCACUUCUGGUGAAUUUCUGCCCUUGUAUAAAUUGAUCAAAUCUUUUGUACCACUGCCUUGGCAAUUGCUUCAGUCCGUACAAAAAUUUAAUCAACUUACACAAAUGAUUCUCCUUUCCAGCAACUCUAAAACCACAAAGCUGAGUCAUAUAGAUUUCCUCCUCCAAAUCUCCAUGUAAGAACGUUGUCUUAACAUCUAAUUGAGCCAACUCUAACUCAUAUUCUGCAAUUAAGGCAAGUAGGAUACGAAUGCACGUAUGUUUUAUAAUUGGAGAGAAAACUUCAUUGUAGUCAAUACAUUCCUUUUGAGCAAAACCUUUUGCAAGGAGCCUUGCCUUGUAUUGAAGAGUUGAUUGAUUUAGAGAUCCUUGCUUCUUGGUGUAGACCCAUUUAUUGCCAAUACCCUUUUUCCCCUUUGGUAACUCCACAAGUUCCCAAGUCUGGUUUUGAUGGAGAGAUUUCAUCUCUUCUUCCACGGCUAACUUCCAUUGAUCACUUUCACUGCUGCAUAAUGCUUCACCGAAAGUGUUGGGGAUGUCAUCAUUAAUAACUGGAAGUGCAUAGGCUACUACCAUAUCUUUAAUAAGCCAUCCAGAUUUUUUUAUCUCUCUUUUUAGCCUCCUUGUUGCUAUAAAAUCAUCGUUUUCUACAUCAUCAAUUGUUUCUUCAUUUUGGGGGACAUCAGAAGAAAUAACCUCUUCUUCAACUCUAAGUGUCACCUCCAUAGUUGAACCAUUCUUUGAUGUAGAACUAACUGGUACAUAUGAAGUUACAUCAAACUCUACCUGCUGCAAUACCUCUUUGGUCUUGUUCUCCACUUGCUGAGAACUUGAAGCUUCAUCAAACGUGACAUCUCUACUACACACAAACUUUUUAUCUUCGAGAUCCCAAAGCUUGAAGCCCUUUACUCCAUCUUUGAAUCCCACAAAGAUAACUUUUCUAGCACGAGGAUCGAAUUUACCAUUUUUGACAUGAUAAUAAGUUGGACACUCGAAUAUACGAAGGGAAUCAUAGUUUUGUGCAUGUUUUCCAGACCACAUUUCCAUAGGAUUUUUACCUCCAAUUACAGCAGAAGGAAACCGGUUUAUUAAGUGACUUGCGUAGCUCACAGCUUCAGCCCAAAACUUUUUAUCUAAACCAGCAUUAGAUAACAUACACUGUACUUUCUCCAGCAAAGUACGAUUCAUACACUCAACCACACCGUUCUGUUGCGGAGUAUGUCUCACCGUGAAAUGUCUUUUAAUACCCUUAUUCUGGCAUACUUGCAAGAAUAGAUCAGAAGUAUAUUCACCCCCAUUAUCAGAUCGUAAUACUUUGAUCUUUCUAUCAGUUUGAGUCUCCACCAAUUUCUUCCAUUUCACAAAAAUCUCUAGAACCUCAUCCUUUGCUCGCAUGGUAUACACCCACACACGUCUAGAGAAAUCAUCAACAAAUGUAACAAAAUAAUAGUUUCCACCAAUUGAUGCAGUCUUGGUUGGUCCCCAUACAUCACUGUGAACAUAUUCAAAGAUCUCACGAGUAUCGUGAUUAGCCGUACCAAACUUGACCCUUAUUUUCUUGCCUACUACACCAUGCUCACAGAAAUUUAAUUUACAGGUUUUGGUACCUUUUAGAAGUUCAUACCUCAUCAGAGUUUUCAAAGACUUCUCUCAAGCAUGUCCUAGUAGAACAUGCCAUAACUUGGUGGUGUCACUGUGGGCCUCAGCAACAUUUGCUUCAUCAGUUGUACCUCCCUUCAAAUAGUACAAAUUGUGACGCCAAACUCCCUGCAGAAUGACUAUAGCCCUAUGUGCAAACUUCAUUGUGCCAUCUUCAAUAGUAACCUUGUAGCCUUUAGCUUCCAACGCACCCACAUAAAUUAGAUUUUUCUUUAAAGCUGGAACAAAUCUAAUCUCUUUAAGUUCUCUAAUCGUUCCAUCAAACAUUUUGAGCCGAAUUGUUCCUAUCCCCAUUGUACGACAAUGUUGAUCAUUCCUCAUCACAACAGCACCGGAUUCCAGAUUACGAAAAUCCGUAAACUAUUCUUUAAUAGGACACAAAUGAUAGGUUGCCCCAGUAUCAAGUAUCCACUCGCUCGAACUAGCCACGUAUGCUGCAGGAGUAAUAAUUAGUGAAUAAUCAAAGUCCUCAUCUUUUCGUGCCAUGUUUGUUGAUGCGGGUUUCUUCCCAUCUCUCUUUUGAGCUUUUGGACAAUUUUUCCUCCAAUGGCUUUUUUCAUGACAAAAGCCACACUCGUCUCGAGCUAUAUUUCUACUUCUCGAUUUAGAUCGAAAAUUCUUUCCACCAUGCUUAUUCUUUUUCUCCAUCGCCUAAUCUCUGCUCACCAAAGCUUCAGACGAUGCAUGUUCAUAAUUUUUAUCAUUAUUUCAAAUCUCUAAGUUAGUCAAUGCUGUGCAAACAUCUUUGAAGAUGAUCACACUUUUCCCAUAUAUCAAGGUAGUCACAAAAUGGCUAUAUUCCUCUGGUAGUGAGUGUAACAAAAUCAUAACCUUGACUUCAUCCUUAAUAUCUUCAUCAAGAUUCUUCAAAUCAGCAAGUAACUCUGGUAGUGUGUGAUGGUGCUAAGUCUUCACUUAGCCAGUCACUCAACAAUAUCUAGCGGAAGCAAAUAAAGUAACAAGCAUGCAAAGAUCCACAAUGGAGGUUUACGUAAGAGACUAAUUGAUGGUAUUCGAAGUCAGCAAAAAUAAAUACAUACUCUAAAUAAAUUGUGUAUAGUGAUUGAGUAGGGUCGUGUCCACAGAGAUUGGUAAUUAUUUAAAUCUUUUUAAAAUGAAAAAUGCAAAAUGGGGGAAUUGUUGACAAUAAUAAAAAUCAAAUUAAAAUAACAAGAAUGCAAAUUAAAAUUGUAAUUCAAAUUGGGAAAAGCUUUGGUUGAAGGAAUUAACUCAGCUUGAUUCGACUACUGAUCAUUGAUUCAAAUAUAAAUCAUUACUAUUAUGAAUAGACCAGUUAUAGCUACUGAGACCCUCUAAUAGCCAAUCUCUCCUUAACUAGUCGAUAACCAAGGUACGACCAUUGGUUAUUUCCCUAAUCAAUAGACAACCCUAGAUACGAUCAUAGGGUUUAAUCAAUUGACAGCCUGAAAAACCAGAGAGACCCAAAUCCUAAUCAACAAACGCAUACGAUGGUUCAUUUAAAUUAGAUUGUUUAUUCUCAUAACACAACGCACUGCUAUGCUAUUUUGUCACAAACAUUAAAAUCUUCAUACGAUGAAUCUUUUAAUUGACAAUAGAUUAAGUUGAUAAUUAAAUAGUGGCCAAUUAUCUAAUUAACAAACAUAAUCAUGACAAUAAUUUAGAGAAUGAACAAAUAUCCAAAAAGUAAUAAAACAAUUAAAGCAUAAGAAAGAUCUCACAGUAAUGAUGAAUCAAAGCUUUAUUAACCUUCAACCAGAAUAAUAGAUUUAGUUCUUCAUAGAGAGAAGAGAAAAAUUUAGAUCUAGAGUUUCUUUUUCUUCCCUCCUCUUGAAAAAUUCUCCUCCCCUUUGUUUUUCAUGUCUCCUUUCUCUUAUAGAGUUUUUCCAAAAAUAAAAUACUAAUAUCUAAAAUAUUAUCUAAAUAUUAAAUUCAAAAUUACAAAAAUAACCAAAAAGGUAAAACACGUUAAAAUAAAAACUGCAGGUCCUUAGUCGACAGCACGCGCCCAUGCCUUAUCAACAAAGUUCUUCUGAAGCUCAUAAUUUCUCUAGGAAAACAAUCAUCUUCAAACAUCAUCUUGUAGCUCAAUUUUAGCACCAAUCAAUAGAAUUGUACCUACAAAAAUAAAACAGAAGUAAAUCACUAUUAUUAAGUGCAAAACAUCGAUAUUAAAGGAAGUAAACAAUGCAAAAUUAGUGCAUAGAUUGCACUCUAACAAAUUCCCCCACACCAAGAUAAUGCUUGUCCUCAAGCAUAUAACUCAAGACUAAUCUCAAAUCUCCACUCAAUUCUCAUCUCAACUCAUCCAAAAACAAUCUUAAGCAAAUAUAUCUUAAGAAUUUAAGUCAAUCAACAUUCGAGAGACAAGGAUUUUAAAGCAUAGGAUCUCAUAAGCUAGUAUAAAAACAUUCAACCACCCAGAAAAUCCAUUCAAAAUUCAAGUGCAACAAGUUUUAAUAGCCCUCUCAUUGACUUCACUCCAUCUCAAAGUGUUUAGGGUAUCAUUUAUGCACUCCAAUCAAAUCAAAGAAUGCUAUUACCGUAAGCUUGCUCAUAUAUCACAUCUCAAUCCACAAAACAAGAAUUAAAUGCAAAAAUUUAAGGGUCUUAAAAAGGUUGUAACGGGGUUAAAUGGGUUGAAUGAAAAAUAAAGGUCUAUGAAAGAAAAAGAGGUCAAAAUGAGAAGAAUGAACUCAUUGAAUGAACCUUAUGAUAUCAAAAUGCUUAUUUCUACUCAAGUCGCCAAGAAUGUAAACACUUUUUUUUUCAUUCAUUUUUUUUUCAGUAAUGGUGAACCAAACAAAAGAAAUGAACCUUGCAUAAUUUAAUUCAAGCAUAAUGCUUGUUGAUCUAAUUGAGAAACUUUAAUUCAAGGUAGCAAGAGCAACAAAAUAUAUACAAAAUAUAUCCAAACAAUGAGUCCAAAAAUCUCCUUAAAUUGAGGCUCAAAAAGAAGGAAAAUGGGUAAGUAGUUGGAGAGAAUUAGAUGGGUAAAAAUAAUAAUAAUAAUAAAACAAGUGAAGAGAAUGCUUAAGGCUCAAACAAAGAUAACAAAUAAAGGUCUUCGGGUGGAGAAAAAGAAGAAAAAUGCGAAAAUAGAAAAAUGGAAAUUGGUUUGCCCUUAUCAUUUUAGUGCAUAAAAUCCCGUAAUGCAGCUUCAACAUGCAUAACAAAGCAAGUUCUAGCAUAAACAAACUAAGAUUGAUAUUCACAUAACAAAAAUAAUUAGAGCAAAGUGGUUGCUCAUAGGCUCAAAUCCUCACAAAGUUGGUAAAUUUGCCAUCAAAUCAUGUACACUCUUCAAAUGAAUCAACCAUCAAUAGUGGUGUAGAAUGAAAAGAAGAUAUGAGUGAUAUAUAAAAGGAAAGGUAAAAAGGAUAAGAAGCGAGAAAGAUAUAUGUAGUAAUAUAAAAAAUAAAAAUAGAUGUAAAUAAUUUGAAAUAGAUGGGAAAAGAGUAGUGAGAAAGAAAAGAAAAUUAAAAAUAAUAUAUGAAGCAUACUAACUCCAAAAUCAUUUAAGGAUGAACAGAGUGAAAAUAAUACUUUCAGACAUCAAUAUUGCAAAAAUCCCUCCCCCACACCAUGAACUCACAUUGUCCUCAAUGUAUGAUAAUCAAAGCUCACAUAAAGAAAUAAAGCGUAAGGAUACAAGAUUAAAGGCAAAACGUCCCUGAAUUGUGAGCUUUGAUCCACAUAACGUAUAUGGGCUUGGCGGAAAUGGUGGGAUAAAUCCCACACUCUCGAAGUAUGCGGCCAAAUUCUGCUCCAUCUUGUUCAGCUUGUGCUCCAUUUUCUCUAACUAAAUGCUCAAAGGUGGUGCAGAUGUAGAAGGAAUAGUUGGUGGGGCAGCAGUUUCGUCGUCAAACUUGUCAUCAGAGGUAGCACCACUCCUAGCAUAAAGCUUCUUUAGAAGUUGAGUGGGUCCUGGUUCAGUAAACUGAAAUCUCCCCUCCUUGAAUUCGACCACACCUGUUUUUUCAAACAAAGACAUAUCCAAAAAUUCCUUUUUGCAAGCAGGAUGUAAAUCAUUAUUGUUAGGAUCAAGCACACAUAAGUUUAUAGCUAACAGAGUAAUGUAUGGACCAAGAAAUAAAGUCCUAUACCUUUUAAGCACACUCUGAAAUUGAUCUGCUAACCAAAAACCUAGAUUAGGCCUCACAUAAUUUAACAUGCACCAGAUAAAAUAAAACUCAGUUUGAGAGAAAACUUCAGAGUAAUCUUUCUUUCAUAAAAAGUUAUAUGCUAAGAACCGAUGCACACAUUUCAAAAUAUGAUCACGUAAGAAAGAGCUCUUUGAUUUACUCGGGUCAUAGGCAUUGUGAUCAAAAGAUAAAUUACGCCAAAGACCAUAAGGCUCAAAAUUUUCUCUAAAAUCACAAGUUGUCCCUAAAGAUGCAUCAUUAGAAGAAUAAUCAUCAUCAAUGAAUCCUAAAGCUAGGUUAAAAUCUGUGAUAGAUUAUGAAAAAUUUCGUCCCAUUAACCUAAACUUUAUAACAUUCGGAGUAUGCAAAGUAAAAUUAUUUGGUAUAUUAAAUUGAAAAGUAGCAUAGAACUCCCUAAUCAACUCAACAUAACCGAAACAAUCAACAUCAACAAAAUUACGCAAACCAAUCUUAUCUAUCAAAGAAUUAAAAUUAUCUUUAACAUUCAAUUAUUCAAGAGUCGGGUAAUGAAUAUACUUAGCUGGAAGUAUUUUUCGCUUGGAAAUAUCUUUGUACUUUUCUUUCUUUUGUUGAGCCGUGAAUGUGAGGCACCCUCCGAGGUUGGAUUUAGCAAGUGGCAAAACACUCAUGCCUUUUCCAUGUUUCGAUCUUUGUCUCACGGCUCGGCGUGAAUUUGAAACUGUGUUCCAUGGGACCGUAGUGGGAGCAGCAGUCUUGGAUUUCUUUGCGACGGGUUUUGUUUUAGACGUUGAUGACUUGGAAGUUGAUGCUUUCCUCUUCGGCAUUGUUACAGUAAUUUCACUCACGGGUUUUGUUUGAAUGCGAAAAGCGGCGGUUCUUUGAACAGAGGAGAGUGAGGCUGUGCGAGUUGCUGGACGCGGCAAGGAUGUGCUGGAAACCGAUUGCAACGCGCUGGAAACACUGGUACAGUUGGUUGCUGGACUGGUUGUGCUGCUGGAGUGAGGAGAUGCGGCUGGUGCUGCGCUGCUGGUUGCUGGAGAUGCGGCUGCUGGAGUGAGGAGACGCGGCUGGGGACGCGAGACGUGGCUACUGACGGGAUGUUGGAUGCGGCUGCUGCUGGGAUGCCAGUCAUACGUUAGGGAUUAAAACCCUGAAAAAAAAACCUUUUUUCCGAUUAAUUUUUCAAAUAAAAUAAAAAAAAACCUUUUUUUUUCGAUUUUUUUGUAUCAAAUAAAAUAAAAAAAUAAAAUAUAUAAAAAAAACCUUUUUUAUUUUUUUAUUAUUGAAACUAAAAACUAAAAGAGACUUGAGACAUAAAAAAAAAUUCCAGAAGUACUUUUUUAAUAAGCAUAUGGGCAGCCCUUAAAACUAUUUUACUUUAAAAUCACAAAACUACUUAUUAGUAAAAACAUGGGCACGCCUAACCAAAAAUUUUCUUCUGGCCAAAAUAAGAAAAAACAUUAUUUAAACAAUCUGAAUCAAAAUUAAAACAAAUGAUAUAACAAAAAUCAAAAUAAAUAAAUCAUUUGGGUUGCCUUCCAAAAAGCGCAUUUGUUUUAUGUCUUUGGCUAGACACAUUCAUGCAUCAAUCUUCAUAAAUUGGACUCUCGAGAGCCACUUCCUCCACAAUAUACACCAAAAAACCUUUAUAAAAAGGUUUUAAGCGAUGUCCAUUAACCUUAAAAACUUUGUCAGAGGUUGGACUCCGAAUCUCAACUGCACCAUGAGGAAAAAUAUUAGUAACAAUAAAAGGUCCUACCCAACAAGAGCGUAAUUUACCAGGAAAAAGUUUAAGCUUAGAAUGAAAAAGAAGAACUUUUUGACCAACAAAGAACUCCUUUCUCAAAAUCAUUCUGUCAUGAAAUGUCUUCGUCUUUUCCUUGUAAAAUCGCGAACUCUCAUACGAUUUGUUUCGAAUCUCCUCCAACUCUUGCAGCUGCAACUUUCUCUGCUUUCCCGCUUCAUCCAUCCGCAUAUUGCAUUGUUUAACCGCCCAGUAUGCUCUGUGCUCAAGCUCUACAGGUAAAUGACAAGGAUUACCAAAUACUAAACGAUAAGGAGACAUACCUAUGAGAGUUUUGUACGUGGUGCGAUACACCCACAAUGCAUCAUCUAAUCGUAAGCUCCAAUCCUUUCGAUUUAGACCAACCGUCUUUUCAAGAAUAGACUUGAUUUCUUUGUUUGAUAUCUCAGCUUGUCCACUUGUUUGUGGAUGAUAGGCGGUAGUCACUCGGUGGGUAACAUGAUAUCUCUUAAACAAAGCCUCCACCACCCGAUUACAGAAAUGAGUGUCUCUAUCACUUAUCACUGCUCUCGGUACACCAAACCUGAGAAAAAUAUUAGACUCGACAAAAUCUACAACUUCAUCAUUGUUAGUCCGGGUGGCCUUAGCCUCUACCCACUUAGAAACGUAAUCCACUGCUAAAAGAAUGUAAGCAUUGCCAAAAGAUGAGAGAAAAGGUCCCAUAAAAUCAAUGCCCCACACAUCGAAUAUUUCACACACAAGAAUAAGGGUAAGUGGCAUUUGAUUCUUAUGACUUAAAUUGCCAGCCUUUUAACAAUUCUCACACGACUUACAAAACAUGUAUGAAUCAUAAAAUAAAGUAGGCCAAAAUAUACCACAUUCUAACACCUUAGAUGCUGUCCUUUUGGGACCAAAAUGACCACCACAUGCAUAUGAGUGACAAAACUGAAGAAUAAAAGUUAUUUCAAACUCAGAUACGCACCUUCUGAUGACUUGGUCAGAGCAAUGUUUCCACAAGUAAGGGUCAUCCCAAACAUAGUACUUAGCAUCGCUUUUAAUCUUAUCUUUUUGAGCCCUCGUCAGAUCACUAGGUAGAGUUCUUGUAACUAAGUAAUUGACAAUGUCAGCGUACCAAGGAACCAUACCUUGAGUUACAAAGAGAUGCUCAUUUGGAAAAUCAUCCUUCAAAGGUGUUACUUCUUCACUCGUGGUCAAUCUACUAAGGUGGUCUGCAACCAAGUUUUCUGCUCCUUUCUUGUCACGGAUCUCCAAGUUGAACUCUUGAAGUAGUAGGAUCUAGCGGACGAGUCUCGGUUUCGCUUCCUUCUUGGCGAGCAAAUAUUUGAGAGCUGCAUGGUCAGAAAAAAUAAUCACUUUAGUGCCCAAUAAAUAUGAACGGAAAUUUUCUAAAGCAAAAACCAUAGCCAAAAUUUCUUUUUCCGUUGUUGCGUAAUAUAUCACAUGAGCAGCUCUUCCAACCAUUUGUCGGAGAACAACACCAACAGCAUAGUUACUGGCGUCGCACAUUAUCUCACAAGGGAGGCUCCAGUCGGGUGGCUGUAUAAUUGGAGCUGAAGUCAAUAACUCCUUGAGCUUAUCAAAUACUACCUUGCAUGCUUCAUUAAAAUCAAACGUCACAUCUUUCUGAAGCAGCUUGCAUAGAGGCUGAGCUAUCUUCGAAAAAUCCUUGAUAAAACGUCGAUAGAAACUUGCGUGACCAAGGAAAAAACGAACUUCCCGCACACAUGUGGGAUAGGGUAAAGAUUUAAUAACAUUUAUCUUACCUUUAUCUAUCUCAAUUCUUCUAGCAGAGACUACAUGACUUAAAAUAAUGCCUUGAUCUACCAUAAAAUGACAUUUUUCAUAAUUCAAGAUAAGGUUUGUUUCAAUGCAUCUUUCAAGCACUUUCUUCAGAUUAUAGAGACAAUCAUCAAAAGAAUCAGCAUAGACAGUAAAAUCAUCCAUAAAUACCUCUAUAAUGUUCUCUACAUAGUCUAAAAAAAUACUGACCAUGCACCUCUGAAAAGUGGCGGGAGCGUUACAAAGACCCAAUGGCAUACGUCAGUAUGCAAAGGUUCCGAAAGGACAUGUAAAGGUAGUCUUCUUCUGAUCCUCAAGGGCAACUGGUAUCUGAUGAAAACCUGAAUAGCCAUCAAGACAACAAAAGUGAGAUUUUCUGCCAACCUUUCAAGCAUCUGAUGAAUAAAAGAAAUAGGAAAAUGAUCAUUCCUUGUGAGUGAAUUAAGCUUUCUAAAAUCAAUACAAACCCUCCACCCAUUCUGAACUCGGGUGGGUACUAACUCACCAUAAGAAUUCUCAACAAUUGUUAUAUCAGUUUUCUUCGGUACCACUUGUACCGAACUUACCCAUUUGCUAUCCGAAAUUGGAUAGAUUAUACCUGCAUUAAGAACUUUCAGAAUUUCUUUCUUCACUACUUCCAUCAUGAGUGGAUUCAAACGGCGUUGAGCUUGAAUCGAAGGUUUGGCAUCUUCCUCCAGCAGUAUUCUAUGCAUGCACGUGGAUGGACUUAUCCCUUUAAUAUCAGCAAUUGUCCACCCAAUAGCCUUUUUGUAAUCCUUCAACACUCUAAUAAGCUUUUCUUCCUCUAAAGUAUUAAGCUUUGAAGAGAUGAUCACCAGAAGUGUCUCACUAUCUCCUAGAAACAUGUACUUUAGAUGACUCGGCAGUGGUUUAAGCUCUAUUUUCGGUGCCUGCAAAAUAGAUGGAAGAAGUUUUACAUGAGAUAAAAGUAAUUCAAUAUAAGACAUAUGAUGAGUUAAAGUUCUCAAAGAAUUUAAUUCAUAAAUUGUCUCUUGCAAUACAGAAUUUAAAACAAACUCAUUUUCAUCAUUUUGCAAUCCUUUGAGGCCUAAACUGUUAUUUAAAGCAGCUAUCAAUGAAUCUUCAACAUCCAAAUAAAAAACUUCCUGCACUAUAGGGUUAAUAACAUCCACAGAAAAUACCGAAUGUUCCUCACGAGGAUAUUUCAUGGCAUAAUUCAUAUUGAACUCUAUAACCUCUCUAUCAAACUCCAUAGUGAGAGUGCCUUUAUGUACAUCCAUUUUAGUCCUAGCAGUCUUAAGAAAAGGUCUUCCUAGCAAAAUUAGGACAUAAUUAGAAGAGUUAUCCUCUUCCAUAUCAAGUACAUAAAAAUCAGUAGGAAAAACCAACUCAUUAACUUGUACUAAGACAUCUUCUAAUACCCCAUCAUGAUAUGCAUUAGACUUAUUAGCUAGUUGAAUUAUCACGCCAGUUUCUUUUAAUGGACCAACAUUCAAAGAUGAAUAAAUAGAAUGAGACAUGACAUUAAUAGAAGCUCCUAGAUCUAACAUAGCCUUUUCAACUCUAACACUACCAAUUUUGCAAGGGAUAGUAAACAUACCUAGAUCCUUGCACUUAGGAGGUAGUUUCUUUUGGAGAACUGCUGAAACAUUCUCCCCCAUGUGAACUCUUUCAUCUCCUCUUAAUUUUCUCUUGGAGGUGCACAGCUCCUUAAGGAAUUUAGCAUAUCGAGGUAUUUUUUUAUAGCAUCUAAUAAAGGAAUAUUUACCUCAACCUUGCGAAAUGUCUCAAGAAUGUCUUUCUCUUGUUCCUCCUUCUUGGAUUUUGCAAACUGGCUUGGAAAAAGAAGAGGUAUCACCACAAGUAGGGGUUUUGCUCUGGUGGGUUGAGCAUCUUGAGAUUUAGGCAUCAAUUCAUUCUUCUCAAGCUCAUCUUCUACAUGCUUUGUCACUUUCUUACUAGGCUCUUGCAACUCCUUCCCACUUUUAAGGAUGACAGCACUAGCGUUUUGCUUUGGAUUCACCUAAGAUUGUGAAGGCAAUCUCCCUGAUGCUUGAGACUCCAGGCGGCUUAUUGUAGUCGCCAAUUGACUAAUUUGGUUCUCCAAAUUCUAAAUGCUUGUUGUAGUUGCCUGAUAAAAUUGUUGAGUAUUAGUCCAAGUGAUUUAAUAAUUUCUUCAAGAGAUAUACCUGACUUGGAGUUUGACUGUGGAGGGGCUGGUUGUCUUGGUGAGUAUUGUUGUGGGAAUCCUGAUGGUCUAACUCCAUAGCUGAAGUUGGGAUGAUCCUUCCAUCCCGGAUUGUAUGUUUGUGCAUAAGGAUCAUACCUCCUCUGAGGCAUGCCUGGAAAUCCUCCAACUACAUUGGCUUGUUCAACGAGUUCUUCUUGAAGUGUCGGACACAUAUCAGUUGAAUGACCAUAUUAGAACAAAUGCCACAAGUCUUCACCUGUUGCACAUUACCUACAAUAAACUUUUUCACAAGAGAAGUAAGUUUAUCUAAACGUUGUUCAAUAGAAGAAAUAUUUACCUCAUUCACCUUCCUUAAAGUGGGAUCUUGCAUGCUGCCAAACUGUUGUGCAUUGGCAGCCAUAUUUAAGAUCAACUCCCUUACUUGAGUAGGGGUCUUGUUCACCAAUACACCUCCACUAGCAGCAUCUAUCAUACUCCUAUCCAUCAAUGACAGUCCUUCGUAAAAGUAUUGAAUAAGAAGUUGAUAAAAAAUCUGAUGCUGAGGACAACUAGCACACAAUUGUUUGAAUCGCUCCCAAUACUCAUACAAAGUCUCCCUAGGAAGUUGUCUGAUCCUAAAAAUAUCUUUUCUGAUGUUAGCAGCUCUUGAAGCAGAAAAGUACUUCUUAAGGAACUGCUUCUUCAAACCAUUCCACAUUGUAAUCGAUCCAGGAGGCAAGUAGUACAACCAGUCUUUAGCUAGCCCAUCUAAAAAGAAAGGAAAAUCACGCAGCUUAAUCUGCUCUUCAGUCACGCCUUGUGGCCUCAUACUUGAAUAGACAACAUGAAACUCCUUGAGAUGUUUAUGAGAAUCUUCACCGGCAAAACCAUGAAACUUGGGUAACAAAUGAAUAAGACCAGACUUUAAUUCAAAAUUUACCUCCAAGUCUACAUAUUGAAUGCAGAGUGGUUGCUGAUUCAAGUUUGGUUCAGCUAACUCUCUAAGAGUUCUUUCUACAAGUGUAACUCUAUCCAUCACUUGUUCUUCUGAAUCGCUAGAUGAUUCAACCAAAUCAGGCACCGUAUCUGUUUCAUAAAGCAAAGGCGACGAGGAUUGUUACUUAGCUCACUUCGUCUGCUGUCUCAGCUGGUGAGCUGUCUUCUUAAUUUCAGGAUCAAACGAAAGUGUACCUGUACGAGAAGUACGAACCAUACACCAAGUAAAACGUAAAAAGGAUUAAAUAAACGACACCAAUCCCCGGCAACGGCGCCAAAAUUUGAUGGUUGUCGAAGCCUGCAAAAAUAAAUAACUACUCUAAAUAAAUUGUGUAUAGUGAUUGAGCAGGGUCGUGUCCACAGAGAUUGAUAAUUAUUUAAAUCCUUUUAAAAUGAAAAAUGCAAAAUGGGGGAAUUGUUGACAAUAAUAAAAAUCAAAUUAAAAUAACAAGAAUGCAAAUUAAAAUUGUAAUUCAAAUUGGGAAAAGCUCUAGUUGAAGGAAUUAACUCAGCUUGAUUCGACUACUGAUCAUUGAUUCAAAUAUAAAUCAUUACUACUUAUGAAUAGACCGGUUAUAGCUACUGAGACCCUCUAAUAGCCAAUCUCUCCUUAACUAGUUGAUAGCCAAGGUACGACCAUUGGUUAUUUCCCUAAUCAAUAGACAACCCUAGAUACGAUCAUAGGGUUUAAUCAAUUGACAGUCUGAAAAACCAGAGAGACCCAAAUCUUAAUCAACAAACGCAUACGAUGAUUCAUUUAAAUUAGAUUAUUUAUUCUCAUAACACAACGCACUGCUAUGCUAUUUGUCACAAACAUUAAAAUCUUCAUACGAUGAAUCUUUUAAUUGACAAUAGAUUAAGCUGAUAAUUAAAUAGUGGCCAAUUAUCUAAUUAACAAACAUAAUCAUGACAAUAAUUUAGAGAAUAAACAAAUACCCAAAAAGUAAUAAAACAAUUAAAGCAUAAGAAAGAUCUCACAGUAAUGAUGAAUCAAAGCUUUAUUAACCUUCAACCAGAAUAAUAAGUUUAGUUCUUCAUAGAGAGAAGAGAAAAAUUUAGAUCUAGGGUUUCUUUUUCUUUCCUCCUCUAGAAAAAUUCUCAUCCCCUUUGUGUUUCAUGUCUCCUUUCUCUUAUAGAGUUUUUCCAAAAAUAAAAUACUAAUAUCUAAAAUAUUAUCUAAAUAUUAAAUUCAAAAUUACAAAAAUAACCAAAAAGGUAAAACACGUUAAAAUAAAAACUGCAGGUCCUUAGUCGACAGCACGCGUCCAUGCCUUAUCAACAAAGUUCUUCUGAAGCUCAUAAUUUCUCCAGGAAAACAAUCAUCCUCAAACAUCAUCUUAUAGCUUAAUUUUAGCACCAAUCAAUAGAAUUGCACCUACAAAAAUAAAAUACAAGUAAAUCACUAUUAUUAAGUGCAAAACAUUGAUAUUAAAGGAAGUAAACAAUGCAAAAGUAGUGCAUAGAUUGCACUCUAACACUAAUUCCACCAACAACAAAGAACUAAAACCACAAGGAUUAAAAUACACAAAAAUACACACAUUUGCUUUUUACGGAGGUCCCAACAGUGAAUUUUCUAUUUCUGUAAAUUUGAAAAGAUAACAAAUAACUCAGGGUUUUGCAUGCUCAAGGACACCACUCUAUUUACCAAAACUCAGGAUCCCCAAAACAUACUUUCCCAUCACUAUAUAUAAGGCGAGGAGGCACACUGCCCUCGUUCCAUCUCAAUUAUUUCUUCUAAUGUUUAGGCACUACUAAGCAUGUUGUGAGGAAGCACAUCUCCACUCCCCCUUGAGUAAAACAACCGCUACCCACUUAGCCUAGAAGUAAGGAUGUCAUGGAGUGUAACCGUCGCUGCCCACCUUUCUUGAUGAGUAACCGUCACAGCCUACUUCCUUUGCCCCCAUUUUCUAGGCAUGUUAUCCAAGGUCAUGCUCUCUCAUUAGUUACACCCACAACUACCUACUUCAUGCUUAAUUUUAGGUCUCAUUUUUAUUUAUAGCCAAUAAGCUCCACAUUCAACUGCCAUUGUUUGCACACAGAGUGCGUGCAAACGCCUCUUAUCUUUGCAUAGUUUGGCCCCUGUGCAUUCCCUAUUGUGAUACGCUACCUCUACAUACGUUUGCGCUACUGCCACGCGUCAUCCCGUGCGUCCUUUGGGCCCUAUGCGUCCUGCGGUCCUGCACCAUAUGCGUCCUACGUUCACGACCUACACGUCCACACACUUAUGAGAUGUUGCGUGCGUUGUCGAUGGCUUCAAACCCGACAUAAAUUUGAAGAGCUUGUCCUCAUCUAACUCGUUCUUAAUGUACAACAUUAGUGAACUGAAUUCCUUAAUGUAAUACCUCAUUAAUUCAUUAUGCCUUAGCUUUUUCUUCAAGCUUUCUCUCGCGAGCCAGCUAGUAUAUCCUGGUAGGAACUGACCCUUUAGUUUUCAUUUGAGUUUGUCCUAUAUUUCUAUUGCUGAUCACUGCACUUCAACAUCUUCUUAAAGUCUGCUCCAUAUCCCACAUAAAACUCUUCAACUCUUUGGCAUUCCGAGUCCCAUUAUAAGUCUUAGGUUUGGGCACCUUAACUUUCAAAAGUCCAUCCUUCGAACGAGAAGUGUUGUUUGCUGCCCGCUUCAACAACCCAACUUCCGUUUCGAGAUCCCCAAUGUCAACUUUCAGCACCUUCGCUAAUGCAGCAACAUCCUUAUCAUCUUAUUUAGCUUGUCCAAAAACUCAUUCACAAACUCUGUGCAAGUUAGUCUCACACUUGGUAUCUUGAUGGAGUUGAUUUCUUUGUUCUCAGCCAAACUCUCCAAGUCAGGUUGUAAAAUACCUACAAUUGCCUCCAAGUGCACUGACUUGUCCUUUGUUGAUGGCCUCAUCAUUUUGGUUUCUGUCAUUGUUAAUUUCUCCGAAAUUAUACAACUUUACUAUUGCACCGUAGCUUCCCUAAAACCACACAAUCAGCUGUUUGCAAACUAAUUUUAAUUGAAGCUUGCAAUCAAUUGCCACCUACAACAAGUUAUAAUCGUGCUUUGUAACUGAAUUCUGCAAACCCAACUAUGCCUUCUAAUAUUAGUUUCUUCUCAAAAUGAAGCAACCUUUUCUUUGAUACUAGUUGUCACCGAGACUUAUCUUAAGGAUGUGGCAACCCCACGUGAUGGUGUUAAGUCUCUGUUUAGCCAGCCACUCAACAAUGCUAACGAAAGCAAAUAAAGCAACAAGCAUGCAAAGACUCAUAAUGGAGGUCUUACAUGAAAGAUUGAUUCCACCAACAAAAGGAAACUAAAAUAGCGAGUAUUAAAGUUCACAAAAAUGCAUACUAUUUGCUUUUUACGAAGGUCCCAACCCCUAAAUUUUCUAUUUCUGCAAAUAAGAAAAGAUUACAAAUAGCUCAAGGGUUUUGUAUGCUCAACAACACUACUCUCUCUACCAAGACCUGGGAUCGCCAAGACAUACAUUCCCAUCACUAUAUAUACUAGUUUGCAAAUGACGCCCCCGUUUGCUAAGGCAAGGUGGAGCACAACCCUCGCACUACCUCAAUUCUUCUCCUAAAGUUUAGGCAUCAUUAAACAUGUUGUGAGGAAGCACAUCUCUACUCCCUCUCGAAUAAAGCAACCACUACUCGCUUAGCCUAGUUGUAAGGAUAUUAUAGAGUGUAACCAGCAGUGCCCACCUCUCUUGAUAAGUAACCACCACUGCCUACUUCUUUUACCCCUAUUUUCUACGCAUGUGAUCCAAGGCCAUGUUCUCCCAUUAGUUGCACCCACAACUACCCACUUCAUGUUUGAUUUUAGGUCCUACUUUCGAAGAAUUUGUAGCUAACAUGCUCUGCAUUCAACCACCACUGUCCCCACACAGUGAGUGCGCGAACGCCUCUUAUCUUCGCAUAGUUUGGCCCCCGUAUAUGUCCCACUGUGCUGCAAGUUUGUACGCAACCCCCGCAUGCAUUUGCGCUACUGCCUCGCGCCAUCCUGCAUUCUACCCACAUGGCCUGUGCGUGUCCUAUACGUCCCGCACGCCCCAUGCAUCCCCUGCCCGCAUGCCCCAUGCUUCCAGUGCUCGCACACCUGCAUUUCCAUGCGCUUAUGAGAUAUUGUGUGCAUUGCCACUGCAUGCCCUUGCGCACGCUUUCUCACUCUCUCUGUGCUUUUCCUUUAGCUUACGCUUGUUACCGUGCCCCAAUCUACGCAUUAGCCUUGCCUUACUUUCGUGUUUGCCUAGGAGCAUGCUCAUGUUGCUUCCACGCUUGGCAUAAGGCGACAAGCCAAGCCUAGGCAUUUGGUCAUCAUGACUCACGACAACGACACUCACCUACUAUACAAUGCAAAACCAAACAAACAAGUUACACCUCUCUAGUCACUAGUCUUGACGUACAAGUCUUUCAAUUCAUGUCUCAACUCUCCCUCAAACACUCCAUUCCAUACGUCAGUGUGUUUGAAAAAUAUGAGUUAUUUAAUGUUGUAUGAUAUUAAUUGGUUUUAUUAUUAAUUAUCAACUUAUUAUUUUUGCAAUUUGUUAUGACACAUAAAAGAUCAUAUUAUUCAAUAUCUCAAUUGAAUAUAUGAAGUGAGUAAGUAUAAUAUUACUCUUUCCAUAAUUGAUAAGUAAGGAUGGCAAAAAGACCAGACCCCGUCCUUGUCUGAUUAACCUAAUUUAAUUUUUAGGAUCUUUAAUUGAAUUUAAAGGGUCAAGGAUUAGGUUUCGGCCCGAUUACAUUCAAGUCUAGGUUAGGACUUUACUAAAAAUUCCUAACUCAACCUUUGACCCUUCAAUUAAUUUUCAAAAUUAAAAAAUAUAAUACUUAAAAAUUAAAGCACAUACACUACAAAUAUGGUCAGAACUCACUCCUCAAAUUAAUAGUAUUUUGUAUUCGAUUUAUUUACUUGUUAAUUUGGUUAGAUUUUUACAUGUUGUAUUUUCGUUAAAGCUAAAUAAAAAGUUAAUUUAUUAAAUUCCUUACAACCAAAUUUAUCAUAAAAUGGAACAAUAAUAGUACAAUAUAAUUAAUAAAGAAUGAAGAGUUGGAGUCUUACUCUAAAAAAGUAUCUAAAAAUUAAAAAGGUUAUUGCAAGGUGCGGAUAAAGCCCAAGGCUGAACCUGACCUGAAAAAGGUUGACCCUGGCCCAACCCUCAGUUUUGAGGAUCAAACUUUUGAAAACUAAGACCCUUUAUUUUUAAUCAUAGGGGCAAGGCUAGGGGUUGGCCAAGCUUGAGCUCAACUAGAUCGAUUGCCAAACUUAUUGAUAAGAAAAUAAUUAAUAGAGUUGUGAUAUUUGACCCUUCGUUGUAUCUCACCAGCCCCCACUAAUUACUUUUAUAUAAUAUUAUUUUAUCUUUGUAUGAAAUAAUUUAAAAGGGUAAAUGACUUUUAAGUGCACCCACAUGAUAAUUUUCAUUAAUAUAUAAUUUAAGUAAUCUAUUUUCUUAAACCUUAAUUUCUUUAAAUUUUUUAAAUUAUUAUUUCUUCUUAAAUAUUGUAUACUUUACUUUUGGAAGAAAUUAAUUUAUAGCACUCAAUAGAAGAUGAUGAAGAAAUAUUUUUUUUUAUGGUUAUGGUAAUGAUGGAUAAAUCUUUAAAGAGAGAGAGAGAGAAAGAGAAAGAGAUUAUAGUGAUUUUGAGAUUUUGAGAUUUUUUUUUCUUUUUGAAGUAGAUUUUAUAAAUUUCAUUCGGUGGGUGCUUGGAAAAAAAGAUAAAAAAAUCAUAAUAAAGAUAAAUUUGCGAUUCAAUGGAGUAAUAGACAAAAAUUAGUUUAAAAUUUUUAAUAACGUUAACUGAAAAGGGAUUGGUAAAAGGGUCAGGCUACAGUGCAACGGGUGGUACCGUGCCACAGUUUCACCAGCCGUUGGGUUCACUCAAAUGCGUGGGGUCUACUUGAAUAAGUGGGAAUCCAACGGUUGGGUGCAACUGUGGCACGGUACCACAGUUGCACCACAAUUUUAUCCUUGGUAAAAUAUAAUAAGAGGGUCAAAUCUACCACUCUAAUUAGUAUCGUUUUACUCAAAAGUUUUGCUUAAAAGUUUUACUUAUAAAUUUUGGAUUUUGACCAGCUUUAAAUAUAAAAAAAAAAUUGAGAAAAAGUUACUUUAAAAUAUCCAUACAUCAUCCCAAAAAGUUGUACCCAAAAAAAAAAAAAGGCCCAUUCUGGUUAAAUUCAAAAUUAAAAACCCGGCCCGUUUCCCCACUUAAGACCCUCCUAGCAGUUUUAAAAUUUUUUCCCAGCGAAGAAUAGAAGUGAUGGCAGCUGCUCUAGCUUCCGACGCAUCGCAAUGGGAAUUUAGCUGGUUUUAAUUCUCUCUCUUAGCUAUUUCUGUUUCUUUAUUUAACAUUGUGAUAUAUAUUUAUUAUGCUAGAGGUUCUACUAAGUCUCCCUUUACUGGGACUUUUCUCAUCUUGGGAAAUGUUAAUUUUGCCUUAUUUAUUCAAUAUUGUUAUCUUCCACUGUCAAUAAAUUUUAUGCUUUGGUUGGUUAUUCAAUGUGGGUUUGUUCCAUUUUGUUCUUACGCUGUUUGUAUAAAUAUUGAAGGUUUGUUUUUGAAGAUGGCUUUCAGUUAAUUGCCUUCAAAGCUUUAUUUCCUAAAAGAGGAAAGAAAAAUAUACCAAAAUGUUUAAUUUCUACUGCUAUAUGUUUGCGUUUUUAGCUUCUGCUAUGCUUUGUAUUGUGUUGUUUGUGUUGGUAUUAAUGCUAGAAAGAUGUUUUCUUUUCUAAUCUGAUUGCCUAGAAUGAAUAUGAGGUGGUUAUUGAGUUGCAAUAUAUCAAAUCAAUUGAAGUCAUCUGCUUCGUAGGUUUUGAUUCUAUAAAUUGUUUUCAUUUCAGUUACGACACAAUUGCAUGGGUGUUCGAGGAAAUCUAGUACUUCAAAAUAGUAUUGAUUAUUUGAGAAACCAAUAAACUCCCAAAAUACAAUUUACAAGUUGCGAAAAUAAUAGUACUCAAGACACUCUUUUAUUGAAGGAAAAUUAUCAGUCAUAUAUUUUUAAAUGACACCUGUAUCAAAUAUGUGUGAACAUUUUUCAAGUGUAUAACUCGUAUAUCCUAAGUUGAUAAAACACUUCUGCCGUCCACUAAUCCAUUAACUUCUGUUAGAAAAUGAAUAGAAUUAUGGUAAAUUGACUAUUUCGCCCUUGAAACUCAAAAUGAGGUAAAAAAAAAAUUUACCCCAAAAAUUAACAUAAAUUUUUAAUACACAUUUUUUUUUAUUUUGUUAUUAACAAUACAUUUUUUUGAUUAAAAAAAUGAAUUAUUAAUGGUACAUAUUAUUAACAAUUAUCCGUCAAAAUAUCUAUAUUAUACCAUAAAAAUUAUUAACAACAUAUAAUUUACAAUUAUACAUAUUAUACCAUAAAAAAUUCCAGUUGGAGCUUGGAGGAGUAGAUCUUCAAAAAUUUAGAUUAAAUUUUGGAGUAGAUUCGGUUGUAAAGUAAUAUUUUUUUAGCAAUUAUUAACAAUUAUCCAAUAAAGGGAAUGACAUGUCAUUUUUAUCAAUAUAUAUCAUAUGACAUGUCAUUUUUUACUAGGUAAAUGGGAUGACAUGUCUUUUUUUAAUCAAAGUUUCGUCCAUCUUAAAAGACUAGAUUACCCUUAUGAUGUCAGCGUUUACAAACGGCAGUUAACGGAUUGGUGGACGACAGAGGUAUUUUGUCAACUUAGGGUAUACGAGUGAUAUACCUUAAAAGUGUUCACACACGUUUGAUACAUGUGUCAUUUAAGAGUAUAUGACUGAUAAUUUCCCUUUAUUGAAUAACAUCAAACUUUAAAUAGAACUUUAGUUCAAAGUUACAAGCAUAAAAAUAGCAAGCAUUAAGCAUGUUCUCCAUCAUUCUUUAUGAAUCCACAAAAUAAGGGACCAACUAACAACUUAAUUUUGACUUAUUAAAAAACAGCUACACUUAAAAUAUAAAGUAAAUAAUUAAAACCAAUAUUAAAAUAGAAAGAUUGUAACAGCUUUUCUAUUUUUCUGUUAUUGUGUUUACUUUAAUCAAUGGGCCGUGGCACAUAUUGUUAAAUUGUGGAUCGGGUAGUUUACUGGACACGUGAACUAAUUUGUAAUUUAGUUAUAAGUUGUGUGAACCAUAAAAAAAUAAAGUCAGUGGUACUAUUAUUGGAAUAUUGGAUAGUUCUGAAAGGUUUUUGAAUAAGCUGGCAUUGAGGAUAAUAUACUAUUGGAAGUUGAGGGGGUGAACUGUUCUCAGUUCUGUUUGUUGAGGAACAGGACAGAGCAUCUGUGUAGAAAAUAUAAAUUGAACAAAGAAUUGCUGUUUGGCAGCUAGGAAAAUGAAAGGAAAAUUUCUUAUUUCAUUUGAUGAACUGAUAUUUUGCACAUACUGAAAAAUCCAGAAUAUGUAGCUAUUUAUAUAUGCAUUACACACGCUAACUAAUUGAGAACUAACUAACUAUUAGUAAAACUAACUUUCACUCAGCUCACACUCAACACAUAUACAGAGGCUGUAUAAUAGAGUUAGUUAGGCUGUUAGCUGCUGCUGAUUUGGAUUCUCUGACGUGGCACUAAUGACAGCUGGCAACUUGACAUUCUUGAUACGAGACUUGAAAACAGACUGAUUCUUCUUCUUCACUUCUGCAUAAUGAGCUAUCUUCACAAUCUGUAAUUCCUCUGUUGUUUACGAGUUAUCUAUUUUUUUCCCAUGACAGUGUAGUGCUCUUUGUCCACCUUUCAGAAAGUUUUUAGAGGAACUGUACCUGAAAUGUUUUGUUGUUUCUUAGAAAAUGGUUUUUCCCAUGCAGUGACUUUGAAGUGGAUUACGAGUCCAAUGAGAAUGCAUCAAUUGUGCAUGCAGCAUUAGCUAUUGAUAAGGAGGUGAUCCACCACGAUCAUAUUCCUAAGAUCAUACUUUGCUCCUUUAACUUUAUUGCUUGUUCAAUAAAUUCUUACUUGAUAAGGAGGUGAUCCACCACGAUCCUAUUCCUAAGAUCAUACUUUGCUCCUUUAACUUUAUUGCUUGUUCAAUAAAUUCUUACUUGAAUUCAAUUUCCAAGUGCAGUUGCAACCAGACAAAGUGAAAAGGCAGAUAUCUGUGAUUAAUGGGAAACUUUUAGUGUAAAUUUCUAUUCUUUGGUCAUUCUUAUAACUGAUUUUUCAUUCUUGUCCAAUAUUUAUUCAAUUUGCAUCUAUCAGUUUAUCCUAUGAGACAAUAUUCAUUUGGAACUUUUGUGUGGCCCGUUCAACAAUCAUUUUUCCCCUUUUCCUGAAAAAUUUUCAAAUAUGUUACUUCAGAAGAGUUCUUCCUCUAAGAUACCAUUGUUCUUUAGUAUCUCAACUUUGCUUGGACUUUGCAGUUUACAAGUUUCUACAUUUUGUUUAUUUUCUCAUCUGAUUCAGGCACUUUGAGGCAGUUGAGGCCAGGAUUCUUCGUGCAUCAUUUUCUGCUUUUGUAGAUGUGCUUACACUUGCGACAAAAACUAUCGUACAGUUUGGUCAUGGAACGGAAUUGUAACAUCAUACUAUCUUUGGCAGUUGGAGAAUCAUUCUUAGUAGGAACUGUAUUACUUUAAUUCGCCUUCUUGUUUCGGAUUAGUUGACGUUUUUGUAACAAGAGAAUCUAUAGUGUUCGUUUUAUAAUGUAAAUCUUCAAAUUAUCGGAAACCUGUAACAAAUUCUUCAAAGCUGUGAAUUAUAAGUUUUUUUUUUUUUUUUUUUUUAAUCAUUGGGUUUUAUCAAGAGGUUGCAGCUGUAAAUGUUAUAAUCCUCCCUUAGACCUUUUCAAUAAAGUUAUUGACAAGCUAUCUCCAACUCUUUCAGUUUGGGCCAAGCUAGAUCGCCAGACCUCACUUCUAGGGCUUUUCUGUUUACCCCUCAAACAGUUCAAUCUGAUAUUGAUUUCGUAGAGUGAGUAGAAUGAAGAAUUCAUUUGUGCUAAUAUUCUUCCAGCCGUUGAUGCAAUUCUUUACCAUUGUGUGACACAGGAGGUACCUACUUGGCUACCAAGUGGCCCUCAGCUUAACGCACCUCGAUAGCCUUCAUGCUUUUAGAAUUCAUCUAGCUGGUGGAAUCCUAUCUGGAGUCUCUCUAUAAGUUCGAAAAUCAAGAUUUUUCUAUAGCAAGCGUCAAGGUCAAGGGAUUUCUUGUCACCCAAAAGGAACCCAGAAAAGAUAAAAUCGUAGACAGCACUGUUUCACAUGCUGGAAUUCUGGGGAGGGUGCUUAUCAUGUGCUUGUGGCUAUAAAUAUGCUCGAAAAAAUUGGAAAUUGAUGCUGCAAUCCCUCUGCCUGGAGCCUCAAAGAAAAAAAAAAAAAAAAAGCCCUUUUAUAGCUUUGCUAAGAUGAAAGAUUACAGACUUAGCAAGGCUGACACUCAGCAACAAUUUUCUGCAUACACUUUAUCUUGGGCAGAAUCACCAAAAGUCGAUGCAUCUUUAAAUUUAGAAUAAAAGCAGAUUCGACUUGUAUUAUAAGAAAUUCAAAUGGGGUGUCACGGCUGCUUCCAUCUCUAGGAAAACUUGCUUAGAAAAUAUGCUGAAUGCUUUGGCAAUUCUUGAUGGCGUCAAAAUGGCAGUUGAUUCUGGACUGCAACCACCACUAACUGUUGAAUCUGACUAUUUUAAUGCAGCGAAAUCAAUCUUAAAGAAGAGACUUCGGAUGGAUGAUCAAAGGAAUGCUCGGUUAUGUAAGAAAAGGAAAACAAUUUAUAGUUGCAAUACACUCAUCAAUAAUCUCAGGAACCUCUGAUGAUUGAAUUACAAUUUUUUUAAAUCCAUUCCAGAAUACAAGCAUACCUGCUCAUGCAAGAUAUUCGAUGCUCUGUUGGAAAAUUUUCAAAAUAAAUGGUGUCUUAUGGUAAAGAUAUGUCCUAUUAAUUGUGCCUUAUAGAAAAUGUAUCUUCACUAAAGACAUGUCUAAUUAAAUGAUGUCUUAUUGUAAGAACAUGUCAAUUUAAUUGUGUCUUAUAGAAAAUGUAUCUUUUUACUAAAUAAUCUAACUUUUCAUGGUAACAUUUCACUUAGAGAUGCAUCAUUUCAUGGUGACAUUUCAUUUGAAAUGGUGAUGGUUCAAUUUGGACCAUUGAUUAAAAUUAAAUCUAGAUCCAAUGGCCAUGAAUGAAAGGAUAUCAUGAAAGAUGACAACCCGAAUGAAGGGGCACAAGUAUAUCUAUAAAUAGGGGUCAUGUUUAAGCCAUUUAGACAUGAAAUUAAUGAUCCUACACCACUCUUUUCUUGGCAUUCCUUUCUAGUACGAAUUUCAACACAAAACACCCAUUUCUUUUGUGCAUUAAAAAUCCAAUAUAUUGUUUUCUGCAGGAACAAUAUAUUGUUUCUUGGCAGACUUGCAACAUUCAAGAGUAUUCUGGUUUGCUUUCGUCGAUGCAUAACGCAAGCAAACAAACAAGUGCUUCAUUGUAUCCUGAAGGCGUAUUUGCUUAACCCAUGUGCAUCACUCAAUUGGUGGGGGCAAAUAACGUCUUAAGGAAAGCGACAUUUGUAACGUGCCUUGAAACACACAAAUUUUCUGCAGUUUACUUAUUAAUAUUAUUUUUCUUCCUACAUACAGAGUUAGUUGUAAACACAUUACUUUACGUAAUAAAGUUCCACCAUUAUUGUUGCAUUUCUCUACAUUUGCCAUUCCCCACAAUUUCAACCACCAACAAUCUUAAGACGUUAUUUAUGCAACAAUGGCACCAAGUUCAUCUUUUCGACAAUUCGCAAUAGAUUUUGUUAAAUUGGAGCGAUUCGAUGGUGGCAACUUUAUUCGUUGGCAGAAAAAGUUGCAUUUCUUGUUGACAAGCCUCAAUGUGGUCUAUGUUCUCACAACACCAAAGCCUCAAGAACGUGAGGGUGAGACAUUAGCAUAAACCAGAGUGCGGUAGAAGUGGGAGCAAGAUGACUAUGUGUGCAAGGGACACAUUUGCAAUGCAAUGUCUGAUACUUUGUUUGAUCAAUAUCACAACAAAACUACAGCAAAAGAAAUAUGGGACUCAUUAGAGACUAAGUACAUGAUGGAAGAAGCCACAAGUAAGAAAUUCUUGGUUUCUAAAUUUUUUAAUUAUAGAAUGGUUGAUAAUAGACUUGUGGUUGAACAAUAUAAUGAGAUUUUGCAUAUUCUUGAUCAAUUCAACCAACAUAACAUGAAAAUGGAUGAGUCUAUUAUUGUCUCUUCAAUUAUUGAUAAACUUCCUCCCUCUUGGAAAGACUAUAAGAAAAGUCUUAAACAUAGCAAAGAGGAAAUUAGUCUGGAUGGCUUAGGCCAAAGUCUUCGUAUUGAAGAGGAACUCAAACUUAAUAGUCUUGAGGACCAGGCUACUAUGUCCUCUAAAAUUAAUGUUGUGGAGGAGAGGAAGGAGUUUAAGCAUUUUAAUCACCCUAAGAAUAAGCAAAAGAGAAAGUUUGAUUCCAACGAGAAUCAAAACAAUAAGAGGAAAAAGAAGGGUACAUGCCACCACUGCGGAAAACUUGGCCACUUCAAAAGAGAUUAUUGACUUCUGAAGAAACAAAAGGAAGUUUCGAACACAAAUUUUGUGGCCAUGAUAUUUGAGAUUAAUGUUUUCGAAGAUGAUAAUGCAUGGUGGAUAGAUUCUGGUGCAACUAAGCGUGUAUGCAAAGAUCGUAGCCUUUUCAAAUCUUAUAAAGCAAUGGAUGAUGGAAGUGUUCUUUACAUGGGAAAUUCCUCCAUUGCAAUAGUUAAAGGAAAAGGCAAUGUGCAACUACAGUUUACUUCUGGAAAAACUUUAACUCUUACUGAUGUUUAUCAUGUUCCUGAAGUUAGGAAAAACCUUGUAUCUAGUGGGCUUCUUGAUAAGUUUGGCUUCAAACUUAUUUUUGAGUCAAACAAAUUUAUAUUGUCUAAGGGUGGUACCUUUGUUGGGAAAGGAUACAUGUAUGAAGGAAUAUUUAAACUCAAUAUCAAUAAUAUGAAUGUUUCUUUUGCUUAUAUGGUUGAUUCAUUAUCUUUGUGGCAUAAUCGUCUAGGACAUGUGAAUGUUAGAAGAUUGCAUGAUAUGGCUAAUUUGGAGUUAUUUCCUAAGCAUGAAAAUGAUAUGCAUGAAAAAUGUAAAGUAUGUGCACAGACUAAAUCACAAGAUCUCCUUUUUCCAAAAAUUGAAAAAACAUCUUCUUUAUUGCAUUUAAUUCAUAGUGAUGUGUGUGAUAUGCAUAGUAAUCCUACUAAAGGUGGUAAAAAAUAUUUUGUAACAUUUAUUGAUGAUUUUUUAAAAUAUUGCUAUGUAUAUUUAUUACAUUCUAAAGAUCAAGUGUUAGAGAAAUUUAAAACUUAUAAAAUGAAGUUGAGAAUUUUUGUGACACUAAAAUUAAAUGCCUUAGAAGUGAUAAAGGAGGUGAAUAUGCUUUUUUUGAAUUUUGUGAAUCUGUUGGCAUUGUACAUGAAACUAGCACUGCAUAUACUCCACAACAAAAUGGCGUAGCUGAAAGGAAAAAUAGAACAUUAAUAGAAAUGGUUAAUGCUAUGCUUUUUACUGCUGGGCUUGGUAAAGGUUUUUGGGGUGAAGCUAUUUUAACUGCAUGUCAUAUCUUAAAUAGAGUGCCUAAUAACAAGACAAAGGUGACCCCAUAUGAAUUAUGGAAAAAGAGAAAGCCUAAUAUUUCUUAUCUAAGAGUUUGGGGUUGCCGAGCCAUUGUAAGACUACCUGAACCUAAGAUAAAGAAAUUAGGAGAAAGGGGCAUUGAAUGCAUAUUCUUGGGAUAUGCUAAGCAUAGUAAAGCUUAUAGGUUUCUUGUAAAAGAACCUAAUAACUUUGUUGAGAUCAAUACUAUAGUGGAAUCUAGAGAUGCAAUAUUCUAUGAAAAUAGAUUUUUCACUAUACCAAAAAGUAUUGAUUCUCAAGAGAAUGAUAAACAAAUAGAAAUUAGUCAAAAGUGUGAUGCUAAUAAUGAGCAAAAUCAUUUGAGAAGAAGUAAAAGAAUAAGGACUAUAAAAUCUUUUGGACCAGAUUUUAUAGUCUAUUUAGUGUAAGGGACAAGAGACUUACAAUCAAAACAGACCAUGAUCACACCUACUGUAAAGUCUGAUCCCCUCACCUAUGAAGAGGCAAUGAAGUCUCAAGAUGCUGCUUUUUGGAAAAAGGCCAUUAAUGAUGAAAUGGACUCUAUUAUGGGUAAUAAGACUUUGAAAUUAGUUGAUUUACCACCUGACUCUAAUCCUAUAGGUUGUAAAUGGAUUUUCAAAAAGAAGAAGAAAGUUGAUGGAACAAUUGAAGGAUUUAAAGCAAGACUAGUAGCAAAAGACUUUACACAAAAAGAAGGCCUUGAUUAUUUUGAUACUUAUGCACUUGUUGCAAGAAUUGCUACUAUUAGAGUCUUGAUUGCUUUGGCUUCAAUUUAUCAUUUUGAAAUCCAGCAAAUGGAUGUAAAAACAGCUUUCUUAAAUAGAGAAUUAGAUGAGGAAAUUUACAUGAAACAACUAGAAGGGUUUGUUAUGCCAGGACAAGAACAUAAAGUUUGUAAACUAGUCAAGUCUUUAUAUGGUCUUAAACAAGCUCCAAAGCAGUGGCACGAAAAGUUUGACAAAGUGAUUGUCUCAAAUGAAUUUAAUAUUUAUGAAUCUGAUAAAUGUGUCUAUAGCAGAUUCAAUGGAAAUAAAGGUGUGAUUAUUUGUUUAUAUGUAGAUGACAUGUUAAUUUUUAGUAUUGAUAGUGAGAGCAUUGAACUCACUAAAUCAUUAUUGUCAUCUAAUUUUGAUAUGAAAGACAUGGGACUUGCUGAUAUGAUUUUAGGGAUUAAAAUUAUAAAAAAUAAGAAUGGCCUAGUAUUGACCCAAUCACAUUAUAUUGAGAAAAUUUUAAAGAAAUUUAAUUAUUAUGAUUGUAAGCCUGUGUCAACACCUUUUGAUUCAAACAUAAGAUUGUAUCCUAACACUGGCAGAUCAGUAUCCCAAUUAGAAUAUGCACGUGUUAUUGGGUGUCUUAUGUAUGCGAUGACUUGUACUAGGCCUGAUAUUGCUUUCGCUGUUGGAAAACUGAGUAGAUAUACUAGUAAUCCAAGCCAAGCACACUGGCAAGCAGUGUACAAAAUUCUAAAAUAUUUAAAACAUGCAAUGGAUUAUGGUAUAUACUACAUUGGAUAUCCUUCUGUUUUGGAAGGAUUUUCGGAUGCUAGUUGGAUUACUGAUCGAGAUGAUCAUACAUCCACAAGUGGUUGGAUUUUUAAUCUUGUUGGAGGAUCUAUUUCAUGGGGCUCAAAGAAGCAAACUUGUAUAGCAGACUCCACCAUGGCUGCAGAAUUUGUAGCUUUGGCUUCAUGUUGCACGGAAGCUGAAUGGUUAAGGAAUUUGCUUAUAGAAAUUCCUAUUUGGCCUAAACCAAUGCCUCCUAUGUCCAUUCAUUGUGAUAGUGAGGCAACUUUGUCAAGGCCAUAUAGUAAAAAAGAAUUGUGUAUUUUUGAAAAAGUUAAAAAAAACAGGUGGACGGUGGAUAUUUUCCCAUGGAGUUAUCAUAAUUGACUUUGUGAAAUCAUGCCAAAAUUUGGUGGACCCCUUAACUAAAGGCCUUAUAAGGGAUAUUGUAUUUAAACCUUCUAAGGGGAUGGGACUGAAGCCAGCAUCAUCUUAUUACCAAUGAUGGAAACUCAACCAAACACUUGAAAUAUCAAGAUCUUGGGUUCAAUGAGCAAAAGUACAUCAUAUGUUGUGAUAGCAAAUACUAUAAUAUUUUUAGAUGUAUCCCAAAGGUUAGUGCUUGAUACCUGUAACAUAUGGGAAAGGUUAAGCUACUUAACUUUUAAUAGACUUAUAAAUGUUUUAGUUACAGGGACAUUUUAGAUAAGUCUACCUAUAUGAGUGUAGGAGAUGGUGCCACUUCCUAUGUAACUUGGCUGGUUACUAAAGCGCUCAUGAAAACAGGAUAUAGACACAGGGCCAAUCCACGUGUCGGCUAAAGAAUAGUUGAGAAUUUGAAAACUUAUGUGUGAGAUAUAUCCGGUUAGUCGAUUAAGGUCGCUGGUUCAAAGCUUUUCUACCAUGCCACCUUGAUUAACCUUGAUGUAUUGUCACUAAGUGAAGGUUCAAGUCCAAAAGACACCUUUAUCUAUGCAUAAGUUUUCCAAGCCUGUGCAAGAUAAUUUUUUAAAAUUCAUUUAUUUUGAAAAUGGUGGGGGAUUGUUGGAAAAUUUUCAAAAUAAAUGGUGUCUUAUGGUAAAGAUAUGUCCUAUUAAUUGUGCCUUAUAGAAAAGAUACCUUUCACUAAAGACAUGUCUAAUUAAAUGAUGUUUUGUUGUAAGGACAUGUCAAUUUAAUUGUGUCUUAUAGAAAAAAGGUAUCUUUUUACUAAAUGAUAUAACUUUUCAUGGUAACAUUUCACUUAGAGAUGCAUCAUUUCAUGGUGACAUUUCAUUUGAAAUGGUGAUGGUUCAAUUUGGACCAUUGAUUAAAAUUAAAUCUAGAUCCAAUGGCCAUGAAGAAAGGGGUAUCAUGAAAGAUGACAACCCAAAUGAAGGGGCACAAGUAUAUCUAUAAAUAGGGGUCAUGUUUAAGCCAUUUAGACAUGAAAUUAAUGAUCCUACACCACUCUUUUCUUAGCAUUCCUUUCUAGUACGAAUUUCAACACAAAACACCCAUUUCUUUUGUGCAUUAAAAAUCCAAUAUAUUGUUUUCUGCAAGAACAAUAUAUUGUUUCUUGGCAGGCUUGCAACAUUCAAGAGUAUUCUGGUUUGCUUUCGUCGAUGCACAACGCAAGCAAACAAACAAGUGCUUCAUUGUAUCCUGGAGGCGUAUUUGCUUAACCCAUGUGCAUCACUCAAUUGGUGGGGGCAAAUAACGUCUUAAGGAAAGCGACAUUUGUAAUGUGCCUUGAAGCACACAAAUUUUAUGCAGUUUACUUAUUACUAUUAUUUUUCUUCCUACAUAUAGAGUUAGUUGUAAACACAUUACUUUACGUAAUAAAGUUCCACCAUUAUUGUUGCAUUUCUCUACAUUUGCCAUUCCCCACAAUUUCAACCACCAACAUGCUCUGCAUCCGAAACUUCGUCGACCUUUGCAUCUAAGAGAUCAUUAACCUUACAGAACUCAAAUGGUCCACAGUAUUCACAAUGAUCUUUCAAUGUUUCCACCACUCUGCGUAAAUAUGAAGAUGGUUUGUUUUCUCAAUAGAAAAUUGAAAUUAUCAGCUGUAAUUAGAGCAACUCACAUUUGCUUUUGGUCAUCACUGGUGUACCAUAGUUCAAGAUAUUCGGUCGCUGAGUAUAACUGUGUUCUCAGGUUUUUCAAAUCUUGAAAGUAAAGUCGCUUGAGUUAAAAAAAAGACCACAGUAAAUAUUUCCAUAAGAACUUAAAUGUUUUACAAAUUGGUGCUUUUGUAUUUCCAUAACUGUGCUUUUGUAAGGCUAGUCGAAAAAUGAGUAAAAUUUGGAAAUUGACACACGAUCCACCGUUUAAAUCAUAUAAACAAGUAUCGCGCGAUGAAACAAGAGUUACCCUUGAAGACAUAUGCCCCUAUUUGCCACAAUCCUUUUUUUUUUUACUUUUUCUUUUCUUAAAAGUGAAUGUUGAGGUGGGUGCAACUUUUAGUAAUAGCUAUUAGUAGCAUAAAACAAAGAUUGCACGCUCUAAAACAAUUGUAAUAGGGAAACGGGUAUAGACAUACAAUCCAACAGAUUAAAACAAAAUAGAGAAACAGUAGUACCUUGAGACUAUCAGAGAAUAGCAAGCUCCGCUACCCUUUUCUUAAAAGUGAUUGAUUAUGAUGAAACAUUCAGCCUUGUAAUUAAGCUUGCUCCGGUUUGCUUUGUGUUUGGCAUUACUACAAGGAUGGUAUUUGCGACAACUUCGGUGUGAGCAAUGCUUUUUUACAUGGGCACCUAUCAAAGGAGGUAUUUAUGCCUCAGCUACCUCGUUUUAUUGAUCCCACGUAUCCUACUUAUGUUUGCUAACUUAAAAAGGCACUCUCUGGCCUUAAGCAAGCUCACGUUCUUGGAACAACACUGAGCUUCGAAACUUUUUUUCUAUCGACGGGAUUUUUCACUUUACUAUCAGAUUCUUCUUUAUGUAUCUAAUCUCAUGCUAGUGUGCAUGAGAUUAUCUUUGUGGGUAAAUAAACUUUCAUCUGUCGCCAUAAUGUAGCUAGGCACCAAUUAUCCUGUAUAUUACUGUCGCAUGAAACACAUAGCCAUUGACUUUCACUUUGUUCAUCACAAAAUUCAAAAUGGUGUUCUCCGGGUGUCUCAUUUAUCAUCUCAAGACCAAUUAGCAGAUGCCGUCACCAAAACUCCAUCUCAUCAACGAAUAAGUCUUCUUUGUUCCAAGCUCGGUGUCGCAAAUGGUAGCGCCAUCUUACAGGGGCAUAUUAGAGAUACUCUCAAAGGCACGGUGUAAUUGUACAACCUUUUUAUCAUUUGUAUAUACGACUUUCAUAACUUUAAACUGCAAUUGUGUACUUACUAUAAUUAACUAGCUUUAGUUGUGUAUAUAUUGAAAUCAUAUCAAUAGAAACAGUAAGCUGCGUUGUUAUUUCCUUUCUCUAUAUUAUUUAUUGUAUAAACCUAACUUUUUUCAGCCCUUUUUUUCCCCCAAAUCUGACACUUUUUUUUUAAUAAAUUUAUUUACCCACACCUGUGUCGUUUGUCUCACCUUUUUUUUUUUUUUUUCACUUAUUUCGUUACCCAGGCCACACUUUUAUAAACUUUGUCCUGGCCCCGCACUCUACUUUUGUUAGUUUUAUCAAAUGAGCAGCACUAGCAGCACCGUAUGAUUAUCUUUUCAGACCCCUUCUGGUAUAUCAAAGAAGCCCUAUAACAAAUACAUCCGUAAAAUAUCUACCAAAGAUACCUCAACAAGCUAGUGAAGCAGGGAAUGACUCCAUUCCUUAAGCCCAUGUUUGGUUGGGAGAAAUGAUAGAAGAGGAGAGGAAUAGAAAGGAAAGAAUGAGGGAAAAAUGAGUGUAAAUGAUGGUCAAAUUCAUUUGCAUUGUUUGGUUGGAUAUGGAAUUCAUCUUUUUUUCCUAUUUCUUUCCUCUCUCUUUUCCUCUCCUCUUCUCUCCUCAUAUUUCUUAAAACCAAACAUGCCAAUUGACGACCUGUCUGGUGUCCCCUUGCCUACAAUAAAAAUUGAAAUUAGGCCAUUUAGAUUAAAGAUAAGACGGAAUGGAAAUAUGGAAUCGUUAACAAUUAUAGCUAUGACCCAUCUAAUUUGCAAAUGGUUCUUUCCCUUUCAAUAUUAUUGUACGUAUUUGCAAGGAAACCUCUUCUAUCUUUCUUGCAAUUAAGACUUUUGCGUAUCCAAUUACUGUCAACUGUUUUUGAACGUGUAGAAGAUAACAACUUGAAGACUUGAGAGAGAGCCAGCGUUAAUUCAACGUCAAGAGUAGCUUAUUAGUUUGCAGGAUUCAAGAGUAGCUUACUGUCAACUGUUUUUGAACGUGUAGAAGAUAACAACUUGAAGACUUGAGUGAGAGCCAGAUGCUGGGUAUAAGGUCUAUAAAACUUUACUAUUAUUUCAUAAAAUUGUUUUAUUUUUUAUUCCUCAUCACAUUGGGGAUUACGCCCCCAAUGACCCAUUUGAUUUUCAUUUUUAUGUAGGUUAGUAGUGUUACUGAAAAUCAAAUAUUGUCUCUUUUUUUCCACUUAUUGAGGACUAUGGAAUUAAACAAAACUCACCAAUGGCAUAAAAUAUACACACUACUAGAAAAAUAAGCUACUAUGACAGAAUUUUUGUGAUAGAUAUUCAAAAAUUAGUCAUUUAUCACAAAAAUAUGAUAGAUUCGUGAUAGAAUUUUUAUAUAUCAUAAAGGCAUGAUAAAUUUGUGAUAGUUUAUUUAUUUAUCACAUACACAUGAUAGCAUAUUAAUAUUUAAUGAAACGAUGAGUUUUGAAUGGGUUAAUUUAGACAUAGAACGACACCGUAUCUUAAAAAAAAAAAUCAUAAGUGGUAGACUCUCCUUUCACUUCAAUUGGCAAACCCUAAUUUCCAAAUCAUACACAAAAACAAAAUCACGCUGCCGACAAAAAAUUUGGUCCUCUGCUGCGCUGCUUGCCGACAACAAAUUUCUACUCUUCGUCUUCGUCCUUACUCUUUAAUCUGCUGCUGCUACUACUUGCCGAUGAACAACACGCUCAAGUUCAGCUAGGUCUUUACUUCCUCUUUUUCUUAUAUUAUAUUCUUUUGAUUUGAUUUGAUUUUUCUGUGAUCUAAACGCCGUUCUUGCUGAUAUUGGUGAUGAACAGUCCUUGUCACAAUUUUGACCGAUCUGAUUGCUAUUCAUAUAAGUGAUUAUUCUACUAUUAUAUAACCUGCACUGGGUUACUCAAUAUGCAAGCCUUUACGUUUUAUCUUCAGAAUAUGCAAAGGUUCCUUGGUUUGAUUCAGUUCUUGCUGAUAUUGGUGAUGAACAGUCCUUGUCACAAUCUUUAUCUACCUUCUCUAGCCACUUGAAACAAAUAGGUGUAAGGAUAUUCACCUUUCAGAAGCAGUUAAUCAAGUUUGUUUGGAACAAAUGCCCCUUUUUCAACGCUAUUCUUUCUCAUUUUUGUAUUAUGUCAACAAUCUUUAUAAACUGCUUUGAUUCUUUGCAGAUAAUUUUGUUUUCUUAUAAAUUAUUAAGACAUUUAACAAGAAAAGGCACAAGCUCUUGUUGGGAUGUACUUAAUACGAUUUGCAACUUGUGUCAGUGAUGGAUCUCAUGAACUCCUAAGCUUAGUUACUAUAUUGUCAGUCCUGAAUCACUUAUGAUAAUGCUGGUUUUAUUUAUUUAUUUAGUUAUUUUUGGGAUAUUACUAGUUUGUAUUAUAAUACAUUCAUAGUACUGUUGUAGUUUUAUGAUUCCAAUUUAAGUUGACUGAAGCCAAAUUGCUCCUUUGGCAGUAACUACUUCUUCGAGAAUGCUUGUAUGGAGUUCGAUAAAGUUAAAUUAAAGCCAACUUACAAGGUCCUUUGGGGGUACCAGGUUACAUAAUUAUAACUUCUAUUUAUUUGAUGUCUGAAGUGUUAAUGAGUUUAUUAAUUUGGUUUUUUCAAGCCUUAGUGAUUAGAGCUGUAACUAUAAGUUGGCUUCUCCUAUAAAUUACUUCUUGUAGAUAUUAUAUGAAUUGCUAAGAACUUACUUAUGCAAUCUCUAGGUACGUAGAUAUUUGUUUACUUUUCUCCAGAUAAAUGCCAACUGAAACAACUAUUAAAUGCCCAGACUGAAUAUUAAAUGUUACUUAAACAAUUGAAAAUUUUUAUUCUCUUGUAAAUUUCGCUUUAGAAGUAUUGUAUAUUCCCUCUUUGAGCUAAUAAUACUAGUUGGUAGUCGUGCUCUGAACUUUUGGAAACUAAUAUUUUUCCCCGAGGAACUAGUGAUAGCCGGCUUUCUUUGAUGGUAUCAAAAUGAUUUAUUUUUUGUUUAUUUAUUUAUUUAUUCUUUUGUUUGGGCAGCAGCUUCAUGUAAAAUGACUUAAGAGUGUGGUACUGAUUGCAGGUUGUUCAAAAUGCAACUCUACGGUGCUGCUAGUGCUGAGAUUAAUAAGGUAAUAUGCCUUAGAGGUAAUGCAUGUGUAAAAACUUAGCAUCUUUUUUAGCUAAUAAAAAGUUUACAUGUUAUUUUUUCCUUUUGUAAACAGAAGCAAAAUUUUAGUUUUAAGUCUCACAUGUUGUGACUUAAGCAACAGACAACCAGUUUACCUGGUAGGCUAAUUAAUUACCUUUGGGAAUUAUAUGGUCAAAAGAAAAUUCAUACAUAAAACAAAUGUGAUCAGGUAAUAGUCAGUACAUGAUGAGCUUACAUGAUGGAAUUAUGGUCAAAAGAAAAUUCAUACAUAAAACAAAUGUGAUCAGGUAAUAGUCAGUACAUGAUGAGCUUACAUGAUGGAAUUAUGGGAAUCUAAUUUUUUGCCAGUAUAGCAAAGGCCACAGAUAACUUCUCAAGUUGCAAUAAACUGGGAGAAAUUAGAUUUGGGCCAAUGUCCAAGGUAAUAUUGUGGCAUUCUACUGAAAUUAGAUCAUAUUUUCUUUUUAUACUAACUAAUAGGCAGAUCUAUGGUACAUAAAUAGAAAGGCAAGAAAUUACAGUUAAAAGGCUGUCAAAAGGUUCCAGACAAGGAAUGGAAGAGUUCAAAAAUGAAGUUACAUUGAUUUUUGUUAGUAAUUAUAGGUUUUUGUUACACGUGUGAAAUUCUUCAUUAUUCUUGAUUAUUGAACUGUGUGAUGACACCUUAUGAAUUUGAUUAACUAUAAGUGGCCGAUAUGUUAAUUUGCAUUUUUUUGGUACUCAUCUUAAUGUCAUCUGCUUUUCAGGUGAUGUUGGUGGCUUUUGGGAAUUUACCAUCAAUGUUUUUUUUAUGGAUUAAUUAUUUUUCUAGGAUGGGUUGGUGAUUGGAUAUUUUAGGUGAUUAGAUAUUGUAAAUGAUUUAUGAGAUAUUAUUGUGGAUUUGAUUCACCAUGUAUUUUGAUGAUGCUAUUUGAUGGAAGUUUCCAGUGAUUAAAUAUAUGAUGCCCAAAAAGCUAAGUGGUAGUGAAUUUUUUGUAUGCUGGUAUUGUUCUAGAUGAUAGUGAAUCUUGAUAAAGUCUAAGUGGUAGUGAAAUUUGUAUGCUGAUAUUGUUUGAUAAAGUCUUAAGUAGUAGUGAAUCUUGAUCAGCCUGGUAGUGUUUCAGAUGAUAUAUAGUGUUGUGAUGUUUUUGUAUGCUGGUAAUGAUCCAGAUGGUAGUGUUGGGAUGUAGAUUUGUGAUAAUUGAAUAGAUGAUGUUUUGACAAUGUUAUGGUUAUUUCAAGUGAUGAUUUAGUGAUGUUUUGAUAAUAUCGUUGAGAUAAUUUGGAUGUAUUGAUUUUAUACAUAUUUUGAUUUUUAAAUUUCAAUGGAAUUUAUAAAAUAAUAAAAUAAUAAUAUUAUUAUUUAAAAUAUUAAAAAUUAUUUUCUAAUUUAACAAUAUUAAAAAUGAUUUAAAAUAUUAUUAUUAUUUAAAAUAUUAAAAAAUUUUGAUUUUAAAAAAAUUAAAAAGUCUUUUAAUAAUAUUAUUAUUUAAAAAAAAUUCUCAUCAUGACACCAUAUUAGCAUCAUAAAGCUGCGACACAUAAUUACACGCCAUAAUUUAAAAUUGAAUUCAUAAUACCCGCCAAAUGUUUUUUCACAAUAAAACAAAUUUACCACUAAAAUAUUAAAACGAUGUUGCUUUUGUUGUGACACAUUUGUGAUAGCUAUAAGCUGUCACAUACACCUGUGAUAAAUAAAUUAUUGUCACGGAUUUAUGAGAGGGGCUACAAUGAUAGAUAAAAACUCUGUCAUAAACAGGGUCGGAUGAUAGAUAUUCUCUGUCAUGGUAGCCCAUUUUUCUAGUAGUGACAAUGAAUAUUUAUUAACAGAUUUGACAUAAAAUUAAUUUUUGAACCGAUUGAAACUUCCAAAAACUAAAAUUUCGAAUUUGUUAUAAGAAUAUAAUCUAUUUUAAUUAUCAUUGUCAAGUCCUCCUCUAUGGAACAUUAGCAAAUUUGCAACCUUUCUAGCUUAAAUUCUAGGUUCAAAACCUCGCGGCGGAGUUAAAUUUUGUUAUAUUUAAAAGCUAAAUCUUGAAGAUGAAUUAUUUUCUAAUUAAUUUUUUUGUGGUUCUUUUAUAACGAUGGCAAAAUUCUCUACAGGUUUCGGACCCCACCCCAAAUGGCGUGAAUUUUGAAUAUUUUUUAGAAAUGGGGUGAGAAAUGGAUAAAAAUUAAUCCCUAAGUUUUUAAUGGGGUGAACUUUUAAUUAGAUAGAAACCUAUCCGUUCAAUUGAUGCUGAAAAAAUAAAAGUUUUGCAGGAUGUUUUCUCCUAGUAAUGAAAGAGAACCGUUUGUUUGAUGUACUUGAUGCUCCAGCAAUGAAAGAACCUUAGAAGAGAAUGAAAUGACAACAACAUCAGAGAAUCAAGGCAGAGAACAGCCUAUUGAUAAUAAAUAAUUUAAAAAAUAUAAUGACUAAUUGUGUAAUUCAAUCAAACCUUAUAGACCAAAGGAACAUUUGCCAAAGAUUAAAAUAUGUAUAUAUAUAUAUAUAUAUAUAUAUAUUAAGGCUACAUUUUGUUUAAUCCAAAUGAAGCUAAUCAAUCUAUAUUUUAUUCCAAUAAAACUAUGGCUUCGUUUCAUAUCUUAAUUAAAUUAUAUAAUGAUGAAAUAUUAUAUUCUGAACUUAACUGAAUCCAAUAUCAUUUCACCAAUCGGUCAUAUGAGAUGAAAGAAAAAAAUCUGUUGAAAUUAAUUUUAAAUUAAAGUUGAAGAAUGGUGAUAUGAUACAUACAUAUACAUGACUCUGAAUUUAUUAAAUUGAAGAUGUACUGAUCGUCUUGACGAUGUGACAAAAUACUGGAAUGUGAGAAUGGUCUUUGGACUUUGGUGAAGACUUGAGAGGGCCCAGAGUAAUUAAAAGUCAAGAUUGGCAAUCUGAAAUUAAUCUCUGGCUUUAACAUGCAGGACUUUCUAGUCGGUGAGAAAAGUUUCUGAAUUAAUAUAGGAGCUAAUACAUGCACUUUCUGAACUAAAGAAAACUGAGUUUAAGCGGCGAAUGGCUGUGCAUCUUUGUCUGGUGUUGCUGCAGAUUAUUGUUUUGCGCCUCAGGCCGAUCAUAGCAUCAGAAAGAUUUCCCUGUCCAACUGAAUGUGGAAAUGUCAGCAUCAGCUACCCCUUCGGAAUCGGAGAAGGGUGCUACUUUGACAAGGGUUACGAAGUUAUCUGCGAUCACCCUUCUGGCAUUCCCAAAGCUUUUCUUCCUGGCGUCAACAGGCUAGAAUUAGUGGAUAUUCUCUCUAAUGAUUCAAGAGCCGCGGUUAGAGUCAACGUUCCUGCGAUUUUUUUAAACAGCAGUAGUAAGCGAACAAGCAAUAUUGCUAAAGGCGUCAACUUAUCAGGUACCCCUUUCUCCUUUUCGACUGACAAUAAAUUCGCUGCCAUAGGCUGCAAAAUGAGAUAUCACCAAGGGAACGGUUCAUCUGUGUUUGAUGGGUGUCUGUCGAUUUGUACUUGUGAUCCUACUGUCUACCCUGCUUGCUAUGAUUUCCUAUGCCCCCUUCGUCCAAAUAUUACUCAUCUUUUCAAUCUAAAUAAAUCAUACUUGUUUUCUCAAAGUAUUCCUCAGAAAUGUCAGUCUGUUUUCCUGGUUGAUGAAGAUUGGGUCAACAGCAAGUACCUUGAAGAUCCUCAUGAUUUGGAAGAUCAACGAGAAGUUCCUGCAGUGUUGAAGUGGGGAGAAAAGAUAGGCAGUUGUUUUGAAGAAUAUAACUCAUAUUCUAUUUUUUGUAAUUCGGAUAAAACAGGUUGCUUAACACAAUUAAGCUCAGGCCAUUUAUGUCUUUGCUCUGCUGGCUACAACCUAGAGAAAGCAUACUGCUCAGGUACUUGUUGGAUUAUGUGUUAAAGAGAAUUUUUUUUUUUUUUCAAAGAAAAUAUCCGAACGACAAGACUUGGUGCUCCAGGAGCAUUUAGAUGCUAUUUCCGUAUGAACAUUAGCAAUAAGUGUGAUGAGAAACGGAAAAUGCUAUUGGAGAACCCUAGAGUUUACUAGAGUUAAAUGUCAAAUGAUGUAACAGUCCUCCGUUGGAUGGUAAGAUGAUCAGAAAAGAGUUGUAAAAUUUAUCAUCCAAUAGAUGAUUGAAAUUAUUGAUUUUUAAAAUAUCUAUCGAAUUACCUGUAAAUGAGUAAAGUUUUCCCAUUACUGUAACUAUCUUUGUAAACAGAGAAUUAGAGACUAAAAAUGGUGGAGUUUUAUUUAGUUGUAGCCAUGAUUUAGUUUGAUCUUCCCUUUGAUUUAUUUUUAUUUGUUAUUUUCCGGGCAUGUGACUUGAUCUGUAAUAUCUCAAGCGGCUACAGUUGCUCCAAUUGUCCCGAGGGUUGUAAUCGUCUCUCAUAUCGUUGCAUUAAAAUUUUCAACAAAUCUAACAGAUCUAACAAAUCUCGGGUUAAAUUCAUUAUUAUAGGUAUGCAUGGCGAUCGUUUAUUUUACAUCAUAAUAAAUUAAUAAUAUUUUUCAACAUAUAUUUCAAAUGAAAAUACUAAGUGUUCAUACGUUCAUUUAGAUUGAUGAUAUCUUUCCUAUCAUGAUAUCUUUCAUUAUUGUCCUCGAGAGCCGCAGGUUGCGGUGGUGGGCUUGCGUUAUUCUUUCUACUCAUUGGAAUAUGGUGGUUGUACAAGUUUACAAAAAGAAGAAGGGAAAUCAAGCUCAAGCAUAAGUUCUUUAAAAAAAAUGGUGGUUUAUUAUUACAACAAGAAUUGUCUUCCAAUGAAGGUAAUAUUGAGAAAAUGAAGUUAUUUACUUCAAAAGACUUGGAGAAAGCCACCGACAACUACAAUGCCAAUCGAAUCCUUGGUCAAGGAGGUCAAGGUAUUGUAUACAAAGGAAUGUUAGUAGAUGGACGAAUUGUGGCGGUUAAAAAAGCUAAAAUAUUGGAUGAGAGAAAUCUCGAGCAAUUCAUCAAUGAGGUAGUAAUUUUAUCUCAAAUUGACCCCAGAAAUGUUGUUAAGUUGUUGGGAUGUUGCUUGGAGACAGAAGUUCCUCUUUUGGUGUAUGAAUUUAUUCCAAAUGGAAGUCUCAAUCAAUACAUACACUAUCGAUCCGAGGAGUUUCCAAUCACAUGGGAAAUGUAUUUAUCCAUUGCUUUUGAAGUUUCAGGUGCUCUAUCUUAUCUGCAUUCAGCUGCAUCUAUUCCUAUUUAUCAUCGAGGCAUCAAGUCUGCAAACAUACUUUUGGACGAUAAAUAUCAAGCCAAAGUUUCAAAUUUUGGGGCUUCUAGAUCUAUAACAAUUGAUCAAACUCACUUGACCACUCAAGUACAAGGAACUUUUGGAUAUGUAGAUCCAGAAUACUUUCGGUCAAGUUAUUUUACAGAAAAAAGUGAUGUUUAUAGUUUUGGUGUAGUUCUUGUUGAGCUUUUAACUGGACAGAAACCUAUCCGUUCAACUGACGCUGAAGAAGAUAAGAGUUUAGCAAGAUAUUUUAUCCAAGCAAUGAAAGAGAACCGUCUGUUUGAAGUCCUUGAUGAUCGAGUUCUUAAGGAAGCUGAGAAAGAAGAGAUUAUUACCGUUGCUAUGCUUGCCAAAAGAUGCUUGAACUUGAAUGGGAGAAAGAGACCUACGAUGAAAGAAGUGGCAUUUGAAUUACGGGGUAUAAGAGAAUCAAUUGGAGCUUCCAUUUUGCAGCAAAAUUGUGAAGAGACUGAUUUUGUGGAUGGUGACAUUAUUGGACAUGAUUUCGGAAGAAAUUCAUCUUCUAGUGGGUCAAGUUUAAAUAGUGUCUCAGUUUCUGUAGAUGCCGACCCUUUAAUUUCAAACAAAUGGUGAUAAAGAGAAGAAUUGCCUUGAAACUGUUUGUCUUUCAUAAAUAAGAUUGUGAGACUUUUCCAAUAUUAUCAUUCUUGUAUCGCUAGAGUUUCUUUGGGUACCAUCAUUUGUAAUUAAAAACUUCCAAGUCAUUUCAAUCAAAUUUUCCACUAUUUCAUUGCAUGCGCUGCAUUUUCCUUUUUUUCUUUUUUAGGCAAAUAGAGGAGAUCAAGGAAAAAUCUUUUGAAAUUAAUUUCUUAGUUGAAGUUUACAAAUGCAAGAUGAUAUGAUCUCUCGGUCUAAAGUGCAAGCACUUUAGCACUAUGCCACCUAAUAUCUCUGAGUAAAUAGGAGAGAACAACUUGAGCACUUAAGAGGGCCAACGUUAAAUAAACUCCAGAGUAGCAUGUUGGAAUUUUUGGCUUAUUGUUAUGCAGGACUUUCUUGGUAGUGAAAUAAAGUCAAAAGGAAGAUGGGAGGAAAUAAAGAUCAAUGCAAAUUGAUAGAUAAAAUACCCUACAUCAUUUGUGAGUGCAUCUUAGGUCAAAUAUGUAAAGUUUGAACGAUCCUCAAUUUUUUAGUUAGAUUUUGAGUAUGGCUUAAACCCAUGAAUUUUCUAAUAUUUUAUUAGAGUUAAAUUUAUCUAGAUUAGGCCCAUGCUACUUCCCACAGUACCUUAUCACUUUACGCCCUUCACAUGGAGGCAUUAUAAAAGAGUAAUGCUAAGGGGAUCCCAACUUGAGUUCUAAUGGAUGUGAUAUUUAUCUAGUAGAUAGUAAAAUAUUUAUUUUAUCAAUUAUAAAAUUUAUUAUCCAAUACAUGAACUACAUAUAAAAUUUGAGAUUCAAAACUUAAUUGGUGGGUCACAAUCAUUAUUGGUUAAAAAUGAUAUCCAGAGAUAACUAGAGGUAAAUCAAAAACUCUCUCUCUCUCUCUGUGCUAAGACCCUUUCUGCCACAGGCUAAAAUUCACCAGCUUUGAUCAAUCAACCUGCCUGAAUUACACAGCCAUCACAUUUUCAAACCUCCAAUCUUUCAAAUCUAUUUUUCAACUCUUUGUUUCCAGCCACCGUAGCCGCGAACCAACGACACCUCUCCACUGCUACCUCUCGCCACCAUGUCGCCAAUUGCCCAUCACUAUAGCAAAAAAUUAUGCUAAAGGAGUUUAGGCCGGGGAGGGAACCAGUAGGUCUUUUCUUUUUUCUUAUUUUCUAUUUCUCUUCUAUAUUUCUUUUGUUUUAUUUUUGUAUUUGCUUCUGUUAUUGUACGUUUUUAUGUUUUGUUGUUUUGUAAGAUUUUAUACUGCUCGUACGGUGGUCUACAUAGGCGGUGUUGUUUCAAUGUCCAGAUCGGGAUUGUGUCAGUAUUUGGAUUGGAAUAGUAUGACUACAUUGAAGCUGUUGAGGGCUUUAAUAGUGGUACAUUGAGGUUCCGAUGACCUCAGGCGAAGUUCUGAUGGCCUAGGUCAAGGGCUUAUUGAGAGAUUUUCUAGUGAAUCGUAAGGUUGGUUUUUUUUGUUGCAUUUUGUGGAUUUUUUUUUUUGGUUGUUUGUUUGCAUUUUAUUGUUAGAAUUGUGUUUUCUUGUGUUUUGUUGUAUUAUCGGACACUAGGGGGUAUUUGAACUAUAGUAGCUAAGGUUUGUUCCUCUAGUGUUUCUUUAGAUUUUAAUUUGAGAAAAAGGACACCUACACCUUAAAGUUUGAGGAAAUGAUCGCAAAACUCCUAAGUUUUUAAAAAGGACACUAAAAUUCUUUUUUUACCAUAUUAUCCUUUGAAUUUAGUAAUUAGAAAAUUGACUUUAAAGUUUUUGUAAUUAAUACAAAUUUAAUAUAAAUAAUAUAAUCUAUCUAGUAGAUUAAUAAUAUUAAAUUAUUUUUAAAAUUUAAAAUAAUAUUAAAAUUUUAAAUUAUUAUAUUUAUUUUAAUAAUAUAUUUGUAUUUACUAUAAAGAUUUUAAAUAAAUCUUUGGGUUAAAUAAAUUUUUCAAUUAACAAAUAAUAUCCCUAUUAAUAAGAUCAAAAUUAUUUUUUACAUAAUAUUCAAAAUAAUUUUAAUUUUUAAUUUAUUUUUUUAAUAUUAUGUUUCUAUUUAUUAUUAAAAAUUACUUUAAUAUAAUAAAAUAAGUCUAAUAGAUUGUAAAAUAUUAAAAUAUUUUUUAAAUAUUAAAAUUAUUUUAAAAUGCAUAUAUUAUUACAUUUAUUUUGAUGCCAUAUUUCUAUUUAUUAUAAAAUUUUGGCGUCAAAAGUCAAAGGAUAUCACUGUCAAAAAGGAAUCUUGGCGUCAAUUAUUGAAAAUUUGGGGUUUUUUGUGACUAUUUCCUCGAACUUUGAGAACGUAGGUGUUCUUUUUCCCUUAAUUUGAGAAACAAAUUGGUCUCCUUUGAUUUUAAAAUUUGUUUUAUGUACUGUACUUAAACUUGAUAUAACUCUUAUUUAUAUUAUUAUUAUUAUUGGUCCUUAAUGAAAGUCACGUUUUCUUAAAGAAAGAAAAGAAAAGAAAAGAAAAGUUGGAAGAUAUACGGAGGAGAACUUGUNNNNNNNNNNNNNNNNNNNNNNNNNNNNNNNNNNNNNNNNNNNNNNNNNNNNNNNNNNNNNNNNNNNNNNNNNNNNNNNNNNNNNNNNNNNNNNNNNNNNNNNNNNNNNNNNNNNNNNNNNNNNNNNNNNNNNNNNNNNNNNNNNNNNNNNNNNNNNNNNNNNNNNNAUCAUUAUCUGGUGUUGUUGCAAUCGAUGUUUUUGCCAUUAUGGCCAAUCAAAGCAUCAAAAGAUUUAUGCCAAUAUGAUUGUGGGAAUGCCACUAUCAGGUACCCCUUCGGAAUCGGAGAGGGUUGCUAUUUUGAUAAGAGUUUUGAAGUAAUCUGCGAUUACUCUUCUGGCUCCCCAAAAGCUUUUCUUGCGAGCAUCAACAACCUGCAAGUAUUGGACAAUCAUGUUUAUGGUGUAUCCAACAUUAGGGUAAACAUUCCUGUAAUUUCUUUGAAGAGCAGCAACAUGACAAGCAAUGCUAAAGGGGUCAGUCUUUCAGUUAGCCCUUUUACAUUUUCUCCGUGGGACAAUAGAUUCACAGCCAUAGGUUGCAACAACUAUACUACGAUUAUUAAGCGACAGAAUGAUUCAUCCGUUUUUGGUGGGUGCCUUUCGAUUAGCACUUGUGAUCCUGCUCUCAACCCUGGUUGCUACGAUUUCCUGUGCGCCCUUCCUCAAAAUAUUACUCAGGUUUCCAAUGCAGAAAUAUCUAGUUUUUAUCCGAAAAGUAUUCCUCAGGAAUGUCACUCUGUUUCCCAUUGUUGAAGAAGAUUGGGUCAACUCAAAGUACAUGAAGAAUCCUCACGUUUUGAAAGAUCUCGGACAAGUUCCUGCACUGUUGAAGUGGGCUGAGUCUAGAGGAUAUUUGAUACACCUCUUUGCAACCAAGGAUGUAUCGAUAAGAUUUGCACUCUUCGAGUGAGGGCUGACUCCAAAAGAAAUUCGCGAAGAUGAGCAAGAAUGGAGAGAGAGAUUGAGAGUGAGAGAAGAGUAGAGAAAAGUUAAAAAGAAAUGAUUCAUUCUUGAUUUCCCUUACACGAAUUAGUUAUGCUAUACAUAUACUCCUCUGUCUUUUGGCGUUUAAAAGAAUACAGCUCAGCAUAACUUUGUAACAGAAAAUAUGACAGCAAUAUAUACCAGCAAAAUAUAAAGCCCUAUCAAUUUCACUAUACGACAUAAUCUUUAAACCACCCAGGGGGCCUUCUCACUCUUGUGCCUGUGUACCCUUCCUUACGAGCUACUUCUACUUCAACUUGUGAUGAGGCUUCCUUCAUGGGCUGCGCACAAUUAGACUCAUCGAUGGGCUGCCCUUCUCGUAAACAAUCCGGUUGAUCCAGCUGAAUGUGGGGGGUUGUAUCAUCCCCUCCAGCUUCAAAACUCACCUUGUCCUCAAGGUGAAAAUUAGGAUAAAGCUCACAGAAGGUUUCAAACUCUUCCCAAGUAGAAUCUUCAGGCGAAUUGUUCUGCCAUUGAACCAGAAUUUGGCGACAUCGCGUGCCUUAUUUAAGCACGGUUCUAAUAGCGCAAACUGCAGCAGGGAGAUAUAAUGGCUGAUUGUCCACACUAGUUGAUGGCAAGGAAUGGUGAUCAGGGGUAUGAGAACCAAGAAAGGGUUUGAGAAGUGAAAUGUGAAACACUGGAUGGAUCUUGGAACUGCUGGGCAAGGCAAGCUUAUAAGCUACAGGGCCAACUCGAGCUAGUACAGGAAAGGGGCCAUAAUACCGUUUAGCUAGCUUUUGACAAGAACGAGAUGCCACUGUCUUUUGGCGGUAUGGCUGAAGCUUCACUAGAACUUGGUCCCCAACAGCAAACUGAGCUUUGCGUCUAUGUGCAUUAGCCUUUUGAAUCAUGCGAUGUUGAGCUUGACGCAAAUUCUCUUUCAAGGAACGAAGUAAUGCAUCCUGUUCACUUAAAGCUUCAUCAAGAGCUUAGAUUGAAGUAGAGCCCUUUGAGUAAGGAGGAAUUGCUGGAGGUGGUCGCCUAAAAAGAGCUUGAAAAGGAGACAUUUUGAUGCUGCUGUGAUAAGUAGAAUUGUAGGAAAACUCAGCCCACCCAAGUAGAGAUACCCAUGAGUGUGGUUUGUCUUGGGUGAAAGUGCGAAGAUAUUGCUCCAAGCCGCGAUUGACAACCUCCGAUUGCCCAUCUGUUUGUGGGUGAUAGGCUGUACUGUGUCGAAGGGUAGUGCCACUUAACUCCAAAAAUUGCUUAAGAACACAAGGUCGCGAUCGGAAAUAAUAGAGGUCGGAAACCCAUGAAGCUUUAUUACCAUAUCCACGAACAAUUUGGCGGUCUUUAUGCUGUAAAUUGAGUGGGAAGGGAUCCAAAGUGUGCCGAUUUCGUAAGGCGAUCAACCACUACCAAUAUCACCGUGAAACCUCGCGAAACUGGAAGGCCAGUAAUGAAAUCCAUAGUGAGUUCGUCCCAAACUAAAGUGAGGAUAUGAAGAGGCUGCAGUGGACCUGCUGGUGCUUGAGUAGAAUAUUUAGUCUGUUGGCACACAAGGCAUUUGACCACAAAUCGCUCAACGUCCAUACGCAUUUUAGGUAAAAAAAAAUUAGAUGCCAAGCAGACCAGCGUGCGUUUGAUGCCUACAUGCUCUGCAAGUGGAGUAGAGUGGAAUUCAGCCAAUAGAACCGCUUUAAAGGAUGAUGAUGGACUGAUAUAGUAACGAUUGUGAUAAAAAAGGACCCCAUUAUGCCGCGAAUAAUCCCGUGAAAGAGAUCUCGUAGCAAACUGACGAUGAAGAUCAAUCAUUUCCGGAAGUGUGGAAUUCUCUAGUUUUAGAGUUGCUAACAACUCAAACGACGGGUGACUAAGGAGAGGCAAACAAGAAGCAGUCACUGUUGGUGUUUCCUCACUAGCCUCGUCAUGCAUUCGUGAUAAGGCGUCGGCUGCAAGAUUGGUACAGCCCGGUUUAUACUCAAUGCGGAAGUGAUAGCCUAGUAAUUUUCUGAUGUAGACUUGCCGAUCCGGAGUUUGAACUACCUGCUGGAGAAGUUCCUUAAUGCUCUUAUGGUCAGUUCAGAUUACAAAAAAUCUGCCUAAUAAGUAUUGUCGCCAUUUGUGCACCGCUUCAACAAUAGCGGUUAAUUCCUUGAUGUAGGUAGAAGAAGCACGAAGUCAAGGACCUAAUUUCUUACUGAAAUAAGAUAUGGGGUGCCCCGAUUGCAUAAGCAUAGCCCCGAUACCCACAUUAGAGGUAUCAGUCUCAAGAAUGAAGUCGGAGUCAAAAUCUGGUAGCUGCAACACAGGGGCUUCCACCAUUGCUCUUUUAAGAGCUUCAAAUGCCUCAGCUGCUGCUGGUGUCCACUGGAAGGCAUCUUUACAAAGAAAAUAAGUAAGUGGGGCUGCGAAAGACGCAUAUCCACGAAUAAACCGCCGGUAAUAACCCGUCAAACCCAAAAAAACCUCGAAGUUGUUUUGUAGUCUGAGGAGUUGGCCAACGAACCAUAGUUGUAAUUUUCUGAGGAUCGGCCCGCACACCAGAGGCCGAAACAAUGUGGCCUAGGUAAUCGAUAGCGUCUUGGCAAAACAAGCAUUUGGAUAGCUUGACAAAGAAGUGGUGAAAAUGAAGGCACCACAAGACUUGCUGAAGGUACCGCAAAUGUUCCUCUGCUGUAGCACUAUAAACCAAAAUGUCAUAAAAAAAAAUCACAAAUUUACGCAAAAAUGAAGCGAAAAUCUGGUUCAUAGUAGCUUGGAAGGUAGAAGGCGCGUUUGUUAACCCAAAUGGCAUGACGAGGAACUCAUAGUGGCCCUGAUGAGUGCGAAAAGCCAUUUUAUAAAUGUCGCGGUGGUGCACGCGAAUCUGAUGGUAACUAGCCUGCAAAUCCAACUUGCUAAAGAUUACUGCCCCACCUAAUUCAUCAAAUAAUUCGUCGAUAGUCGGAAUGGGGAAUUUAUCUUUAAUGGUGGCGGCAUUCAAAGCCCUGUAAUCAACACAGAAACGAUAGGUCCCAUCUUUUUUUUUUACCAACAAGACCGAUGAAGAAAAUGGACUUUGACUCGGUUGAAUGAUGCGUUGUUCUAACAUUUCACGGAUCAGUUUUUCCAUCUCAUUUUUUUGGAAGUGGGGGUAGCGAUAUGGGCGGACAUUUAUGGGAGUGGUGUUGGGGAGGAGAUGGAUUUUAUGAUCAAUUGUGCGAUGUGGCGGUAGGGUAGUAGGUGGAAGAAAUAAGUUGAGGUAGGUGUGUAGAAGGCCAACAAAGGGUGCGGUUAAAUGUGGAGGUAAUUCGAAGGAAGAACUCUUGGGAUUACUUUCUGAUUCCUCCCCGGGUACAGGUACCUGUUGCAGAGCGAACAAACUAUAAAUGUCAGCACUGUGGAUUAGAGAUUGCAACUGAUGAAAGGUGAUUAAGGAGGGAGUAGUGGAUAGUUCGCUGUGAAGAGUCACUGGUGCCCCAUUCCAACAAAAUUCCAUAGAGAGGGCAGAGUAAUCAUGAGAGACACGGCCCAAGAAUUGCAGCCAUUGUAUUCCCAACACCACAUCAGGCCCCUCAAUGGGCAGAACAAAGAGGUCCAAAGUGAAGAUCGUUCCCUGCAUCGUGAGAGCAACUUGAGGGCAAAAAUAUUUGCACACUAGAAAAUCCCCAUUGCCAAUAUAAACACGGAAAUGUGUUGUUGGCUGUAUCGGUAAGCCUAAACGCUCUAUCACUGUUGGUUUGAUAAAGUUGUGGGUACUUCUGCUAUCGAUCAAUACUUGAAAGCUGUGAGAACCAACUUCGCCAACCAAACGAAAUGAGUGGGGAUUUAUUUGACCCGCCAAAGCAUUCAAACUGGAAAUAUCCCCUGUUAUGAUCUCUUCGACAGAAUCCAGUGGCAAUUCUUGUUCACAAGAAACAAGCUCAUUAUCAUCAGUACCCAUAAGAAGCAAAAACUUACUACGACAGCGAUGAUUAGCGCUAUAUUUUUUAUCGCAGUUAUAACACAAUCCCUUCUCACGCUUGUCACGUAGCUCUGCUGGAGUAAGGCGGCGAAUCGGUAAGUUGGGUGUGGGUAGAAGUGGUGGUAACGUGUUUGGUUUCGGGGGUGGGGAAGUAUUGUGGGAAUGAGAUAUUGUUUGGGCCAUACCAGUGGAAUGGUGCGGUUGGGUUGAAGCAAGGGGAUAUGUGGUAGGCUGAAAUUUGUGUGACGGGGAGGUUGUGGUAGGAGUAGGUGACAUGGUGUUCCAUUUUGGCAAAAAAGGUGUCCUUGUUUGGCCUCCUCAGCACAGGCUUCAUACGCACGAGCUAGUGCAAAUGCUUCCAUUAGAGAAGAAGGCCGAUCAAAAAGCAGCUCACGACGAAUAUCGAGUUUCAAUCCCGUGAUAAAAAAACUUAUCAGAAGUGGUUCUAAAAUUCCAGUCACUCGAUUCAUUAAAUCUUCAAAAGAGGUCUGAAAUUCUGCCACUGUUGUGGUUUGGGAUAACUUAGACAAAUUUCCUUGAGGAUCUUCAUAGAGGGAGGCACCAAAACGAUGUUUAAGGUUCUGCAAAAAUUCUUUCCAGGUUGUCAACAAGCUGUUCAUUUUCAUCCAUUGAUACAACGCUGUCGCGCGUCCUUCCAUAUGAAAAGAAACAAUCCGCAAACGAAGAGUUUUCGGUGUACCGUGGAAAUCAAAGAACUCCUCAAUUCGAAAAACCCACCCGUUUGGGUAAGAUCCAUCAAACUUACGCACCUCCAUCCUCAUAGAACGGAGCACUGGGGACAACUCAAUACCACUGGAAUUUACCUCAUUAGAAGAAGAGGAUGGGUGUGGUGGAUUAGAAACCCGACCUAAGUGAUUGGAAGACCCAUGGAUCUAUGAACGCAAAUCAUCAAAGCGAGAAUCUACCGUGGCCAUAUAUUGUUGCAGCGUUUGAUGCAAGGACAAUGUUUGGCUCUCGAACUGUUCUUGGAUCGUCUUUAAAAGUUCAGAAUCCGUCAUUACGAUAGCAAUGAAAGCACCAAUGAUACACCUCUCUGCAACCAAGGAUGUAUGGAUAAGAUUUGCACUCUUCGAGUGAGGGCUGACUCCAAAAGAAACUCAUGAAGAUGAGCAAGAAUGGGGAGAGAGAUUGAGAGUGAGAGAAGAGUAGAGAAAGUUAAAAAGAAAUGAUUCAUUCUCGAUUCCCCUUACACGAAUUAGUUAUGCUAUACAUAUAUUCCUCUGUCUUUUGGCGUUUAAAAGAAUACAGCUCAGCAUAACUUUGUAACAGAAAAUAUGACAGCAACAUAUACCAGCAAAAUAUAAAGCCCUAUCAAUUUCACUAUACGACAUAAUCUUUAAACCACCUAGGGGGCCUUCUCACUCUUGUGCCUGUGUACCCUUUCUUACGAGCUACUUCUACUUCAACUUGUGAUGAGGCUUCCUUCAUGGGCUGCACACAAUUAGACUCAUCGAUGGGCUGCCCUUCUUGUAAACAAUCCGGUUGAUCCAACUGAAUAUGGGGGGUUGUAUCAAUAUUGUUAUGAAGAAUAUAAUUCGAAAACUACUCGUAACAAGGACAAUAUAUGUUUUAACACAAUUAAGCUCAGACCUCUUUUGCCUUUGCAAUAGGGAAACAAGCGUUGGCCCACACCGCCAUGGAUAUUGCUUAGGUACAGUUUCGACUACUAAUUAAAUUAAUUUCAUAUAUGAAGUGUAAUUACUUUAUUUCCUCGAACCAACUACGUAUCUAACACAAAAUUAGGGACGGUAAUUGCAGAAUUCGCAUAUGUAAAGAAGGCAAGAUUUAUGUAUAGCCGUGAUUUAAUUUGAUAUUCUAUUUCAUUUUUUUGGUUUGUUUAGGAGACUUGCUCUGUAAUACCACAAGCCGCGACAAUUGCUCAUUGGAAUGUCCCAAAGGUUACUUUUCAAAUCCGAGCGUUGGAUACUGCAACCAAAAUCUUAGUAUGCACAAAAAUUCUCUCAAAUUCAUUAUUAUAGGUAAGUAUUGGAAUUUGCAGAUUUUAUCGACAGAAUAACUUACCCCAUAUAUAUAGGCUCACAAACUUAACAGACUAAACAGUUCCUUGGCAUAAAUCACCUCGAAUGUGCAUUAAAUAUUCUUAGCCUGAAGUGUUGCAGGUUGCAGUAGUGGGCUUGGAAUGUUGUUCUUACUAAUUGGAACAUGGUGGUUAUACAAGUUCGUUAAAAGAAGAAGAGAAACCCAGCUCAAGCAAAAUUUCUUUAAAAGAAAUGGUGGUUUAUUAUUGCAACAACAGUCCUCAUCAAAUGAAGGUAAUACUGAGAAAACAAAAUUGUUUACUUCAAUGGAAUUAGAAAUAGCUGCUGACAACUUCAAUACCAAUCGAAUCCUUGGUCAAGGAGUCCAGGGCACAGUGUACAAAGGAAUGUUGGCAGAUGGAAGAAUUGCGGCUGUGAAAAAAUCCAAAUUAGUGGAUGAGGGUAAUGUUGAGCAAUUCAUCAAUGAGGUGGUAGUUUUAACUCAAAUUAACCACAUAAAUAUUGUUAAAUUGUUCAGAUGCUGCUUGGAGACAGAGGUUCCUCUUUUGGUGUAUGAAUUUAUUCCAAAUGGAACUCUCUAUCGAUAUAUACACGACCAAACUGAGGAGUUCACAAUCACAUGGGAACGUUUACGCAUUGAUGUAGAAGUUUCAGGUGCUUUGUCCUAUUUGCAUUCAACUACUUCUAUUCCUAUUUAUCAUCGAGACAUCAAGUCUGCAAAUAUACUUUUGGAUGAUAAAUUUCGAGCAAAAAUUUCAGAUUUUGGGGCUUCUAGAUAUGUCACGAUUGAUCAAACUCAUUUGACCACACGAGUACAAGGAACUUUUGGAUAUCUAGAUCUAGUGUACUUUCAGUCAAGUCAAUUUACAAAGAACGGUGAUGUUUAUAGUUUUGGAGUUGUUUUUGUUGGGCUUUUAACUGGACAAAAACCUAUCCGUUCAACUGACAUCGAAGAAGAUAAAAGUUUAGCAGGGUAUUUUCUCCGAGCAAUGAAAGAGAACUGUUUGUUUGAUAUGCUUGAUGCUUAAGUUCUUAAGGAAGCCAAGGAAGAAGAGAUUAUUACCAUUGCUAUGCUUGCAAAAAGAUGCUUGAACUUGAAUGGGAGGAAGAGACCUACAAUGAAAGAAGUAGCAUUUGAAUUAGGGGGCAUUAGAGCUUCAAUCGGACCUCAAAAUUGUGAAGGCAUUGAUUUUGUGGGUGGCAAUUUUAAAACUGGUUCAUCUUCCACAGGGGCAAUUUUAAAUGCUGUUGCUUUUUCUGUAGAUGCUGACCCUUUGUUUUCAAACAAGUGGUGAUUAAAGGGAAAUUCUUCCCUUUGAAAUGUAAUUAUUUCAUUUCAAAAUAAAUUUAGUUGUGGACUUUUGCAUUAUGCUUCUCUUAUGGUUAAAAUUUUUCACUCUAGAUCAAAAUAUACAGAGUUUGAUGUUCACUUUGUAAGUAGUCAGUGGAGAAAUAAAUUUACAAGGUAGAUUCCAAAAAAGCAUCUGGUGGCAGACAUAUUUAAAGAUUUAAGAAGUAAACCUCUAAUGCUACCAUUAUUUAGGGGCCCUGUGCAUCAAGAAACAGAGGACCCUGCACUCGAACUUUGAAGCUGAAGGAGUUGGACAUCUCAGCAUCUGAGUCUGCAUACAAGUGGAACAGGAGAUGCUGACAUGACAUCCUACGUGGAACUUAUGCGACACAUAUAAUGAGUCCAAUUCGUUCCUAGUUCAUACGCUUACAUUGUAACCCCGUUCUGUGUUUCCAGUACCAUUGGUGAAUCAUCACUUCGUGCCAUUGUAUUGCUAAUAGCACCUUUGCCUUGAUUGAUUUUGCUGACAAUAUGUAGGUUGCAUUUGGAACUGAGGUGCUAUAACUUUUAAUCUGCAGUUAUUGUGGAGUAAAAGUCAUAGUUGUGGUGUACAAGCUAAUGGUGUUGGGUAAAUUUUAAUAGUUGUGGAGUGGAAGCUAUAGUGUUUGGUAAAUUUUAAUACAUGUAGAGUGGAAAUUGAUGAAUAUUUGUAAUAAUUAAUUUUAAAUAAUAUUAUUUUUAAUUAUUAAUUAAUCAAAUUAGUUUUCAUAUUUUGAAUUAUUAGAUUAACAUAUGAUUGUGUUUAUUACUUUGACAAAUUAAAUUAAUAUUUAAUUAAUCAAAUUUAUUUUUCUAUACAAGUUGUAAUAAAUAUUUUUUAAAACAAAAUAAUUUAAAAUUGAAAAUAAAUAAAUUCUAAUUUUACACAUUGAUUGAAGAAAUAAAUUAUACUAAAUAUGUCUAAUAAAGAUCAUACAACAUAACAUUAUAAAAUUAAAAUGUAAUUAAUUACAAAAUUCUUAUAAACAUUUCCAUUGUCAUGCCUCCAUUAAACUUGCAGCAACGCCAUCUCUGAAGAUUAUUUUAUCUUGAGUUAUGUUAUCGACUGUAUCAUAACUUUUUGUGGGAGAUGCAAUAUAGCUUAUAUGUUCACUAUUAUUAUGAUUUAGCUUAUCCAUUGUUUCAUCAAAAUGAUCAUGAUUUUGUGAAUAUCCUUUGAUGUAAUUAUGUAAGGCCAUGGUAGUAAUAACUAUCUUCACCUGCUUCUUUAAUGUAUGGCUUGGCAUAUUUUGUAAAAUCUUCCUUAUUUGUUUUAAACCCCAAAAGAACUUGUUAGAAUGAACAAUACUCUCAACAUUAAGAGAUUCAAAUGCCUCAUUACUCUUUAAAGGAAAACUAGAUGAGGGAAACCAAACAAGGUCACUUGUAGCCACUGCAUUUGAAUAGUUAAUUUAGUUUUUUCUCCAACUAUGAAUCAAUACCAUUUUUUUGAAUUCUAUUGAAUUGCAAAUUUUCAUUUAUUUUCUUUUCCUACCGGUCCUCACUUGCAUCAACUAUACUUAACUAUGAUUCCACCUUAAAUAUGUUUCCUAGUCAAUCAUAUUCUUCCACAAUUUCCAAUUAGUUCUAAGAGAAUCCUAUUUGUUUUUCAUUUGAGUUCUAUUAUAAUCCAAUCCAAUUUCUUCAGUGAAUUCCUUAAUGAAAUAUUUAUAUGCUUGGAAAGUAGCCUUACUAGCUGAGCUACUAGACCUAAUUUCGUACACUUACACCUAGAAUAAAGAAUAAUAUUUCUUUGUCAAACAACAAUACCGGAAAGAGAUUAAUUAAGAGCAAUACCCAAUUUUUUUAAAAACAAAUAACACUAAUUAAGGAUGAAUUAUGUGUAGCAGCAAUGAACUAUGUCUAACGUUACACACCUGUAACACCCCAGCCCAACUUUGAGGACAAAUCUAACCACAACUCACCUAUGUACUUAAAUAUCUCUUUACAAUCAACAACAAUUCAAGUCUUAAAUACAAUAUUUAAAUAGCAGGAGACUUUAAAGAUUUUGCACAAUCAUCUACCAUCCUCAAUUUAAGUCUUCUCCUCACUCAUCACGAAUAAAUCUUGACUUCUGAAAACUGAAUCACAAUAAACUAUAAUGAGUACAAAACUCAAUAAGUAAACUGGUUUUUCAUAUACCAAAAUAGAUACAUACUUAUAUACAAUGUAAAUAGAUAAUAUGCCAUGAUAUUUUCAAAACACUAUAAAAUAAAUUCAUCAAAAUCUCUUUCUGUUGCUUUCAAACUUUCACAUUUUCUUUCAAUAAAAUACAUAUCAUGCAUAAGGCAUUUUGCGCAAUACUUGGCACUUUGCACUAUGCGUUGCACUUCACGACACUCUGACCCUCGAGAGGUGGCCCCUACAUAGUCUCAAAAGGUGGCCCCCACACGGCUUCAAGAGGUGGCCCCCAAUGCAAACUCUCAUAAAACUAAGUAUAAUAGCAAAAUUCAUGUACAAAUCAUAAAAUUAUAAAAUGCAAUAUUAUUAAACAUACUUUUUAUAAAAGCUUUGCAUGUUCAUGCUUAUGCCAAUGAACUUUCAUGCACACAUAUGCCCAUGCAUAUAAUCAUGUUCAACACAUAACAACACAUCACAUAAACACAUGGGUAGAAACAUAUAAAUCAUAUAUGUGCAUAUAAAAAAUAGGUUUUUCAAACAUGUCAAACAUAUACAUAUUAAUUUAUUGUGAUCCAUUUAGAAGUUUAGUUUACUUACCUCUUGGCAUCCACAUGUAACAAAUGCGUAUUGAUAUCAUCAACCUAAAAAUCAUUUAUAAACUCUCAUUAGAUAUAAUCAAGUCCUAAUCAUAAUUCUAAUGUCCUCAAAUUUCUCAUUUUAAACAUAUCCUAAACUCAACCUCAAAUACUCUCAAUAUUCGAUCCCAAAACAGAACAACCCAUGUUCUCUGAUUUUUGAUAAUUUAUUAUCUUAUUGGAAAAGUCCCAAAUUUUCAAGAGUAUAUGCUAACAUACUAGAAAUUCAUUGAUUAAAAUUUCAUAACUUAAUUCUUUCAAAAACUAUUGAAAAUAAUUUACGUUUCAGAUAUCAUUAAUUCUGUCAAACAACUUUCUAUUUUAAACAUACUUGUUUUAAAAAUACAAAACAAUUUAUUGUUUUAUCAUAAAAUCAUGAAAAUUUCCAAAAUCACACUAGACAAAUAUAAAAGUUGCUAAUCCAAGUUUCAUAAUUUUGGAAGAAAUCUAGCUAUGGUAAGAUAAAUUCGUAAUUCAUGUUCUUCAUUGAAAUUAGAAAUUUCCAUGUUUUCAAACUUGAGUUUAAAAAUUGUAAUUAAUUGAAAUCUUAUCCGGUUAGCUUGAAACAAGUUCCAAACAUUCUUCUAGUUUAAGAUAUUCAAAAUCUAGAAUCAAAAUCAAUUUGUACAAAUGGCUAUGAUUUUCGAAAUAACACUCUGUCAGCAUAUUUUCUGUGAAAUCUUAAGUUCUACUUCUAUUACUACUAUCUAACCAUGCUUCUCUAUAACAAUUAACACACUCUCAGCAUAGUUUCUGUGAAAUUUACCUCCAAUUCUCUCUCGACAUAAUAUCCAAUUCAAAAGCCACUACUUUGAUCUCAUGUGUCGCUCAUGGCUAACAAAGAAGAAGACUUUCUUUUUCUUCUUCUCUUCUUCUUUUUCAUGUGUUCUUUUUUUUUUUAACUCGCUCUCUCUCUCUCUCUCUCUCUCUCACAUUAAUAGCAAAGGAAGGCAUCUAUUGGGGUAUUACGCGUUUACCCCUUAAAAGAAUUUCGUCCUCGAAAUUCGCUUUUAGUUAUGCUCAAAAGAAUCUAAACCUCAAAAUCACUUAUGACCAAUAAAUCCUUAUAAAGACUAAAAAGAAACAUAUCAUGCUGUCGUUGCGCUACUCUGAUGCCUCAAUUAUAUAUUUCUUGGAAACAAAAUCACAAAGCGUAAAGGUGUGGUAUAGACCUAAUUCUAUUCAUCCUUACAACAUCCUUUCCAAGCGAUGUAGGAUGUCACAAAUGUCCACACAUUCUUGAUUGGGAAUGCUCUAAUACCAUUUGUAACAUCUCAACCUAAACUCUAAGGACAAAUUAAUCUAACAAUAACUCACAUAUGUACUUAAAUAUCUCUUUACAAUCAACAAUAAUUCAAGCCUCAAAUACAAUAUUUAAAUAGCGGGCGACUUUAAAAAUUUUGUCAAACCAUCUACCAUCCUUAAUUCAAGUAUUCUUCUCACUCAUCACGAAUAAAUCUUGACUUUUGGAAAUUGAAUCACAAUAAACUAUAAUGAGUACAAAACUUAAAAAGCAAACUAGUUUUUCAUAUACAUAGAUACUUAUAUAUAAUAUAAAUAGAUGAUAUGCCAUGAUCAAUUCAAAAUAUUGUAAAACAAAUUCAUCAAAAUCUCUUUCUGUCGUUUUCAAACUUUCACAUUUUCUUUCAAUAAAAUACAUAUCAUGCAUCUAGUAAUUUACGCAAUGUGUGGUACUUUGGACUAUGCGUAGCACUUCGCGGCACUCUAUCCCUCGAGAGGUGGUGCAACACCUUGGCAAAUCCUACAUUGACAAAGCAUAGAAGAGAUGUUGGGUUUAUAAGAGGUGUUUCAUGACACGACACAAAAGCGUAUUACUCACAAGUAUAAGAGUGUCUAGUUAUAAUAUAACCCGGUGAGUCUAGGGUCGAACCAUAGGGAAUUUUAAAAUCUAGUUGUCAAUUUGUUAAACAGAGAAAAUAAUUCUGGGGAAAUAAAUUAUUUGAAAACAAUUUAAAAAUAUGCUAAGGUUACGGGAUCCACUCUCAGUAUUCAAACUAUAAUUUUUAUACUCUCUCAUUUAUAUUUUGCCUCACUUUUACUAGUUAAUUAUUAUAUCACUUAAUUCUAUGUGUGAGGAUAAAUAUGGAAUAAAGUACCCAAAUUUUGACAUGGAAGAACUGGUUGGAAAGGCUGUGCAUGAUUGUCAUUUGUCCAACUGAAAUUUGGGUGGUUUCUCCAACCAAAGUUGUAAGUUUGGGAGUAUUGAUUUGAAUUUGGCCUUUUGAAAUUGUCAACGACAUUUACUUGUUCAUGCAAACUUUCUCUCAGAGCUGGCAAAGUUGGACAGUCCUGCAUAGAAUGGUCAGUAGAAUUGCAAACAUAACGUGAAAUAUUUUGAACAGACUUUACAUGAUCAUUCCUUUUCAACUCUAAUGCUUCGACUUUUCUAGCUAAGAAUGCAAAUGUGGCUUGAAAAUCACGGUCUUCCCUAAGGUUGUGCAUGCCUCCACUAAAUGGAGAUGACUGAGGCUUACUUGAUGACUCAUAAGAACCAACUGUAUCCCAGUGUUGUGCAUUCUCUGCUAUAUAGUUAAGAUAGUCUAAUGCAUUUUCAAGACUUUUAUCCCUAAACUCACCAUUACACAUCAUUUCAACGACUUGUCUGCCUUGGGAUGUUAAUCCCUCGUAGAAAUAAGACACUAAUCUCCAUGUUUCAAAAUCGUGGUGUGGGCAAAUGUUAAGUAGUUCUUUAAACCUAUCCCAACAUUGGUAGAGGGUUUCUCCUGGUUUUUGAGUGAAUGUGGUGAUUUGUCUUUUGAAAGAAUUUGUUAUGUGGGGUGGGAAUAAUGUUUUCAAAAAUUAUACUUGCAUUUCAUCCCAAGUUCUGAUAGAUCAUGACCUAAUGUUAGAGUGCAAUUUAUGCACUAGUUUUGUAUUGUUUACUUCCUUUAAUAUCGAUGUUUUGUACUUAAUGAUAGUGAUUUACUUGUCUUUUAUUUUUGUAGGUGCAAUUCUAUUGAUUGGUGCUAAAAUUGAGCUACAAGAUGAUGUUUGAGGAUGAUUGUUUUCCUGGAGAAAUUAUGAGCUUUAAAAGAACUUUGUUGAUAAGGCGUGGGCGCGUGCUGUCAACUAAGGACUUGCAGUUUUUAUUUUAACGUGUUUUAUAUUUUUGGUUAUUUUUGUAAUUUCAAAUUUAAUAUUUACAUAAUAUUUUAGAUAUUAGUAUUUUAUUUUGGGAGAAACGCUAGAAGAGGGGGGAGAGAGAUUUUUGGAAAAAGAAGAAAAAGUAACCCUAAAUCUAAUUUUUCUCUUCUCUCUAUGAAGAACUAAACCUAUUAUUCUGGUUAAAGGUUAAUAAAGCUUUGAUUCAUCAUUAUUGUGAGAUCUUUCUUAUGCUUUAAUUGUUUUAUUGCUUUUUGGGUAUUUGUUUAUUCUCUAAAUUAUUGUCAUGAUUAUGUUUGUUAAUUAGAUAAUUGGCCACUACUUAAUUAUCAACUUAAUCUAUUAUCAAUUAAAAGAUUCAUCGUAUGAAGAUUUUAAUGUUUAUGACAAAUAAUAUAGUAGUGCGUUGUGUUAUGAGAAUAAACAAUCUAAUUUAAAUGAAGUAUCGUAUGCGUUUGUUGAUUAGGAUUUGGGUCUCUCUGGUUUUUCAGGCUGUCAAUUGAUUAAAUCCUAUGAUCGUAUCUAGGGUUGUCUAUUGUUUAGGGAAAUAACCAAUGGUCGUACCUUGGUUAUAGACUAGUUAAGGAGAGAUUGACUAUUAGAGAGUCUCAGUAGCUAUAACCGGUCUAUUCAUAAGUAGUAGUGAUUUAUAUUUGAAUCAAUGAUUAGUAGUUGAAUUAAGCUGAGUUAAUUCCUUCAACCAGAGCUUUUCCUAAUUUGAAUUAAAAUUUGAAUUUGCAUUUUUGUUAUUUUAAUUUGAUUUUUAUUAUUGUCAACAAUCCCCCCCAUUUUGCAUUUUACAUUUUAAAAUAAUUUAAAUAAUUAUCGAUAUCUGUGGACACGACCUUAUGAAGGUUUUUCGGUGAAUAUUGUGGAGGAAGUGACUCUCGAGAGUCCCAUUUAUGCAGAUUGAUGCAUGAAUGUGUCUAACCAAAGAUAUAAAACAAAGGCGCUUUUUGGGAGGAAACCCAAAUGAUUUAUUUAUUUUGAAUUUUGUUAUAUCUUUUGUUUUUAAUUUUGAUUCAGAUUGUUUAAAUAAUGUUUUUGCUUAUUUUGGCCAGAAGAAAUUUUUUGGUUAGGCGUGCCCACGUUUUAACUAAUAAGAACUUCUAUGAUUUUAAAGUACAAUGGUUUUAAGGCUUGCCCAUAUGCUUAUUAAAAAAGUACUUCUGUAAAUUUUUUUGGUGUCUCAAGUGUCUCUUUUAGUUUUUAGUUUCAAUAAAAAAAAUAUUUGAAAAUAAAAAGGUUUUUUAAAAAAUUUUAUUUGAUAAAAAAAAUUGAAAUUUUUUUUUCAGGUUUUAAUCCCUAGCGCGCAGCUCUAGCCCGCGUCUCCAGUGCAAGCAGCCGCGUCUGCACCAGCCCAGCAUCCUGCGCGCAGUACCAGCCUUGAAACCAGCACCAGCGUCUCCAGCGCGCGUUUGCACCAGCCCUGCAAGCAGUCCAAGCCCAGCAACCCGCACAGCCUCACUCUCCUCUGUUCAAAGGACCGCCGCUUUUCGCAUUCAAACAAAACCCGUGAGUGAAAUUACUGUAACAAUGCCAAAGAGGAAAGCAUCAACUUCCAAGUUAUCAACGUCUAAAAAAAACUCGUUGCAAAGAAAUCCAAGAUUGCCGCUCCCACUACGGUCCCAUGGAACACAGUUUCAGAUUCACGCCAAGCCGUGAGACAAAGAUCGAAAUAUGGAAAAGGCAUGAGUGUUUUGCCACUUGCUGAAUCUAAUCUCAGAGGGUGCCUCACAUUCACGACUCAACAAGAGAAAGAAAUGUACAAAGAUAUUUCCAAGUGAAAAAUACUUCCAGCUAAGUAUAUUCAUUACCCGACUCUUGAAAAAUUGAAUGUUAAGGAUAAUUUUAAUUCUUUGAUAGAUAAGAUUGGUUUGCGUAAGUUUGUUGAUGUUGAUUGUUUGGGUUAUGUUGAGUUGAUUAGGGAGUUCUAUGCUACUUUUCAAUUUAAUAUACCGAAUGAUUUUACUUUGCAUACUCUGAAUGUUAUAAAGUUUAGGUUAAUGCGACGAAAUUUUUCACAAUCUAUUACAGAUUUUAACCUAGCUUUAGGAUUCAUUGAUGAUGAUUAUUCUUCUAGUGAUGCAUAUUUAGGGACAAAUUGUGACUUUAGCAAAAAUUUUGAGCCUUAUGGUCUUUGGCGUAAUUUAUUUUUUGAUCACAAUGCCUACGACCCGAGUAAAUCAAAGAGCUCUUUUUUACGUGAUCCUGUUUUGAAAUGUGUGCAUCGGUUCUUAGCAUUAGGAAAUAAAGAUCACUCGAGAGUUUUCUCUAAAAUUGAGUUUUAUUUUAUUUGGUGCAUGUUAAAUGAUGUGAGGCCUAAUCUAGGUUUUUAGUUAGCAGAUCAAUUUUAGAGUGUGCUUAAACGGUAUAGGACUUUAUUUCUUGGUCCAUACAUUACUCUGUUAGCUAUAAACUUAUGUGUACUUGAUCUUGACAAUAAUGAUUUACAUCUUGCUUGCAAAAAGGAAUUUUUGGAUAUGUCUUUGUUUGAAAGAGCAGGUUUGGUCUAAUUCGAGGGGAGAUUUCAGUUUACUGAACCAGGACCCACUCAAAUUCCAAAGAAGCUUUAUGCUAGGAGUCGUGCUACCUCUGAUGACGUGUUUGGCGACGAAAUUGCUGCCCCACCAACUAUUCCUGCUACAUCUGCACCACCUUUGAGCAUUUAGUUAGAGAAAAUGGAGCACAUGCUAAACAAGAUGAAGCAGAAUUUGGCCGCAUACUUCGAGAGUGUGGGAUUUAUCCCACCAUUUCCGUCAAGCCCAUAAACGUUAUGUGGAUCAAAGCUCACAAUUCAGAGAAGUUUUGCCUUUAAUCUUUUAUCCUUAUGCUUUAUUUCUUUAUGUGAGCUUUGAUUAUCAUACAUUGAGGACAAUGUAAGUUCUUGGUGUGGGGGAGGGAUUUUUGCAAUAUUGAUAUCUGGAAGUAUUAUUUUCACUCUGCUCAUCUUUAAAUGAUUUUGGAGUUAGUAUGCUUCAUAUAUUAUUCUUAAUUUUUUUCUUUUCUUUUCUUUCUCAAUACUCUUUUCCCAUCUAUCUCAAAUUAUUUACAUCUAUUUUUAUUUUAUCAUACUCUUUCAUCACUCACAUUUUAUAUUUCACUUUUUAUAUUACUACAUACAUCUUUCUCGCUUCUUAUCCUCUUGACCUUUCCUUUUAUAUAUCACUCAUACCUUCUUCUCAUUCUACACCACUAUUGAUGGUUGUUUCAUUUGAAGAGUGUACAUGAUUUGAUGGCAAAUUUACCAACUUUGUGAGGAUUUGAGCCUAUGAGCAACCAUUUUGCUCUAAUUAUUUUUGUUAUGUGAAUAUCAAUCUUAGUUUGUUUAUUCUAGAACUUGCUUUGUUAUGCAUGUUGAAGCCAUAUUACGGGAUUUUAUGCAUUAAAAUGAUAAGGGCAAACCACUUUCCAUUUCUCUAUUUUCGAAUUUUUCUUCUUUUUCUCCAUCCGAAGACCUUUAUUUGUUAUCUUUGUUUGAGCCUUAACCAUUCUCUUCACUUGUUUUAUUAUUAUUACUUUUGACCAUCUAAUUCUCUCCAUCUACUUACCCAUUUUCCUUUUUUUUGAGCUCCAAUUUAAGGAGAUUUUUGGACUCAUUGUUUGGAUAUAUUUUGUAUAUAUUCUGUUGCUUUUGCUACAUUGAAUUAAAGUUUCUCAAUUAGAUCAACAAGCAUUAUGCUUGAAUUAAAUUGUGCAAGGUUCAUUUCUUUUGUUUGGUUCACCAUUACUGUGAAAAAAGAAAAAAAAGAAAAAAAACAUUAAAAAAAAGUGUUUAUAUUCUUGGCGAUUUGAGUAGAAAUAAGUGUUUUGAUAUUAUAAGGUUCAUUCAAUGAGUUCAUUCUUCUCGGUUUGAUCUCUUUUUCUUUCAUAGACCUUUCUUUUUUAUUUAACCCAUUUAACCUUGUUACAACCUUUUUAAGACCCUUAGAUUUUUUCAUUUAAUUCAUGUUUUGUGGAUUGAGAUGUGAUAUAUGAGCAAUCUUAUGGUAAUAGCAUUCUUUGAUUUGAUUUGAGUGCAUAAAUGAUACCCUAAACACUUUGAGUGCAUGAAGUGAAGUCAAUGAGAGGGCUAUUAAAUCUUGUUGCACUUGAAUUUUGAAUGGAUCUUCUUGGUGGAUUGAAUGCUUUUAUACUAGCUUAUGAGAUCCUAUACUUUAAAAUCCUUGUCUCUCGAAUGUUGAUUGACUUAAAUUCUUGAGGUAUGCUUGCUUAAAUUUGUUUUUGGAUGAGUUGAGAUGAGAAUUGAGUGGAGAUUUGGGAUUAGUCUUGAGUUAUAUGCUUGAGGACAAGUAUUAUCUUGGUGUGGGGGAAUUUGUUAGAGUGCAAUUUAUGCACUAGUUUUGUAUUGUUUACUUCCUUUAAUAUCGAUGUUUUGCACUUAAUAAUAGUGAUUUACUUGUAUUUUAUUUUUGUAGGUGCAAUUCUAUUGAUUGAUGCUAAAAUUGAGCUACAAGAUGAUGUUUGAGGAUGAUUGUUUUCCUGGAGAAAUUAUGAGCUUCAGAAGAACUUUGUUGAUAAGGCGUGGGCAUGUGCAGUCAACUAAGGACCUGCGGUUUUUAUUUUAACGAGUUUUAUCUUUUUGGUUAUUUUUGUAAUUUUGAAUUUAAUAUUUAGAUAAUAUUUUAGAUAUUAGUAUUUUAUUUUGGGAGAAAUGCUAGAAGAGGGGGGAGAGAGAUUUUUGGAAAAAGAAGAAAAAGAAACCCUAAAUCUAAUUUGUCUCUUUUCUCUAUGAAGAACUAAACUUAUUAUUCUGGUUGAAGGUUAAUAAAGCUUUGAUUCAUCAUUACUGUGAGAACUUUUUUAUGCUUUAAUUGUUUUAUAGCUUUUUGGGUAUUUAUUUAUUCUCUAAAUUAUUGUCAUGAUUAUGUUUGUUAAUUAGAUAAUUGGCCACUACUUAAUUAUCAACAUAAUCUAUUGUCAAUUAAAAGAUUCAUCGUAUGAAGAUUUUAAUGUUUGUGACAAAUAGCAUAGCAGUGCGUUGUGUUAUGAGAAUAAACAAUCUAAUUGAAAUGAACCAUCGUAUGCAUUUGUUAAUUAGGAUUUGGAUCUCUCUGGUUUUUCAGGCUGUCAAUUGAUUAAACCCUAUGAUCGUAUCUAGGGUUGUCUAUUGAUUAGGGAAAUAACCAAUGGUCGUACCUUGGUUAUCGACUAGUUAAGGAGAGAUUGGCUAUUAGAGGGUCUCAGUAGCUAUAACCGGUCUAUUCAUAAGUAUUAGUGAUUCAUAUUUGAAUCAAUGAUCAGUAGUCGAAUCAAACUGAGUUAAUUCCUUCGACCAGAGCUUUUCACAAUUUGAAUUACAAUUUUAAUUUGCAUUCUUGUUAUUUUAAUUUGAUUUUUAUUAUUGUCAACAAUCCCCCCCCCAUUUUGCAUUUUACAUUUUAAAAUGAUUUAAAUAAUUACUGAUCUCUGUGGACACGACCCUGCUUAAUCACUAUACACAAUUUAUUUAGAGUAGGUAUUUAUUUUUGCUGGCUUCGACAACCAUCACCUAAGAUUUUGUAGCCAAGUUUUAUCUUUAUCCUUUAGUAAGAAAAGAAAAAACUUAAGCCUGAUUAUAUUCAUGCUACAAUUUUGAUCAGUACAUGUGUUACAGACUUCCUCAAAUUCCCUUAAAUGCAAAUAUGGAUUUUCAGACACAAAACCAUGAAAAAUAGGAAGAAGUUGAAUGAUACCAGGUUUGAAAUUAAAACGUGAUGCAUCAGGAGGGAAAACUAUGCAUGAUGGUGAUCUUGUUCUAGUGGGAUGCAUGAAGUCUUUAAGGGUCCUAGGCUGUUCAUGAAGAUUUUGCAAGACUUGGUCAUUUUCGUACUCCGAAAAUUUUUUAGCUCCUAUGUCAGCCAUAUCUAAGGGUGGUGAAGGUGAUCUCCUAAUUAAUCUGCCACUAUUUGUACGAGACCAACAAUGCAUGCAAUGCUAAUGAUGUGUGCUAAACCAAUGAUGCAUAAAAUGCUAAAUGAAAAUUGUAGAAAAUAAAAAUAAACUGGAAAUUAAAUAAGUAAAAAUGCGAAAUAAAAAUAAACAAAUUGAAAAUAAAUUAGGUGGUGAAACCAGCCAUAAACAAAGAAAUUACAAAAAUAAAUAAAUUUGGCAGUGAAACCAACCAUAAACAAAGAAAUUAAAAAAAACAGUUUAGGCGGUAUUUUAAAACCAGCCAUAUAAUAAAACAUAAAAUUAAAUUAAUUAAUGUACAAGAAUAAAUAAACUGAAAUUAAAAUGAUAGGCCGUAAAACCAACCAUAUCAAUAAAUUAACAAAUUGAAAUUAAAAUUCUAGGCGGUAGAACCGAACAUUUAAAAUAAAUGCGGAAAGUAAAUUGUAGAAAUUUGGGAACUGAUUUGCAAAGGUUUUUGGGCUAAAAUGAAGUUUCUCACAAAUUUUAUAGAUAAUGUUAAAGUUUGAAAAGAGGAGGGGCACUGACUGAAGUUUUACAAAAAGAGAAUAAAAUAGAAUCACAGAAAGAUAGUAACGACAAAAAAAUAUUAAAAUAAACUAAAGUAAAGAUAAACUGACACCAAAUUUAGAAAACUCCGCGGUAACGGCGCAAAAAACCUGACACGACUUAAAAGUGUAUUACUCCCAAGUAUGAAAAUGUCUAGUUAUAAUAUAACUCGGUGAGUUUGGGGUCGAACCACAGGAAAUUUUAAAAUCUAGUUGUCAAUUUGUUAAACAAAGAAAAUAAUUGUGGGGAAAAUAAAUUAUUUGAAAACAAUUUAAAAAUAUGCCAAGGUUAUGAGAUCCACUCUCAGUAUUCAAACUAUAAUUUUAAUACUUUCUCAUUUAUAUUUUGCCUCACUUUUACUAGUUAAUUAUUAUAUCAUUUAAUUUUAUGUGUGUGGAUAAAUAUUGAAUAAAGUACCUAAUGUGCCACACUAUAUUAAUGUGUCGACAUUAUGUCAAAAUACCAUACAAAUCCAAAGAAAUUUAUAAAUUAACAUGACAUAAAAAUAACUAGAAAAGAAUAAAAUAAACUUAAAAACUCAUUUGAGAAAAUAAUAAAUUUAAUAGUUUGAAAUAUUGAGUUUCACCCUUCACUUCAACUUAAUAAAAUUAGUCACUCAUAUUGAAAGAAAACACAAUACUCUUUUUAUUUCUUGUACUUUUGAAAUAUGUUACAAAGAAAAUUGAUACAGACGAAAACAAGAAAAGAAAAGAAAAGAAAAGAAAAGAAAAGAAAAGAAACAAAGAAACAAAGAAAUUCUUCAACUACACCCUUAGCUAUCACUCUCUCUCAGAACUCGGCUCCGUCCCCCAAUGGCUUGUAUCUCCUUGCAUUUUAUAGGCAAGGGAAGCAUCUUCUUUUCUUUUAUUUCAUUAAUAUUAAUAUUUUAUUUUAUUUUUAUAUUAUAAAUAUGUUAAUUGAAAUGUGUGAUGGCCUCCUGACCAUCACCAACAUGCUUGCCAAUCCUUUUUUUUAUUUGUUUUAUUUUUAAUAACAUCUCCUCGAUUGAUGAAUUCUAAAUUGCUCCAGCUGUCUUUCUUUAUUCUCGCUUUUAACUCCAAUUCCAUCUUUAUUCCUGAAAAAUAUUUAUAAGGUAAAAAUUAACAUAUUGCAAAUUAAUUUAACAAAAAAAUAUAUUUGGGGAAUAUUAAAAUAAUUUAAAAAUAAUGAGCGCAUUAAUUGACACAAUAAGUGAAAUACUAAUAAUUUUAUCCUUAUUAAAUGUGCACUUUUUAGUGUCAAUCACACCCCCCAACCAGCCCCAACCUGCUUAUUGCUAGGUAUUAGCAAUUUAAGCGAUAAAAGUUUAGUAAAAUUCAAACUCAAAUUGAAUUUUUUUUAAAAAAAUUGUAUUUACUUCUUUCAUCAGAUUAAUGACAACAAUCAAAUAAAAGUAUACUCAUUAUCUUUAACCUAAAGAAAAUCACACCUGCACAAAAAAGUUAAGUAAAAUCACGUAAAAUAAUCAAUUAUCAGAGCUAUAUUAAUCAAGUCACUUUUAAGAAUGAUACAUCAAAUCUCAAAACCUCACAAAUAAGAGUGACUCUCUCAAAAAAAAAUAUUCCCAAAAUUAAAUUGUCACUCUAAACAUGGUAGAUUUGAGAGAAUAAUAAAAUAAUAUCACACGCUCUCACUAAGAUGAAAAAAUAAUGUCUACAGCUUAAAAAUAAAAUGAUCUCAAGUCCAAGGAAUUACUAGCAAAAUUUAUUUUUAUUUUUAUGCAUCACCACAUCUUUUAGUCCAUAUUACCAGCUUUUACUUCAGACUAUAGUUCCGAAAAAUCGAGAAGGACUUUUAUUAGGACGUAACGUAGGCUAAGAUUAUCGCUAACAAAAAAGGUAAUAGGGAAAACAAAAAUAUAUGUUUAAAAAAUAAGGGACUUUUUGGAGAUUACAAGAUUCUUUUUUUUUCUUGGAUUUGUUUUCUCUUUUUUUGUUUUUUUUUUCAUUUUUAUUUUUAUAUACAUAUCCUCUCUUUUUUUUCAUAACACCAUUAUUAGAAAUACAUAAUCAUCCCUAUUUUCAAACAUAAUUGGGUGGUGGAAAACAUAAUAUAUAAGGUGAUACUCCACAUUGGAGUGGGAUAAUAUAAUAGGUUAUCAAAGGAAAAGUUUUUUUUUUUCAAAAGCUCAAAGGGGUUAACUAUGGACUCUUUAUAAUAGAGUUUGAUACAAAAGGCUUAAACAAAUCAAAGAUAGCCUUCUGUCAUUUUUUAGAGCUCUAAAUAAUCUUUCAUAUCUACUAGUUCAAUGGACUUUUAGAUGCAGCUGCACAAACUUUCUUUUUUUCACUCUUUUUUUUAAUAAAAAAUAUUGAGAUCUUGUACAAUAAAUUGUGAAGCUGUAUAGGCAAACAUGGUUACUCUCCAAGGAUAAUAGGCUCAAAAACUCGCUUGAACUUUUCAUAACAUGUACAUUCAUCCAAAUAGCUUAAUCAAAUUUACUCAUCAAAUUUCUCAAUUUAUGUUUCAACAUGCAACGGGGAAAACAUAGUGUAACAUAACUCCAGGCCAACGAUAAUACAAAUACCAAAAUUUGAAAAUCAUCAUGUUAUCCAAUGUUAAAAGAUCAUAUUGAAAAAGAAAACUCUUUUUUUUUUGUUAAAGAAACACUAAAAACAAUCUGGACUGAUUACAGAAACUUAAGGGAGAUGAUUAAGAGAAAAAGAGAAAAAGACAAAAAACAAAAAGUUAGAAAACAAUUUUUUUUUUAAGAACAAAACACUAAAAUUAAGAAGAUGCGUUUCUAGAGAUACUACAUUCUAUAUUUUGAUAUCUUCGACUCAAAUUUUUAUCUAAAGUUAGUCUUUACAACACAAAUUAGUAAAAACAUCACCAGGACUGAGACAUUCCACAAUUGUCGACUAUUCCCUCCCCCCAACCUGAAGGAGACAUUGUCCUCAAUGUCUAAAGAAAGAAGUAGAGUUUAGAAGAUAUCACCCGGCCACUGCUGAAAAUAUUUACAAACAGAGAGUUAAAUCUAAUUUAUAAUUUUUACGAGAGUUACUGCCAUCGUCAUCAGUUGCCCAAUCUAACGCCAAAGUCAUGGGAUCUGGCUCUAAUUUGUAAGCUUGCAAAAGAUCAAGUAACUCAUUAGCAGUAGGAGCACAAAUGAAGAGUUUUUUCGCUGAGGGUGGAAUGAAAUAAUUUUUAAUUGCAUGAUUAAGAAAUGUUAUUAAGCCAUCAUAAAAGUUAUUAACAUUUAACAAACCGAUGAGUUCAAGAAGCAAAUGUAAUUAGCGCCUCUAAAGUUGCAAGAUCUCCUGGCAAGAAAAUGAAAGCAUCAACAUGAUUUAACAUUUCAAAUAUUCUUUCUUGCAUACCUGAGACAACUAACUCUUCUCCAGUUGGUGGGUCUGGUAGACAUCCUAAAGGUUUUAAGGUUUUUGGAAUGAUUCCUAGCACUUGGCUUCCUCGAACGAAAGCAGCUUCAGAGACAAGCUUUGAUAACCCUCGGUCAUCUCCUCCAUAUAUAAGAUGUAGUUUCUUCUCUACUAUAACACGACCAAGAUCUAUCGCUGCCUGAACGAACUCCUUAUACUUUCCAUAGCGAAAUCCAGAAAGCACACAAAUGUUCUUUAAUUGUUUGCUUGAAGUUGUUGCCAUUAGAAAAAUUAUAAAAAGAAACAAUUUGUGAGUGCUUGAAAAGGAGGUCCUAUUUAAAGAUCUUGGUGACGGACAUAAUGAUAUACAUUUGUAAAUGGGGUGGUGUGUUUAUCAAAUGACGCGUGAAGCUUUUAGCUUAAUAAUUCAAAGGCAUAUAGUAAAAAGAAAAAGCAAACAGUGAUUAGAUAUAAAAAAGACACACAAUAAUAAUAAUAAUGCAAAAUAUAAAAGAACAAUAAAAUAAAAGGAUAUUUACUAGUAGUUGUGAUUGUGGCUUACAUCUUCCUCUGGUUUUACAUCCAGUAACGGCUUGAACGCCCUCUGUGGGUCGAGGAUAGGCUUCCCAUCCAGUUUUCUUAUAAACUGGCAAAUAGGGUCUUUUAGGAACAACUUCCACAAAUUUUGAAUUUCACAUUGAACAUAUCCGCUCGGAUGUGUCUCAAGAGAUCGUAAGAUAUCAUCCAACGAUUCUUUACUUAUGCCAUCCUUAACGAAUUUGAUUUUAUCUUCAUGAUUUACAGAAACCAUUCCUAAAGUUUUACAACAUGGUUUUCUACAAGCAAGUCUUACAUAGUUAGGACAUUUAGAGCCAAGUCUCUUAGCUCUUCUUUUCUUAGCAAAUGUACUUUUACCAAAACCAGGCAUGUAGGAAAUGAAUGGAUCAGAAAACUCACAUGCCAGUCGGACCUUUGCUUCAAUUAACCGGCGAAUGUCAGCAAGAAUCCCAUUGAUCAUUAACAAACGCAGUCGUUCACAACGAGUUUUGUAAAUCUUCUUAAGAGCAUUUUGAGGGAGAGAAGGAAAAUGUUGAUGCAAUUUUCGUUGUAUUUCUUCCAUGCUUGACAUUGAGGUUUCAGUUAUUGUGGAAAACUGAGAAUACCAACUUAAAAUGUCACAAAGUACUGUUAUCCGCCAUUUAUAUUGGAGAGUGAAUCAAAACAAAACGAAUCAAAUCUGCAAAAUCAAAUCAAAAGUGAAGAACAACAACAAAAUAAAACAAAAACCCACAAGGAAUAUUACUCACCUUCGUCCUUUUAUUGAAUUUACCUCCAGUUCCAAUUGCAGAUUAUAAAUACCAUCAUCUAUUUUCUUGAGUUGUCUUUCUAGAUCUUUCACGUGGUAUACCAACUCUGGUUGUUGUAGAUCCCAAAUGGGAUGUGAUUUACAAAAUCUGAGCAAUUUCCUCAAGUGAAAUUUUACAUGUAAAAGUUCUUUAAAAUGUUCGAAAAUGAUACUUCUCAUGGAGGUACUCAUGAUAAGUAUAACAAUUUGGUGAGCUAAAGCACAAUUGUCAAACAACACACAAUUAAAAACAAUGCAAUGCACUCCAUUCAAGACAUAAGGAAAAGGAAAAAAUCAACAAUUCAAACGAUAAAGUAACAGUAAAUCAAAUUCACAAAAAGUUGAAAUGAAAAAAGCUUAAUUAAAAUUUGGUGGGUCACUCAAAUUGAUUUCGGUAUCUGCUUCACGCGGUUGGUAUUCCAGAUAUGGUUUCAAUCUUUGACCAUUAACUUUAAAUAAGGCACCAUAAUUUGGAUUCUCAAUUUCUACGGCUCCAUAUGGAUAUACAUUUUUUACAACAAAUGGACCAUUCUACUUUGACUUUAAUUUUCCUGAAAAUAAAUGAAGACGAGAAUUAUAAAGCAACACUUUUUGACCAAUGUUUUCCGAAAAAUUCUUUUGCCAUGAAAAAAUUUGGUUCUUGCCUUAAUAAUUCUGGAAUUCUCAUAUGCAUUAUUCUUUAAUUCCUCAAGUUCAUUUAAUUGCAAUUUACGCACAUUACCAGCAUCAUCAAGAUUUGAAUUAAAAGCUUUAAUGGCCCAAAAUGAUUUAUGUUCAAGUUCAACUGGUAAGUGGCAAGAUUUUCCAUAAACAAGCCGAUAAGGUGACAUUCCUAAAGAUGUUUUAAAAACAGUACGAUAUGCCCAAAGUGUAUCAGUUAGUCGAAGAGACCAAUAUUUACGGUUUGGAUUAACUAUCUUUUCUAAAAUUUAUUUUAUCUCCCUAUUUGCUAAUUUAAGUUGACCACUUGUUUGAGGGUGAUAAGGGGUAGCAACUUUAUGUGUAAUUCUAUAUUUCUUCAUUAAGGACUAAAGUAGCUUAUUACAAAAAUGCUUACCCUAUCACUGAUAAUGACUCGAGGUAUUCCAAAUCUGCUCAAAAUAUUUUCUUUUAAAAAGCGAAUCACAAUCUUGUGAUCAUUGUGCCGACAAGGAAUUGCCUCGAUCCAUUUUGAAACAUAAUCAACAGCAACCAAAAUGUAUACAAAUCCAAAUGAUGAUGGAAAAGGGCCCAUAAAAUCAAUUCCCCAACAAUCAAAUAUUUCAAUGACAAGGAUGGGGUUUAAAGGCAUCAUGUUUCGCUUUGAAAUAGACCAUACCAUUUGACAAUUCUUACACACUUUACAGAAUGCAUGUGAAUCUUUAAAUAAUGUAGGCCAAUAAAAUCUACACUGUAAUAUUUUUACAGCUGUCUUUUUUCAAGAAAAAUGGCCACCGCAUGCUUCAGAAUGACAAAAUUGAAAGACCCUACUUACCUCGUCGUCUGGUAUGCAUCUUCAAAAAAUUUGAUCAGAGUAGUACUUAAACAGGUAUGGAUCAUCCCAGUAAAAGCUUCUCACUUUUGUUAAGAAUUUCUUCUUGUCCUGGGAACUCCAGUCACAUGGAAUUUCACCUGUUGAAAGAUAAUUAACAAUAUUAGCAUACUAAGGCAUUUUGUUUAUAGAAAAUAAAAAUUCAUCAAGGAAAGAAUCAUUGAUGGGUGUUGUUUCAAUUGAAGACUCAUUCGUAAGUAUUGAAAGAUGAUCUGUAACAACAUUUUCAACGCCUUUUUUGUCCUUGAUUGUCAAGUUAAAUUCUUGAAGUAGCAAAAUCUAUCGUAUCAACCUUGGUUUGACAUCCUGUUUUGACAUUAAAUAUCUCACAACAACAUGAUCAGAAUAAACAAUAGUGGAUGAACUAAUUAAAUACGAACGAAAUUUAUUCAAUGCAAAUAUUACAGCAAGUAGUUUUUUAUCAGUUGUAGUGUAAUUCAUUUGAUCACUAUUCAAAUACGAACGAAAUUUAUUCAAUGCAAAUAUUACAGCAAGUAGUUUUUUCUCAAUUGUAGUGUAAUUCAUUUUAUCACUAUUGAAAGUUCUACUUGCGUAAUAGAUGACAAAGGGCUUACCUUCCUUUUUUUUUUACCCCGAACAAUGCAAACGGUAUAACCACUAGCAUCACACAUUAGCUCAAAAGGUAAAGACCAAUCAGGGGGUUGCAUUAUUAGGGCUGAUGUCAAAAGAGUAGUUAUUCAUUUGAUCACUAUUCAAAUACGAACGAAAUUUAUUCAAUGCAAAUAUUACAGCAAGUAGUUUAAUUAAAUACGAACGAAAUUUAUUCAAUGCAAAUAUUACAGCAAGUAGUUUUUUCUCAAUUGUAGUGUAAUUCAUUUGAUCACUAUUGAAAGUUCUACUUGCGUAAUAGAUGACAAAUGGCUUACCUUCCUUUUUUUUUUACCCUGAACAAUGCAAACGGUAUAACCACUAGCAUCACACAUUAGCUCAAAAGGUAAAGACCAAUCAGGGGGUUGCAUUAUUAGGGCUGAUGUCAAAAGAGUAGUUAUUCAUUUGAUCACUAUUCAAAUACGAACGAAAUUUAUUCAAUGCAAAUAUUACAGCAAGUAGUUUUUUCUCAAUUAUAGUGUAAUUCAUUUGAUCACUAUUGAAAGUUCUACUUGCGUAAUAGAUGACAAAGGGCUUACCUUCUUUUUUUUUUUACCUCGAACAAUGCAAACGGUAUAAUCACUAGCAUCACACAUUAGCUCAAAAGGUAAAGACCAAUCAGGGGGUUGCAUUAUUAAAGCUGAUGUCAAAAGAGUAGUUAUUUUUUCAAAAACUUGUUGACAAUCUUUAGUCCAUUCAAAAGGUUUGUCUUUUAUUAUGAGGUUACAAAGUGGUCUAGAUAUGACACUAAAGUCUUUUAUAAACCUCCUAUAAAAUUCUGCGUGUCCUAAAAAUGAACGGACUUCUUUAAUUGUCUUUGGUGAGGGUAAUUUUGAAAUGACUUCAACUUUGUCUUUGUCAACUUCAAUUCCUUUUGAAGACACAACAUGGCCCAAGACAAUUCCAGAAGUGGUCAUGAAAUGACAUUUUUUCCAAUUUAAAAUUAGUCAUUUUUCUUUGUACCUUUCCAAAAUUUUUUCUAGAUUAUCAAGACAUGUAUCAAAAGAAUUACCAAAUACAGUUAAAUCAUCCAUAAAACCCUCUAGACAAUUUUCAACCAUAUUACUAAAAAUGCUUAGCAUGCACCUUUGAAAUGUUGCAGGAGCAUUACAAAGUCCAAAGGGCAUUCUCCUAAAUGCAAAUUUUCCAAAUGGGCAUGUGAAUGUGGUCUUUUCCUGGUCUUCUAAGUCUAUAGGGAUUUGAUAAUAGCCAGAGUAGCCAUCAAGAAAGCAAUAGUAAGGAUGUCCAACUACUCUUUCGAGAAUUUGGUCUAAAAAUGGAAUGGGAAAAUGAUAUUUUCUAGUGGCAUCAUUUAAUUUUCUAUAAUCAAUGCACAUGCGCCAACUAGAUGGAAUUUGUGUUGGGAUUGGUUCACCUUUUUCAUUUUUUACAACGGUUAUUCCAGAUUUCUUUGGCACUACUUGUGUUGGACUUACCCAUUUACUAUAAGAGAUAGGAUAGAUAAUUCCUACAUCUAGUAGUUUAAGGACCUCAUUCUUUACCACUUCUUCCAUAUGAGGGUUUAGUCUUCUUUGUGGUUGACGGGUUGUUUUGGCAUUUUCCUCUAAGUGUAUUCGGUGUGUACAAAUUAAAGGAUUAAUGUCUUUUAUGUCUUUUAAGGUCCAACCAAAUGCAGUUUUAUGCCUUUUGAGUACAAAUAACAACUUACUUUCUUGAUCAUGCAUGAGCUGGGAAGAAAUUACCACCAGAUUUGUCUUCUGCUCUCCAAGAUAAGCAUAUUUCAAUUCUUCUGGUAAGGGCUUUAAUUCGAGCUCUGGUGCUUCCUCUUCGUUUGAUUCUUCAGGUUGUACCGUAUCUUUAAAGUUCGAUUGGCCAUCGUCACCUGUAGGUACCUGCAUAGAAUCAAGUGUAGAACAUAUGUUAGCAGUAUUAUAAUUUAAUUCUUUACUUGAUCCAAAAGAACCAGCAAAAUAAAUUUCCAUAAAGUUUGUAAAAUUCUCAUCCUGAAUGUGUUCCUCAAUGAUUGGCUUGAUAAGAUCAAUCUUCUCAUUCUCAUUAUCAUCAUAUUCUUGGUGGUGGGGUUGUUUACACAUGUUGGACACAUUGAGUUCUAAUGUCAUGUUGCCGAAAGAUAAAUUCAUUACUUUAUAUUCCUGCAAUUAAUUAAAGUAUUAGUAGUAGUUAAAAAUGGUCGACCCAAUAUAAUAGGAAUUUGUUUGCAUUCAUUAGCAAUUGGUUCCGUUUCCAAAACAAUAAAAUCCAUAGGGUAUAUGAAUUUAUCGACUCGGACUAAUACAUCUUCAAUUAUUAUUCUUGGAACUUUAAUCGAUCUAUCAGCAAGUAAAAGAGUGGUAGAAGUUGGUUUUAACUCAUUGAGAUUGAGUUGUUGGUACAUUGAGUAAGGAAGCUAAUUAACACUAGCACCAAGAUCAAGUAGAGCAUGUCCAAUUUUAUGAUCCCCAAUAAUGCAAGAAAUAGUUGGACAACCAGGAUCCUUGUAUUUCAAAGCACUAUUGGUUGAGAGAAUGGAACUUUCCUGUACUACUAGAAACGCUUUCUUUUGCACUUUAUGUUUCCUUUUCACCGUGCACAAAUCUUUCAGAAAUUUAGCAUAAGAAGAUAUUUGUUUAAUGGUGUCCAGCAAAGGAAUGUUGACCUUCACUUGUUUAAAAACUUCAUAAAUUUCUAGACUGUGCUUUGAUUUCUUUGGCUUGAUUAGUGCUUGAGGAAAUAAGGGUAGAAGGGGAGAGUUGGUUAUUUCUUCAUGGGUUAAAGGUUCGAAAGACUCUUCCCUAUUUUUUGAAAUUAAAUCUUUACUAGUUUCAUGAGGGUCCACAAUGUGUUUUUCGACCACUUUACCACCACAAAGGGUUAUAACCGAUUUGACUUGAUUUAUAUUUUGGUUUCCUGAAUUUCCCAUUUGAGGAUGUUGUUGACUCUUGGGGUUUGGUUCAGGUUGAGCAGGAAACUUUCCUUUUUCAUGCAUGGUCAGAGCAAAUGUAAGUUUGGAGAUAGUUUCUGUCAAAUUGGUUAAGGUUUGCAUUGUUUGGUUAUUAAUCGACUCUUGUUUUUCAAUAAACAAAUGCAAUGUGUCUUUCAGAGUUUUUCUUGAUGGUGGGACAUAUGGUGAGUAACUCUGGGGGUUUUGGAAAUUUUGACAUUGAAGAACUGGUUGUGAAGGCUGUGCAUGAUUGUCAUUUCUCCAACUGAAAUUCGGGUGGUUUCUCUAACCAGAGUUGUAAGUUUGGGAGUAUGGAUUUGAAUUUGGCCUUUUGAAAUUGUCAACAACAUUUAGUUGUUCAUGCAAACUUUCUCUCAGAGCUGGCAAAGUUGGACAGUCCUGCAUAGAAUGGUCAGUAGAAUCGCAAACAUAACAUGAAAUAUUUUGAACAGACUUUACAUGAUCAUUCUUUUUCAACUCUAAUGCUUCGACUUUUCUAGCUAAUGAUGCAAAUUUGGCUUGAAAAUCAUGGUCUUCCCUAAGGUUGUGCAUGCCUCCACCAGAUGGAGAUGACUGAGGUUUACUUGAUGACUCAUAAGAACCAACUGUAUCCCAGUGUUGUGCAUUCUCUGCUAUAUAGUCAAGAUAGUCUAAUGCAUCUUCAGGACUGUUAUCCCUAAACUCACCAUUAAACAUCAUUUCAAUGACUUGUCUACCUUGGGAUGUUAAUUCCUCGUAGAAAUAAGACACUAAUCUCUAUGUUUCAAAACCGUGGUGUGGGCAAAUGUUAAGUAGUUCUUUAAACCUAUCCCAACAUUGGUAGAGGGUUUCUCCUAAUUUUUGAGUGAAUGUGGUGAUUUGUCUUUUGAAAGAAUUUGUUAUGUGGGGUGGGAAGAAUUUUUUCAAAAAUUGUACUUGCAUUUCAUCCCAAGUUUUGAUGGAUCCUGACCUAAGAAUUUUUAGCCAAGUUUUAGCUUUAUCCUUAAGUAAGAAAGGAAAAAACUUAAGCCUGAUUAUAUUCAUGCUACAAUUUUGAUCAGUACAUGUGUUACAGACUUCCUCAAAUUCCCUUAAAUGCAAAUAUGGAUUUUCAAACUCAAAACCAUGAAAAGUAGGAAGAAGUUGAAUGAUACAAGGUUUGAAAUUAAAACGUGAUGCAUCAGGAGGGAAAACUAUGCAUGAUGGUGAUCUUGUUCUAGUGGGAUGCAUGAAGUCUCUAAGGGUCCUAAGCUGUUCAUGAAGAUUUUGCAAGGCUUGGUCAUUUUCGUGCUCCGAAAAAUUUUCAGCUCCUAUAUCUAAGGGUGGUGAAGGUGAUCUACUAAUUAAUCUGCCACUAUUUGUACGAGACCAACAACACAUGCAAUGCUAAUGAUGUGUGCUAAACCAAUGAUACAUAAAACGCUAAAUGAAAAUUGUAGAACAUAAAAAUAAACUGGAAAUUAAAUAAGCAAAAAUAUGAAAUAAAAAUAAACAAACUGAAAAUAAAUAAAAUAAAUAAAUUAGGCAGUGAAACCAGCCAUAAACAAAUAAAUUAAAAGAAACAAUUUAGGUGGUAUUUUAAAACCAGCCAUAUAAUAAAACAUAAAAUUAAAUAAAUUAAUGUACAAAAAUAAAUAAACUGAAAUUAAAAUGAUAGGCAGUAAAACCGACCAUAUAAAUAAAUUAACAAACUGAAAUUAAAAUUCUAGGCGGUAGAACCGACCAUUUAAAAUAAAUGCGGAAAGUAAAUUGCAGAAAUUUAAAGAAAUAAAUUCGAUUUGGGGACUGAUUUGCAAGGUUUCUGGGCUAAAAUGAAGUUUCUCACAAAUUUUAUAGAUAAUGUUAAAGUUUAAAAAGAGGAGGGGCACUAACUAAAGUUUUAUAAAAAGAAAAUAAAAUAGAAUCACGGAAAGAUAGUAACAACAAAAAAAAUAUUUAAAUAAAAUAUAGUAACGAUAAACUAACAUGGCUUAAAAGCGUAUUACUCCCAAGUAUAAGAAUGUCUAGUUAUAAAAUAACCUGGUGAGUUUAGGGUUGAACCACAGGAAAUUUUAAAAUCUAGUUGUUAAUUUUUUAAACAAAGAAAACAAUUGUGGCGAAAAUAAAUUAUUUGAAAACAAUUUAAAAAUAUGUUAAGGUUACGGGAUCUACUCUCAGUAUUCAAACUAUAAUUUUAAUACUCUCUCAUUUAUAUUUUGCCUCACUUUUACUAGUUAAUUAUUAUAUCAUUUAAUUUUAUGUGUGUGGAUAAAUAUGGAAUAAAGUACUUAAUGUGCCACACUAUAUUAAUGUGUCGACAUUAUGUCAAAAUACCAUACAAAUUCAAAGAAAUUCAUAAAUUAACAUGACAUAAAAAUUACUAGAAAAUAAUAAAAUAAACCUAAAAACUCAUUUGAGAAAAUAAUAAAUUUAAUAGUUUGAAACAUUGAGCUUCACCCUUCACUUCAACUUAAUAAAAUUAGCCACUCAUAUUGAAAGAAAACACAACACUCUUUUUAUUUGAUAUACUUUUGAAAUAUGUUACAAAGAAAAUUGAUACAAACGGAAACAAGAAAAGAAAAGAAAUAAAGAAAGAAAGAAAUUCUUCAGCUACACUCUUGGCUAUCACUCUCUCUCAGAACUCGGCUCCGUCCCCAAUGGCUUGCAUCCCCUUGUAUUUUAUAGGCAAGGGAAGCAUAUUCUUUUAUUUUAUUUUAUUAAUAUUAAUAUUAAUAUUUUAUUUUUAUAUUAUAUAUAUGUUAAUUGAAAUGGAGGCCCAUCACCAACAUGCUUGCCAAUCCUUUUUUUUUCUUUAUUUUUUUAUUUUUAAUAACAUCUCCUCGAUUGAUGAAUUCUAAAUUACUCCAGCUGUCCUUCUUUGUUUCCGCUUUUAACUCCAAUUCCAUCUUUAUUCCUGAAAAAUAUUUACAAGAUAAAAAUUAACAUAUUGCAAAUUAAUUUAAUAUAAAAUAUAUUUGGGGAGUAUUAAAAUAAUUUAAAAAUAAUGAGUGCAUUAAUCGACACAAUUAGUGAAAAACUAAUAAUUUUAUCCUUAUUAAAUGUACACUUUUUAGUGUCAAUCAUUUCACAUCCUAAUUGGCAAGACAAGUUUUUGGGGUGUAUGGGCGCCUCAGAAACAAAACCGUGUGGGUCUUGUUAAGGCCCAAACCUGACAAUAUCUUGUCAGAUCUGGGUUGGGACAGAACAGAUGGUAUCAGAGUGGGUCCGUGUGUCCUCUUGAAUGAUGGAGGCAAACGGCAAACCUCAGUGAGAACGUUGAGUUCCUAAGGGAGGUGUAUGUAACACCCUAGGCAAAUCCCACAUUGACCAAACAUAUGAGAGAUGUUGCGUUUAUAAGGGGUGAUCCACACCCUAAUUGGCAAGAUGCGUUUUGGGGUGUAUGGUUGCCCUAGAAACAAAACCACGUGGGCCUUAAAGUAGAAAUAUCUUGCCAGGUCUGGGCUAGAUCAUGUAACAACCCAAUUCUCUUAAGGGUAGUUUAGUAUUUUUAAUUUAUUAAUAUUUUUGUACCCUAGUAUAAAAAGAAUAAGAUGGCUUUCCUCUAUUAUUAAUAAGAGAGAGAGAGAGAGAGAGAGAGAGAGAGAUCAGCUAAAAAAAAAAGAACGAAAGAAGAAAAAGAGAAAAGUAAAGGAGAAGAAGAAAAAGAGAAAAGUAAAGGAGAAGAAGAAAGUCUUUUUCUUCAUAUAGCUAUGAGCAAUAAAUGAGAUCAAAGUAGUGUCUUUUGUAUUGGAUUUGUGCCGAGAGAGAAUUGGAGAUAAAGUUCAAUUUUUUAUCCUUGUUAAUUGCUAUAGAGAAGCAUGAUUAGAUAGUGGUAAGAGAAGUAGAACUUAAGAUUUUAUAGAAAAUAUGUUAAUGGUAUGUUAUUUUGAAAAUCAUAGUAAUUUGUACAAAUUGAUUUUGAUUCUGGAUUUUGGAUAUGUUAAACUAUAUAUCUUCGAGAAUGUUUUGGAACUUGUUUCAAGCUAAUCGGAUAAGAUUUCAAUUAAUUACGAUUUUUUAAACUCAAGUUUGAAAACCUUGAAAUUUCUAAUUUCAGCGAAGAACAUGAAUUACAAAAUUAUUUUACCAUAACUAGACUUCUUCAAAAAUUAUGAAACUUGGAUCAACGAUUUUUAUAUAUGUCUAGUGUGAUUUUGGAAAUUUUCAUGAUUUUAUGAUAAAACAAUAAAUUGUUUGAUAGAAUUGAUGAUGUUUGAAACAUAAAUUAGUUUCAAUAUUUUUUGAAAGAAUUAAGCUAUGAAAUUUUAAUCAAUGAAUUUCUAGUAUGUCAGCAUAUGCUCUUGAAAAUUUGGGAUUUCUCCAAUAAGGUAAUAAUUUAUUAAAAAUCGGAGAACAUGGGUUGUUCUAUUUUGAGAUCAAAUAUUGAGAGUGUUUGAGGUUGACUUUAGAAGAUGUUUAAAAUGAGAAAUUUGAGGAUGUUGGAAUUAUGAUUAGGACUUGAUUAUAUCUUAUGAGAGUUAUAUUAAUGAUUUUUAGUUCGAUGAUAUCAAUACGCAUUUGUUACAUGUGGAUGUCAAGAGGUAAGUAAACUAGACUUCUAAAUAGAUCACAAUAAACAAUAUGUAUAUAUUUGACAUGUUUGAAAAACCUAUUUUUGAUAUGUACGGAUAUGAUUAUAUACAUGGGCAUAUGUAUGUGUGAAAGUUCAUUAGCAUAAGCAUGAUGAAUAUGCAAAGCUUUUAUAAAAAGUAUGUUCAUUAAUUUUGCAUUCUAUAAGUCUAUGAUUUGCACAUGAACUUUGCUAUUAUAUUAAUGGUGCGUUUACUUUCUGGAUUAGGGAAUCAAAAUCCGAAAUUGAAAUCAUUGACAGCGUUUUCCCCACAAAUAGAGUCGAGAACCGAAAUCAGAAUUGUGGGGCCCACCACAAUGUAAAUGAGGAAUGGGAGACUCAUUCCCAAAGAAGAGGGUGGGAAUCAGUCUCCCAAUCCUGGGGCUAACCAUUUUGCCCUCCCCCAAGAUGAAAAAUGCCACUUUGUCCUCAUUUAUAAUUAAUCAAUAUAUUGUUAUAAUUUAUUUAUUUAUUUUUUAUAAUAAUUAUUAAUAUAAUUAUUAUAAUUAAGUAAUAUAAUUAUUACUAUUAAUUAAUAUAUUAAUAUAUUUUAUUAUAAUUAAUUAAAAUACUAUUAUAAUAAUUAUUAAUAUAAUUAUUAUAAUUAAUUAAUGUAUUAUUAUUGUUGAUGCGAGAUUCCGGUUCUCCUCGUUCUACGACCAGGAUCCCUGCUCGAUCAACUCUACCACGACCAGGAGGUCUCCUAGUAAUGCUUCUUCUCCGGAUGUCCCUGCACACACAGACAAGUCAGAGUACGCCGGUUGUUCUCCCGGCGCAAACCCUCCGACGCUCAAGUCAGAUAUGAAGGUUCGGGGAACGCUUGCCACAGGUCUUAUGGCUUUUUUGUGGUUUUCUCUUUUAUCUUAAAAAUGCUAACCCUUUUACCUUCGUUGGCUACCUUUUUAUAGGCUUCCUCUGAAUCUCAGUCUUCCGCUCUUUUCGAGACGGUAUGGGACUCCAACUGCUGCGUUAUGGGCAAAACAUGGGAUCUAGCGUGUUACGCCACGGUUCAGGGGAAAGCGUGGCUGCCACGGCUCUGUGAGACCUUGCGUGUUACGCCACGGUUCUGGGGAAAGUGUGGCUGUCAUGGCUCCGUGAGAUCUUGCGUGUUACGUCGCGGUUCUGGGGAAAGCGUGGCUGUUGUGCCUAGGUUCUCGUGCUGGAGAGCGCGUCUUGCCAACUGCCGUCGACCGGGUCUCCUCGCCUCUCGGUCUCUAGCCGGAAUGGCCUCAUGCCUUUUAUAGGAAUUGGCCUCGCGGACGACAACAUCGUGGACGAGCAGGAUGUUUCUGCUCCUGUUCUUCCACGCGCCAGGCUUUAACGGAAAACACCGGUGCGCAGAACUCCGCCAUCAGAUGUCUGCUCGUCAUUCCUGGUCCCUUCGACGCAUUUGUCCCAAACAGUAUCCCUCCCAAACACCGGUCCCCCAGUUUCUGGUGUUGGGUAAUGUAGUGGACCAGCAGUAGAAACUCGAUAGUACUCGCUCGCGUGGGUUUGGAAAAGGCUGCCAGGAGUCAUGUCGCAUUUAAUUGCGGACGAGGUGACGUGGCAGAAAUCCCCCCCUCCAUUUGAAUUUCAAACCGACGGUUACGGGAUUCUCGGAAUAUGCGUCAUUAAAUGCUGGCAGCCCAAGAGUUUGCUUCUCAGUAAGGAAACCCAAAAUCUUCAAACACGAACUCGUCAUUUUCUCCAUUCUUGUCUCUCCGGCGAAUGAACCUCGGCGCCAAAGCUGUCAUCCCUGUCUCUCUCUGACCGAGUCCCUGCUUCAGGUAUUUUUUCUAUUUUUUUUUUUUUUUUUUUGGUAUCGGUUAGUUGUAGGUAAUCUCCUUUCUCUCUGCUUUGCUUGAGGUUGUAGUUGGCGGUGGUGUUUUGGUUAGAACUUAGGAUAUGUCGAAGGGUAAGGAGAAGGUCGUUGAGGUUGGUGACGACGAACUAGGUUUUUUGCCUAGUCUGCCCGCUGAUUUUGCUUUUGAUCCCGGGAUCCCCUUAGAGCCCAUUAGGUCUAGUGUUGGUACUAGCGCUAGGAGGAUGUCUCCCCAAACAACCUCCUCGAGCGACAGUAGCGAUGAAGAAGGGUCUUCUGGAUCGGAGAACACUUUGAGUGAGGGUCAAGGGGAUGAUUCUAGUGAGGCGUCCCCAUCAGGAGCAUCACGACCAGAAGAACGGGGUACAGUAGGGGGUAGAGCCUUGUCGCGUGAUUAUGCCAUUGACUACAUGUCGUGUACGACCACGUUUGACGAGCUCAAUGACCUCCGACUUAGGUAUAGUAUUCCUGGUGAGAUACCUCUUAGGAUCCCAGGAAAAAAGGAUACACCUAGCCGGCCUCCCAGGGGAUACGUUACCCUGUAUCUGGAGAGCUUUAAGUAUGGGCUGAGGUGUCCUUUGCAGCCUUACUUUGCCCGGAUACUUAACGGGCUAAAUCUGGCUCCUGGUCAGCUGAACCCCAACGGGUGGAGAGUGCUCUCUGGUCUGUUCAUAUUGUGGGACAGAUGUUGCCAAAGCGAGCCCACGGUUGAUGAGGUGAAGCAUCUGUACCAGCUGAAGAGCAGCCCUAAAGAUGCCGGCUGGUACUACUUCCAAUCUGGUACCAAGAGCAGGAAACCCAUAACUGAUCUUCCAACUGGUGGUGGUGGGACUUGGAAGAGGAAAUUCUUUUUUGCUGGGGGUCCCUGGGGUCAAGUUGCACAAAUAGACGGGAAGGAUUGUCGCGUCCCACCCCGUUUCACGGUCCCAGGUUGCCUGCUCGCUUUAGAUGUCUUGUAUCCAUAAUUGUUCCUGCUGUAUUGGUUUGUCUCUAACCAAGUGUCUGUUUGUGCUGUAGUUUCCUGGGGUGUUCACUUCCCGCGACACGGGACAAGAAGACGCGAUAGUUACUUAUAANNNNNNNNNNNNNNNNNNNNNNNNNNNNNNNNNNNNNNNNNNNNNNNNNNNNNNNNNNNNNNNNNNNNNNNNNNNNNNNNNNNNNNNNNNNNNNNNNNNNNNNNNNNNNNNNNNNNNNNNNNNNNNNNNNNNNNNNNNNNNNNNNNNNNNNNNNNNNNNNNNNNNNNNNNNNNNNNNNNNNNNNNNNNNNNNNNNNNNNNNNNNNNNNNNNNNNNNNNNNNNNNNNNNNNNNNNNNNNNNNNNNNNNNNNNNNNNNNNNNNNNNNNNNNNNNNNNNNNNNNNNNNNNNNNNNNNNNNNNNNNNNNNNNNNNNNNNNNNNNNNNNNNNNNNNNNNNNNNNNNNNNNNNNNNNNNNNNNNNNNNNNNNNNNNNNNNNNNNNNNNNNNNNNNNNNNNNNNNNNNNNNNNNNNNNNNNNNNNNNNNNNNNNNNNNNNNNNNNNNNNNNNNNNNNNNNNNNNNNNNNNNNNNNNNNNNNNNNNNNNNNNNNNNNNNNNNNNNNNNNNNNNNNNNNNNNNNNNNNNNNNNNNNNNNNNNNNNNNNNNNNNNNNNNNNNNNNNNNNNNNNNNNNNNNNNNNNNNNNNNNNNNNNNNNNNNNNNNNNNNNNNNNNNNNNNNNNNNNNNNNNNNNNNNNNNNNNNNNNNNNNNNNNNNNNNNNNNNNNNNNNNNNNNNNNNNNNNNNNNNNNNNNNNNNNNNNNNNNNNNNNNNNNNNNNNNNNNNNNNNNNNNNNNNNNNNNNNNNNNNNNNNNNNNNNNNNNNNNNNNNNNNNNNNNNNNNNNNNNNNNNNNNNNNNNNNNNNNNNNNNNNNNNNNNNNNNNNNNNNNNNNNNNNNNNNNNNNNNNNNNNNNNNNNNNNNNNNNNNNNNNNNNNNNNNNNNNNNNNNNNNNNNNNNNNNNNNNNNNNNNNNNNNNNNNNNNNNNNNNNNNNNNNNNNNNNNNNNNNNNNNNNNNNNNNNNNNNNNNNNNNNNNNNNNNNNNNNNNNNNNNNNNNNNNNNNNNNNNNNNNNNNNNNNNNNNNNNNNNNNNNNNNNNNNNNNNNNNNNNNNNNNNNNNNNNNNNNNNNNNNNNNNNNNNNNNNNNNNNNNNNNNNNNNNNNNNNNNNNNNNNNNNNNNNNNNNNNNNNNNNNNNNNNNNNNNNNNNNNNNNNNNNNNNNNNNNNNNNNNNNNNNNNNNNNNNNNNNNNNNNNNNNNNNNNNNNNNNNNNNNNNNNNNNNNNNNNNNNNNNNNNNNNNNNNNNNNNNNNNNNNNNNNNNNNNNNNNNNNNNNNNNNNNNNNNNNNNNNNNNNNNNNNNNNNNNNNNNNNNNNNNNNNNNNNNNNNNNNNNNNNNNNNNNNNNNNNNNNNNNNNNNNNNNNNNNNNNNNNNNNNNNNNNNNNNNNNNNNNNNNNNNNNNNNNNNNNNNNNNNNNNNNNNNNNNNNNNNNNNNNNNNNNNNNNNNNNNNNNNNNNNNNNNNNNNNNNNNNNNNNNNNNNNNNNNNNNNNNNNNNNNNNNNNNNNNNNNNNNNNNNNNNNNNNNNNNNNNNNNNNNNNNNNNNNNNNNNNNNNNNNNNNNNNNNNNNNNNNNNNNNNNNNNNNNNNNNNNNNNNNNNNNNNNNNNNNNNNNNNNNNNNNNNNNNNNNNNNNNNNNNNNNNNNNNNNNNNNNNNNNNNNNNNNNNNNNNNNNNNNNNNNNNNNNNNNNNNNNNNNNNNNNNNNNNNNNNNNNNNNNNNNNNNNNNNNNNNNNNNNNNNNNNNNNNNNNNNNNNNNNNNNNNNNNNNNNNNNNNNNNNNNNNNNNNNNNNNNNNNNNNNNNNNNNNNNNNNNNNNNNNNNNNNNNNNNNNNNNNNNNNNNNNNNNNNNNNNNNNNNNNNNNNNNNNNNNNNNNNNNNNNNNNNNNNNNNNNNNNNNNNNNNNNNNNNNNNNNNNNNNNNNNNNNNNNNNNNNNNNNNNNNNNNNNNNNNNNNNNNNNNNNNNNNNNNNNNNNNNNNNNNNNNNNNNNNNNNNNNNNNNNNNNNNNNNNNNNNNNNNNNNNNNNNNNNNNNNNNNNNNNNNNNNNNNNNNNNNNNNNNNNNNNNNNNNNNNNNNNNNNNNNNNNNNNNNNNNNNNNNNNNNNNNNNNNNNNNNNNNNNNNNNNNNNNNNNNNNNNNNNNNNNNNNNNNNNNNNNNNNNNNNNNNNNNNNNNNNNNNNNNNNNNNNNNNNNNNNNNNNNNNNNNNNNNNNNNNNNNNNNNNNNNNNNNNNNNNNNNNNNNNNNNNNNNNNNNNNNNNNNNNNNNNNNNNNNNNNNNNNNNNNNNNNNNNNNNNNNNNNNNNNNNNNNNNNNNNNNNNNNNNNNNNNNNNNNNNNNNNNNNNNNNNNNNNNNNNNNNNNNNNNNNNNNNNNNNNNNNNNNNNNNNNNNNNNNNNNNNNNNNNNNNNNNNNNNNNNNNNNNNNNNNNNNNNNNNNNNNNNNNNNNNNNNNNNNNNNNNNNNNNNNNNNNNNNNNNNNNNNNNNNNNNNNNNNNNNNNNNNNNNNNNNNNNNNNNNNNNNNNNNNNNNNNNNNNNNNNNNNNNNNNNNNNNNNNNNNNNNNNNNNNNNNNNNNNNNNNNNNNNNNNNNNNNNNNNNNNNNNNNNNNNNNNNNNNNNNNNNNNNNNNNNNNNNNNNNNNNNNNNNNNNNNNNNNNNNNNNNNNNNNNNNNNNNNNNNNNNNNNNNNNNNNNNNNNNNNNNNNNNNNNNNNNNNNNNNNNNNNNNNNNNNNNNNNNNNNNNNNNNNNNNNNNNNNNNNNNNNNNNNNNNNNNNNNNNNNNNNNNNNNNNNNNNNNNNNNNNNNNNNNNNNNNNNNNNNNNNNNNNNNNNNNNNNNNNNNNNNNNNNNNNNNNNNNNNNNNNNNNNNNNNNNNNNNNNNNNNNNNNNNNNNNNNNNNNNNNNNNNNNNNNNNNNNNNNNNNNNNNNNNNNNNNNNNNNNNNNNNNNNNNNNNNNNNNNNNNNNNNNNNNNNNNNNNNNNNNNNNNNNNNNNNNNNNNNNNNNNNNNNNNNNNNNNNNNNNNNNNNNNNNNNNNNNNNNNNNNNNNNNNNNNNNNNNNNNNNNNNNNNNNNNNNNNNNNNNNNNNNNNNNNNNNNNNNNNNNNNNNNNNNNNNNNNNNNNNNNNNNNNNNNNNNNNNNNNNNNNNNNNNNNNNNNNNNNNNNNNNNNNNNNNNNNNNNNNNNNNNNNNNNNNNNNNNNNNNNNNNNNNNNNNNNNNNNNNNNNNNNNNNNNNNNNNNNNNNNNNNNNNNNNNNNNNNNNNNNNNNNNNNNNNNNNNNNNNNNNNNNNNNNNNNNNNNNNNNNNNNNNNNNNNNNNNNNNNNNNNNNNNNNNNNNNNNNNNNNNNNNNNNNNNNNNNNNNNNNNNNNNNNNNNNNNNNNNNNNNNNNNNNNNNNNNNNNNNNNNNNNNNNNNNNNNNNNNNNNNNNNNNNNNNNNNNNNNNNNNNNNNNNNNNNNNNNNNNNNNNNNNNNNNNNNNNNNNNNNNNNNNNNNNNNNNNNNNNNNNNNNNNNNNNNNNNNNNNNNNNNNNNNNNNNNNNNNNNNNNNNNNNNNNNNNNNNNNNNNNNNNNNNNNNNNNNNNNNNNNNNNNNNNNNNNNNNNNNNNNNNNNNNNNNNNNNNNNNNNNNNNNNNNNNNNNNNNNNNNNNNNNNNNNNNNNNNNNNNNNNNNNNNNNNNNNNNNNNNNNNNNNNNNNNNNNNNNNNNNNNNNNNNNNNNNNNNNNNNNNNNNNNNNNNNNNNNNNNNNNNNNNNNNNNNNNNNNNNNNNNNNNNNNNNNNNNNNNNNNNNNNNNNNNNNNNNNNNNNNNNNNNNNNNNNNNNNNNNNNNNNNNNNNNNNNNNNNNNNNNNNNNNNNNNNNNNNNNNNNNNNNNNNNNNNNNNNNNNNNNNNNNNNNNNNNNNNNNNNNNNNNNNNNNNNNNNNNNNNNNNNNNNNNNNNNNNNNNNNNNNNNNNNNNNNNNNNNNNNNNNNNNNNNNNNNNNNNNNNNNNNNNNNNNNNNNNNNNNNNNNNNNNNNNNNNNNNNNNNNNNNNNNNNNNNNNNNNNNNNNNNNNNNNNNNNNNNNNNNNNNNNNNNNNNNNNNNNNNNNNNNNNNNNNNNNNNNNNNNNNNNNNNNNNNNNNNNNNNNNNNNNNNNNNNNNNNNNNNNNNNNNNNNNNNNNNNNNNNNNNNNNNNNNNNNNNNNNNNNNNNNNNNNNNNNNNNNNNNNNNNNNNNNNNNNNNNNNNNNNNNNNNNNNNNNNNNNNNNNNNNNNNNNNNNNNNNNNNNNNNNNNNNNNNNNNNNNNNNNNNNNNNNNNNNNNNNNNNNNNNNNNNNNNNNNNNNNNNNNNNNNNNNNNNNNNNNNNNNNNNNNNNNNNNNNNNNNNNNNNNNNNNNNNNNNNNNNNNNNNNNNNNNNNNNNNNNNNNNNNNNNNNNNNNNNNNNNNNNNNNNNNNNNNNNNNNNNNNNNNNNNNNNNNNNNNNNNNNNNNNNNNNNNNNNNNNNNNNNNNNNNNNNNNNNNNNNNNNNNNNNNNNNNNNNNNNNNNNNNNNNNNNNNNNNNNNNNNNNNNNNNNNNNNNNNNNNNNNNNNNNNNNNNNNNNNNNNNNNNNNNNNNNNNNNNNNNNNNNNNNNNNNNNNNNNNNNNNNNNNNNNNNNNNNNNNNNNNNNNNNNNNNNNNNNNNNNNNNNNNNNNNNNNNNNNNNNNNNNNNNNNNNNNNNNNNNNNNNNNNNNNNNNNNNNNNNNNNNNNNNNNNNNNNNNNNNNNNNNNNNNNNNNNNNNNNNNNNNNNNNNNNNNNNNNNNNNNNNNNNNNNNNNNNNNNNNNNNNNNNNNNNNNNNNNNNNNNNNNNNNNNNNNNNNNNNNNNNNNNNNNNNNNNNNNNNNNNNNNNNNNNNNNNNNNNNNNNNNNNNNNNNNNNNNNNNNNNNNNNNNNNNNNNNNNNNNNNNNNNNNNNNNNNNNNNNNNNNNNNNNNNNNNNNNNNNNNNNNNNNNNNNNNNNNNNNNNNNNNNNNNNNNNNNNNNNNNNNNNNNNNNNNNNNNNNNNNNNNNNNNNNNNNNNNNNNNNNNNNNNNNNNNNNNNNNNNNNNNNNNNNNNNNNNNNNNNNNNNNNNNNNNNNNNNNNNNNNNNNNNNNNNNNNNNNNNNNNNNNNNNNNNNNNNNNNNNNNNNNNNNNNNNNNNNNNNNNNNNNNNNNNNNNNNNNNNNNNNNNNNNNNNNNNNNNNNNNNNNNNNNNNNNNNNNNNNNNNNNNNNNNNNNNNNNNNNNNNNNNNNNNNNNNNNNNNNNNNNNNNNNNNNNNNNNNNNNNNNNNNNNNNNNNNNNNNNNNNNNNNNNNNNNNNNNNNNNNNNNNNNNNNNNNNNNNNNNNNNNNNNNNNNNNNNNNNNNNNNNNNNNNNNNNNNNNNNNNNNNNNNNNNNNNNNNNNNNNNNNNNNNNNNNNNNNNNNNNNNNNNNNNNNNNNNNNNNNNNNNNNNNNNNNNNNNNNNNNNNNNNNNNNNNNNNNNNNNNNNNNNNNNNNNNNNNNNNNNNNNNNNNNNNNNNNNNNNNNNNNNNNNNNNNNNNNNNNNNNNNNNNNNNNNNNNNNNNNNNNNNNNNNNNNNNNNNNNNNNNNNNNNNNNNNNNNNNNNNNNNNNNNNNNNNNNNNNNNNNNNNNNNNNNNNNNNNNNNNNNNNNNNNNNNNNNNNNNNNNNNNNNNNNNNNNNNNNNNNNNNNNNNNNNNNNNNNNNNNNNNNNNNNNNNNNNNNNNNNNNNNNNNNNNNNNNNNNNNNNNNNNNNNNNNNNNNNNNNNNNNNNNNNNNNNNNNNNNNNNNNNNNNNNNNNNNNNNNNNNNNNNNNNNNNNNNNNNNNNNNNNNNNNNNNNNNNNNNNNNNNNNNNNNNNNNNNNNNNNNNNNNNNNNNNNNNNNNNNNNNNNNNNNNNNNNNNNNNNNNNNNNNNNNNNNNNNNNNNNNNNNNNNNNNNNNNNNNNNNNNNNNNNNNNNNNNNNNNNNNNNNNNNNNNNNNNNNNNNNNNNNNNNNNNNNNNNNNNNNNNNNNNNNNNNNNNNNNNNNNNNNNNNNNNNNNNNNNNNNNNNNNNNNNNNNNNNNNNNNNNNNNNNNNNNNNNNNNNNNNNNNNNNNNNNNNNNNNNNNNNNNNNNNNNNNNNNNNNNNNNNNNNNNNNNNNNNNNNNNNNNNNNNNNNNNNNNNNNNNNNNNNNNNNNNNNNNNNNNNNNNNNNNNNNNNNNNNNNNNNNNNNNNNNNNNNNNNNNNNNNNNNNNNNNNNNNNNNNNNNNNNNNNNNNNNNNNNNNNNNNNNNNNNNNNNNNNNNNNNNNNNNNNNNNNNNNNNNNNNNNNNNNNNNNNNNNNNNNNNNNNNNNNNNNNNNNNNNNNNNNNNNNNNNNNNNNNNNNNNNNNNNNNNNNNNNNNNNNNNNNNNNNNNNNNNNNNNNNNNNNNNNNNNNNNNNNNNNNNNNNNNNNNNNNNNNNNNNNNNNNNNNNNNNNNNNNNNNNNNNNNNNNNNNNNNNNNNNNNNNNNNNNNNNNNNNNNNNNNNNNNNNNNNNNNNNNNNNNNNNNNNNNNNNNNNNNNNNNNNNNNNNNNNNNNNNNNNNNNNNNNNNNNNNNNNNNNNNNNNNNNNNNNNNNNNNNNNNNNNNNNNNNNNNNNNNNNNNNNNNNNNNNNNNNNNNNNNNNCUACUAGCUGAUCGAUCUUUGGUAAAGGGAAGCUGUCUUUUGGGCACGCCUUAUUGAGGUCUGUGAAAUCCACACACAUCCUCCACUUGCCGUUCGCCUUCUUUACCAACACCACGUUCGAUAUCCACUCUGGGUAAUUAACUUCCCGAAUGAACCCUGCUCUCAGAAGCUUCUCCACCUCAUCACUUACAGCCUCAUACCUCUCCUGGUUGAAGCACCUCCUCUUCUGCCUUACUGCCCGAGCACCUUUCUUUAUUGCCAGCCUAUGACAUGCUACCUCUGGGUCAAUCCCUGGCAUGUCCUCAUGUGUCCAGGCAAACACGUCGGCAUGAGCCUGUAAGCAUUUCACCAACUCCUGCUUUUGCUCUCCCUCAAGUCUCGACCCGAUUCUGAUCGUCUUUCCCGGGUUCUCCGGUCCCAUGCUUACUGUUUCCAGAUCCUCUACGGGUUCUUGUCUGCCAGUCUUGUUUUCCACUCGGGUAUCGAGGGAUGUUAUCUGCAUCGCCUCCCUUGCUGCCGAGGAGUAGCAGCUUCUUGCGAUCCUCUGGUCUCCUCGUACCACUCCGACUACCCCAUUCACCCGGUACUUUAGAGACAGAUAAUGGUUGGACAGCACCGCUUUGCUCAUCCUUAAAAAUGGCCGACCCAGGAUCAUCUGGUAAGGACCUUCCUCGUCCACUACGACGAAGUCCAGUAUCAUUGUUCUUUCUGACGGGGGGCUCCCGAUUGUGAUAGGCAGUUCGACCACGCCCAGAGGGACCAGCUUCCCUCCUCCGAACCCCUUCAAGGAGGUGUUGGUGUAUUCCAACUUCCGGUCGGCUAUUCCCAUCUCUUCCAAAGUUGAUUUAAAUAGCACAUCAACUGAGCUCCCCGUAUCAACCAGUAUCCGGUCAAACUUCUUGCUAGCGAUCGUGGCCUUGAUGACUAAAGCGUCCUCGUGGGGGUAUAGAAUCCCUUCCUCAUCCUCAUCCGUCCACAUGAUUGGCACUUGCCUGACCCUUGCUCGUUUGGCUGCUGGGGUGUUGAAGAGUAUCUCUUUACUGGUCAUGGCGUAUCUGGCAUAAUUUUUUCUCGAUCUGUUCGAAUCUCCAGCCAACGUUGGGCCCCCAGCUAUCACCCUCGCUGCGGGCGGCUCGCGUCUCAAGAUUCCAUCACUCUGCUCCCCUUCAUCCAUGGUGGCCACCAUCGGGAAAGUCCCAUCCAUAAACUCGUCCAGGUACCGAUUUCUCACCAAAUCUUCGACCUGGGUCUUGAGAUCUCUACACUCUGCUGUGGUAUGGCCAUGGGUGCCAUGGAACUUACAAUAACGUCCUCUAUCCCUCCUGUUGGGUAGCUUUGUUAUUGGUGUGGGGAGGUGCAGCAGCCCUCGACCCUUUAUGGCCUCGUACACCUCAUCCAGGGGCAUCUUCAAGGGAGUGUACCGCCCAUAGUCCUGGUUCUGGUCGACCAGAUGCACUGCUCUUUCUCUGUUUGCCCCACUGUGAGUUGGGGGCGGUGGGAGUGCUUCUGGUCUGCUCGUCCUGCUACCGUGGGAAUGUUGAUGAAGGUCGCCGGAUGCCGAAUCAUGUCUUCUCCAAGGCUCCCUAGCUGGGGAGCGAGGAGGUGGCGCCCUGCUGCGCUGAUACUGUGGCGGCCUCUGAUGAGGCUGGUAAGCAAUUACCCUACCUCCUGCUCCACUACCGGAGAUCUGGUGGUCCCUCCUCCUGUUUGGUCCAUUAGUUGGUAAUGCUUUCUUCUCUUUCCUCCCUAACCCUUCCAACUGGUCUGUCUUGAUCCGUGCAGCCUUCUCCUCCUCAAUCUCGAUGUCUCUUUUAGCCUGUUCGUAUGCGGCUGCAUACGUUUGAAUAGCUGGGCUUCUCAAAUUGUACCACAGCCUUCCUAUCUUCACCCCUUCUUUCAGUCCCCUUAACGCCUGAGGGUGGUUGAAGGCUCCCAAGUCGAGGACAGCCCGAUGAAACCUCUUGAUGAAUUCCCGAAGGGUUUCUUGCUCCCCCUGUUUCAUGCUCUUCAGCUCCAUCAUGUCAUCUUCCGGCGACAUUGCCCCACUAAACUGCUCUGCGAAUUCCUGGCACAUCUGCUCGAAGGUUUUUAUGCUGCCCCGAGGAAGUUUCCUGUACCAUUCUCGUGCACGUCCCUCAAGGGAUAGUGGGAACACCCUGCACCUUUGGGAUGGAGAUAAUCCCUGGACCCCCGUUAAGUCGUUGAAGCGCUCUAUGUGCACCAGCGGGUCAGUUCUUCCCGAGUAUCUGAGGUCGGGGAGGCGGAAAUCUCUUGGAAUAACUGCCCUCAUGAUCUCUGCUGCGAGCGGUGAUUCCCCGUCCAGCAUUAUCCUCCAACCAGGGGCUCUGUUCCUCCCUUGCAUGUCAUCAAUUAUUUGCGCUAGCCUUCGCACUUCCUCCUCCAGCUGUCCUGCGCGACCAGGGUCGCGCGCUGCAGCUUGAUCCCGCUCUCGCUCUGCAUCAUGUAAGUGUUGCCUCAGUUCUGUUUCCUCUGUGUUCACCACCCCGUCGCCCCCGUCACAAGUCUGUCUUACCGGGGACUGCUCUCUUUCUCUAUGAAAUUCUCCCCGCAGAGGUACGUUACCUCUCUCACCGCCAAAUCUCCCAGCGGUUCGACUUCUCUCCGCACUAUCGGUACCUGGUGUCGCUCCACCGCCUCUCACCCUUCCCUCUUGGGUUACCCUUCGCUCGUUCCGCAGCUCAUGCAGGAUGGUUGUCAAGGUUUCCAUCUGCUUUUCCAUUCGCUCCAUCCGGUCGAACAUGACUUUUUCCCGUGCUUCGCUGAUCACCUCCCUCAGCGUCACGGAAUCGUUAAGCCUUAUGUCACCCCCUUGUGCGCUACUUCCUCCUAUCUCCAUUGACUUUCGCUUACUCCACCCCUCUUCUUGCUACCGACAGAAGCUUUUUGCUCUGGAUCCCCACAGACGGCGCCAAAAUGUUGAUGCGAGAUUCCGGUUCUCCUCGUUCUACGACCAGGAUCCCUGCUCGAUCAACUCUACCACGACCAGGAGGUCUCCUAGUAAUGCUUCUUCUCCGGAUGUCCCUGCACACACAGACAAGUCAGAGUACGCCGGUUGUUCUCCCGGCGCAAACCCUCCGACGCUCAAGUCAGAUAUGAAGGUUCGGGGAACGCUUGCCACAGGUCUUAUGGCUUUUUUGUGGUUUUCUCUUUUAUCUUAAAAAUGCUAACCCUUUUACCUUCGUUGGCUACCUUUUUAUAGGCUUCCUCUGAAUCUCAGUCUUCCGCUCUUUUCGAGACGGUAUGGGACUCCAACUGCUGCGUUAUGGGCAAAACAUGGGAUCUAGCGUGUUACGCCACGGUUCAGGGGAAAGCGUGGCUGCCACGGCUCUGUGAGACCUUGCGUGUUACGCCACGGUUCUGGGGAAAGUGUGGCUGUCAUGGCUCCGUGAGAUCUUGCGUGUUACGUCGCGGUUCUGGGGAAAGCGUGGCUGUUGUGCCUAGGUUCUCGUGCUGGAGAGCGCGUCUUGCCAACUGCCGUCGACCGGGUCUCCUCGCCUCUCGGUCUCUAGCCGGAAUGGCCUCAUGCCUUUUAUAGGAAUUGGCCUCGCGGACGACAACAUCGUGGACGAGCAGGAUGUUUCUGCUCCUGUUCUUCCACGCGCCAGGCUUUAACGGAAAACACCGGUGCGCAGAACCCCGCCAUCAGAUGUCUGCUCGUCAUUCCUGGUCCCUUCGACGCAUUUGUCCCAAACAGUAUCCCUCCCAAACAGUUUCUGUGAUUUUGGUUAAUUAUUACUACUAAUUAAUAUAUUAAUAUAUUAUUGUUAAUAAUAUAUUAAUAAUUAUAAGUUUUGAAUAAAUAAUAACAAUAAUUAAUAUAUUAUUAUAAUUAAAUAAUUAAUAUUAAUAUUAUUAGUUAAUAUAUUUUUAUAACAAUUAUUAUACUUAAUUAGCAUAUUAUUAUAAUUAAUUAAUUAAAAAUUUUUAUAAUAUAUUAAUAUAAUAUUGACAAUAAUUGUUAAUAAUAAUUUUUGAAUAAAUAAUCACUAUAAUUAAAAUAUGAAAUAAUAAUUAUGAUAAUAAUUCAUUAAGUACUUUUUAGUAAUUUGUUACAAUUUAAUUCAUUAUGAUUCCGAUUCCAAGACAAAAUAAACACAUUAAUGGCAAUCCAACUCAUUCUGAUUUCGAUUCCUAUAGUUCAAGUAAACAACUUAUUCUCCAUUCCUUAUUCCCAUUUCAGCCCAUUCUUAUUCCUAUUCAUUUCGAUUCCUGCCCAUUUCAAUUCUAGUUUAGUAAACGCCCCAUAAGUUUCAUGAGAGUUUGUAUUGGGGCCACCUCUUAAAGCUGUAUAGGGGGCUACCUGUCAUGACCCAACUCAGACCUAGCAUGAUAUUGUCCACUUUAGGCUUUAACAAGGCCUACACGAUUUUGUUUCUAGGGUGCUAGUACACCACAAAACAUGUCUUUCCAAUUAGGAUGUGGAUCACCCCUUAUAAAUCCAACAUCUCUCCAGUGUUUUGUCAAUGUGGGGUUUGCCUAGGGUGCUACAUAUACCCCUCCUUAGGGACUCAGAGUCCUCACUGAGGUUUGCCCCACCAUCGUUCAAGAUGACACACGGACCUGCUCUGAUACCAUCUAUUGUGACUCAGUCUAGACCUGGUAAGAUAUUGUUCGCUUUGGGCUAUACAGUUUUGUUUCUAAGGCGCCUAUACACCAUAAAAUGCGUCUUGCCAAUUAGGGUGUGGAUCACCCCUUAUAAACCCAACAUCUCUCCCGUGCUUUGUUGAUGUGGGAUUUGCCUAGGGUGUUACACAAUACCCUAUUUCAAAAUGAGUUGUUAGUUUAAUAAACUUAUGGGUUCCUCUAAUUACAUACCUUGUUUCGAAGAAAUUACAAUAGUCUCAAUUGUUUAAAUUUUCUUUAGUUACCUUUAAGUGAAUCCUUUAAAAUUUAUGUGAAGCUGAAAUGAUUUGUUAAAAAACAUGUAUUGUUGGAAUAUGCAGGAGUUGGUUACUUGUCUGUUGCUGCCUUUGACAAUUUUUAUUAGAGGAAUUUCAUCAAACAGAUCGUGCAUGUCUACGAAAAGUAACUAAAAAAUAAAAAAUGCAAUAAAAACAGUGACUAAAAGCAAAUAAAUCACGCAUGACCCAUCAUCUAUUAAUUUAUUCUAAGUAAAAGCCCCAACACAUUGUGAACAAAGGAAGAAAAUGAAAAAUUACAUGUAAUAGAGUAAAGAAAAACUCAAAAAAUAAACAAUGCAUAAAGGAAAAUGUCACCUUUCUUGGAUAUUUUAAACACAAAGAUAGAAGAACAGACGUGUAUGAAAAUGGCUGGUGUCAGAAUCAUGUCGAUGAAAAUUACUGAUGUUGGAAUCGCAUCAAUGAGAACCACUGGUGUUGGAAUCGUGCUAAUGAGAACAACAUUUAGAGUUUGUUUUAUGGAAAAAUUGAUUUGAAAUUAAGUUUAAAAAUAAGGAGAAUAAAAUUGAAAUGAAAUAAUAUGUAAGGGUAAUUUAGUAAUUUAAUAUACAGGUGGGAAAAAAUCUACUGAGGUGUCAAAGUCUAGCUACAAGGUGUUACUACUGAAAAUGAGGGGAUGAUAUAUGGAAAAAAGAAGCUUCAUUUUAAAUUAAUGAAAAAAAAUGAUUUAAAGAUUUAAGAGAUCCGAUUUGUGUUUCGUUUCACUAAAAUAUAUUGAUAGAUAGAAUUAGCCAUUAGGUGUGUCUUAACCUAAAAUUAUUCUUUCACAAAGUAUUAAAAAACAAUAAAAUACUAUUACAUAGCUCGGAAAGUUUGUAUUAAGUUAUAGAAUUAGGUGUCUCUUACAUAUAUGUCUUCCCAUGAAUAAAAGCAUUUGUAUUAAGUUAUGAAAUUGUGGAUUAUUAUACCAGUCUAAUGGCUCUUUCCCUUUCAACAUUAUUGUACGUAUUUUGCAAGGAAACAUCCUCUAUCUUUCUUUCAAUUAAUGUCCAAUUAAGAGUUCCGCGUGCCCAAUUAAUGUCAAUCACUCAAUUGUUUUUGAACGUGUACAGGAUAACAACUUAAAAGACUUUAGAGGGCCAGCGUUAAUUCAAAGUCAAAACUAGGUUAUUACCCUACAGGAUUCUUGAUAGUGAGGUGAAAAAAAGGUUGAAAAGGAUUAGGAUUUAAUCUUGAGUUUAGUUUUUAUUGAGCACUGAAUUAAUAAUUAGUAUUUAUUUUGUGUUUUUUUUAUUUAUCUUACCUAACAACCAUUUACUCAGAUCCUUGUCCUGUUGAAGGAGACUAUGUAAAUGAUUUUUAAAACUUUAGUUAUUUUUGUGUAUAAAACAAAAACUUUAAAUUAUUUAGUUUCAAAAGAGAGAAAAAAAAAUCUAGACUUUGAGCUGCUUGGGAACAAAUUAUAUUUGUUAUUUAAAAAAAAUCAUACUAUGAGAAAGAGAAAAUAUAAGUGGGGUUAAUUCUAUUUGUAUGUCCUUAAAUAUAAUUGUAUAGAAGAGGGAUUUUAUAAUAUUAAUGAAUUGGUGCCAAUACUCCAACCUUUUCUCAAAAUGAUUUUAAUUUUUAUUCAUAUACCCAAUGGCUGAAUUUAUUUUCAUUAUUAUGUAGGUGUGGUGUUACUAGAAAUUAAAAAAUAGGAUCCUCUCAUGAUCUGAGCUCUACUAAGCUUUUAAAGAUCUUCUUUUAUGUGUCAUUUAGUGGGUAGUGUAGGGAUAAGAUUUAACUUCUUUUACUUUUUUAUUUAUUAACUACCAAUCAACAAUUGAAUUAUUUGCUCGGAAUAUGAUCAGAUCAUGAGAGAAUCCUAAUCCAGAAAUCAAAUGCUUCCUUUUUUUUUCCCUCCUCUCCUCACUUAUGGUGGAAUAUGGAGAAUUGAACCAAACCAAUAUCCUAAUUACUAACAGAUUUGAGACAAAAUUAACAUUUUAAAAUAUUGCAAACUGGCAAAAAGUCAAACUUUUAUUUGCUACAUAAAUAUAAUCUCCUUUACAUAUUAAUAUCAAAUUCGUUAGGUUAAAUUCUAGGUUCAAAUCCUAGCAACGAAAUUAAUUUCUUUAUAGCUGGCAAACAUAUAUGCACUUUUUUUUCUUAAUUUACGCAGAAGUUUGAGCUAAACUGGUAAAGGAAUUAUUUUCUAAUUAACUUCUUUUUUAUUUUGGAAAAAAAAUUGAAAGAAAGAUAGGAAGCUGAAACUGAAGCCGAAUCAACUGGAGCAGCCACUACUAUAAAAAUGACAUUUAUUAACACUGUCUCUGACACUUAGUAAAAAGUGUCAAAAAUGGUGUACGUUUGGACCAUUUUCCGCCUUUAACAAGUGUGUAUCAUAAAUCAUUGAUACGAAGGUGUCAGUAGCUUAAAACUCAAUGAUUAUUGAUACUAAAGCAUCAGUGAAAAAAAAUAAUAUUAAUUUUGUUUUAAUUUGAACUCGAACUCAAGAGCUCUAAACUUAAAAUUUGUAAGUUUAGAGUGUAAACUAUUGAUGCAUGUGUUUUUAAAUUUUGAAUUUGAUUAAUUUUUUUAUUUAAUUAAAUUUUACACAAUUACUUUGUGGACAAUAAUAAUAAUAAUAAUAAUAAUAGUAUUAAUAGUUUUGAGAAUAAUAUUUUUUAUUUAGCCACAUGUCAACUUGUAAUUCGUUGUUAAUAAUAAUAAUUUUACUUGACCACGUGUCGACUUAUAGUCUGUUGUUUUAUUAAAUUACAAUGCGGACAAUUACACUAUAUAAUUUUUCAUACUAUAAAAUGAAAAAUAAGAAACCCUAAAUCUUACCUAAUCAAACACACCACUUCUUAAGUUGCUGCCGCCGCUCCCCUGCUCCUCGACUUUCACUGCUGCCGGCCGCUGCUCCUCAACUUUCACUGCUGUCAGCUGUCGUUCCUUGACGUCACUGCCACCUCUACUCUGCUGUUGUCAAGCUUCAGCCAUUGAUGACUAGCUAGCCACCUUUCAGUACGUCGCUGCUACCGCUUUUAUGCCGUCACAUCAACUUCAGCCCAGCCAGCCACCGUUCCUUUACCGUCAAGAUCAAGAACCAUUUCUUUCUCUUUUCUCUUUUGGCACAGGUAUGAAAAUACUGCUGAGGAGUUAAUCUGUUAAUCACCAUUCGUGUACGUCGCUACUAUCAUUCGUGUACGUCGCUGCUGCUGCUCGUCUUGGUCACUGCUGCCGCUCCUCUACCGUCACGUCAAGCUUCAGCCUUUUUGACAAAACAUUUCACUUGGAAUUAUAAGCAAACUCUUUUGAGACCAUAAAAAACUAAGCCAAUUUCUUUGGUUUCAAGGCCUUGUUUUUUCACUUUGAAAUAUGAUCAUACAAUGACAAGCCAAUUGAAAACUUUUGUUCAAGAUUUCAUUGUUAAAUUCACCUUUAUUUUUAUUAUUUGUGUUCCUGUCAUUUUCUUUCCCUUUUUUCGAUUUUUAAUUCAAUUUGGGAUUUGACAGAUAUAUUUUUUAAUUUUUAUAAAAAUUUAUCUUAUUUGCAGGAUGCUAAGGGACAGGAUGUUGAUCUUAGCAUCUACAAGGGAAAGGGUCUUUUGAUUGUCAAUGUUGCAUCACAAUGGUGUGCCUCAGCUCCUUUAAUUUUUAAUUUUUUUUCCAUAAUGAUUUAUUGAUUAUUGUUGAUGCUUCCAUUUAAUUAAUGCUAAUACGUGUUAUCUAUCUAUCAGGAGUCUAAAUUUUAUAGAAUUAUAUCAUACUCGAAAGUAUGCAUGCUCCCAAUACAAAUAAGUGUUUAUAAGAGAGGAUUUCACCCAAAAUCUUUAAUUCUUGCAAAAUGCUAGUGGCUCCGUUUGCACAAGUUUAUUUUUCUUCCAUGUUCGUUCCUUUACCAUAGUGGUUCCUUUACCACCGAGGUCAGACACCAUUUCUUUCUCUUCUCUGUUUUGGCACAGGUAUGAAAAUACUACUGAGAAGUUUCUCUAUUAAUUACCUUAUAUAUAUAUAUAUAUAUAUUUUCACAUGUUUAAUUGAGAACAUCCAAUAAUAUAGUAAUAAUAUAGUGGGCAAACUAUAGGAAGGUUGUUAGUAGACAAUUCUAAUUUUAGCUUUACUUUGCAAAUGAAAGAUUAGAAAUAGUCCGUUGAACCCAUUUUACUAUAUUGGAGGUUUGGGCUAAUCUUGUAUAGAUUUUUGCUCAGAAGAAGGAUGGUUCUCCAAGGGCGGUGGGUUGGUUUUUGUAUAGACUAUUCCCCUAUUUUCCCAUUUUGCUUUUCUUUGAGGAAACCUGGUCCUUUUUUUUUUGUGUUUUCUUUCUUCAAUCAAAUAUGUAUUUCUCAAUCUCGUCUCAAAAAAUAUCUAUCUCAUUUUACUAUAUGUUUAUGAAUUACUAAUUGUAUUUUGUUAGUAUUCCAUGUUCGAAGAAGAAUAUUAGAUUGAAGAAAGAAGAAGUUGUUCCUUUGCUAAUCGUUUGAAACCCAGGCUUGCACUGAAUUUGAUUUUUAUCUUUUACUUUUUUACUUGACCUAUACUUGAAUCUAAUUUUUGCUCCACUUUCCUUUCUUUCGUCAAUUUAAUUAUCAAUCCACUUCAAACCUAAAAAGAUUUAGUAAUUGGGAAACCCUUUUUUUUUUUGAAAGAAUUGCAAAGUACUGUAAUUGGAAACUGGGUUCAUGUCUUAAAAAGCAACCUAAUUUGUAAUGUUUGGCUUAUAGUGGCCUUCUAUUUCUGUUUUUCAUCUCGGCUUGGUUAAUUUCUUCACUAGUCGUUUAAAUUUUGUUAAUUUUUAUUUUUCCUCUUUAAGCUCAUUAAAUAUCUUUUUUUUUUCAAUUUAUGGCUUUUGGUCCAACUGAUCAUCGUUGAAUGUGGGCACUAUAAAUGUUAUAGUGCUUGUUAACUUAAUGUAUUUGAUCAUAUAUUAUAGUAUUGUUUACUUUAAAUUUAGACAAUGAAAUAGAUUACAAAAAAAGUAACUUAUGCUUGUCAAGUUGUAGACACCAUUGUUCAUGCCAUCAUUACUGAAUAUUGAUGUACUUAUUAAGUGUUCUCUUUAAUACUUGAUAGAAUACUUUUGGUGAAGCAAUUUGUGGUAUCAUGAUUGCAGGCUGUAAUUAACUUAGGAACGUGUAGAUUCUACAAUUUCUUUUUCCGAUUCCUUAACUUGCUUCUUUUAAUCCUACUCUUCCAUGUUGAAGUAAUUUAUGAGUAUUUUUGCUUCAAAAUAACUAAGAUUUAUUUUUCACAGUAUACUAAUUGAUUUUAUGCACUUGUAGGUGGGAAAAAAAUGAAGCCGUGGAUGGAUAUUGAGUGACCUUGUGCUUUUUUUUUUCUUUUGGGUUGGAAACUUAAUUGAGUAGUAGUUAGCACUUGUUGUUUAGAGAUUGUUGAAAAUUUAAUUUGAUACUUAUGUUAAGUCUUUUACAUAUAGUGAUGUAGUUGAAUUGUUUGAAUUUAAGUGAUGUAUUUGAGAUGUUUAUUAUAUGAAUUAUGUUGCAAGAUAUUUAAUAAUAAAUAUAUUUCGAGUUUUCUUUUGGUUGUACGACAAACACGAAAAAUAUAAUUAAAGUAAAAGGCAAAUGCUAUGUUACAAUUAAUGUAACAUACACACUCAACAACAACCACACAAAUUAUGUGGGCCCAUCAUUUGUAUGGUUGUUGUUGAGUGUGUAUGUUACAUUAAUUGUAACAUAGGGGCUCCCAAAGUAAAAAUAUACUAUUAACCAAAAGCAACAUAACAUUAUUAAAUACUGACACUACAUAUUUAAAAUAACAAUAAGAAUUUUUUAUAUUAUCGAGUCAGUUUCUGAUACUAUAGUCACAUAAAUCACUGACGUGUAAAUAGUGUCAUUAAAUACCAACAUUAUCGGGUCAUUAUUUUAGUGAUACUAUAGUGAAAUAAAUUACUGACACAAAAAUCACUGACACCAAAAAUUAGUGUCAGUGUAUGGCUUGAGCAACACUGACACAAUUAACAAGUGUCAAUAAAAGUAAUUACUGACGCUAAAUUAGUGUCAGUAAAACUCAUUUUUCUAGUAGUGAGCAUCAAGCAUCUUUUGAAAUUCUUCUUCUUUUUAUUUUUAUUUUUUUUAAUGUUAUUGAGGGCAAAUAAAGUCUAUAUGCUUAAUAUUGAACAUAAUUUUUAACAAAUAAAAACUAACACUAACAUUGUGCCAAAUAAAUUGUUUAUAGCUUAACUGGCCCAUUUAGGAUAGCUGCGCCGCCAAACAGGGCUUUGAUUUUAUUGCUAUAAGUAUGCACUAAAUCUUUUUAAUAGAUUUUCUUGGGUGGCUGAAUGGUUAAAUAAAUUAAUUUAAAUGAUUGAAAUAAGAAUUUUUUUUAUAUUUUAAAAAAUGUACAUAUUAAAAUUUAACAUAUAAAUAUAUAAAAUAAUAGAGUGUUUAGAAUAAUUUUUAGAGCGCAAACAGUCUUACUCAUUUUAUUAUUAAUCAAGACUUAAGAGUCACUAAACUAAAUCUCCAUUUUCCAAAUCUUUAGGACGAACGAGAAAAGGUAGCAAAUGCAAGCGAUCCACUGUUCAUCAAUAUUAUCUGGUGUUGUUGCAGAUCAUUUUGUUAUUUUGGUCCAUCAAAGCAUCAAAACAAUUUGCUUGUAAAAAUGAUUGUGGAAAUGUGCAGAUCAUAUGCCCCUUUGGAAUUGGAGAAGUGUGCCACUUUGGUAAGAGUUAUGAAGUAAUAUUCACUCUUCUGGCUCUCCCAAAGCUUUUCAUCCUAGUAUCAAGACGGAAUAUCGUACCGUUACUCCGAAACUAAAAGUAGAGUCAACAUUCCUGUAAUUUCUUUACACACAGUGCUAUACUGCUAUUGCCACAAGCAAUAAUAUUGCUAGAAGAGUCAAUCUAUCUGGUGGUCCUUUCACCUUUCCCUAGGGGCUCAAUAAAUUUAGAGCUCAAUUUGUUUUAGGUUCAAAAUUGAUGAACCCGUACUUAAUAACUAUACAAAUUGAUAACUUCUUGAUUUAUGAGGACAUAGAAAUUUUGGAACACUAAAUGCAUUUUUCUAAGUUAUGAGAGCUAUUACUGGUUAGGCAUUUCUAUUGUUUGAAGGACAAACCUGUUAGGAACCAGAUCUAGAUUCCUCAUGCUUUGGUCAAACCAUUGUGUAAUUGUGGGACUGGCAAUUCCUUUUCUUUUUUCCCAGUGUCAGUGGUCAUCAAUGAAGAAAAAAUUAUGAAGCUUGUUAGCAGCCUGCUGAAUCUUAGGUUGAAAUAGAGUUGCCUUCUACAUUACUGGAAAAUCUGAUUUUUGUAAGUUAAUGAUAUUCUAGUAGUCUGCCUAGAGACCAAUGCAUACUGAUUAAACAACUGGUUUAAAUCAUUAGGGCAUGAUCAGCCCGUUAUCUGGCACUCUUAAACACAAUAGGCAGGGAGGCUUUGGGCAAAUCAUAUUCAAUGAUUAGAAAUGUUCAAAAAUUUCAAGAUAACAAAUACGCAAGCGUUUCAAUUGGACAUAAGUAUUUGGGUUUCUAGUUCUAAUAGAGGUUUCUCAAAGCUAUAUUCUAGUCACUUUACUAUUCUGAAUCAGAAUCAGAACUAGAAUCAGCGGAUGUUUUUCAUUGUAAACUUUUAAUAGAUCUCUUACUUAUUAUGAUUUUAAUCCAAUGAUUGAACUGGAUAAGAGAAAAGGGCUAGGGUCAAUAGGUUCAAUUGGGCUCCAAAUGGCAAUCAACUCAUGACAUUGCAUGAAAUAUACAACAUGCUUCUUUUGAAAUAUGAUAUAUUAAAAAAUUUAGUGCAUAUAUGCUUAUAUUUGUAUAUUUACAAUGCAAUGCAUAUUAAUAUCAAGGAGGCAGAAAUUGAACAUAUACAUUCAUAAUGCAAUUUUUAAUAAUUGUUCGGAUUUUCUUUUCUGGGUGAUAACAUUCAGGGAAAAGAAAAAUAAAUACAAGGUUAAGACAAUCUAAGACAUGAAGCCCGUGAAGCAUGGCUUAGGACAUGGUCAAGUUGUAAAAACUAUGGCUAGGACUAUCUAAUACAUAAAACUUGUACUGUAAACAAAUUUAACUGUGGAUGUCAUUGCUUAGGAAUUGGAACUUCAAGCAAUGUUCUAAAAACAAUUCUUUCUCCACUAGUUUUUCUCACCCUUUUAAUAUUGAAAGGGAUGGGAAUGGUAUAAAGAUGAUUCUGUUUGUGGUAAGAUUCCUUUCAGGCUAAUUACUAUUUUUGACGUGGGGUGCAGGAAUAUCUUGAAGAAUAUGUUGGAUCUUCUACUAGAAGAGCAAUUUUAUAUCAAGUAAGAACUCUUGUUUUCUAGAUGAUCAUAUAAUUUUAACAAACCUGCUUCCCUUGAAUUUGGAGUAAGAUGCUGUUAGUCUUUAUAUCUCUGGACUUUUCAGCUUGGGUCUGUUCAAAAUUGAGCAUCCGAUAAAUCAAGGAUGACAAAGCUAUCUAAGUCAAGUGAAAUGGUCAAUUAUUCAGUUUUUGGUCCGUUGUCGACAAAAUUAAAUUUUAGUUUUGCUUGCUAUCUGGCUUUUGGUAUGUAGCGUCAAGAGGCUGUAGUUAGAUAACCAAGUAUUUGGUUGAGUAUUUGGAGAUUUUUCUUUUUCAAGGUUUGCUUUUUCGUUGGCACCCUCGAUGGAAUCGAUAUCAGUUGAGUGAUUCAGUUGGGCCUGACAGUCUUAGGCUUUCUUUUGGUAAUGGAUAUUUAUUUUAAGAUAAUCAUUGUAGUUUCCUUAACUCGUUACAACAUUGACAAUAUUUAAAGUUCUUAUUUUAUAUAUACCUAUUUUCAAGGAAAAUGCUGAUAGCUUGACCUCAAAUAUGUUACUCACAGGAAUAUGUAAAAGGUAUAUCAGCAACUGGGAUGCAGUCUAAUUAUGGUUUUGAUGGUCAAAUCCAUGCCUGCUGGAUGCAUAAAAUGACACAAAAAGACAUUCAAACCAUUCGUUCAGCUGGAUUUCUUGUGUCACUGAUUCAUGGCAGGUACAUGAGCAACCAUAAUGCACAUGAGCAACCAUAAUGCACAUGAACAUAGCUGUAUAAUUGUGUCUUGUUAUAAUUUUGGAGAUAAUGGAUGUUAUAAUUUAAAGGGAUUGUAUGUAAGCAAUUAUUUAAUUGGGAAUAUGUAAGUAAGGAAUACUCAAAUGAAGAUUGAAGAAAACAAGCAAAAUGCCUUGAGCGAGGAAUUGAAUUGUCUUCAUUCAUUAACAAAGAAAGGGUUUAUAUAGGCAUUACAAGGUGGAGUUAUUCACAAUUAUUAAUUAUAAAAAGGAUAAUGGGAAGAGCAAUAAGAUGAUAAUGGGAGAGCAUUAUUUUGGUGGAAUCCACCAUGAUUUACAACACUCCCCCUUGGAUUCACCAAUUAUUUAUUAGAAGUGCUCCCCCUGAUGACAUUGGAUAUUGCCUCAUUAAAAACCUUUGCCAGUAAAAACCCAGUGGGAAAACUUGGUCAAAAGGAAAAAAGAGUACAGUACAUAUGUGCCCAAUAUUCCUAUAAUUCUUCUCUUGUAAGAUCAUGCUCCUCUUGUUGAGUGCUCUUCCUGAAGGCAACAUGCAUUAAUUUAACAGUUUGUUAAAACGACGCAUGUCGAUGCCAUAUACGAUUUUUUCAAAUGUAGAUGUAGGUAGAGCUUUUGUAAACAUAUCAUCUAAAUUUUCCGUGGAGCGUAUCUGUUUGAUAUCAAUCUUCUUGUUCUGUUGGAGCUCAUGAGUGUAGAAGAAUUUCGGCGAAAUAUGUUUUGUUCUGUCCCCUUUAAUGUAUCCUCCUCUGAGUUGAGCUAUACAUGAGAAAACAUUGUCUAAUCAAAAUGACAAUCUGUAAAUCGUGCGGUAAAUACAUCACCUGUCAAUGGUUCAAGAUAUCUGAUAAUAGAUGGUGAGUCAAAUCCCACAUAAAUUCCCAAUCGUCGUUGGGGUCCCAUUUUAGUACGUUGUGGGGGCGCAAUCGGCACUUGUACUGUGCAACCAAAAAUGCGUAAAUGGGAUAAAUCUGGUUGAUGUCCCAAUACCAAUUACAAUGGGGAAUAUUUAUGAUAGGCAGUAGGCCUUAAGCGGAUUAAUGUCGCAGCAUGCAAAAUAGCAUGUCCCCAUGUCGAAAUAGGUAAUUGAUGUUGUGCAAAUUUUAUUGAACUCGCAAGUGCACGAAUCUAUUGUAGUAUAGAUCAAUGGUGACGAGUGUCGAUCCCACGAGGAGGUGGAUUUUAAUUGUGUGUAGAAUUAAUUUUCUAAAUGGGUGGUUGGAUUUGUGGUGAAAAUGAUUUGGAUUAUCCUAAAAUUGGAAUUGAAUUGGCGAGAAUAAUUUGAAGAGAAUUCUAUUGAAAUGACUUACUUGGGUAUCUGGAUCCGUAUCAACAUGCACCAUGGGCUAAAUAUUCCUUAUUAGUGCCAAUUAAAUCAUGAGGGGGGAAUCCACACCUCAUGAACCACACUCUAAUCAAUAUGGUACUAAGGGCUUAUCGUGCCAAAUAAUAAUAACCUUGUACUAGGGAGCCGGUGUAACCAAGGCGGUAUCUAGACAAGAUUGUUAUUAUUUGUCGACGAAAAGUCAAAUCAUCCACAAAAAUUAGAGGGGAAAAGAAAAUAAAUUUACCAAAUAAAGCCCAUGACACAUGUUGAGACUUCACCUUUAACCCAAGCUUGAAAGAAAAUUAGCUACUCAUAAUUGAACUAGGGGCAAAAUGAGAAUUUAUUAAAAUACAUAGAAAAUACAAAAUGAAGAAGGAAUUACAGAAAAUGGAUCCCAAAAAUGGAUUCAGAGCUAUCAAAUUAGGGGGGAGAGGCCCACUUUUUAGAGAUACAUUGAGUAAAUCAUGGCCAUCGGAUUAAAAACAGUUCGGACGCUCAGGAUUGCGCCACGUCAUCAGUCAACAGUACGCAGUUUGACCACGCAGUUUGGACAGUAACACAGUUUGACCCAGCUUGAACAGUGACGCGGUUUGAUUGAAAAUAAUCCUGUGUAAUGCAUGUACCGUACGCGAGAUUUUUGGUCCACUGAUAUGCUGCCACAUCAUCGAUCAACAGUGCAUAAGAAUUUUAGUCCAACAGGAUCGUGACACCUCAUCAGUCGAUACCACAUCAUCGGUCAAUGCCACGUCAUCGAUCCGUCUAUGUGAUAAGUGUCGUGAACAGUAACGUAGACAGUACCGUACAUGUGAACAGUGUCAUUUUUCCUUUUAUGCUCCUCUUAAGGUUUUCGACCGUCUUGAGUUCAAAAGUGAUGUCCGUUUUGCCAUCUGAUCUCUCGUUUAUUGUGAAAUGACUCUAAUGCCCCUAAAAUACAUAAAAUACUUAAUUAAAAUAAAACACACAUAAUUAAAUCACAAGAAGGUUAAAUACAUAAAAGUAAGGGUGUUAGUAAAACUUGAAGUGUAAAAUGACUAUUUUCUCCUUUAUAAAUAUACAUUUUCUAACACUCAACACACCUCCCAACCAGCUUAUUGCUAGUCCCUAGCAAAUAAAGCGAAAAUAAAAUUCAAAUUCAAAAUGAUUUUUUUUUUAACAAUCAUGUUUAUUCAAUCAGACUAAUAAUAAUAAUCAAAUAAAAGUAUAAGUAUUAUCUCCAGUCUAAAGAAACAUCACACCCACAUCAACCAUCCACAUGAAUCAGCCUAGUAGACUUUGUUAUAGCUACUUUCAAGAAUGACAUGUCAAACCCCAAAAUCUCACUGGAAGUAGUGACACUCUCACAAAGAAAUUAAACCUAAUAAAAAUAGUCACUCCAAUGAAUGGUAAUUUGAGAGAAAAUAAUAAAGAAGUGAUAUCACAUGCUCUCACCAAGAUGAAAGAAAUAUGCCCUCAGCUUAGAAAUAAUAUGAUCUCAAGUCAAAUAAAAAUGCUAGUCAACCCAAUUUAUUUUUUUUUUUUAUGCACCACUACAUCUUUUUAGCCCAUAUAAUUAGCUUAUACUUCCGAUUAUAGUUCCUUAAAAUCAAGAAUGACUUUUAUUAGGAUGUAACGUAGGUUAGGGACAUGGCAAACAAAGGAAGGGAAAUAAGGAAAACAAAGUGUAUGUUUGAGAAAUAUGUAGAGAUUUUUUUUUGGAAGUUGCAAGGUGGAUUUCACCUAUUAUUGUUUUUUUUAAACAACAAUUUUUUUCUUUUUUUUCUCUUUUUUUUUGUUUGGCAUAACUUCACUGAACAAAAUAAUUAUUUACAUUUUUCUCAAACAUAAAUAGGUGAUAGAACAUGUAAGAUAUUGGGUAAUACUCCAAAUCGGAGUAGUCAAGAUGAUAAGUUUGACAAAGAAAAUAUUUUUUUUUUAAAGACUCAAAAGGGUUAAUUAUGGAUAUUUCAUAAAAUGGAUGGUUAGAAAUGAUCAAACGGAUCAAAGAUGGCCUUUCCAUAAUCUUUUAGGGCUCUAAAUAAUCUUCCAUAUUUACUAGUUAGAUGGGCCUCCAAAUGUAGCAACACACAUUUUUUUCUUUUUUUCUUUUUUAAUUUUACAAUAUUUUUUUUAAGGGUUAACUCAAAAGAAAUCUAGAGAUCGUGUAUACAAUAAAAAACUGCUAAGCUGUAUAAAGAAUAGGCAAAAGGGUUACUCUCCAAGAAAAAUGAUAGGCUCAAAAACUCACUUGGUACUUAUUAUGACAUGUUCAUUCCUUCAAGCAACUCAUAUUUGUCUCCGACAUCAACAUGUAGAGUAGCAAACAUAGUGUAACAUCACUUAAGACCAAAGAUAAUACAAAUACUAAAAUUUGAAAUUAAUCAUGUCAUCCAAUGUUAAAACAAAUCACACAAUUUUUUUUAAACAACAUUUUACCCCCCAACCUAUUCUAAAGAAAGGAAAAUAUGCAUGCAGAAAUGUGAAAAUGAUGCAGAAAAACUAAUUAGAAAAGUUACACUUAAAAUGAUAGAAAAAGAAAUGUUUUUUUUUUAACUAAGAAGAUGCGUUUCUAGAGGCACUACACUCCAUAUUCAGCCAUCUUCGACUAAAAAAAAAUAAAAUUGGAAAGUGUAUAUUUAUAAAGGAGAAAUUAGAAAGAAGUACAAAAAUUAAUAGAGAAAAAUAAAAUAUCUGAAUUUUUUUUAACAAAGAAGAUGCGUUUCUAGAGUAACUACACUCCAUAUUCAGCCAUCUUCAACACAAAAAGUUAGCAACAGUUAGUUUCUACAACAAAAAAUUAGUAAAAACUUAACCAAGAUUCCACAAUUGUCGACUAUUCCCUCCCCCCAACCAAAACAAAACAUUGUCCUCAAUGUUUUAAAGGAAAGAAGUAAAGUUUAGAAGACAUCGCCUGAGUGGUGCAACACCGAAGAAAAUAUUUACAGGCGGAGAGUUAAAUCUAAUUUGUACUUCUUACUGCGGCUACUGUUACCAUCAUUAUUUGGACGCUCUAACACAAAGGUCUAGGGGUCUGGCUCGGGUUUAUAAGCUUGUAACAUAUCAAGUAACUCAUUAGCAGUGUGAGCACAAAUAAAAAGCCUUUUCACAUUGGAAAGAACGAAAUAGUUUUUUAUUGCGUGGUUAAGAAAUGUGAUAAAGCCAUCAUAAAAGUUUUUGACAUUUAACAAACCAAUGGGUUUCUGGUGAAUGUGCAGAUGAGCCCAAGAUGCUAGUGUGAUAAGUGCCUCUAGUGUUGCAAGAUCUCCUGUAAGGAAAAUAAAAGCAUCAGCAUGAUUAAGCAUUUCAGUUAUUCUUUCUUGCAUACCUAAGAUGACUAACUCUUCUCUAGUCGGUGAGUCAGACAAACUGCCCAAAGGUUUUAGGACUCUUGGGAUGAUGCCUAACACUUGGCUUAUUUUGACAAAAGCAGCUUCUGAGACCAAUUUUGAUAACCCUCGGUUACCUCCUCCAUACACCAAGUGUAAUUUUCUCUCUGCUAUGCUUUGACCAAGAUCUACUGCUGCCUCAACGAACUCUUUAUGUUUGCCAUAGUUAAAUCCAGAAAGCACACAAAUGUUCUUGAAUUGUCUAUUGGGAGUAGCUGCCAUUGGAAUAUUUCUCAAAAAUAAUUUUUGAGUGCUUAACAAAAAGUUUUAUUUAAGAAUCUUGGUAACAGUGGAUCACAACUAUGUAUGAAGUGGCAUGUUAGUGUCAAAUAACGCGUAAAGCACAUGGCUCGCGAGUCAAAAAGGAAACAGUAAAAAGAAAAAGAAACAAUGAUAAAAUAAAAUUAUUAAAGACAAUAAUGCAAAUGAUAAAACAAUAGUGAAAUAAAAUAAUAGUGAAGUAAAAGGAUAUUUACAGGUAGUUGCGACUGUGGCUCACAUCUUCCUUUGGUUUUACGUCCAGAAACGGCUUGAACGCCCCUCUAUAGGUCGAGGAUGGGUUUCCCAUCCAGUUUUCUUAUAAACUGGCAAACAUGAUCGUUUAUCGUCAGAUUCCCGAGACUAUAUCGUGCAUGCUCUUUCUGGAAUAAUGGCCAUAACUGGAAAAUCGCUCCUUGCACAUAUUUAUUGGGAUGCGUUUCAAGAGACAGAAGGAUAUCAUCCAAUGACUCCUUAUUCUAGCCAUCCCUAAUGAAUUGAAUCUUAUCUUCCCUGUUAUCAGACACCAUUCCUAAAGAACAUGGGUUUUUAUCGCAACUCAUUAUGACACACUUAUGACAAGCAACAGAAAUUCUUUGAGCUCGUCGUUUUCUUGCAUAAUUUCCUUUACCACAACCAGGCAUGUAUGCAAUAAAUUUUGGAGGUAACUCACCUGCCAAUCGUACUUUAGCCUUGAUUAACCAACGGAUGUCAGCAGGUAUGUUAUUCCUCAUGAGCAAUCGCAUGCGUUCGGACCGGGCUUUAUAGAUUGUAAGGAGGGCAUUAUGAGGAAGUGAAGGGAAUCGCUUGUGAAGUUUCGCUAGAAUCUUGUUUCUGUCCAUACCUUCGCCUUAGAAUAUCAGUUAUUAUGGGAAAACUGAAGUAACCGACUUGAUUGUCACGGAGUACCGUUAUCCGCCACUUCACCGGGGUAACAAACUAAAGCACACAAAAAAAAAACAAAUUAAAAUACAAAAAGAAAAUUAAAAUCGUCUUUUUAUUAAAUUUACCUCAAGCUCCAACUGGAUGUCGUAAACACUUCUCUCAAUGUCUUUGAUUUGGCUUUCUAAAUUCUUAACGUAGGCUACUAACUCUGGUGGUUUUAGAGCCCAAAUGCGAUGUGUUUUACAAAAUCGAAUCUGCCUUUUGAGAUGAGAUUUUACACGUUGAAGUGGUUUAAGAAUGUUCAGGAGGAACAGUUUAAGUAUGGUACUCAUAAUUAAUAAUGAUAAGAGAAAACUUAAUGGUUAAACAAACACAAUUAUGCAAAAAUAAUUUCAAUUAGCAAAAGAAUAAUAAAAAGAAAGAAAUAAAGAAAAAAAUAAAAUCACCGAAAAGAAAGAAAAGAAAAAAAAAUCAAUUCAAAUCUGGUGGGUCAUUCAAAUUUAUUUCGGUGUCUUCUCCAUGUGGUUGGUACCCUAGAUAUGGCUUUAAUCUUUGACCAUUAACUUUAAACAUGACACCGUUCUUUGGAUCCUUAAUUUCAAUUGUCCCAUGUGGAAAAACAGUGUGAACAAUAAAGGGGCCAGACCAUCGAGAGCGUAACUUACCUGGGAAUAGGUGCAAGUAAGAAUUGAAUAAAAGCACUUUCUGACCUGGAGUGAAAGAUUGUCUCAUAAUUUGCUUGUUAUGGAAGACUUUCAUUCGUUACUUGUAAAUCUUGGCAUUUUCGUAUGCAUCGUUACGAAUUUCUUUAAGUUCUGCCAGUUGUAAUCUUCUUUCUGAGCUAGCUUACUGCAUGUUAAAGUUGAAUUUCUUGAUGGCCCAGUAUGCACGAUGCUCGAGUUCCACAGGUAGGUGGCAAGCUUUUCCAUACACUAGCCUGUAGGGUGACAUCCCAAUCGGGGUCUUGAAAGCUGUUCUAUAUGCCCAUAAUGCAUCAUCAAGUCUUAAUGACCAAUCUUUUCUGUCUGGCUUCACCGUCUUUUCUAAUAUGUGCUUUAUUUCUCGAUUGGAGAUCUCAACUUGGCCACUGGUUUGCGGAUGAUAUGGGGUCGCCACUUUGUGAGUGAUUGAAUACUUCAUCAAAAGAGCUUUGAAUGCUUUAUUACAAAAGUGGGCACCACCAUCACUGAUUAUUGCUCGAGUGAAUCCAAAGCGCGAAACAAUGUUGCUUUUUAAAAACCCUAUCACCACCUUGUGAUCAUUGGUUCUGCAUGGAAUUGCUUCUACCCAUUUUGAUACGUAGUCAACAGCAACCAAUAUGUAUUGAUGGCCAAAAGAAGGGGAAAAGGGUCCCAUGAAGUUGAUACCCCAUACGUAAAAAAUCUCAACCACUAAAAUUGGAUUUAAUGGCAUCAUGUUCCUUCGUGUAAUGCUCCCCAUUCGUUGACACCUAUCACAUGAAGUGUAAGCAUCUCGAAAUAUAGUUGGCCAAUAGAAACCACAUUGUAAAACUUUAGUAGCUGUUUUCUUAGCACUGAAAUGGCCUCCACAAGCUUGUUCAGGGCAGAAUGAAAGGAUAUUCUGAAUUUCACUUUCUGGGACACAUCAUCUAACAAUUUGAUCUGCACAAUACUUGAACAAAUACGGGUCAUCCCAAAAGAAAUUCUUUAUUUCUGCAAAGAAUUUAGCCUUGUCUUGCUUGGUCUAAUGCUUUGGAAGUUGACCUGUAACAAGAUAAUUAACGAUAUCAGCAUACCGUGGUAAUACUUCCACACUCAUCAAUUGUUCAUCUGGGAAUGACUCAUUCAAUGUUAAUGGUUCUGAAAUUGUGUCAAAAUGGAGACGAGAGAGAUGGUCUGCCACAACAUUUUCUGUGCCUUUCUUAUCUUUAAAUUCCAAGUCGAAUUCCUGCAAAAGUAACACCCAACGAAUUAGUCUAGCUUUUACAUCUUUCUUUGUGAGAAGAUAUUUAAGAGCAACAUGAUCUGUGAAUAUAAUUAUUUUACAACCAAUGAGAUAAGAUCGAAAUUUUUCUAAUGCAAACACUACUGCUAGCAUUUCUUUUUCAGUAGUUGAAUAGUUCAACUGUGCAUCAUUCAAUGUCAUACUAGUAUAGUAAAUAACAUGGGGAAUUCGAUCAACUCUUUGUCCUAAUACUGCUCUUACUGCAUAAUCAGAUGCAUCACACAUGAGUUCAAAUGGUAAGCUCCAGUUUGGGGGCUGAAUGAUGGGUGAUGAUGUCAACAACCGCUUUAAUUUUUCAAAUGCCACAAGACAUGAAUCAUUAAAGACAAAAGGUACAUCCUUAGCAAGUAAAUUACAUAAGGGUCUAGAAACUUUGCUAAAAUCUUUAAUGAAACGUCUAUAAAAAUCAGCAUGCCAAAGGAAAGAUCUUACUUCUCUGACUGUUUUGGGUGGAGGAAGAUUAGAAAUGAGAUCCACCUUAGCUUUGUCAACCUCAAUACCUUUGCUCAAAAUGAUGUGACCGAGAACAAUACAUUGUUUUACCAUAAAAUGACACUUCUCUCAAUUUAAGACCAAGUUCUUUUCGAUACAACUCUGCAGAACUAGUGUUAGAUGAUGUAAACAUUGAUCAAACGAGUCACCAAAAACAGAAAAGUCAUCCAUAAAGACUUCAAGGAAUCGUUCAACCAUAUCAGAAAAAAUGCUCAACAUGCAACGUUGAAAUGUAGCAUGUGCAUUACAUAAUCCAAAUGACAUUCUCCUAUAUGCAAAAGUGCCAAAAAGGCAAAUGAAAGUAGUAUUCUCUUGAUCUUUUGGUGCUAUGGGAAUCUGAUUGUAUCCUGAGUAGCCAUCUAGAAAGCAAUAAAAUUCAUGGCCUGCUAAUCUAUCAAGCAUUUGAUCAAUAAAUGGUAGAAGAAAAUGGUCUUUACGUGUGACAGAAUUCAACUUUCUAUAAUCAAUGCAUACACGUCAUCCUGUAGUCACUCUAAUGGGUAUCAAUUCAUUAUCGGCAUUGGUAACUACUGUGACUCCUGACUUUUGGGGACAACUUGUACAGGAUUGACCCAUGAACUAUCAGAAAUUGGGUAAAUGAUACCUGUGUCUAAUAGCUUAAGGACUUCAGUUCUAACAACUUCUUUCAUGUUAGGAUUUAACCGACGUUGCAUUUCCCUAGUAGGUUUAACAUUUUCAUCAAGAUGAAUGUAAUGCAUAUAGUCUACUGGGUUUAUACCUUUGAUGUCUGCUAUGGUCCAUCCUAAUGCUCCUUUGUGCUCUUUUAAAACGUCCAACAACUUACCUUUUUGUUCGUCAUUUAGGGAUGAUGAGAUGAUUACCGGCAGAGUACUUUCUUCUCCCAAAAAUGCAUAUUCCAGAGUGUUGGGUAAUGGUUUGAGCUUGAGUUUCGAUAGUAAUUCUGAUGAUGGAAUGAGUUUCUUUUCUGAUGGUGCUAGUUGUUCAACUCUUGACUUCCAUUUAUUAGUGUCCAUAGAUGAUGCUGAGUCAAGUAGAGCAUUGACCUCAUUGACUGAUCUGUCAAUAUCAAAAUCCAAACCAAAGUGAGAUAAACAUGUUUGUAAAGGAUCAUCACUAAGGUUUGAAAGAAAAGUGUCAUCAACUAAUGCUUCAAUUAAAUCCACAUCAACAAUUUCAUCAUCUGCAUUGUGAGGUUGUUUGGCAAUGUUGAAGAUGUUCAGCUCCAUAGUCAUGUUGCCAAAGGACAACUUCAUAUGUCCAGUCCUGCAUUGAAUGUGAGCAUCCGCAGUUGCCAAGAAAGGUCGGCCUAGAAUAAUGGGGAUGUGCUUCCUUGAAUCCUGUAUUAGUUGAGUGUCAAUUACAAUGAAAUCAACAGGAAAAUAAAACUUGUCUACCUGGAUAAGCACGUCCUCCACAAUACCACGAGGUAUUUUCGUGGACCGAUCUGCAAGCUGUAACACCACUGGAGUUGGGUGCAAUUCUCCAAGUCCAAGUUUCAAAAAUACUGAGUAAGGCAACAGAUUUACACUAGCUCCUAAAUCCAACAAAGCAUUCUCAAUUGUGUGGUUUCCUAUACUACAUGAGAUAGUGGGGGAGCCUGGGUCUUUGCAUUUUAAAGGAAUUUUAUGUUGGAGUAUAGAACUAACGUUUUCUAUUAAAAAUGCCUUCUUUUGAACGUGAAUGUUUCUCUUUUUAGUACAAAGGUCUUUAAGAAACUUGGCAUAAGAUGGAACUUGUUUAAUAGUAUCAAGCAAAGGGAUGUUAACACUUACCUGUUUAAGGAUUUCAAGAAUCUCACCUGUGGAUUUUCCCUUCUUUCCUUUAGCUAACCUCCGAGGAAAUAGAGCUUUGGGAACGUAUUCUCGUGGGUUAGUUUCUUCUUUCUCCUCCGAUAGUGAGUCAUCAACAUUCACAGGUACAAUUUGAUUUUCUUUUGUCACCAGAAUCUCCACUUUGUUGUCGACUUCUUUUCCUUUUCGCAAGGUCAUGACUGCUUUGACCUCUCCAUGCUGCUGUGGUGAACUGGUACUUGCUUCAUGUACUCCUUUAGGAUUAGGCACUAGUUGACUUGGAAAUUUACCUUUCUCAACUGUCAUUGCCAAGGUCUGAACUGAAGAAGUAAGUUGUCUCAUCAUCUUCUCGAGGCUUGAAACUGAUUGGGCUUGUGAGUUGAAGCCUGCUCGCAACUCAUUUCAUAAUCCAUUAAUGGUGCGGUUCUGUUGCUCAAUCGUAGAGUGAGUAACAUUCUUGAAAUUUUGGAAUGCAUCCUCCCAUGGUCUGGGUUGAGAGUAGUCCUGGUUCUGAUUGUAUGGUCUAAAUGGUGGCUGAGAGGCUUGAGGAUUUUGAGGAAUUGGUGGAGCUGGAGCUGCUGGUCCAUUUUGUUGGAAUCCUUGAGACCAUGAAAAAUUGGGGUGGUCUCUCCAUCCAGGGUUAUAUGUGUUGGAGUAUGGGUUGUAAUUCGAUGGUUUUCUCAUUACACCUAUGGCAUUGGCUUGAUCUGAAUAUGAGUCAUGGUCAUGUGGCUCUAUUGAUUUAGCAAUCGAUAACGAUGCUAUUUGUCGAGAGAGACCUUCAAUUAUCGUUUUGACUUCUUUAAUUUCUUAACUUGACUUGCCAAUGUGAACCUCAUUUACUCCCUUAAUUCUUUUAGUGUUCCUGAGCUACCGACUCCGUUGUUGGGAAUUAUCCGCUUGUCACUGGAAAAAUUCCCAAAUCUUUGAUGCACUUUUUGACAUUAGUUCUCCUCUACUUGUUGCCAUUAGCCAUUCUUGCACAUUCGGCAAUAAUCCCUCCAAAAAGUAUUGGUAUUGGUGUCAUUUCUCGUACCCAUGAUGUGGACACUUCAAGAGUAGCCCAUUGAAUCGCUCCCAUGUUUCGAAAAACUGCUCGUCUUCUCUCUGGGUAAACUCUGAAAUCUCCCUGCGAAUAGCAUUGGUUUUAUGCACUGGAAAAUAUUUAUUCAAAAAUUUUGUUACCAUUUGUUCCCAUGAUGUAAUGCUAUUAGCAGGCAAUGUAUUGAGCUAUGAACGAGCUCUAUCUUUUAAAGAAAAUGGGAAUAAUCUAAGUUUAACAUCAUCGUUUGAAAAAUUCGCAUAUCUAAAUAUUUGACAAAUAGCAUGAAAAUCAUUCAGAUGAUUAUAUGGGUCCUUAUUUUCUAAGCCAUAGAAUGUGGGGAGACAAUUUAGCACACUAGGUUUUAGUUCAAAACUCCUAGCAGCUACAUUUGGGUAUCUUAUACACGAUGUGCUCAAAUUAGCCAAAGGACUAAAAUAGUCCUUAAAUGACCUCUCCUAUGGUGCUUGUAAAUCCAUUCCAAAUUUAUUUUUAACGUGCUUGUAUGUGUGAAGUGUUUUUUCUAGUUCAUGGUCUAUAGGUUCAAGAUUAUGUAAUAAUGACCUACGACCAUGCAUGUAAGAAACACAAAAAUAAAUGAGAACAAAACAAAUAAAAAUAAAGAAGAAGGAGAAAUUACGUUACUAACCUUAUCACGCUGUUAAAACCUUUCUAUAAAAAUACACAAAAAUAAAUACGUGAAAUAAAUUAACUAAAAAUAAAUUAAUAAGAUAAACAAAAAAAAUUAUAAAGAAAAACAAAUUGAAAAUUAAAUUACAGAAUUUUAAAGAAGAGAAAAAGAAAAGAAAUACUAACCUUUAAAUGUAGAUUCACUUUUUUUUUCUUUUUUUUUUAAUAAAAAAAAUUACAAGAAAACAAUUAAAAGAAAUUAUUCACAAAAAUUAAUUCUACGAAUUAAAAUAACUUACCUCCCCGGCAACGACGCCAAAAACUUGUUGUGCAAAUUUUAUUGAACUCGUAAGUGCACGAAUCUAUUGUAGUAUAGAUCAAUGGUGACAAGUGUCGAUCCCACGAGGAGGUGGAUUUUAAUUGUGUGUAGAAUUAAUUUUCUAAAUGGGUGGUUGGAUUUGUGGUGAAAAUGAUUUGGAUUAUCCUAAAAUUGGAAUUGAAAUGGCGAGAAUAAUUUGAAGAGAAUUCUAUUGAAAUGACGUACUUGGGUAUCUGGAUCCGUAUCAACAUGCACCAUGGACUAAAUAUUCCUUAUUAAUGCCAAUUAAAUCAUGAAGGGGGAAUCCACACCUCAUGAACCACACUCUAAUCAAUAUGGUACUAAGGGCUUAUCGUGCCAAAUAAUAAUAACCUUGUACUAGGGAGCCGGUGUAACCAAGUGAGACAUUAUCACAAACAAAUAAAAAGAUAUUAUAUAAUAAAUAUUGAAAAGAGUGUAACUAAUAAGUAUUACUUAUAGGAAAUUUUUUUAAAUAAAUACGUAGAAAAUAAAAAGGUAAAUGGAUAGAAUACUUCUUGUACCAGAGCAAACUUCGUGCUGAUAACGUGUUAUAAAUUUGGAGAUAAUGGAUGUUAUAAUUUAAAGGGAUUGUAUGUAAGCAAUUAUUUAAUUGGGAAUAUGUAAGUAAGGAAUACUCAAAUGAAGAUUGAAGAAAACAAGCAAAAUGCCUUGAGCGAGGAAUUGAAAUUGUCUUCAUUCAUUAACAAAGAAAGGGUUUAUAUAGGCAUUACAAGGUGGAGUUAUUCACAAUUAUUAAUUAUAAAAAGGAUAAUGGGAAGAGCAAUAAGAUGAUAAUGGGAGAACAUUAUUUUGGUGGGAGGGCAUUAUUUUGGUGGAAUCCACCAUGAUUUACAACAUGUCUAAAUUUAUAUUAUUAAAGUGACAUGCUUUAUGAUUUUAUUAUUUUAAGAUACUUGUAAGGAAUACGCAUAGGGCAUACAGGAAUGACAAUUGUUACAAAAUUAAACUUCAUUUUUCAAAUGUCAUUUAGAUGAGUUGAAGUCUGCAAAAUGUUUCUUUAAUAUCAUUAAACUGUUUCAUGAAUUAAUAAACUAUAUAAUGUCAAUUAUCAUAAAAGAAAACAAUAUGCUUAUAUAUUCUUGGAUUCUGUAGAUAGAAUGUUAUGAGAUAGGCUCCAAAUACUGAUGGGAAAUUAAAAUUGGGUUCUUCGUGAAAAAAAUAAAAUAAAAUAAAUUGGGAAAAAUUGGCUGAAAUGGAAGUUCGUGUUGUGCUUUAUAGUAAAUUGUCAAAGUUUGCAAUCAACCUGUAUUUAACAAGGAGAUGACAGGAUUUGGCAAGAAUUUGGUAUUUUCGGAGUGAAGAGUAUUAGUUUUGUUUCAAUGCUUUUCUUAAUCUCAGACGAUCAAGAGAAUCGUUAUUUCAUUCAUGCACAGACAAGCACAAAGAGAAAACAAAUGUAUACACAUGCAAACUUGAAAAUAGGUUAAUAUACAUUGAACUUCGAAGGUCGUGCAUGAGCCUGGUUAAUAUUUUGGGCAUUUCCAGUAGUGAGUGAUACAUGGAUAACUGAAUGUUACAUAACUGAAUUUGAGCAAAAAUAUUAAUUCGCUCCACUGAAUGUAUAGGCAUGAUAUCAUUGCACAAAUCUUUUAUGCAAGGACACUAGCAGAGAAGUUGUACCAUGUUGCUAGAAUGAUAGAUCUUCCUGGAGGACAUCUUGUAAGUCAUGAGAGGACAGAAGAGGUAUUUCCUUUGCCCAAUAGAUCAGACAAAUAUGCAAGUAGUCCAAUUGGUUGUGUGAGACAUUUACAAUUAAUGAAUUAUUAAAUGGAGUACAGUUGUACAAACUGAUUGGGAAAGUUUUCUUAUCAAAGUCAGUAAAAAAUUGUCGUAAUCGAAUUUGAUUGAGACAAAAGGGUCCUUACAUUUGUAUUAUGGACAAUAAUCUUCCUAAUAUUGAGGAUUGACCUUGAGCGACUCAAGAUUUUUGAAUAACUGGGAUUGAAUUAAAUCUUCACGCGUAAAAUAAUGUUAUGAAUUUAUUGGUAGAAAGAUGUCCCAAUACUUCUUGAAGUUUUACUUUCCUAAAUUAUUGAUAUUUGUUUAAUUUUACUUGGCUACAAAUUAAGCAUAUAGACGUUAAACUCUUUCUUGAAAUUUCAGGUCAAUCAAACUCUCAUCGACUUGAUCAAGGCAUCUGAAAAGAAGAUAAGUCCACAAGAUUGGACUAAUCUGCCCCAGACAAGUUCUGGUAAGCACGCCACAAUCAAGAUAGUCUUUCUCUUUUCCAUGUUAUGUGUGGGCAAUACUGUUAGAGCAUACUUGCCUAACAUAGGUUGAAAGCUUUUCAUACUGAGUUUUCUAUGAAGAUAAACUCGUGGUUAAUCCAUAGAGUUCCCAUUUUUCCAAUAAUAUGUUCAUGGAUUUGGAAACCUAAGAGUUCCAGAAGGACACAUGAUAACUACUUAAGAGAGCUCAAAUCAACACUGAAACUUUUUCCAGACACAAAAAUCAUCAGUGGUCAAUUUGUUUUCAGCUAGGUUAUCUUCCUCUCUGUUUGGUCAGGAUUGAGAGGGACAAUUAGCAAUUUUGAUAUUUCUACAUCAGAACUCUGUUUUCAGUUUUUGACAUUUUCUAUUGAUAUUUUUAGUUCUUUGUCAGGGGAUUUGGCGAAAGGGAUGUCAUUCGUAAGAACAACUUUGGGACCAAGAAGUUAUGUUUCAGACCCACUAGAGAAGCUAUGUCUUUAUCUAUUAUACCUCUGUGGCCUCUUCAUGUUAGCAUUUGAGUAUGCGAGAAGGCUUCUACAGAGUCUGAUGAUUUUCUAAAUAAAUCAUGCAAUUUAUUUUGUUCCAUCAAAUCCAUACCUUAUUAGUUGAUGUGGAAACGAAUCGUCACAAAUCUGCAAGAAUAAAAAUAAGCUCCCUCCAAUCUCCCAAAAAUCAGGAACUAACACAAGAAGAUCCCAACGAACACGAAUCGAUUGCUAGGAACUGGAACCUUCACAAGAAAAUCUCCUUCACGAACGGAUCAUCACAAGUUUAUGUCACUGAUGAUCGGAGGAUAAUAACGUAUUUGGAAAAUCCCCUCAAUUGACGAAGCAAGAACCCAUUGCCUUUUUUCCUUUUCUCUCACUCUCUUUUGAUGUUGCUUUGAUUCUUGUGAUUAUUAUUUUACGUGCUAUCACUCACUCUUGUAGUAUUUAUAUAGUACAAUAAGUGUAGUUUAAUUCAAAUCAACUUUCUAGAGUUAUUUGAUAAGCUACAUCUUAUGUGAUUAGGAUUAAGAUAAAAUACUAAUUUUAUCUCAUAAGAAUCCUAGACAAACUCUAAGUUUAUCUUAUCACUUACAUUAGAUUAAUCCAUCCCAUCAUGGACAUUAAAUCUAACAUCUACCACUCGCAUGUGAUGGGAUGAUUGAGUAAUCAUAGCAACGAGAGUAGAGUUUUGGGCAUAAAGCCACAACCGCAGUAUCAUACGGGCAAAUGCUACGUGUGACCCAUGAACAAUAUAAAUUGGAGCUUGUAGAGCGAAAAAAAUCUCAAUUGCACUUUUUGCAAGAGAUUUAAAUAACUUAUUCAUUAUAUUUCCUAGAUUUCAUUAUCCUUUACAUCGGUACAAACAUAUUUAAUCCCUCAACAAAAAUUAUGUUGACGUUGUGCACUCUAUGUAUUCACAAUUGUAUUCAUCCCUAGGCAGAUUAUACAACUGGUCGACCAGUGAAUGCAUAAGUCAGAUGUAAGGAGAAUAAAUCUUCGUACUCUACUCAUAUCUUUUAGUUCUAGGCUAGUUGCUUUCUUAGACAUGUUUCAUAGAUCGAAUAACAUUAUAGUCGUAGAAAAAACAUGCUAAAGUAGCUAUCACCAACCUUUCCUUUUAAGAUAUAGUCAAUGGUAACUAAGGAAACUGUUGACGUCUUUCUUAUACCUCGAAAGAACUUACACAAUGAGGAAUCAGGGAUUCAUUCACUCAUUUUCCUUUCAAUCACAAAAGCACACAUGGUAUGAAUCACGCGUUACAGUGAAUUCUCUUUGUAUAAGAGCAUAUGUCUAGCUAUCCACUGUACAUAUCUUAAAUUAGUCGCUUAUUCGAGCGCCUAAUUUGAGUCUCAAUAAGCUUGCCUUCAUAAGGCACCAAAUGAACUAAUAUCUGGCUUAAUUAGGUUCUUUAUCUUGAUCCAGUCAAGGCGACAUUUUCAAGAUAUAAGCUCCAUGAGUACGUAUCCAGUACUUUCUCUUAAUAUUGUGUCUCAUCCUAGCUUGCUUUCAUUAACAAUUGAAGUGACCGCUUGUGUAAGAAAGCUGGUCAUAACCUGAGGACAUAUCUUUUAAUAAUUAUAUAUAUGUGUGUAAUCAUGCUAAUUAGUAUCUUAUGAGAAUAAAUCAAAAUAAUUUUAUUGCAUAAAGAAUUUAUUAAGUACAACUUUUAUAAUAUGCGCAAUCCUGAUGAUUGCAUAUGUGCGAUAAAAACAUCUCGUGUCAUGGCUUUAGUUAAUGGAUCUACAACCAUGAAGUGUGUAGAUAUGUGUUGCAUCAACACUUCCUUUUUCACCACAAUAUCUCUCACAAAAUUGUACUUUGUCUCUAUGUGUUUAGAUUUGCUGUGGUAUUUUGCAUCCUUGGUAAAGGAUAUGGUUGCUUGGCUAUCACAAUAUUUGGUUACUGGCUGAGGAUGACCAAUAACGAUCUCGAGAUAAUUUAAGAAGCGCCUAAGCCAAACAGUCUCUUGUAUUGUGACUGAACAUUCUACAUAUUCUGCUUCCAUAGUCGACAGAGUUGUGCAUGUUUGCUUCUUGUUACUCCACAAGAUCGCACUGCAACUAAGUAGAAAUACGUAUCUUGAGGUUAAUUUGCGCUCAUCAAGAUCGCCUCCCCAAUCAGCGUAUGUGUAUUCAAUUUACCGUAAAUCACCUCCUUGAUAACAUAAAGAAUAGCCGGUAGUGCCUUUCAGAUAUGCUAAAAUUCUUUUGACAACAUUCCAGUGUUUGCGCCCAGGAUUUGAUUGGUAUCUGCUUACCAACCCCAUAGCAUAACAAAUAUAUGGUCUUGUACACAUCAUAGCAUACAUGAGACUUCCAACAGCAUUAGAGUAUGAAACUCAUGUCAUUUCAUUUCGUUCCUUUGAAGUCUUUGGACACAUUUCAAGGUUAAGAGUUUGUCCUUUAGAUAUGGGAGUAUCCAUAAGUUUACACUUCUCCAUUUUAAUUUUUUCAAGAAUUCUUCUAAUAUAAGACUCUUGUGACAGAGCUAGAAGUUUUCUAGAACGAUCCCUAUGGAUUUUAACUCCCAAGAUAUAAGAUGCUUCACCCAUAUAUUUCAUUUCAAAGUUUAAAAAUAAUCAUUCAUUGAUGGUUUGAACAAACUCUAUAUUAUUUCCAGCCAACAAUAUAUCAUCCACAUAUAACGAUAAGAUGACAAAGUUACCCUCUGUCCUUUUAACGUAUGCACAAUGAUCUUUUUCAGUCAUUGAGAAUCCAUAAGUCAUCACAGAUUCAUGAAACCUAAGAUACCAUUGCUUGGAGGAUUGUUUUAUCCCAUAUAUAGACUUUUUGAGCUUGCAAACUUUGCGCUCUUGAUCAUUGAUUAUAUAACCAUCUGGUUGUUCCAUAUAAAUUUCCUCCUUUAGCUCUCCAUUGAGAAAAGCUAUUUUAACAUCCAUAUGAUGUAAUUCAAGAUCCAUAUGUGCAACGAUGGCUAGAAUUAAUCUUAUAGAGGCAAACCUUACCAUUGGGGAAAAAGUUUCCUCAUAGUCUAUACCCUCUUGUUGGUUAUAUCCUUUCGCUAACAAGCAUGCCUUGUAUCUUUCAAUUAUGUCAUAUGCCUUUCAUUUAACACGUAAAACCCAUUUGUUUCCAAUGGCCUUACGGUAGAGCGGUAGAUCAACCAAGUCCCAGACGUAGUUUGAUCUCAUUGACUUCAUUUAUUCAUCUAUUGCUUUAAUCCACAAUUACUUAGUUGAUGAUGUGAUAGCCUCAAUAUAAGUUCUUGGCUCAUUACCAUCAUGUGAAGCAAUCAUAAACGCCUCCCCCUCAAUCUCAAAACGAUGACGUGGUAUGGUUGUACGAUUACUUCUUCAAAUUGAGUUGUCAAGUGGAGUAAAGUCAUUUUGUGGUUGACUGCCACUAGAAUUAGAAUUCCCAGACAUAUCUAGGUUUCUCUCAAUUUGUAAAUCAGAAGUGUCAUUCAUCUCUGAAUCAUUUAACUCGUAUAGAUGGAUGUCUUUAUGGACCUCUGAAAUGCUAAGGAAUUCAUUUUCCAAAAAUGUGACAUCUCGUGAUUUUAUCUUAGUUAUAGUUCUAUCAUCAUGUUCACCUAUGAACACAUACCCUUGGGAGUGUUCUGGGUAUCUUAAAAAGAUACAUUUCUUUCCUCUCGGAUCUAAUUUCCCAUGUUUAUGAGAUGGGUUAUGAACAUACGUUGCAGACCCCAGGGAUGCAAAUGAGUAAGAUUAGGUUUUCUAUGUGUCCAUAGCUCAUAUGGAGUGGAACUUACUGACUUACUCGGAACUCGAUUAAGUACAUAAGUGGCAGUCAACAAUGCAUCCCUUCAGUAAGAAACUGGAACUAGCACGAGCAGAUUGCAACGAAUAAAAAUCGAUUGCUAGGAACUGGAACCUUCACGAGCAAAUCACCUUCACGAACAGAUUGUCAAGAGUUUAUGUCACUAAUGAUCGGAGGAUAAUCACGUAUUUGGAAAAUCCCCUCAAUUCAUGAAGCAAGAACCCACUGCCUUUUUUCCUUUUCUCUCACUCUCUUUUGAUGUUGCUCUGAUUCUUAUGAUUAUUAUUUUACGUGCUAUCACUCACCCAUGUAGUGUUUAUAUAGUACAAUAGGUGUAGUUUAAUUCAAAUCAACUUCCUAGAGUUAUUUGAUAAGUUACAUCUUAUGUGAUUAGGAUUAAGAUAAAAUAUUAAUUUUAUCUCAUAAGAAUCCUAGACAAACUCUAAGUUUAUCUUAUCACUUACGUUAGAUUAAUUCGUCCCAUCAUGGGAGUUAAAUCUAACAGAGUCUAAAACCGGUUAGAGUGCGAGCCUCUCCCACUUAAGCCAGAAUGUAGUGAACCCUAUUUUUUACUGGUAAUUUUCAGUUUGCUUCCCAAUCUUUCUUCUAGAACAAAGACAACUAGCUAGAAAACAAUACAUACUAUCCUCACUGUUUCUAUCCCUUCUUUUUGCAGGGUUUCACUAAUUUGUCACACUAAUGGCGCGGCUCUUUGCAUUUUAAACAGUUUGCUUACAGGAUUCUUGAGUAAAUCUACUAAAAGUUAUACAAAAGAUCAUAAAUAAACCAGAAUCUGCUGUGGGAGAGAUCAGAACAACCGAUACAACAAAGCAUAUUAAUCAUAUGCAUAUGGAAAGGAAAGAAUAAACUGGAGAUAGCCUUUGUUUUUUCACUAUAAAAAAAUUAUGCUAACUGAUACCACUAUAUCUAUCUCUCUCGCAGCAUAAACAAAAUGAAAACAAUGCGCAAGGAGGGGAAUACUGUUUUUUGUAUCUAAGGCAGUAAAUAUUGCUGCUUAUAUUAGAGUAACGGCAAGAGCUCAAGAUUUUAUUAAUAUUAUUAUUAUUUUCAACACUUGUCAGUUAUAUAUUCUCAAAGAUUAGAAACUCGACUUACAACAGUAGGGGAAAAAUGUUAGUAAAAUAGUGGAAUUUGAGCUAGAUUGCAGUACAGGCUGUGAUCUAAAUGUUAAAACCCAACAGAAAAAUGGCUAUUAAGGACCAGAUUGGUUGACAUUUGAUGUGGCUUCUAAAAUAAUCGACUUCAGCUUUGCUGGAUACAUUAUUAUUUAUGAGAUAAUGAAUGUAACAUCAAACCACUUUUAAAAGAUUUUAUCAAUCGCUUAAGAGAGUCUUUGGUGUAGUGGUUGGUUUGUUGUUUUGAUAAAGUUGAGGACAUGUUUAAGGUUUUAUGAGGACUCAAAAUAUUUUUUUCCCAUAUAUGUGAAAAUAGUAGGAUUUGAUUUCCAAUUUGAAUUUCUCACAGCCAAAUUCACGGAUGAAAGUCGAACAUAAAAUCUCAUUUAACACCAUCUGUCAAUUUGGUUUGGGAUUGUUAUUUUCGAAAUGACUAUAGGUGUCGAAUAAAUUUUAUUAUUGAAAUUAAUAACCUUGAUAGAUAUAAAUUUAAAAUAUAUAUGAAAUUUUUUUAUGUCAAUUUUUAAUUAUAGUUUCUCUAAGAACUAUUUUAAAAAAUGAAGAUACAGUAAAAUCUUUUUAUAGUAAUGAUUUAUUAGGAAUAAUUUUUGUUUAGUCAUCUUAAGAAAUCCGCUUCUACAUAGUAAUAAUUAUUUGUGCAUUACAAAAGUAUAUGUUAUGUUAGAUUAAAUGAACUUGCUUCCACAUAAUACAAUUACACAAUGAGAGAAAAUUAUUAAAGAGAAUGUAAACAUUUAGAGAUUUUUAAGAUGACUUUACAUAUUUCUAACAAUGGUACAUAGAUAAUAGAUAUAUUGGAUUUGACAUGCUCCAUUAGUAAAUUAUUAAUACAGUGUAUAUUUUACCUCUAUAUCUUUGUAAUAAAGAUAACUAAGUUAAAAAAAUAAUUUUUGUAAUUAUACCUCUAUUAAAUUAUAAUCCCCUCAUGGUACCAAAUUAAUCUGGUCUCAAUAUUAUAAAUAUAGAGAGGUUUCGCUAUAAUAUUUUUUAAAUGUAAGGGCAAAAAAGAGUACUAAUAAAAGUUGAGCUAGUUUGUUUUGAAAUAUAUAUAUGUUUUAAGAAAACAACUUAAAACAAUAAAAAGAUGUUUCUCACCGCAAGAAAUAAGUUUUUUAGAAACAGCUAAACAAAUUGUUCUAUAAUUUUUGAAAAUAGAAAACAGAAACUGUGGUAACAUUUAUAUUAUAUAAAAUAGGUCAUUAUUCUUUCAAAAUCCAUAGUUAUCCUGCACACACCGUAAUGUAAGUUGAUACUUGAUCAUCAUCACUUUUCACCUUCACAUGAUCAAUUCUAGAAACCCUAAAAAAUAAAAACUUGUAAUUAUUAAACAAAACAACAAAAAGAACAAGAAGAAGAAACGAAAAAUGUAAAGAGCGUACUUGGAAUUGCUUGGGGGCUACAGAAGUUAGCUUUUGCUGUGAUUGGGAAGACGAGUGAAUGAAUGAUUGAUUGAUUGAUGAAAUCAAAAAGCAAAGCAAAAAGAUCGAAAUGGAAAUUGUAAGUUGAAAUGUUUUUCUAAAGAGAGAGAUUCUAAAAUAACUAAUUGCGUUGGUGCCAGGUAAUAUUCCAAAUUAACCAAUCAAAGAUUCGAAAUGAAUGAUGCCAAUGCAGUUACCAAAUAUACCCCUUAGGAAUAUCCCAAUAUGAUCCUCCAGUAUGCGCGAUGCAGAAGCAAACAAACAAGUUACCUUGCCUCUCUGGUCUUUACUUUCAAGUCUCUCAAUUGAUGACUCGAUUUCCAGAUAAGCAUAAUUUAUAUACAUAUUUUACCCUUUAUUGUAUAUUUGUUAGUUAUUUUUAUUUUUUAUUUUUAAUUAAUUGAAUUAUUUUAUUGAAUAGAGAAUUAAUUGGAGAUUAUGAACAAAAAGUGCAUAAAAAAUCCAUAAGAGGAAAGAACUAAAGAAUUAAAGAUUAUGUUCCAAAGCUUCCGCAUGAGCUUAAGAUAAUUAAAGAAAGAUUUUAUUUAAUUUGGAAUGCAUGUGCGGCAUUAAAGGAAGAAAUCAUUAAUUGGCCUUUUGCUUUGGAAGUCAAACGUGUGGCUAGCUUUCCAAUUUUAAUAAGGAAAUAAUAUACAAAGGAUUUGGCAUGUGAGAGUGAAUAUGGGCUUAAAGGAGGCGGUUUCCUAGCAAUUAUAAUUGGAGAAGAAUUCGGUCAACUAGCAUUAUAAAAGGGGGGAGCCGCCAAAGAGGAGGAAAAAGCAGAGUAUUCGGCAGAUGAGAGAAGAAAAAUAGCAGCAGCAGUUUAAUUCUUCAUGGCUGGAUUUUAUUUUAUUUGUUGUCCCAAUUUAAGUAUGUCUAGUUAAUUUUCUUAUACUGAGGUUAAGGAUGAAAUCCUAUUCAAUGAAAUAAUUAUCUUUUUAUUUAAUUAAUUCCCUACAUGCAUGCUUUGAUGAUUAUGAUUUUUGUUUCACAUAAUUAGUUGGAUGUUAUUAAAAUAUUUUCAUCAAUUCUGUCAUGCAUUAUUGAUUGUUAAGAUUAAUAUUCAAUUAAAUCUAUGCUUGAAUCUAUAAAGUUUAUACAUGAUUAUCUUUCAUUCUAUAUCUUUCAUUAAAGAGUUGGACUAUUGGCGCACCUCUAACUUUCUUGUUAAACCCAUUUUCUCUACAUAUUCUUUUUAAUUCCUAAAAUAACCCUCAUUUGUUGCACUUUCUUAAUAAACCCCUGUGUCGAUACUUUAAAAAAAAAUUGUUAGGCGCUCUCUCUCACCCUUCUCCCAUUCCAACCACUUUCAAUCUCUUCUUGAUUAUAGCAUCAUGAAUUUAUGAUUUUUAUCUAAAUCUGUUUUGUUUUUCCUAGUAGGUAAUAACCUUAGUAGAUACAUAAAGACAUGUGUGCGAAUCUUUAAAAAAAAAAAAUUGGAACUUCACAAAAUUAUCUUUCCUACAAAACCUUUAUUUAUAUUUAGAUCAAAUUCUUAUUCUAUGACAAAUCAUUGUUUUUUCAAAUUUUAUAGAUUUAAUGAGUUUAUAAUGGAGAAAAAAAUAAGAAAACAUAGGUGGGUUUAAUUAGACAAGUGUUAUUUUUAAUAUAAUUUAAAUAUAAAUGACAUAUUUGCAAAUAAAGAACAAGAGGGGUUUCAUAAGAGAUAUAGAGGGGUGCCAAUAGCGUCACUCUUCAUUAAAUUGUUUACACAGAGUGUUUAGGAAAACUUUAACUCUUUAUUAUUCAAUAUGUUUACAUGUGAUUCUUAGAUAUCAUACUAUUAAGUAGAAAAAGAACUUACAUUAAAUUUAAUUACUUAGGCUUAAUUGUUGUAUCCAUGCGAUGACAUAGAUUGAUUUCGAGUUGUCACUUUAAAAUUGGGGAUUAAUUAAUAUUUAGAUAAUUUCUAAUUGAAUAGUGGUGAAUUCUGAAACCUUGGUAAUUUUUGUCUUGUUGAAUUCUGUUUUACUUUAAUUGUUUUCUUAGUUUAAUUAGUUUAAUUUCUCUUAAAAAUUCAAAUUGCUCAACUAGGUUAGGAUUAAUAUUAAUUUUAGAUUUAAAUUAGACUUUUCAAUUUAUAACAAUCCCUGUGGGUUCGACCUCUUUACCACUAUUCUAUUUCUAGAUUCGUGCGCUUGCGAGUAUAUUAAAAUUUUUCACAACACUUCCUACCAAAUACUCAAGUCCAUACGUCAAUUUGUCUUUGAGAAAUACCUUUUUAACUUGGAAAUAUAUUUCAUAUUGAUAAGAAAUAACUAAUAUCAUUUUACUCAAUAUUUUUACUUAUAAAUUUUCAUUUUACUUACCAAUAAUACAUUAAUCUAUCAGUUUUAUGUUAAAUCUAUUUAUUUUACUUUUUAUUUAUAUUUUAUUAUGUUUCAUUUCUAAAAUUUAUAUUAUAUAUUGCACUUAAUGUUGAUUUUAGUAGUUUUAUGUUGUAUUUGUAGGUUUUAUUUUAUUUACUAGUGAUACAUUAAUUUAUCAAUUUUAUAUUAGUUUACUUUUUUUUAUCUUUCAUUUACAAAUCUUAUGUUUUAUUUCCAAAGUUUAUCUUUUGUUUUAUAGUUUACGAUAAUUUACUAGUUUUCAUACUAUAUUUACUAAUAUUCCUUUUAUUUACCAAUAGUACAUCAAUUUACCAUAUUUAUGUUAAUUUACUUAUUUUACCUUUUAUUUACAAGUUUUAUGUACCAUUCCCAAAAUUUAUGCUUUAUGUCCACUUAAAUUGAUUUACUAGCUUUAUACUAUAUUUGUAAGUUUUUGUUUUAUUUACCAAUAAUACAUUAAUCUACUAAUUUUGUAUUGAUUUACUUAUUUUAUCUUUCAUUUAUGUUUUACUUCUUAAUUUUAUGUAUAUUGAUUUAAAAAUUUUAUGUUAAAUUUACGAGUUUUAUGUUUUAUUUAUAUAAUUUAUAUUUAAUUACAAUAUUGAUAUUAUGACUUUAAUCACGACAUUAUAAAAUGACCUGAUAAGAAAAUAACUAAUAUCAUUUUUCUCAAAAGUUUUACUUAUAAAUUUUGGAUUUACGAUAAGCUUUAAAUGUUAAAAAUCUUUUUUAGAAAGUUACUUAAAAAAUCUAUAUAUUAUCUAAAAGAGUUGUACUAAAAUGCGAAAACUCGGCUCGUGCUGGUUCAACUCAAAAUGAAAUAUAUACAUAUACAUAUACAUAUACAUACAUAUAUAUAUAUAUAUGUAUAUCAGAGUUACAGAAUGUUAAUUUUUGUAAAUUGGUUGCAUUUCUCUUAGUACAACCAAGAUCGUGGAGUGUGUGUGUGUCCAAAAGAAUAAAUAAUUUUUAGACAAAUAAAAGCAAUAUUAAAUUGGUACGUGGUGUUGUUUUACCUGAACUAUACGGAACUUAAUCUGCCUUAGGGACCAGAUCUGACUUAGAACAGAUCAAUAUCCCGCAAGUUCGGGUUUUCAGCCAAUAUACUGAGAAAAUUAUACUCAAAGGCUCAUAGAUAGUACUAGAUCUGGAUCCCAGAAAUAGUACUUUGAUUGAAUGGAGGGAGAAGAGAAAUACAACUAAGGGCAGAGAUCCGGUCUCUAUGCCUUAGAGGAUAAGUAACAGUUUACAAAGGAAUUUAAAUAAAUUUUAAAUAAUUUACGAAAUUUAAAAACAUACAUGCUUUAUUAAAAUAUUGAAAUUGAAAUGCUUACAUGAGUUGCUUGAAUCCGAAAGCUUCUAUAAACAGAAAGUGUUUUACAGAAAGGGAUAGAAAGGAAAAUCAGAAGACAGGAAAACUUCCUCUAUGUCUUCAGUUCAUCUUUUCCUUGAGUGAGAGAGAGAGAGAAAUAUAGAGAUCUCCAAGAAGUGCCGAGUCCAAGAAGUGAUGAGUCUCAGUCUUCAUUCACUCCUUUAUACAAAAAUUGAUUUAUAAAAAGAAAAUGCUACAGCUGGUCUUCACAUGUGUUGGUGGAGAGUGGGGUCAACAACAGUAAAAGCAGUAUGAGCUUUUGGAACGUGGGAGACAGCAUUAUUUGAGGCAUCUUCGGCUUUGUAGACUUUUGGAAAUUCUUCACGUGAGUGGGUCCUUGAACUUUGGCAAAUGUCUUCACGAGGAGAGAUGCUUUACGAGGCAAUAGUUAUAUCUUUUGAAAACAUGGCACAUGUGCGGCCACACUUGUGUCUCAAAAGAUGUUUUCAAAAAAUAUUCGUAUCAUUUCUUUAUAGGAUGCUGAUGUUUUCUCGGGCAAUGAAGGCUUUACAAAGAAAUGUUGGAAAAUUACAAAGAAUAUACAAGCGAUAAUUACAGAGAAAAUACAGAAAUGGGAAAAUACUUUUUUUUAUUAUUUACAAUGCUUUAUCGGAGGCAGGAUUCCGAAGCAAUCGUCUUCGUUAUCAUCUCCAAGGGAAAUGAACGGCUCAGCAUCAUCAGAUUCAUCAGAAGAGCUUGCAAUGGAUGGUUCUGAUCUCGAGGCGAGAAGCUGCUGCAUUACUUUAAAAUAUUCCUCUUCAGUCUUUGCACUGGCCAACAGUGAUUGGGCCUUAGAUCUUUGGGCAAGGAAUGUGUUUUGGGCUUUGACAUCUUGAAUGUUUGGUGUGAGGAGGCCUUUUGAGGAAAGCCAAGCCUGAACUGUGGCUUCCGAAAGUUUGGACUUUUUAUCAAACUUAGACCACCAUUUAACUUUAAAGGUUCUUUGUAAAAUAAGUUGGGCUUCUUGAGUGUGGUAAUUGAAAUUCCACAUCCAGACCCAAGGAAGAAAGAAAUUUGUACAAAAGCAGAGAAAAUGAGGAAACCUCUUCUCAGACUCAGAAGGAACAUAAUGGGCUUUAAAAAGGUUUAAACAAUUUAUGGCAUUUGGGGUUAGGAUGUCUGGGCUUGGCCCAAAAUAGUUCCACCAUUGUUGGAACCAAUUUGGAAGGCUUUGAACGGUUAUUUUUUAGUUGAAGAAAAAUAACCAAGAGUGGGCCUUUUUGGGGUUUUGUAUAAAGAAUGUGUUAAACCAGGCCUGUUGAUAGUCACAGUAAGAGAAAAAUAAACAGUGUUUUAAAGUCUUUUGGAAAUUGGCGGGAAAGGUUUUUAGUUUGUGAAGUUUAUCACCCCACUGUUUUGGACUCAAAACUUUAAGAAUGGUAGCCAUGGAAUAGGCUGGCUCAGAAUGAGUUUCACUAAGGAAGAAAUGUUUGAAUUUAACAGACUCAGUGAACUCAAGGAUGCUUUGAUAGAAAGACUGGGGUUUUGACAAAUCUCAUGGUUUGAAAAACCAGCCUUUUGGGAAAAUCUUUGAAAUUGCUUGAAAAGGAUCAGAAUGAUAAAAUCCAUGUUCUAUAGAUAAAAUAUUUUGAUGAUGGGUUUUAUUAAACUAAUCCGAAGAUUUUUGUGAAAGCUUUGAUUGAGAAACAACAAUUUAUGAAGAAGAGCUUUCACAGGAAAUAACUUCUUUAGAAAAAGAAGGCUGUGAAAUUGUUUUGUCUUUCUCAGGAACUUGGGAAAGAGCUUUAUUUUGGGAAAUACUUUGUAAAGCUAACAUAAGUUCAGGGGACUUUGUAAUGGAAUUCAUCCAUUCUUUUACCUGCUCAUUUGAGGCAAUGGCUUUAGACUGUGCUUCCUGAUCUUCGAUCAUAUCAAUCCAUGAUUUUAUAGGCAUGGCAGAAGAAAGUAAUUUGUCUUUAAGGGGGGUUGUCUGAGUUUCUUUAGAGAGUGUUUGUGGUCCAGAGUCUUUAAGAAUGGCUUUGCCUUUGUCUUUCUUUUUGGGCGGCAUUAUCUGUUUUAAAAAAAUUCCCUGGUUAGAAAAUCAGGGAGAGAAUUUGUAUCUCCUUUAAUAAACUCAAUGUCAAAAUCGAAAACACUCAAAAUGGCUUGCCAUCGUGCAAAAAUUUGUUUUGAUGCAAUGUUUUGAACAUCUUUUUCUAAAACAUGUUUUGCAGCCUUGCAAUAAAUUCUAAGUAAAAAUUUUUGAUUUAACAAAUCACUUUGAAAUUUAGAUAUGCAUAAAACGAUAGAUAAAAUUUCUUUUUUGAUGGUAGAAUAAUUUCUUUGACAUUCAUUCCAAUGUGCAGAAACAUACUGUACUAUUUGUUCUUUAUUAUUAUCAAUUUGUUUUAGUAUUCCUCCAUAACCUAAAUCUGAUGCAUCAGUUUCAAGAAUCUUAGGUAAUGCAGGAUUAGCAAGAAAUAAGCAUGGGAUAUCUUUAAUAGAACUUUUUAUGAGCUUAACAAUUUUAGUGUGUUCAUCAGUCCAUGCAACAAGAUUUUUCUUUAAUCUAUCAUGCAAAAGUUUUGAAAUUCUAUUAAUAUUAAGGCAAAAAUCAAGAACAUAAUUUAAACUUCCUAAAAAUCUUUGCAAUUGUGUUUUAUCAAGGAUUUUAUCAGGAAAUUUGUCAGCAAAAACAAGAGAUCGCUCAAUAGGUGUAAUGGUUCCUUUGGAAAUGUAAUGACCAAGGAACUUGAUUCUUGUUUGAAAUAAAGAAACUUUAGAAUUAGAAAUGGCUAAACCAGCUUUCCUAGUGGCAAGAUAGAAAGUCUUUAAAUGUUUGAAAUAUUGGUCAAUUGUUUGAGAAAAGAUUAACACAUCAUCAAUAUAAACAAUACAGAAUUCAGAGAAAGGAUUAUAAAUAUCAUUCAUAAUCCUUUGAAAUUCUGAAGGCGCAUUCUUUAAUCCGAAUGGCAUAACAGUCCAUUCAUACUGUCCAAAAGGAACAGUAAAUGCAGUUUUAUAACGGUCUUUUGGAUGGAUUUGAAUUUGCCAAAAUCCAGAUUUCAUAUCAAAUUUUGAAAAGAUGAAAGCAGAAUGAAGUUUUUGAAGCAAAUCCUUUUUAUUAAGUAUGGGAUACCUAAUCCAUUUUAAUGCUUUAUUAAGGGGUUUGUAAUUAAUGACUAAUCUGGGUGUCCCUCUUUCUAUCUCAGAAUUUUUAUUGACAAAGAAAGCAGCACAAGACCAAGGAGACCUAGACUUGACUAUGAGGCCUUUAGAAACUAAAUCUUUUAUCUCAUCUCUGCAAUGUUGUUCUAAUUCCAUGUUCAUUUGGAUUGGACGAGCUUUGGUAGGUGUUGAUGCGAGAUUCCGGUUCUCCUCGUUCUACGACCAGGAUCUCUGCUCGAUCAACUUCAUUACGACCAGGGGGUCUCCUCGCAAGGCUUCUUCUCCAGAGGUUCCUGCGCACACACACAGGUCAGAGUACGACAGGCUUUGAGACUUUGUCGAGCCUUUGCAUGCCUUGGAUUCUUCGAGGAUUGGGAUUCUGCUCGCCUUCUCGUGGCCGAGCAGAUCCUGGCAUGCUUGGCUUCUGUCUCGCCAUAAGACAGGCAUUGAGACUUUGUCGAGCCUUUGCAUGCCUUUGAUUCUUCGAGGAUUGGGAUUCUGCUCGCCUUCUCGUGGCCGAGAAAAUCCCGGCAUGCUUGGCUUCUGUCUCGCCAUAACGCAGGCUUUGAGACUUUGUCGAGCCUUUGCGUGCCUUGGAUUCUUCGAGGAUUGGGAUUCUGCUCGCCUUCACGUGGCCGAGCAGAUCCUGGCAUGCUUGGCUUCUGUCUCGCCAUAAGACAGGCUUUGAGACUUUGUUGAGCCUUUGCAUGCCUUUGAUUCUAAAUGGAUUGGGAUUCUGCUCGCCUUCUCGUGGCCGAGCAGAUCCUGGCAUGCUUGGCUUCUGUCUCGCCAUAAGACAAGCUUUGAGACUUUGUCGAGCCUUUGCGUGCCUUCGAUUCUUCGAGGAUUGGGAUUCUGCUCGCCUUCUCGUGGCCGAGCAGAUCCUGGCACGCUUGGCUUCUGUCUCGCCAUAAGACAGGCUUUGAGACUUUGAUGAGCCUUUGAAUGCCUUUGAUUCUUCCAGGAUUAGGAUGCUGCUCGCCUUCUCGUGGCCGAGCAUAUCCUGGCAUGCUUGGCUUCUGUCUCGCCAUAAGACAGGCUUUGAGACUUUGUUGAGCCUUUGCAUGCCUUGGGAAUUUCUUCGAAUGCUUUGGAGUCUGCUCGCCUUCUCGUGGUCGAGCAGAUCCUGCCAUGCCUGGCUUCUGUCUCGCCAUAAGACAGGCUUUGAGACUUUGUUGAGCCUUUGCAUGCCUUGGAUUCUUCAAGGAUUGGGAUUCUGCUCGCCUUCUCGUGGCCGAGCAGAUCCUGGCAUGCUUGGCUUCUGUCUCGCCAUAACACAGGCUUUGAGACUUUGUUGAGCGUUUGCAUGCCUUUGAUUAUUCGAGGAUUGGGAUUCUGCUCGCCUUCUCGUGGCCGAGCAGGUCCCGGCAUGCUUGGCUUCUGUCUCGCCAGAAGACAGGCUUUGAGACUUUGUCGAGCCUUUGCAUGCCUUGGAUUCUUCGAGGAUUGCGAUUCUGCUCGCCUUCUCGUGGCCGAGCAGAUCCUGGCAUGCUUGGCUUCUGUCUCGCCAUAAGACAGGCUUUGAGACUUUGUUGAGCCUUUGCAUGCCUUGGGAAUUUCUUCGAAUGCUUUGGAGUCUGCUCGCCUUCUCAUGGCCGAGCAGAUCCUGGCAUGCUUGGCUUCUGUCUCGCCAUAAGACAGGCUUUGAGACUUUGUUGAGCCUUUGCAUGCCUUUGAUGAUUUCUUCAAAGCUUGGGAUUCUGCUAGCCUCCUCAUAGCCGAGCAGAUCCUGGCAUGCUUGGCUUCCGUCUCGCCAUAAGACAGGCUUUGAGACUUUGUUGAGCCUUUGCAUGCCUUGGAUUCUUCGAGGAUUGGGAUUCUGCUCGCCUUCUCGUGGCCGAGCAGAUCCUGGCAUGCUUGGCUUCUGACUCGCCAUAAGACAGGCUUUGAGACUUUGAUGAGCCUUUACAUGCCUUUGAUUCUUCAAGGAUUGGGAUGCUGCUCGCCUUCUCGUGGCCGAGCAGAUCCUGGCAUUCUUGGCUUCUGUCUCGCUAUAAGACAGGCUUUGAGACUUUGUUGAGCCUUUGCAUGCCUUUGAUGAUUUCUUCAAAGCUUGGGAUUCUGCUAGCCUCCUCAUAGCCGAGCAGAUCCUGGCAUGCUUGGCUUCUGUCUCGCCAUAAGACAGGCUUUGAGACUUUGUUGAGCCUUUGCAUGCCUUGGAUUCUUCGAGGAUUGGGAUUCUGCUCGCCUUCUCGUGGCCGAGCAGAUCCUGGCAUGCUUGGCUUCUGACUCCCCAUAAGACAGGCUUUGAGACUUUGAUGAGCCUUUGCAUGCCUUUAAUUCUUCAAGGAUUGGGAUGCUGCUCGCCUUCUCGUGGCCGAGCAGAUCCUGGCAUGCUUAGCUUCUGUCUCGCCAUAAGACAGGCUUUGAGACUUUGAUGAGCCUUUGCAUGCCUUGGGAAUUUCUUCGAAUGCUUUGGAGUCUGCUCGCCUUCUCGUGGCCGAGCAGAUACUGGCAUGCUUGGCUUCUGUCUCGCCAUAAGACAGGCUUUGAGACUUUGUUGAGCCUUUGCAUGCCUUUGAUUCUUCGAGGAAUGGGAUUCUGCUCGCCUUCUCGUGCCCGAGCAGAUCCUGGCAUGCUUGGCUUCUGUCUCGCCAUAAGACAAGCUUUGAGACUUUGUCGAGCCUUUGCGUGCCUUUGAUUCUUCGAGGAUUGGGAUUCUGCUCGCCUUCUCGUGGCCGAGCAGAUCCUGGCACGCUUGGCUUCUGUCUCGCCAUAAGACAGGCUUUGAGACUUUGAUGAGCCUUUGAAUGCCUUUGAUUCUUCCAGGAUUGGGAUGCUGCUCGCCUUCUCGUGGCCGAGCAUAUCCUGGCAUGCUUGGCUUCUGUCUCGCCAUAAGACAGGCUUUGAGACUUUGUUGAGCCUUUGCAUGCCUUGGGAAUUUCUUCGAAUGCUUUGGAGUCUGCUCGCCUUCUCGUGGUCUAGCAGACCCUGGCAUGCUUGGCUUCUGUCUCGCCAUAAGACAUGCUUUGAGACUUGGUGAGCCUUUGCAUGCCUCAGGAAUUUCUUCGAAUGCUUUGGAGUCUGCUCGCCUUCUCGUGGUCGAGCAGAUCCUGGCAUGCUUGGCUUCUGUCUCGCCAUAAUACAGGCUUUAAGACUUUGUUGAGCCUUUGCAUGCCUUGGAUUCUUCGAGGAUUGGGAUUCUGCUCGCCUUCUCGUGGUCGAGCAGACCCUGGCAUGCUUGGCUUCUGUCUCGCCAUAAGACAUGCUUUGAGACUUGGUGAGCCUUUGCAUGCCUCAGGAAUUUCUUCGAAUGCUUUGGAGUCUGCUCGCCUUCUCGUGGUCGAGCAGAUCCUGGCAUGCUUGGCUUCUGUCUCGCCAUAAGACAGGCUUUGAGACUUUGUUGAGCCUUUGCAUGCCUUGGAUUCUUCGAGGAUUGGGAUUCUGCUCGCCUUCUCGUGGCCGAGCAGAUCCUGGCAUGCUUGGCUUCUGUCUCGCCAUAAGAUAGGCUUUGAGACUUUGAUGAGCCUUUGCAUGCCUUGGGAAUUUCUUCGAAUGCUUUGGAGUCUGCUCGCCUUCUCAUGGUCGAGCAGAUCCUGGCAUGCUUGGCUUCUGUCUCGCCAUAAGACAGGCUUUGAGACUUUGUUGAGCCUUUGCAUGCCUUUGAUUCUUCGCGGAUUGGGAUUCUGCUCGCCUUCUCGUGGCCGGGCAGAUCCUGGCAUGCUUGGCUUCUGUCUCGCCAUAAGACAGGCUUUGAGACUUGAUGAGCAUUUGCAUGCCUUAUUAGUAAACCUUGAUUGGCUUCUCAACGCUAGCCUAGCUCUCUUUUCUUAAAUUAUUCUUACAUUGAGCACAAUCAAUUUAAUGAAUAUCAGAUAUCCUUAUCUCACAUAGCAGAAUUUAGAGAAAUAAUUAAAUUUUCAUAGAAAAAACUGCUUUUAAAUCAAAAUAUAACUUCUGACCUGUUCCGAUUCCUACAGAUGUGUGCCUUCGAUGUGCUCUUAUUUGAGGUUUUUUCUUGAAAUCCUUAAAUAUGGAUUUGCUCUGCAAAUUGAUCAACUGGGAUUGUGCUCUGGGUUUAGAUCUUGGCUCCUGGGCAGCAUUCUCUCAAGCACAUAUGUAGUAUAUGUAGUGUAAUCAGCAACAAACUCACUUUUGAACUUUCAUAUCCCUUGAGACGAUUUAACGAACAGCUCCUGAUUGAAUUUUAACAAUUCUGCCUCAACUUGUAAUGAACCGAGUUUCAUACCAGAAUUGUCUAAAUACUUUCCUUUAUAUCUUUACAGGUAAGCAUUCCAUCCAGCCUUGAUUGGUUUCCGUGUUUGAGCCAGCUUAUCAAUCGGUGCAUGAUAAUAUUCUGCCUUUGGCUUAGCCAGAUGAAAAAUCGGUGGAGACAAGAAGUUGGCUUUUGUACCGAGUCCCCACAGACGGCGCCAAAAUGUUGAUGCGAGAUUCUGGUUGUCCUCGUUUUACGACCAGGGUCUCUGCUCGAUCAACUUCACCUCGACCAGGAUCUCUCCUCGUAAAGCUUCUUCUCCAGAGGUUCCCUUUUGUUGAUGCGAGAUUCCGGUUCUCCUCGUUCUACGACUAGGAUCUCUGCUCGAUCAACUUCAUCACGACCAGGGGGUCUCCUCGCAAGGCUUCUUCUCCAGAGGUUUCUGCGCACACAGACAGGUCAGAGUACGCCGAUUGUUUUCCCGGCGCAAACCCUCCGACACUCAAGUCAGAUAUGAAGUGUUGAUGCGAGAUUCUGGUUGUCCUCGUUUUACGACCAAGGUCUCUGCUCGAUCAACUUCACCUCGACCAGGAUCUCUCCUCGUAAAGCUUCUUCUCCAGAGGUUCCCUUUUGUUUAUGCGAGAUUCCGGUUCUCCUCGUUCUACGACCAGGAUCUCUGCUCGAUCAACUUCAUCACGACCAGGGGGUCUCCUCGUAAGGCUUCUUCUCCAGUGGUUCCUGCGCACACAGACAGGUCAGAGUACGCCGGUUGUUUUCCCGGCGCAAACCCUCCGACGCUCAAGUCAGAUAUGAAGGUUCGGGGAACGCUUGCCACAAAUCUUAUGGCUGUUAGGUUGUUUUCUCUCUUUUAGAAUUUCUUUUCUAAUCUCAAAAAUGCUAACCCCUUUACCUUCGUUGGCUACCUUUUUAUAGGCUUCCUCUGAAUCCCAGUUUUUCGCUUUUUUCGAGACGGUAUGGGACUCUGACUGCUGCGUUAUGGGCAAGCGUGGGAUCUUGCGUGUUACGCCACGGUUCUGGGGAAAGCGUGGCUGUCGUGCCUAGAUUCUCGGGCUGGAGAACGUGUCUUGCCAACUGCCGUCGACCGGGUCCCCUCGCCUCUCGACCUCUAGCCGGAAUGGCCUUAUGCCUCUUACAGGAAAUUUGCCUCGCGGAUGACGUGCUCGUGGACGAGCAGGAUAUUUCUGCUCCUGUUCCCCCGCGCACCAGGCUUUUACGGAACACACCGGUUCGCAGAACUCUGCCAUCAGAUAUCUGCUCACCAUGCCUGGUCUCGUCGACGUAUUUCUCCCAAACACCGGUCCCCCAGUUUCUGGUGUUGGGUAAUGUAGUAGACCAGCAGUAGAAACGCGUUAGUACUCGCUCGCGUGGGAUUGGAAAAGGCUGCCAAGAAUCACGUCGCAUUUAAUUGCGGACGAGGUGACGUGGCAGAAAUCCCCCUCUCCAUUUGAAUUUCAAACCGACGGUUAUGAGACCCUCGGGAUUCGGCGCUGUUAAAUGCUGGCAACCCUAGAGUCCGUCCUCAUUAGGAAAACCAAAUCCUCUCUGUUAAUUAUUAACAAAUUAAUAAAAAUAUUUUUUGAUUACUUUCUUGUGUUGUAAUUAUGAAUUAAUUUUCGUUUGAGAAUCUGCUUGUCUUUGUCUAGACGAGCAGGUUCCGGCUUUGCUCAUGGUUUUGCCACAUGCCUUUGAAGAUUCUUCAAUGCCUGGGAUUCGGCUCGCCUUCGCGCGGUCGAGCAGAUCCUGGCACGCUUGGCAUCUGUCUCGGCAUAAAACAGGCUUUGAGACUUGGUGAGCCAUCGCAUGCCUCAGGAAUUUCUUCGAAUGCUUUGGAGUCUGCUCGCCUUCUCGUGGUCGAGCAGAUCCUGGCAUGCUUGGCUUCUGUCUCGCCAUAAAACAGGCUUUGAGACUUUGUCGAGCCUUUGUAUGCCUUGGAUUCUUCGAGAAUUGGGAUUCUGCUAACCUUCUCGUGGCCGAGCAGAUCCUGGCAUGCUUGGCUUUUGUUUCGCCAUAAGACAGGCUUUGAGACUUUGUCGAGCCUUUGCAUGCCUUUGAUUCUUCGAGGAUUGGGAUUCUGCUCGCCUUCUCGUGGCCGAGCAGAUCCUGGCAUGCUUGGCUUCUGUCUCGCCAUAAGACAGGCUUUGAGACUUUGUUGAGCCUUUGCAUGCCUUUGAUUCUUCGAGGAUUGGGAUUCUGCUCGCCUUCUCGAGGCCGAGCAGAUCCUGGCAUGCUUUGGCUUCUGUCUCGCCAUAAGACAAGCUUUGAGACUUUGUCGAGCCUUUGCGUGCCUUUGAUUCUUCGAGGAUUGGGAUUCUGCUCGCCUUCUCGUGGCCGAGCAGAUCCUGGCACGCUUGGUUUCUGUCUCGCCAUAAGACAGGCUUUGAGACUUUGAUGAGCCUUUGCAUGCCUUUGAUUCUUCAAGGAUUGGGAUGCUGCUCGCCUUCUCGUGGCCGAGCAAAUCCUGGCAUGCUUGGCUUCUGUCUCGCCAUAAGACAGGCUUUGAGACUUUGUUGAGCCUUUGCAUGCCUUGGGAAUUUCUUCGAAUGCUUUGGAGUCUGCUCGCCUUCUCGUGGUCGAGCAGAUCCUGGCAUGCUUUGCUUCUGUCUCGCCAUAAGACAGGCUUUGAGACUUUGUUGAGCCUUUGCAUGCCUUGGAUUCUUCGAGGAUUGGGAUUCUGCUCGCCUUCUCGUGGCCGAGCAGAUCCUGGCAUGCUUGGCUUCUGUCUCGCCAUAAGACAGGCUUUGAGACUUUAUUGAGCGUUUGAAUGCCUUUGAUUAUUCGAGGAUUGGGAUUCUGCUCGCCUUCUCGUGGCCGAGUAGGUCCCGGCAUGCUUGGCUUCUGUCUCGCCAUAAGACAGGCUUUGAGACUUUGUCGAACCUUUGCAUGCCUUUGAUUCUUCGAGGAUUGGGAUUCUGCUCCCCUUCUCAUGGCCGAGCAGAUCCCGGCAUGCUUGGCUUCUGUCUCGCCAUAAGACAGGCUCUGAGACUUUGUCGAGCCUUUGCAUGCCUUAGAUUCUUCGAGGAUUGGGAUUCUGCUCGCCUUCUCGUGGCCGAGCAGAUCCUGGCAUGCUUGGCUUCUGUCUCGCCAUAAGACAGGCUUUGAGACUUUGAUGAGCCUUUGCAUGCCUUGGGAAUUUCUUCGAAUGCUUUGGAGUCUGCUCGCCUUCUCGUGGUCGAGCAGAUCCUGGCUUGCUUGGGUUCUGUCUCGCCAUAAGACAGGCUUUGAGACAUUGUCGAGCCUUUGCAUGCCUUGGAUUCUUCGAGGACUGGGAUUCUUCUCGCCUACUCGUGGCCGAGCAGAUCCUGGCAUGCUUGGCUUCUGUCUCGCCAUAAGACAGGCUUUGAGACUUUGUCGAGCCUUUGCAUGCCUUUGAUUCUUCGAGGAUUGGGAUUCUGCUCGCCUUCUCGUGGCCGAGCAGAUCCCGGCAUGCUUGGCUUCUGUCUCGCCAUAAGACAGGCUUUGAGACUUUGUCGAGCCUUUGCAUGCCUUGGAUUCUUCGAGGAUUGGGAUUCUGCUCGCCUUCUCGUGGCCGAGCAGAUCCUGGCAUGCUUGGCUUCUGUCUCGCCAUAAGACAGGCUUUGAGACUUUGUUGAGCCUUUGCAGGCCUUGGGAAUUUCUUCGAAUGCUUUGGAGUCUUCUCGCCUUCUCGUGGUCAAGCAGAUCCUGGCAUGCUUGGCUUUUGUCUCGCCAUAAGACAGGCUUUGAGACUUUGUUGAGCCUUUGCAUGCCGUGGAUUCUUCGAGGAUUGGGAUUCUGCUCGCCUUCUCGUAGCCGAGCAGAUCCCGGCAUGCAUGGCUUCUGUCUCGCCAUAAGACAGGCUUUGAGACUUUGUCGAGCCUUUGCAUGCCUUGGAUUCUUCAAGGAUUGGAAUUCUGCUCGCCUUCUCGUGGCCGAGCAGAUCUCGGCAUGCUUGGCUUCUGUCUCGCCAUAAGACAGGCUUUGAGACUUUGUCGAGCCUUUGCAUGCCUUUGAUUCUUCGAGGAAUUGGAUUCUGCUCGCCUUCUCGGGGCCGAGCAGAUCCCGGCAUGCUUGGCUUCUGUCUCGCCAUAAGACAGGCUUUGAGACUUUGAUGAGCUUUUGCAUGCCUUUGAUUCUUCAAGGAAUGGGAUGCUGCUCGCCUUCUUGUGGCCGAGCAGAUCCUGGCAUGCUUGGCUUCUGUCUCGCCAUAAGACAGGCUUUGAGACUUUGUUGAGCCUUUCCAUGCCUUUGAUGGAUUCUUCGAGGAUUGGGAUUCUGCUCGCCUUCUCGUGGCCGAGCAAAUCCUGGCAUGCUUGGCUUCUGUCUCGCCAUAAGACAGGCUUUGAGACUUUGAUGAGCCUUUGCAUGCCUUUGAUUCUUCGAGGAUUUGGAUUCUGCUCGCCUUCUCGUGGCCGAGCAGAUCCCGGCAUGCUUGGCUUCUGUCUCGCCAUAAGACAGGCUUUGAGACUUUGUCGAGCCUUUGCAUGUCUUGGAUUCUUCGAGGAUUGGGAUUCUGCUCGCCUUCUCGUGGCCGAGCAAAUCCUGGCAUGCUUGGCUUCUGUCUCGCCAUAAGACAGGCUUUGAGACUUUGAUGAGCCUUUGCAUACCUUUGAUUCUUCCAGGAUUGGGAUGCUGCUCGACUUCUCGUGGCUGAGCAGAUCCUGGCAUGCUUGGCUUCUGUCUCGCCAUAAGACAGGCUUUGAGACUUUGAUGAGCCUUUGCAUGCCUUGCGAAUUUCUUCGAAUGCUUUGGAGUCUGCUCGCCUUCUCGUGGUCGAGCAGACCCUGCCAUGCUUGGUUUCUGUCUCGCCAUUAGACAGGCUUUGAGACUUUGUCGAGCCUUUGCAUGCCUUUGAUUCUUCGAGGAUUGGGAUUCUGCUCGCCUUCUUGUGGCCGAGCAGAUCCUGGCUUGCUUGGCUUCUGUCUCGCCAUAAGACAGGCUUUGAGACUUUGUUGAGCCUUUGCAUGCCUUGGGAAUUUCUUCGAAUGCUUUGGAGUCUGCUCGCCUUCUCGUGGUCGAGCAGAUCCUGGCAUGCUUGGCUUCUGUCUCGCCAUAAGACAGGCUUUGAGACUUUGUCGAGCCUUUACAUGCCUUAGAUUCUUCAAGGAUUGGGAUUCUGCUCGCCUUCUCGUGGCCGAGCAGAUCCUGGCAUGCUUCGCUUCUGUCUCGCCAUAAGACAGGCUUUGAGACUUUGUCGAGCCUUUGCAUGUCUUGGAUUCUUCGAGGAUUGGGAUUCUGCUCGCCUUCUCGUGGCCGAGCAAAUCCUGGCAUGCUUGGCUUCUGUCUCGCCAUAAGACAUGCUUUGAGACUUUGUCGAGCCUUUGCAUGCCUUGGAUUCUUCGAGGAUUGGGAUUCUGCUCGCCUUCUCGUGGCCGAGCAGAUCCUGGCAUGCUUGGCUUCUGUCUCGCCAUAAGACAGGCUUUGAGACUUUGUUGAGCCUUUGCAUGCCUUUGAUUAUUCGAGGAUUGGGAUUCUGCUCGCCUUCUCGUGGCCGAGCAGUUCCCGGCAUGCUUGACUUCUGUCUCGCCAUAAGACAGGCUUUGAGACUUUGUCGAGCCUUUGCAUGCCUUGGUUUCUUCGAGGAUUGGGAUUCUGCUCGCCUUCUCAUGGCCGAGCAGAUCCUGGCAUGCUUGGCUUCUGUCUCGCCAUAAGACAAGCUUUGAGACUUUGAUGAGCCUUUGCAUGCCUUUGAUUCUUCAAGGAAUGGGAUGCUGCUCGCCUUCUCGUGGCCGAGCAGAUCCUGGCAUGCUUGGCUUCUGUCUCGCCAUAAGACAGGCUUUGAGACUUUGUUGAGCCUUUGCAUGCCUUUGAUGAUUUCUUCAAAGCUUGGGAUUCUGCUAGCCUCCUCGUGGCCGUGCAGAUCCUGGCAUGCUUGGCUUCUGUCUCGCCAUAAGACAGGCUUUGAGACUUUGUUGAGCCUUUGCAUGCCUUGGAUUCUUCGAGGAUUGGGAUUCUGCUAGCCUCCUCGUGGCCGUGCAGAUCCUGGCAUGCUUGGCUUCUGUCUCGCCAUAAGACAGGCUUUGAGACUUUGUUGAGCCUUUGCAUGCCUUUGAUUCUUCAAGGAUUGGGAUACUGCUCGCCUUCUCGUGGCCGAGCAGAUCCUGGCAUGAUUGGCUUCUGUCUCGCCAUAAGACAGGUUUUGAGACUUUGAUGAGCUUUUGCAGGCCUUGUGAAUUUCUUCGAAUGCUUUGGAGUCUGCUCGCCUUCUCGUGGUCGAGCAGACCCUGGCAUGCUUGGCUUCUGUCUCGCCAUAAGACAUGCUUUGAGACUUGGUGAGCCUUUGCAUGCCUCAGGAAUUUCUUCGAAUGCUUUGGAGUCUGCUCGCCUUCUCGUGGUCGAGCAGAUCCUGGCAUGCUUGGCUUCUAUCUCGCCAUAAGACAGGCUUUGAGACUUUGUCGAGCCUUUGCAUGCCUUCGAUUCUUCGAGGAUUGGGAUUCUGCUCGCCUUCUCGUGGCCGAGCAGAUCCUGGCAUGCUUGGCUUCUGUCUCGCCAUAAGACAGGCUUUGAGACUUUGUCGAGCCUUUGCAUGCCAUGGAUUCUUCGAGGAUUGGGAUUCUGCUCGCCUUCUCGUGGCCGAGCAGAUCCUGGCAUGCUUGGCUUCUGUCUCGCCAUAAGACAGGCUUUGAGACUUUGAUGAGCCUUUGCUUGCCUUGGGAAUUUCUUCGAAUGCUUUGGAGUCUGCUCACCUUCUCGUGGUCGAGCAGAUCCUGGCAUGCUUGGCUUCUGUCUCGCCAUAAGACAGGCUUUGAGACUUUGUUGAGCCUUUGCAUUCCUUUGAUUCUUCGCGGAUUGGGAUUCUGCUCUCCUUCUCGUGGCCGAGCAGAUCCUGGCAUGCUUGGCUUCUGUCUCGCCAUAAGACAAGCUUUGAGACUUUGUCGAGCCUUUGCAUGCCUUGGGUUCUUCGAGCAUUGGGAUUCUGCUCGCCUUCUCGUGGCCGAGCAGAUCCUGGCAUGCUUGGCUUCUGUCUCGCAAUAAGACAGGCUUUGAGACUUUGAUGAGCCUUUGCAUGCCUUUGAUUCUUCCAGGAUUGGGAUGCUGCUCUCCUUCUCGUGGGCGAGCAGAUCCUGGCAUGCUUGGCUUCUGUCUCGCCAUAAGACAGGCUUUGAGACUUUAUGAGCCUUUGCAUGCCUUAUUAGUAAACCUUGAUUGGCUUCUCAACGCUAGCCUAACUCUCUUUUCUUAAAUUAUUCUCAUAUUGAGCACAAUCAAUUUAAUGAAUAUCAGAUAUCCUUAUCUCACAUAGCAGAAUUUAGAGAAAUAAUUAAAUUUUCAUAGAAAAAACUGCUAUUAAAUCAAAAUAUAACUUCUGACCUGUUCCGAUUCCUACAGAUGUGUGACCUUUGCAUGCCUUAUUAGUAAACCUUGAUUGGCUUCUCAACGCUAGCCUAGCUCUCUUUUCUUAAAUUAUUCUCAUAUUGAGCACAAUCAAUUUAAUGAAUAUCAGAUAUCCUUAUCUCACAUAGCAGAAUUUAGAGAAAUAAUUAAAUUUUCAUAGAAAAAACUGCUUUUAAAUCAAAAUAUAACUUCUGACCUGUUCCGAUUCCUACAGAUGUGUGCCUUCGAUGUGCUCUUAUUUGAGGUUUUUUCUUGAAAUCCUUAAAUAUGGAUUUGCUCUGCAAAUUGAUCAACUGGGAUUGUGCUCUGGGUUUAGAUCUUGGCUCCUGGGCAGCAUUCUCUCAAGCACAUAUGUAGUAUAUGUAGUGUAAUCAGCAACAAACUCACUUUUGAACUUUCAUAUCCCUUGAGACGAUUUAACGAACAGCUCCUGAUUGAAUUUUAACAAUUCUGCCUCAACUUGUAAUGAACCGAGUUUCAUACCAGAAUUGUCUAAAUACUUUCCUUUAUAUCUUUACAGGUAAGCAUUUCAUCCAGCCUUGAUUGGUUUCCGUGUUUGAGCCAGCUUAUCAAUCGGUGCAUGAUAAUAUUCUGCCUUUGGCUUGGCCAGAUGAAAAAUCGGUAGAGACAAGAAGUUGGCUUUUGUACCGAGUCCCCACAGACGGCGCCAAAAUGUUGAUGCGAGAUUUUGGUUGUCCUCGUUUUACGACCAGGGUCUCUGCUCGAUCAACUUCACCUCGACCAGGACCUCUCCUCGUAAAGCUUCUUCUCCAGAGGUUCCCUUUUGUUGAUGCGAGAUUCCGGUUCUCCUCGUUCUACGACCAGGAUCUCUGCUCGAUCAACUUCAUCACGACCAGGGGGUCUCCUCGCAAGGCUUCUUCUCCAGAGGUUUCUGCGCACACAGACAGGUCAGAGUACGCCGGUUAUUUUCCCGGCGCAAACCCUCCGACGCUCAAGUCAGAUAUGAAGGUUCGGGGAACGCUUGCCACAAAUCUUAUGGCUGUUAGGUUCUUUUCUCUCUUUUAGAAUUUCUUUUCUAAUCUCAAAAAUGCUAACCCCUUUACCUUCGUUGGCUACCUUUUUAUAGGCUUCCUCUGAAUCCCAGUUUUCCGCUUUUUUCGAGACGGUAUAGGACUCUGACUGCUGCGUUAUGGGCAAGUGUGGGAUCUUGCGUGUUACGCCACGGUUCUGGGGAAAGCGUGGCUGUCGUGCCUAGAUUCUCGGGCUGGAGAGCGUGUCUUGCCAACUGCCGUCGACCGGGUCUCCUCGCCUCUCGACCUCUAGCCGGAAUGGCCUUAUGCCUCUUACAGGAAAUUUGCCUCGCGGAUGACGUGCUCGUGGACGAGCAGGAUAUUUCUGCUCCUGUUCCCCCGCGCACCAGGCUUUUACGGAACACACCGGUUCGCAGAACUCUGCCAUCAGAUAUCUGCUCACCAUGCCUGGUCUCGUCGACGUAUUUCUCCCAAACAGUAGGUAUUUGCUUUUCAUCAAAAGAAUUUUCAUAAGGCAAAUCAACUAAAUGUUGUUUUCUGUUCCAAAAAGCAGAUGGUAGAUCCGCGCAUAUUUCUUUUUCAAUGAGGUCUUUAAAAUCAGAGAUUUUUCUUUUUACAAAUUCAUUUUGUAAUUGGUUUUCAAUUCUUUGUAAACUCAAAUCCUUUUUUAAACAAAUCAUAUCAUUUUGUUUUGAUUUGAAGAGUGUAUUGAUUUGGUUCUGGUAAACAGAACAAGCUUUAACUAUAUUCAAAUUUCUUGUUUUAAGUUUCUCAAUAAAAGGAAAAACAAGUUUUUUGGUUUUUGCUUUAAAGGAUAUACUAUCAUAGUUGACAGUAUAAGGAGUAAUGAGAUUUAUAAAGGGGGUUCCUAAAAUGACAGUAUGGUGUAUGUCAUUUGUAAGAAUGAAUGAAGUCUUGAAUUCAAAAUUAUUGUUAUGAAUAGAGGCUUCAACUUUAGAUUUAACAUUAAGUUUUGAAUUAUUAGCGGCAGAAAGUCUUUCAUUCGUUUGUUCAUGAAACCUUCUAGGGACAAUAUCUUCUUUUAUGCAAUUUAAAUCAACACCAGUGUCAAAAAGGGCAAUGGUGUCAAUUUCAAAAUCUUUGAAAAAAAUCAAGGUAAUUUUAAUCAAAUACUUUCUCGUGGUGAUUUGCUUUAAAACAAACAGAAAAUCAUUGGGUAUAGAUUCAAUGUUUUCUAGGCUUUGUUCUUCAUUAUCACCAUCAUUUGAUUCUUUAUCAGAAUUAUCUUGUAAUUGUUUUUGUAAGAAGAGUUGGAUGGUUUCAGAAUCAUUCUUUUGUUUUUCUUUUAAUUCCUUUAUCUCAAGUUUGAUUUCUUUAAUCUCUCUUUGAAGGUCUUGGAUAUUGGGAACUGUUUUCUUUGUUUUCUUUUUUUCCAAGAUAUCAGUUAGGUCAUAAGUAUUCUUUUUAAUGGUAGGGGCUUUAGAAGUUUCUAUUUUAUCUCUUAAUUUUAAGGUUUUUAAAAGCUUAUCUAGAUACUCUUUUUGAAGAGUAGGGUCAGAAAUGUGUUUAACUAGCUCAAGGAAAGUUUCUUGUUCUUUGGUUAACAUAUUGAGUUUUUUUGUUUUUAAAUAGGAUUCUGUGUCAGAAUCACUAUCACUAGAUACAGAUGUGUCUGAGUUAAUUAACUCAUCAACCUGUAGAGGCUCACUAUUUCCUGACAUGGAAAACUCAGAGUCAGAGGACUCUACAAGCAAAGAGGCCACUUUAGAGAAAAUCUCUUCACCUAGGUCAAGUUCAUGGAGCUUUCUGCUCAUUCUACAGAAUUUUGCUAUGGUAUCUUUCUUUUUAGUGAAAUUAGGUUUCCUAUAAGGCUUCGAUGGUUUUCUAUAGGAAGGUUCUCUAAACUCGUGGAAAGGCUUCCUAUGGCUUUUAGACUUGUAAUGUUUCUUGUAAGGUUUCGAAGAACACUUACCAUUACAAUCUCUAGAAGUGGAGGCUUUAAAAGGGUCAUAGUUAAACUGUUUACAGAAACUACCUAGUUCUUGCUUAGACUGUCUAAGCUCCCAUUUUAAUCGUUUCUGUAAUUUCAAGUCCUGACAAAUCUUUAAUCCUUCUUUGUUUAUGAAACUGACAAGUUCACCGUAGGUGAGCUCAUCGUAGGGAAUACGGUUGUCAUAAAGGGCUUUAAUAGAAUUUCUAACCUUUUCUCCUAAUAGAAUAGGUAAACCUGCAAGGAAUUUUUCCUUCCAAGUUAUAUGAUUUGCAUCAUCCCUAAGGAAAAGUCUGGUAAAUAAUGUAGUUUUGUAGCUUUGGAAUUCACUAAGCUUCCUACAUCUCAGGUUGUGUAGUAACUCAGCGUUCUUGUCCCUAAGGUGUGAAAGAUAACCUAUGAAAUGAAGGGAUAUAGUCAGAAUCAGGGUAGCAACAGCAUCCUGAAUAGGACUAUUAAAUUCAUCACAGAUGGGUGCUCUAUUUUCAUCUGUCUGAAUGGCAUGAUGAAUGUCUAAUUGUUGUUGUUUGGUGAGAAGAUGAUCCCACCAACCUUUUAGUUGACCAGUAAAACCAGCAAUGAGAAUUUCUGCAAUGGCUUUGUCAGAAGUUCCCGACUGAGUUUUAUAAGCAUUAGCUGCCAUGGUCAUCUAUUGCAACAGUCCUAAGAUGCUGUAUUCAGACAUACCAUCAAUGUUCCACUCAUAAACAGAGGAUGCAUUAAAGCGAGAUUGGUUUAAUGCACUAGGUCUGUUGUCUAUGGCUAAGUCAGGUGGAGACUUGACGGUAGGAAGGGCUAAUUCCCAAUGAAUUUUAUUGGCUUUAGGAACAGGUUCUUCUUUAAAAGCUUCUAUAUCAGAAGAGGCUAUAGACAUAUUGUCUUAUUCUAGUACACCAAUUUUACUAGAUUGGGCAAUAUCAGGAGCUAUUUGGAUUUUACUAGACGAGGAAGAAGAAGCUUCGAUCCUAUCUAGUUGUUCUCUAAUGGCUUUAGCAAAAUUUGAUUUUGACUCCUGGACGAGCUUUUGGCUAGUUUUCAAAACCUGAAAAGGUUUGAAAAUAGGUUCCUUAAGCUUUUUGUCAGAAUCUGAUUUUGAAGUAACAGGAGAAACAGUUACGGUUGACUUCUGGAAUUGGUUUUCUAUCCUAGUCAACUGUUUUCCUAGUGUAUUUAGGUUAACAUUAUAGAAAUUAUUCUGUUGAAUAAUGCUGCCUAAAUUUGUCUCUGGAUCAUUUGGUUUAUGGAUUUUAUAGGGUGAAGCUUUAAUCUCAACAUGAGGCACACCAUGGUCAAUGGUCAAACUCUUAAGAGGUGGAUGUUCAGAUUCUAUAGUUCUGUCACUGUCAGAAAGAUUCCACUCAGUGAUCUUUUUUCUAACUGUGAUCGGGUUAGUUUAUUUAAAGGGAUAUGUAAUGUUAUGAUCAGAAGCAUACAUAUCAAACCAAUCAAAAAACAAUAUACGAACUUUAUGUAGAUUUACAAAUUGAUAAUAAGUUUCUUGUAUUUCUUUUCUCUGGUUUAAGAAAUUCUUGAAAAACCAAAGUCUUUUUUCUUUGUUAUUAUCAGAAUAAAAAUCUGUAUGAAGAAGGGUUUUAUUUAGCUCAAAUUCUUUUUCGAGGACAUUUAUUACAUUUUCCGUGACAGCGGAGAAUGUAGGAGAAGUUGGAGGAGAAGGUUCCUUCUCUUCCUGGCUUUGUUCAUGUUGACGGCUAGUGUAAAUGGGGUGUGGAACACUAGUAGUAUAGUCAACAGAAUGUAUAGAAGAACUAGGUCUAUCCGAAGUGGAAAACCUAGGUUGACUUUUUACUGGUUGGAAAGGGAGAUUGAUAAAGGAAGGAAUCUUUGUAAAUUUCCUUUCCAAUGAAGGAAUACUUGAGCAUGAAUCCUUAUUAGAGAAUCUAGAAGAUGUAGAUCUCCUAAAGGACAGUUUAACUUUCCCAUCAGAAUACCGAGUCACAUUCUGUAACUUUGUAUUAGGCUCAAGUUGUUUUGGAAUCACUGGUGCAGUGGCUCCUUCAAGAAUCCAUUCGUCUGGAAGAUUGACAUGUUUCUAUUGGAUUGGUUUUGGAAUAACGGUGUUGGCUUUAGAGAGGUCAGUCUGCAAGAGAAGAGUCUCAUCUCUUUUCGACUGAAAUUUAUGUUGCGUACUAAACGCAUAAAUCAUAGCUUUGUAUGAAAUUUAAAAAUUAAGGCAACUGGGACAGAUCCCUCAAUCAUGUGAUAAUUAUGGGUCUUGAUUUGCAAGAUCAUGCUUUUUAGAAUGUUUUUGUCUUUUAGAGAAAUUGUUAUGUUCGGAUUAUAGUUGAAUGAGAUGGGACCUUUACAAAGACUUGAUUCUAUAUUACUUAGUAAAGAAUCAUCAAAAGAGAUGAAUCGCCCAUCUCUUAAGACAGCAAGGAUAAAGAUAUUAAGACCUUCUUUUGUUAAGGGUUUUAUACCAACUUGUAUUAAGCCGAUGUGAACAUAACUAAAAUUUUUAUCUUUUAAUUUCUUUAAAGAGUGUUCUGAAAAUAGGUGAAUAGUUUCAAAUGGUUUUGAAAGGGUUAUAUCACGUUCUUCAGUUUUUAUAACAUAAUCAUUCUUUAAAAAAUCAAGCUUUUUUGUUUUAUAAAUCAUUUCUUUAGAUAUCUUUGGUAAAUCCCAAUUAUCAAUUACUUUAUUAAAGUCUUCAAUUACAAAUUCUUCCGAAUUCACAACAUUCUUUGAAUCACUAGUUUUUCCAGAAGAAGAACUAGAAAAGGACGAUGCUCUACAGAGUAGAGAAUCCAUGGGUAAAAACCUAUAUUCUAGUUUUAGUCCUGUAGGUAUGGUUACAAUCCAAGGCUAAGAAUUGGUUUUACUGCCCUUCAACCAAAUCGGGACUUACGACCAAAUGCUACCAAGGUACCCAGAGGUAAACACUCACCAUACAAACAAUAUUCAACUAAAACACAAGUCUUUAUAAACACAGAGUCUCUAUUCUAUAUAACACUAUCCUCCCCAUGGCUCUGAUACCAGUACAACCAAGUUUUUGUAUGAAAUAUAUAUGUAUAUGUGUGUGUGUUUGUGUAUGUGUGUGUGUGAUGGGAGUUGCUCUACCUUCUGAUGCAUCGCAAUGGGAAUUUAGCUGGUUUUAAUUCUCUCUCUUGGCUGCUUAUGCUUCUUUAAUUUAACAUUUUGAAAUGUAUUUAUUAUGCUAGAGUUUCAACUAAGUAUCCAUUUACUGGAAUUUUCCACUUUUCGAAAAAUGUUAAUUUUGCCUUAUUUAUUCAAUAUUAUUAUCUUCCUAUGUGAAAUUUGCAAACAUUUUAUGCUUUGGUUGGUUAUUCAAUGUGGGUUUGUUGCGUUUUGUUCUUAUACUGUUUUUAUAUAUGAGAGGUUUGUUUUUUGAAGAUGGGUUUCAGUCAAUUGUCUUUAAAGCUUUAUUUCCUAAAAGAGGAAAAAAAAUACCAAAAUAUUUAAUUCUACUGUUACAUGUUUGUGUUCUUAGGUUCUACUAUGCUUUGUAUAUUUCUUAAUGCUAGAAAGAUAUGUUCUUUUCUAAUAUGAUUGUUUAGGAUGAAUAUGAGUUCGUUAUCGAGUUGUAAUAUAUCAAAUAAAUUGAAGACAACUUGCUUCAUAGGUUUUGAUUCUAUUAAUUGUUUUUAUUUCAAGUAUGACAUGAUUGCAUGGGUGUUUGAUGAGGCUAAUAGUGAUUUCUCAGGGUUGACGCUAUGAGUUUCUUUUAUUUAGGUGUGGGCAAAAAAAUCGUGCACUAGAGAAAACCGAACCGAACCGAUCCAAAUUGUUCCGUUCGAAUCAGUUUUAAUUUUAAAAAAUGACCAAAUUAUAUGGUUUGUAAAAAAAAUCGAAAUGCAGGUUCGGUAUUCGGUUCACUCAGCUGAACCGAAAAACCGGGUUGUUCUUGGAAUUUUAUUUAAAUAGAAACGUGUUAAAUUUUAAUUGGUUGCGUAAGAUAACUAAAAUAGGCAUGCACACACACGAUUACGGGUAUAUAUAUAUUUAAAAAUUGUUGUUGGUGUUUGUUUCCAAAUUUUCUUUUUAUUUUGUGUUGUAAGUUUUAAUUGUUGUUAUUUUUAUUUGUCUUUACAACAUUAUGUUUAUGUAGAUGGAAUAUUGGAGUUUGAUUAUGUAUUUUAAAUCUUAAUAUUUCAUAUUUUGUAAGUACCUUAUUAGUAGUUAGUAAGAUAUUAGUGAUAAAAUGUGUUUUGAAUACUUUGUAUUUAUUGUUAAUAUUUGUAAUGAAAUUAGGAUAAAUUAAUUGUUGAAAAAAAUUAUUACAUUAUGAGGCCUAAUGGGCUAAAAAUUUAGAAAUUCAAAAUAGGCCCAUUAGGCCCAAAACUAAAAAAACCGAACUGAACCGUACCAAUCCGAAAAGAUCCGUUUAUAUUCUGUUUUUAUCAAGUUCGGUUCUUAUUUAGUUCUUUUUAUAAAAUAACGGAUUUAAAUCGGUUCUGCUUAAUUUCGAUCCGAACCGAACUGGACCGAACUGUGCCCACCCCUACUUUUAUUGUUGUCUAGUAUCGAAACUUGAAAACAAAAUUUAAAGAUAAUGCUUACGAUAUGAACACAAAUGUUUGUAACAGUAGCUUGAACAAAAUAGAAGGAAAUUUGUUGACUGGAAUGAUUCAUAAAGCUAAAUCAGUUUUUUUGUUGCUAUUUUUUAGGACUAUGACCACUUCUUCAUGCUAUUUUCCUGCACUUAGUUAUUAUGCUCAAAUGUAGCAGAUUUUUCUGCACUUUAGUUUUCAUUAUGUUGUAUAAAUAGAUGAUUUUGUUGCUCAAUCAAAUAUAACUCAGCAGUCUACAAACCAGCCUUCUCUCAUUAUCUUUAUAUCCAACGUAAUGGUAUCAGAGCUAUAAUUUUUAGGGACAUGUGAGAUUGAGAAAGUUUGAACACAAUUCCUAAACAAUUAUCACCUAUCUUCCCAAAAACACAAAACCUUUCCAGAAUGAAUUCAAAAAGUCCAUUCACUGCAAUUGCACCUCUAGUGUUUGAUGGAAUAAAUUAUCAAGCGUGAGCUGUUAGAAUGAAGGCUUAUCUUGAUGCUAAUGAUCAGUGGGAAGUUGUUGAACAAAUAUAUGAAGUUCCACCCCUGCCAGACAAUCUAACUCUUGCACAAAUUAGAAAUAAAAAAGAGAUGAAGUAAAGAAAAUCAAAAGCAAAAGCAACAUUGUUUGCAGCAGUCUCAUCCACCAUUUUUUCCAGAAUAAUGACGCUCAAAACAGCCAAGGAAAUUUGGGAUUUUUUGAAGCAAGAAUACGAAGGAAAUAAAAGGGUCAAAGGGAUGCAAGUGUUGAAUUUGAUCCUAGAAUUUGAGAUGCAAAAGAUGAAAGAAUUACAAAACAAUUCAGGAAUAUUAUGACAGACUUUUUAAGAUUUUCAACAAGGUAAGACUCAUUGGCACUGAUUUUUCUGAUUCUAGAGUUGUUUAAAAAAUCCUAGUCACAAUUCCUGAAAAGUUUGAGGCUACAAUUUCAUCUUUGGAAAACUCAAGCGAUCUAUCAAGUAUUACCUUAGCAGAAUUGUUGAAUGCACAGCAGGCACUGAAGCAAAGGAGGCUUAUGAGACAAGAAGGAUCUCUGGAGGGUGUUUUUCAAGCCAAAUCACAAAACAACAAAGGUGGCAAAAAUAAGAAAAAACAGAACAAAGACAACAAGCUUGGAGGUUCUGCAAGCAGUAAUAAAAAUAGCCAAAGUAGCAACACUCAAGUCUUUCCACCUUGCCCUUACUACAAAAAAAUCAAUCAUCCACAAAAUAAGUGUUGGUGGAGGCCAGAUGCAAAAUGUCACAAGUGUGGUCAGUUAAGGCACGUGGAAAGGAUAUGUACAACUCAACAACAGCAAAGAGAAGCCAAGGCUAUUGAGGAUCAACCCCAAGAGGAACAGCUGUUUGUGGUAUCGUGUUUUGCCACCAACAGCUCCACAGAGAAUUGGCUUAUAAAUAGUGGUUGUACAAACUACAUGACUUAUGAUCCAUAGCUCUUCAGAGAGUUGGACGCGACUACUAUUUCCAAAGUCAGAAUUGGAAAUAGGGCACACAUUGCAAUAAAAGGCAAAAGAACAGUAGCGAUUGAAGGCCAUACAGGUCUGAAAUUGAUUUAUAAUGUUUUAUAUGUUCUUAAAAUUAAUCAAAAUCUUUUGAGUGUUACUCAGUUGUUAGAAAAAGGCUAUAAGGUGUUGUUUGAAGACAAGAACUGUAUGAUCAAAGAUGCAAAAGACAGAGAAGUAUUCAAAGUUCAAAUGAAAGGCAAAAGCUUUUCUUUGGAUUUGAUGAAAGAAGAGCAGGCUUUUGUACACAGAGAAGAUAGCAAUACAUUGAUUUGGCAUAAGAGGUUGGGGCAUUUUCAUCAUAUUACUCUACUGUACAUGAAAAAGAACAAUCUAGUCAAAGACUUGCCUGAAUUAAAGGAUGAGUCUUCUAGAUGUGUUGCCUGUCAGUAUGGAAAGCAAACUAGGAUUCUGUUUCAACAAAAUAAGGCCUGGAGGGCUAUACAGAGGUUGCAAUUAAUACACACAGAUGUGGGAGGACCAAUGAAAACACCAUCUUUGAAUAACAGUAAGUAUUAUAUUGUUUUCAUUGAUGAUUACUCAAGAAUGUGCUGGAUUUAUUUUAUGAAGCUUAAAUCUAAGGUUGCUGACAUCCUUGUGAAGUUUAAAGCUUGGGUUGAAACUCAAAGCAGAUGCAAAAUAUAGGUGAUUAGGUCUGAUAAUGGAACAUAAUAUACCUUUGAAAAAUUUAACAAGUUUUAUGAAGAUGCAAGCAUUGAACAUGAACUGACAGCAUCUUACACUCCUCAGCAAAAUGGUGUUGUGGAGAGGAAAAACAAGACAAUAAUAAAGAUGGCAAGAUGCUUACUUCAUGACAAAGGGCUGCCGAAGAAAUUUUGGUCUGAGGUCGUAAACACUGCAGUUUUUUUAUUGAACAAAUUGCCAAUAAAAAUGUUACAGAAAAAACUCCAUUUGAAGCAUGGUAUGGCUACAAACCAAAGCUGCUUAAUAUAAAGAUAUUUGAUUGUCUAUGUUUCUCUUACAUCCCUAAAGUUAAGAGAGACAAAUUAGACAAAAAAACAAAACCUGGGAUUUUUGUAGGCUAUAGCUCAACCUCAAAAGCCUACAGGAUUUACUUACUACAAAGCAACAAAGUAAUUGUCAGCAUGGAUGUUUAAUUCUUUGAGUUAGAUAACUGGAGUUGGGAAAAUGACAAGAAGCUUAAGGUCGAUAAGGAGAAUGAUGAUACGGACAAUGAAGAUGUUAGAGGAACCAGAUCACUCUCUGACAUCUAUCAGAGGUGUAAUAUUGUUGUAAUGGAGCCUGCAUGAUAUGAAGAAGCUGCAAAUGAUCAGAAGUGGAUAGCUACAAUGAAGGACAAGCUAAAGAUGAUUGAAAAGAAUCAGACAUGGGAGUUGGUAGACAGACCUGAACACAAGAAAGCUAUAGGAGUCAAGUGGGUUUAUAGGACCAAGCUCAAUCCUGAUGGUUCUGUAAACAAGCACAAGGCAAGCCUUAUUUUUAAAGGAUAUGCCCAGAUGUUUGGGGUAGAUUUUUUUGAAACUUUUGCCCCUAUUGCCAGGUUAGAUACCAUAAGGAUGUUGCUAGCUCUUGCUGCACAACAAGGUUGGGUUAUACACCAAAUGGAUGUCAAAUCAGCCUUUUUGAAUGGAUACUUGGAGGAAGAAAUUUUUGUGGAGCAACUUGAAGGGUUUGUUUUUCCAGGACAAGAGGAGAAGGUAUAUCGACUGAAAAAAGCCAUGUACGAUUUUAAAAAGGCACCAAGGUCCUGAUAUAGCAAAAUUGACACAUACUUAACAAACUUAGGCUUCGAAAAAAGUCUAAGUGAAUCUAGUUUAUAUAUCAAGAAGGCGGAUAAUAAAAUACAUGUGGUAUCUCUGUAUGUUGAUGAUCUACUCGUUACAAGAAGUAGCAAGGAGUUGAUUGACAGGUUUAAAGAAGAAAUGAAAGAUGUCUUUCAAAUGACAGACCUUGGGAGGAUGACAUUCUUCCUUGGUAUGCAGGUACAUCAAAAGGAAAAUGAAAUAUUUCUAUGCCAGUAAAAAUAUGCAAAGGAAGUUCUCAAGAAAUUUAACAUGGAAGAGUGCAAGCCAACUGCAACUCCAAUGAAUCAAAAGGAGAAGUUUUGCAAAGAAGAUGGAGUUGAAAAGGUGGAUGAAAGGUUGUACAGGAGCCUAAUAGGCUGCCUAAUGUAUUUAACUGAACCAGACUAGAUAUCAUGCAUGCAGUGAGUUUGCUAUCAAGGUAUUGCACUGUGCCAGUGAAAUUCAUUUUCAGGCAGCAAAAAGAAUUCUUAGAUAUGUUAAGGGCACAAUUGGUUAUGGAAUAAGGUUUAAUCAAGUUAAAAACUUCAAUCUUCAUGGAUAUUCUAAUAGUGAUUGGGCUGGAUGUGUUGAUGACAUGAGAAGCACCUCACGUUACUAUUUUAGCUUUGGUUCUGAAAUUGUUUCUGGAAUUGUUUCAUGGUGUUCUAAGAAGCAAGAAGUCAUAGCUCAAUCCACAGUAGAAGCAGAAUAUGUAGCUGUUGUUGCUGCUGCUGUGAAUCAAGCUCUUUGGAUCAGGAAACUUAUGAUAGAUUUGCAUAUGGAACAACAAGUAGGCACACAAAUAUUUGUGGACAACUAAGCUGCAAUUUCAAUUGCUAAUAAUCUAGUGUUCCAUGGCAAAACAAAACACUUCAAGAUAAAACUUUAUUUUCUAAGAGAGGUACAAAGAGAAGGAGAAGUGCAACUGAUCUACUGCAAAACAGAAAAUCAAAGUGCUGACAUCUUAACAAAAGCACUUCCAAAGAUUAGAUAUGAAUUCUUGAGGCAAAAGUUUGGUGUAUGCAGCUCCAGAUUCAAGGAGGAGAAUCUUGACUGGAAUGACUCAUGAAGCUAAAUCAAUUUUUUUGUUGCUAUUGUUUAGGAUUAUGAUCACUUCUUCAUGUUAUUUUCCUACACGUAGUUAUUAUGCUCAAAUGUAGCAGAUUUUUUUGCACUUUAGUUUUCAUUAUGUUGUAUAAAUAGAUGAUUUUGUUGCUCAAUAAAAUAUAACUCAGCAGUCUACAAACCAGCCUUCUCUCAUUAUCUUUAUAUCCAACAAAAUCGAUAAGAAUAUGUUAAUUCUAGGAAAUCUAGACCUCCAAAAUAGUAUUGGUUAUUUGAUAAACCAAUAAACUCCCAAAAGACAACUUACAACUCGCGAGAAUAGUAAUACUCAAGACACUCUUUUAUUGAAUAACAUCAAGUUUUAAAUAAAACUUUAGUUCAAAGUAACAAGCAUAAAAAUAGCAAGCGUUAAGCAUGUUCUCCAUCAUGCUCCAUGAAUCCACAAAAUAAGGAACCAACUAAAAACUUAAUUUUGACUUAUUAAAAACCAACUACUGUCAAAAUAUAAAGUAAAUAAUUAAAAGAAAAUUAUAAUGGAAAGAUUGUAACAGUUUUUCUAAUUUUCUAGUAUGGUGUUUACUCUAAUGGAUGGGCGGUGGCUCAUAUUGUUAAAUUCUGGAUUAGGCAAUUUACUGGCAUGCGAACUAAUUUGUAAUUUAGUUAUAAGUUGUGUGAACCAUAAAAAAACAAAGGGUAAAGUCAGUGGUAAUAUUAUCAGAAUAUUGGAAUUGUUCUAAAAGAUUUUGAAUAAACUGGCAACGAGUAAACUAUAAUAUUGGAACUUGAGUGGGUGAAUUAUUCUCAGUUUUGUUUGUUGAGGAACACAACAGAGCGUUCAUAAUUCCUCUGUUGUUUACGAUUGAUCUAUUUCUUUUUUUCCUUUGACGGGGUAGUGCUCUUUGUCCACCUUUCAAAAGUUUUUUUAGAGGAACUGUACCUGAAAUGUUUUGUUGUUUCUUAGAAAAGGGUUUUUCCCAUACAGUGACUUUGAAGUGGAUUAUGAGUCCAAUGAGAAUGCAUCAAUUGUGUAUGCAGCAUUAGCUAUUGAUAAGGAGAUGAUGCAUCAUGAUCCUAAGAUCAUACCUUGCUCCUUUAACUUUGUUGCUUCUUCAAUAAAUUCUAACUUGGAUUCAAUUUCCCAAUACAGUUGCAACUAGACAAAGUGAAAAGGCAGAUAUAUGUCGUUAAUGGGAAACUUUUAGUGUAAGUUUCUAUUCUUUGAUCAUUCAUGGUUGGAAGACUCAUUACAUAACUGAUUUUUCAUUCUUGUCCAAUAUUCAUUCAAUUUGCACCUACCAGUUUAUCCUGUGAGACAAUAUUCAUUUGGAAAUUUUGUGUGGCCUGUUUAAUAAUCAUUUUUUCCUCUUUUCCUACCAAAUUUUCAAAUAUGUUACUUAAGGAGAGUCCUUCCUCUAAAAUACCAUUUUUCUUUAGUCUAUCAAUUUUUCCUAGACUUUGUGGUUUAGAAGUUUCUUCAUUUUGUUUAUUUUCUCGUCUCAUUCAGGCACUUUGAGGCAGUUGAGGCUAGGUUUCUUCGUGCAUCAUUUUCUACUUUUGGAUUAGUUGACGUUUUUGUAACAAGAGAAUCUAUAGUGUUAGUUUUACAAUUAAAAUAUUAAAAUAUUGGAAAGCUGUAACAAAUUCUUCAAAGCUGUGAAUUAUAUUUUGAAAGAAUUAGCAAGGCUGACAUUGAGCAACAAUUUUCUGCAUACGUUUUAUCUUGGGUAGAAUCACCAAAAGUAGAUGCAUCUUUAAAUCUAGAAUAAAAGCAGGUUUGACUUGUAUUAUAAUAAAUUCAAAUGGGGUGUCACGACUGCUUCCAUCGCUAGGAAAACUUGCUUAGAAAAUAUGGAGAUUAAUGAAUGCUUUGGCAGUUCUUGAUGGCAUCAAAAUGGCAGUUGAUUCUGGACUGCACCCACCAUUAAUUGUUGAAUCUGACUAUUUUAAUGCAAUGAAAUCAAUCUUAAAGAAGAGAAUUAGGAUGGAUGAUCAAAGGUGACAACAUAUAUCAAGGCAUAAAUUAUGUAUCAUAGAUGUAUAUAUAUUGUAAUUAGGAGUAUCUGUAAUUUCCUUAUGUCGAUAGAUCUAAUUACUAGAAAUUAGACUAGAUUUGGUUGAUGUAAUAGCUGAAAAUCAGCCUUGUAAAUCUCUACAAUUUCUAUAUAAUGAUAGGAACUCUCACAAUGAGAGAUAUUUAAUCCAAUUGAUAUGGUAUCAGAGCCAUAAUUCAAAAUUUUAGAAAACAUUCUUGUGAGUCUAAGAUCUUAGUUUUGGGUAGAUUUCUGGUAUUUUUUGUGAACUCUUAGGUUAGUUGAUUUGCUUUACUUCUUGUUACAUUUGGUGAGUUGCGGGUAACAUGUCAACUAGCAACAUGGAAAAUUUUGGUGUGCGUUUCACAGGUAAGAAUUAUUCUACCUGGGAAUUUCAGUUUCGAUUAUUUAUCAUGGGAAAGGAACUCUGGGGUCACAUCGAUGGUAGUGAUCUAGCUCCUACUGACCCUCCUAAAUUGGCUCAGUGGCAAGUCAAAGAUGCUAGAGUCAUGAUGUGGAUUAUGGGAUCAAUUGAUCAGUCACUCGUUCUCAAUCUGAAGCCAUAUAAAACAGCUAAAGACAUGUGGGAGUAUUUGAAAAAGGUUUAUAAUCAAGACAAUACAACCAAACGUUUUCAUUUAGAGUACGAGAUUGCUAGGUACUCUCAAGCUGAUCUCUCCAUUCAAGAUUAUUUAUUCGGAUUUCAGAAUUUAUGGGCAGAAUAUGUUGACAUGAUUUAUGUCCAAGUACCAGUUGAAUCUCUGGCUGAUGUUCAAAAAGUGCAUGAACAGAGCAAGCGAGAUCAGUUUUUGAUGAAACUACGUCUUGAAUAUGAGGCACCCCGCUCCAAUCUGAUGAAUCGUGAUCUUUCUCCUUCUUUAGAUGUGUGCUUUAAAGAAUUACUUCGUGAAGAGCAACGUCUUGCAACACAAACUAUUCUCCAGCAAAAUAAAAUGCAUGAUAAUGCAAUUGCUUAUGCUGCAGCUCAUGGGAAAAGUAAGGGGAGACAUGCGACAAGUUCAAUUCAUUAGCUGUAAGGAAUACAGAUAUAUUGUUGUUAACUGUGCAAAGAAAUUUUGCAACUAUUGUAAGAAGUCUGGGCAUAUUAUCAAAGAAUGUCCUAUUCGUCCCCAAAAUUGUCAAGCUAGUCAGGCCGUUGUUGUUAGUUAGGCCGUUGUUGCUAAUCAGGCUGUUGAUGGUUCAACAAUUGUUGAUAAAUCAGUUCUUACUCUAGAAAUGGUUCAGCAGAUGAUAAUUACAGCCUUUUUAGCCUUAGGGCUUCAAGGUAAACGCACUCUACCAUCUUUCUCUUGGCUUGUUAAUUCUGGUGCAUCCAAUCAUAUGACUAAUUCCAGCGACACUCUUAGCAAUGUUCAAAAAUUUUAUGGAAACAUUCAGAUUGCUAAUGGUAGUAAGUUACCUAUUCAUGCUAUUCGGGACAUCAGUUUUUCCAUUAAAGAUGUUCUUGUAUCUCAUCAGCUUUCUACUAAUCUUAUUUCAGUAGGACAAUUGGUUGAUAAUAACUGUGAUGUUUAAUUUUCCUGUGAUGGUUGUAUUGUGCAGGAUUAGGUGUCGAGGAAGAUACUAGCGAAGGGGCCUAAAGUUGGACGUUUGUUUCCUUUGUACUUUUCUGUUUCUAAUUUCGUUUCUUUGGCUAGUAUUGCGGUAAAUCAAAAGAGUGAAAUAUGGCACAAACAUUUAGGCUAUCCUAAUUCUGUUGUCCUAUCUCAUUUAAUAAAUUUAGGUUUCUUCUACGGACAAUCAGCCCUCAAACACUACUGUUCGCUGCUCUUCCAGAAUCAUCUGACCACCUAAUCGGUAUGGAUUUCACACAUCUCUUCAUACUACUUUGACCAGUGUUUCUAUUCUUUCAUGUUAUUCAGAAGCUGCUAAAUAUGAUUGUUGGCGUAAGGCUAUGGAAAAAGAACUUCAAGCUCUUGAGGACAAUCACACAUGGGUUGUAAUGUUAAACCUAUUGGUUGUAAAUGGGUCUACUCAAUCAAGCUUCAUUCAGAUUGGUUCUCUAGAUCGCUAUAAGGCACGACUAGUUGUCCUUGGUAAUAAACAAGAGUAUGGGGUCAAUUAUGAAGAGACUUUUGCUCCGGUUGCCAAAAUGACUACAGUCCGUACAAUUAUUUCGAUUGCUGCCUCACAAGGCUGGCCACUUCAUCAAAUGGAUGUUAAAAAUGCUUUUCUUUACGGUGAUCUCAAAGAGGAGAUUUACAUGGUUUUACCACAUAGCUUGCCUUCCUCUUCUUCUUUAGAUGUCUGUAAGUUGAAGCGAUCGCUCUGUGGGUUAAAGCAAGCUCCCCGGGCUUGGUUUGAUAAAUUCCGAUCCACCUUGCUUCAAUUCUUGUUUAAGCAAAGCCAAUAUGACUCAUCAUUGUUUCUUUGCAAGACAGCUACUAGUAUUGUUCUUCUCCUAGUUUAUGUUGAUGCUAUUGUUAUUAUUGGGACAGAUUCUGCCUUAAUUGCUCGGUUGCAACAACAUCUUCAAGCCUCAUUUCAUAUGAAGGAUCUUGGUCCUCUUACUUAUUUCUUAGGUUUGAAAGUUCAUUAUGAUUCUUCGGAGAUUUCUUUGAAUCAACAUAAAUACACACAAGAUUUGCUUAAAUUAAUUGGUCUUCAUAAUGCCUCUUCUAUGGAUACUCCACUAGAAGUCAACACAAAGUAUAGUAGUAAGGAAGGUAAACUCAUUUCUGAUCCUACUAUCUAUCGACAAUUGGUGGGAAGCUUGAAUUAUUUGACUAUUACGAGGUCGAAUAUUUCCUUUGCUGUCCAGCAAGUAAGUCAAUUCAUGCAACAUCCCCAUCAUUUACAUUUAGUUGUUGUUCAUUGUAUCCUUCGAUACCUUCGCAGGACUCCUAGCCGUGGAUUGUUCUUUCCCGCUGGUUCUCUUCCUCAUCUUGUUGCCUAUAGUGACGCUAAUUGGGCUAGCUGUCCGGACAGUUGACGAUCUGUCAUGGGCUGGUGUAUGUUUCUUGGGAAACCCCUGAUUUCUUGGAAAAGUAAGAAGCAAGAUCGUGUUUCUAAAUCUUCAACUGAAUCUGAAUACCGUACUAUGUCUGCUGCUUGUUCAGAGAUUGUUUGGCUUCGUGGACUUCUAGCCGAGCUUGGUUUCUCUCAAUCUAAUCCUACUCCAAUCCUACUCUACUCCAAUCCUACUCCACUCCAUGCUGAUAACACUAGUGCUAUUCAGAUUUGUGUAAACCCGAUUUUCCAUGAGUGUACUAAGCAUAUUGAAGUGGAUUGUCAUUAUAUUCGCGAAGCUUUAGACACUCGUAUUAUUUCUCUUCCUCAUAUUUCCACUACUCUCCAGAGAGCCGAUGUAUUUACCAAGGCUAUGACACGAAAGCGUCAUCAAUUUCUUGUGAGCAAAUUGAUGCUUCUUGAUUGAUCAGCAUCAAUUUUAGGGGGGAUGACAGCAUAUAUCAAGGCAUAAAUUAUGUAUCAUAGCUAUAGAUAUAUUGUAAUUAGGAGUAUCUGUAAUUUCUUUGUUUAGAUAGAUCUAAUCACUAGAAAUUAGCCUAGAUUUGGUUGAUGUAAUAGCUGAAAAUCAGCCUUGUAAAUCUUUACAGUUUCUAUAUAAUGAGAGGAACUCUCACAAGGAGAGAUAUUCAAUCCAAUUGAUAAAAGGAAUGCUCGAUUAUGUAAGAAAAAGAAAAUAAUUUAUAGUUGCAAUACACUCAUCAAUAGUCUCAGGAACCUCUGAUGAUUGAAUUACAAUUUUUUUAAAUCCAUUCCAGAAUUCAAGCAUACCUGUUCAUGCAAGAUACUCAAUGCUCUGCAUCCGAAACUUCAUCGACCUUUGCAUUUAAGGGAUCAUUAACUUUACAAGUCACAGAACCCAAAUGGUCCACAAUAUUGACAGAGCGUUGAUGGCAUAAUAUUUCAAUGUUUCCACCACUUUGCAUAAAUGUGAAGAUGGUUUAUUUUCUCAAUAGAAAAUUGAAAUUAUCAGCAGUAAUUAGAGCAACUCACAUUUGUUUUUUGUCAUCAUUGGUGUACCAUAGUUCAAGAUAUUCAGCCUCUGAGUAUAACAUUGUUCUCAGUUUUUUCAAAUCCUGAAAGUAAAGUCGCUUGAGUUAAAAAAAGACCAAAGUAAAUAUUUCCAUAAGAAUUAAAAUCUAUUGCAAAUUGGUGCUUUUGUAUUUCCAUAAAUGGCUAUCUACCCCAAGGCUUGUUGAAAACUGAGUAUAAUUUGGAAAUUGACACACGAUCCACCGUUUGAAUCAUAUAAACAAGUAUCACAUGAUUAAACAAGAAUUGGCUUUGAAGACAUAUGCCCCUAUUUGCCAAAAUCAUUUUUUUUCUCUUUUUCUUUUCUUAAAAGUGAAUGCUGAGGUGGGUGCAACUUUUAGUAAUAGCUAUUAGUAGCAAAAACAAAGAUUGCACACUGUAAAACAACUGUAAUAGGGAAACUGGUAUAGGCAUCUAAUCCAACAGAUUAAAACAAAAUAGAGAAACAGUAGUACCUUGAGACUAUCAGAGAACAGCAAGCUCUGCUGUCUUUUCUUAAAAGUGAUUGAUUAUGAUGAAACAUUCAGCCUUGUAAUUAAGCCUGCUCUGGUUUGCUUUGUGUUUGACAUUAUUACAAGAUGAUAUUUGCAACAACUUGAUGUGAGCAAUGCCUUUUUACAUGGUUUUAUUGAUCCCACAUAUCCUACUCAGGUUUACAAACUUGAAAAGGCACUCCCCGGCCUUAAGCAAGCCCACGUUCUUGGAAGAACACUGAGCUUCAAAACUUUCUUCUAUCGACGGGGAUUUUUCACUUCACAAUCAGAUUCUUCUUUAUGUAUCUAAUCUUAUGCUGGUGUGCAUGAGAUUAUCUUUGUAGGUAAAUAAACUUUCAUCUGUCGCCACAAUGUAGGGGCAUAUUAGAGAUACUCUCAAAGUCACGGUGUAAUUGUACAAUCUUUUUAUCAUUUGUAUAUUUGACUUUCAUAACUUUAAACUACAAUUGUGCACUUACUAUAAUUAACUAGCUUUAGUUGUGUAUAUAUUGAAAUCAUAUCAAUAGAAACAGUAAGCUGCAUUGUUAUUUCCUUUCUCUAUAUUAUUUAUUGUAUAAACCUAACAACUUUCAGCCCUUUUUUUCCCCAAAUCUGACACUUUUUUUUUUAUAAAUUUAUUUACCCACACCUGUGUCGUUUGUCUCACUUUUUCUUUUUAUUUUCACUUAUUUCGUUACCCAAGCCACACUUUCAUAAACUUUGUCCCGGCCCCGCACUCUACUUUUGUUAGUUUUAUCAAAUGAGCAGCAUUAGCAUCACCAUGUAAUUAUCUUUUCAAACCCCCUUUUGGUAUAUCAGGGAAGCCCAAUAACAAAUACAUCUGCAAAAUAUCUACCAAAGAUAUUUCAACAAGCUGGUCGAGCACUGGACAAGGAAUUCAUCCACAAUUUCUAUUUGUAUUAAUUGACGACCUGUCCGGUGUCCCCUUGCCUACUCAUCAUACAACAAAAAAUUGAAAUUAGGCUAUUUAGGAUUAAAGAUAAGACGGAAUGGAAAUAUGGAAUCGUUAAUUGUUAUACCCAUGACCCAUCUAAUUUGCAAAUGGUUCUUUCUCUUUCAAUAUUAUUGUACGUAUUUGCAAGGAAACCUCCUCUAUCUUUGAUAAGAAGCCACGUAAGUUAAAGAGGACACCUAAGCCUAACAACAAAUAUGAAAGAGUAUGCUUGAGCAUGAAACAUGCAUCAUGUCGAAAUAGCAUAAGAGCAAGUUCAAUCCGGUAAACCGAUUUUUCUUAGCUUCAUCUCUACCUCACAACCGGCCUACCGGUUCUCCAAAACCGGCAAGCCGUUUUCGCGUUAUGGCUCUCAGGUUCACAUCCGGCAAACCGGUUCUCCAAAACCGGCAAGCCGUUUUCGGCUUUCAACUCUCUGACCAAGAACCGGAUUUCCGGAUUUUUUGUUUCCCAAGCGAACCGGCAAGCCGUUUGUGAAAUUGUGACUUGCUGCCCAUUAACCGGCAAGCCGGAUUCGUGGUUUAUGUUGUUGUUCAUCUUCUUCCUCCUCCAUUUGGCAAACUGUUUCUUGUUCUCUCACUAGAAGCCGUUUUCUCCUCUCUUGAUUUCAUUCCAAAAUCCAUCAUUCUCAUUCGUUUUCAAUCCAAAUUGAUUCAUAUAAAUUAUCCACAUCCAUUCUUGUGUCUAAAAUCAUCUUUAAAAUCUAUUUUCAUUAUAAAACUCACAAGUAAUCUUUUAUACUUGUAUUUGGACACACCAACAUUUACUAUUUUUUUUGAAUUAUAUGGAUGUUUGCUAUGAUUUUGAAUUAUAUAAUUCGUCUCACUCUAAGGACUUAAUUUUAGGAGAUCCAUCACAAGAUGUAACUACUAGAUCAUCAUUUAGAAAUAUAUAUAAACAUUUGUAAUAAUGGAUUUGAUCACUUGUUCUUUAGCUCAUUAUGAUGACUUUUCUUAAUAGCUAUGUUGAUUUUGAUGAUCUUAUAUUGCAAUUAUACACUUAUGUUUUGCUUAAGAUUUGAGACAAAGAAUAUGCUUUGAUAAUUACAUGUAUUUGAGGAAGUUUGAUCUUAUGGGAUCUAUGAUUGGUGAAUGGAUGCACUUUUUGUUCUUUAUUGAUGUAUUGUCGAAUAUGCAUUACUUGCUUUAAAUAAUAUCGAAAUGGGAGAAAUACAUAUAUUUCGAGAAUUUUAAGCAUAUAAUGGCAUAUGUUGAUUUUAAUGAUCUAUAUAUUGCUAUUAUGUCCUUAUGCUUAUGGAUAUUUUUUUUUUACUAAUAUGCUUGUAUUGAGGUUUUGAUAAUUAAUAGGGGGAGACAAAUAUGAUAUGUUUUUGGAUAAAAUCAUUUUGGUUAAAUUUUUUAAUUGGCCAUAUAUUUAGGGGGAGCAUAUAAUAUGAUUUUGGAUAAUAUGUAUUUUGAUUUUUUUUUAUUGUCCAAAGGGGGAGACAAAAUAAUAUAUCAUUUCAAUAUUGUCAAAAGGAGGACAAUAAUAUGCACUUUGAAUAUUCUUUUGAUGAUUUUGAUGAUAUGUGAUUAUGGUGAGUACUUGAUGAUUUUGAAAUAUGAUGAUGAUAAUUUAUGAGUAAUAUUACUAAAUUUGUAUUUGAGGUGAUGCUUGUUGUUAGGGGGAGAUUUUGUGGAAAUUUCUAUUCGGACAACAUGGGUAACAAAUUUCCUACUCUUAUUCUUUUCCUUUACGUUUUCUUUUUUAUGAUGAAGGGGGAGAAGAAUACAUGUUUUCAAAUCUAUAAAAAAAAAAAAAAAUUGCUACUUUUGUCUUUGCCAAUUAAGUUUUUCUUUUUGAUGAUGAGGGGGAGAAAAAUCCAUGUAUUUAAAUCAUUAAUUUAGCUAAUUGGCAAAUUGUAAAAGAAGAUUAUAUUUAGGGGGAGCAAUUUGUGGAAUCAUUCUUUAAAUACAUGAAAUGUUUGUCAUCAUCAAAAAGGGGGAGAUUGUUAACAUAUAUAUUUUCAUAAUAUUGAUUUUGAUGAUAACAAACAAGAUUAAGAAUGAUUAAUCUUUUAAGCCUAAAUUAUUUAAUAUUCUUUUUAAAUAAAAUCAUUUUUUUUACAUUAUAAAGGUUUUAUAUUUAAUGGAAAAAUGAUUUCAUGAAAUUGAUUGUUUUUAUUCCUUUUAAAUAAAUCAUUAUUUUCACAUUAUAAAUGUUUCAUAUUUAAUGGAAAAAUGAUUUUAUGAAAUUGGUUGUUUUUCAAAGUUUAUGGUUUAAUUGAAAGAAUUUUGAAAACUUUGAAAUAAACAAGUAUUGCUUGAAAUUUUGGUAAAGGACUUAUUUGAAAAGUGUCAUAGCAUCUUUGGCAAUAUCAUAAUUUCAGAAAGUUUUGGGAUAAACAAAGCAUUAUUUAGAAAUUCUAAAAUUGGACCUAUUUGUAAAGUUUCAUAACAUUUUGGACCGUAGUACAGUUUUAUAAAGUUUUGGGGUCAAACUGUAAAUUUUGGGAAAUAUUUUACUAUAGCAGUUACUGUAGCAAGCGGCUUACCGGAUACUGAUAAACGGCAAGCCGGAUACGGGGCAGUAAGCACCAGAACGAAAACGGCUUACCGGAUUCCUGAAUCCGGCAAACCGGUUAGGCAAAAUUUUGAAUUUUGCCUUAGCGAUAACAUAAAUCCGGCUUACUGGAUUCCAUAAAACGGCAAACCGGAUAGCCCAAAAUGUGAGUAACGGCUAGUUUUCGAGCUCAAGCUAUAAGAACUCAAAUCCAACUCAUUUUGAGUCUCUCCAACAAGCAAAAACAAAAAGCACACGUGAUAUCUUGAGCUUACAACUUGCAAAAUACAAAAUCAUUGAAUCAUUCAUUGUUCUUCAUCUUUGAAUAUCUACUCAUUGAGUGAGUUUCAUUGUAUCUUUCAUUUCUUCAAUUCAUUUGUAAGAGUUUGAGUGUGUGAGACACUUGAGUGAAGAGAUUGGGAGAUAAUCUCUUUGUUGUAAAGGUUUAUUGACACCUCGAAGUCAAUUUUAAUCGUUGAAGCCUUGGAAAGGCUUGGAUAGUGAAAUCCUCAAGCUUGGAUCGCUUGGAGAGGUGGACGUAGGCGGGGAUUGCCGAACCACGUAAAAAUUCGUGUGUUUGUUUCUCUUCUCCCUUACUCUUUAAUUAUUGUGCUAUUAUUGAACUUAUUAUUUUCAAUUGUUGUUAAGACAUUAGAUUGCUUGUUGUGUGGAUUUGCUUGGUUAAUUUUUAAAUUUCCAAUUCAUCCCCCUCUUGGGUUGCACACUUAUAUUUCAAUUUUAGCACUUAACUUUAACAAAUCUUUAUUAACCAUUCAAAUAUUAACUAGAUCCAUAUAAAUUUCAAAGGAAAUUUGGUCUUGCUCCCAAGUUCCUAUAAAAUAAAAUAAAAAAGCCAUACGGCUUAUGUCUGGGCUUUUUUUUUUUGCUAUGUUUCUGAAGGAGUGAAGGGGUAGAAAGAGAGAGAGAGAGAGAGAGGAGGAGGAGGAGGAGGAGGAGCUUGUGAAAAAAGCGAGUAAAAAAGUGUUAUAAAAAAGUUUGCUUAAAGAGACAGGAGUGACGACUUGUUGUAAUGCUGUUGCUGCAUGUCUGGGCUUAUAUUGCGUGUUGACUAUGAUAAGUAUAGAUAUAUUAAUUACUGUAUCACUAGGGAAUAAUUAAGAUAAAGAUUUCUAGCACUUUAAUAUUCAAGAUUAAAGAUGAUUAAGGCAAAAGAGGUUUAUGUGGUACUCUGUGAUUUGUUUAUCUGUCAAUUUAAAUAUGAAAUAUUUUGUUAAUAUUUUUAGUUAAGAAUUAUGGUAAUGAUUUAAUAUGCAGCUCACAAUUUUACAGUUUAAAUUAUAUAUCAAAAAAUAUAAUCAAAUUCAACAUAUAGGAAUGGAGGAGGAUGGAGGUGCAAGCCACACCAUUGGAAACAAGGCAGGUACAAGGCGAGCAUGGACAUAUGUCGAAGAAGAAGCACUGUUGGAAGCACUAGAUGCAGUGGUUGUAAGCGGUGGUCGUGCUGAUAAUGGAUUCAAAUCUGGUACAUUUAUACAUCUUGAAAAGGUAAUAAAUCAAAAGUUACCAAAUUGUGGUUUGAAGGCUUCUCCUCAUAUUGACUCCAAGAUUAGGAAAUGGAAGAAACAAUAUGGGUUGAUGUUUGAUAUGUUGAACACGAGCGGUUUUGGAUGGAAUGAUGUAAAAAAAUGUGUAGAGGUUGAUAGUGAUGAAGUUUGGAAUUCAUAUGUGCAAGUUAGAGAAAUUUUUAAAAGUUUUGAAUUUAUUUACUCUCAUUUGCGAGUUUUUGAAAUUUUCUUUUUGGAGAUUGAUAGUCAUUUAGCAAUUGUUAUGUCCAAGUUUAUUAAAUUUUUUACUAUUUAUUAUAUUGACCUUUAUUAUUUUUUAUUAUGUACUGUAUCUAACUACAUUUUGAUUAAAUAUUUGUAGUCUCAUAAUGCUGUAAGAAACUGGAGAGGCAAGCCAUUCCCACUUUAUAAAAGAUUGGCGAACAUAUUUGGAAAGGACCGUGCUGCUGGACAUGGAGCUCAAACUCCCGCUGACAUGGAAGACGAAGCAAAUCAAGAAGAAAUUCGCGAUGAUGAUAAUGAAAUGGAUGAUGGAUGUUCUUCAAUAUCGGCUACACCACCUUCAAGUUCUCAACACAUUGCUCGAGCUCACUCACAACCACCAAAUAGGAAGAGAUCUAGAUCAGAGGGUGACUUGCAGGCUGGCAUUGAUAAGAUUGUUAAUCUUAUCAGCCAAUCAUUUGAAAACAUGAAUACAAUAGCUCAACGCAUGUUCGAUAACAAAGAAGAUCGUUUUGACAUUUCUGAUGAACUUGCAACUAUGGGACUUUCUAUUGAAGAAGAACUUCUAGCCCUAGAGCUAAUUCUAAAAGAACCCCAUAAUAUUUCAGUUUUCAAGUCCUCGAGAGGUGAGCGUAAGGUAACAUUUGUUCAUAUGCUCUUGUAUAGAGCACAAGGUUGAUAUGUUGCUUAAAAUGGUUGUGAUGUUUUAAAGCCAAUAAUUUUUUGGUAUAGAAAAUAUGUCCGUACUAAACACAACCCCAUAUUUUGGUAUAGUUAUAGCAUGUGGGUGCAGGUGUGUACUUCACACAACCUGAUAUUUUGGUAUAGUAAUGUUGUAAUAUUGUAUUAUUAAUUUCAACAAAUUUUUGUAAACUUUUGAAUGAUUAUAUUAAGGUUGAAAAUUCCCCUAUGAAGGAAAAUCAUAUGCUUUAUUUGUGUAAUUUGAUUAGAAUUAUUAUUUUUGAUUAAUUUUCACAGGAAAUGUGUAAAAAAAUUAUGUGUCGAAAUUUUUUGAAACUUAUAGUUACAUAAAUCUCGAAACAAAUAUAAAAAUAUUAAAUUUGUAUAUGAGUAUUUUCUUUAUAUAUAUAUAUAUAUAUAUAUAUAUAUAUCCUUUUUAGCAUUAAAAAAUUAUUCCAUAUUCCAAGGAUUAUAAUACUUAAUAUAACAAGGUUAGUUAUUUACUUAAAUCAUUUACUUUUAACAAACAUUAAAACAAUCCAAUACAUGUUAUAUGCCAAACACAGGAUAAUUGAUAAUAAUACAAUACAGCUCAGCACCAAACCCUGUAUAAUUUAAACAACAGGUCAAUUUAAUACAUACCAUUCUAAAAUAAUACAGUCCAAUACAAUAUAAUACAGUCCAGUGCGGUGCACCAAACACACCCUUAGAACUAUUAAUAAGCUCCAGUGAGGAAUAAAGAAUUAGGCAGAAAAUUAUUCAAACUCUUUGUCUUGUGGUUGUUGUUCUCAUCCAAAGAAGAACAUUUUAAUUUUAUUGAUCGAUUGUAGCUAGCUACUGACUGGGACCGCAUCAAUCUUUCUUGCAAUUAAGCCUUUUGCGUAUCCAAUUGCUGUCAACUGUUUUUGAACGUGUAGAAGAAAACAACUUGAAGACUUGAGAGAGGGCCAGCGUUAAUUCAAAGUCAAGACCAACUUAUUAGCUUGCAGGACUCCUGAUGGUGAGAAAAAAGAGGGUUGACAGAUGCUGGGUAUAAGGUCUAUAAAACUUUAAUUAUUUCAUAAAAUUGUUUUAUUUUUUAUUCCUUAUCACGUUGGGGAUUGGCCCCCAAUGGCCCAUUUUAUUUUCAUGUUUAUGUAGGUCAGUAAUGUUAUUGGAAAUCAACUAUUGCCUCUUUUUUUCUCACUUAUUGAGGACUAUGGAGAAUUAAACAAAACUGACCUAAAAAAUAUAUAAUGAAUAUUUAUUAUCAGAUUUCAGACAAAAUUAAUUUUUGAACCGAUUGAAACUUCCAAAAACUCAAAUUUCGAAUUUGUUAUAUAAAUAUAAUCUACUUUAAGUAUCAUUAUCAAAUCCUCCUCUAUAGCACAUGAGCAAAUUUGCAACCUUUCUAGCUUAAAAUCUAGGUUUCAAAUCUUGGCAGCGGAGUUAAUUUUUGUUAUUUUUUAAGCCACAGUUAAUUUUUGUUAUAUAAUUUAGAUCAUAGAUAAUUUUAAAAAUAUAACGAGUAAUUGUGUAAUUCAAUCAAAUCUUAGAGACUAAAGGAAUAUUUACCAAAGAUUAAAAUAUAUAUAUAUAUAUUUUAAAGCUACAUUUUGUUUCAUCCAAAUGAAGCUACUCAAUCUAUAUUUUAUUCCAAUAAGACUAUGGCUUCAUUUCAUGUCUUAAUUAAAUUAUAUAAUGAUGAAAUAUUAUAUUCUGAACUUAACUGAAUCCAAUAUCAUUUCACCAAUCCGUCAUAUGAGAUGAAGGGAAAAAAAUCUGUUGAAAUUAAUUUUAAAUUAAAGUUGAGGAAUGGUGAUAUGAUACAUACACAUACAUGACUCUGAAUUUAUUAAAUUGAAGAUGUACUCAUCGUCUUGUCGAUGUGACCAAAUACUGGAAUGUGAUAAUGGUCUUUGGACUUUGGAGAAGACUUGAGAGGGCCCAGAGUAAUUAAAAGUCAAGAUUGGCAAUCUGAAAUUAAUCUCGGGCUUUAAGAUGCAGGACUCUCUUGCCGGUGGGAAAAGUUUCUGAAUUAAUAUAGGAGCUAAUACAUGCACUUUCCGAACUAAAGAAAACUGAGUUUAAGCGGCGAAUGGCUGUGCAUCUUUGUCUGGUGUUGUUGCAGAUUAUUGUUUUUCAUCUCAGGCCGAUCAAAGCCUCAGAAAGAUUCGCCUGUCCAACUGAAUGUGGAAAUGUCAGCAUCAGCUACCCCUUCGGAAUCGGAGAAGGGUGCUACUUUGACAAGGGUUACGAAGUUAUCUGCGAUCACUCUUCUGGCUCUCCCAAAUCUUUUCUUCCUGGCGUCAACAGGCUAGAAUUAUUGGAUACUCUUUCUUAUGAUUCAAGGCCCGCGGUUAGAGUCAACGUUCCUACAAUUUCUUUAAACAGCAGUAGUAAGCGAACAAGUAAUAUUCUUAAAGGCGUCAACUUAUCAGGUACCCCUUUCGCCUUUUCGUCUGACAAUAAAUUCGCUGCCAUAGGCUGCAACAUGAGAUAUCACCAAGGGAACGAUUCAUCUUUGUUUGAUGGGUGUCUGUCGAUUUGUACUUGUGAUCCUACACUCUACCCUGCUUGCUAUGAUUUCCUAUGCCCCCUUCCUCGAAAUAUUACUCAUCUUUUGAAUGUAAAUACAUCAUACUUGUUUUCUCAAAGUAUUCCUCAAAAAUGUCAGUCUGUUUUCCUGGUUGAUGAACAUUGGGUCAACAGCAAGUACCUUGAAGAUCCUCUUGACUUGGAAGAUCAACGAGAAGUUCCUGCAGUGUUGAAGUGGGGAGAAAAGAUAGGCAGUUGUUUUGAAGGGAAUAACUCAUAUUCUAUUUUUUGUAAUUCGGAUAAAAAAGGUUGUUUAACACAAUUAAGCUCAGGCCAUUUUUGUCUUUGCUCUUCUGGCUACGACCUAGAGAAAGGAUACUGCUCAGGUACAGAUUGGAUUAUGAGUUAAAGAGUAAUUUUAUUUUUUUCAAAGAAAAUAUCCGGACGACAAGAAGAAAAGGGAAAAUUCUUGGUGCUCCACGAGCAUUAUGAAUAGAUGCUAUUUCCGUAUAAAUAUUAGCAAUAAGGGUGAAUGAGAAACGGAAAAUGCUAUUGGAGCACCUAGACUUUACUAGCAAGAGUUAAAUGUCAAAUGAUGUAACAUUCCUCUGUUGGAUGGUAAGAUGAUCAGAAAAGUGUUGUAAAAUUUAUCAUCCAAUAGAUGAUUGAAAUUAUUGAUUUUUAAAAUAUCCAUCGGAUUACUUGCAAAUGAGUAAAGUCUUCCAAUUACUGUAACUGUCUAUGUAAACAGAAAAUUAAAGACAAAAAUGGUGGAGUUUUUUUUAGUUGUAGCCAUGAUUUAGUUUGAUCUUCUCUUUGAUUUAUUUAUUUUUAUUUAUUAUUUUCUGGGCAGGCGACUUGAUCUGUAAUAUCUCGAGCGGCUACAAUUGCUCCAAUUGUCCUGACGGUUAUAAUCGUCUCUCAUAUGGUUGCAUUAAAGUUUUCAACAAAUCUCGGGUUAAAUUCAUUGUUAUAGGUAUGCAUAUCGAUCCUUUAUUUUACAUCAUAACAAAUUAAUAAUGUUUUUUAACAUAUAUUUCAAAUGAAAAUACUAAGUGUUCAUUCGUUCAUUUGAUGAUAUCUUUCAUUAUUGUCCUCGAGAGCCGCAGGCUGCGGUGGUGGGCUUGCGUUAUUCUUUCUACUCAUUGGAAUAUGGUGGUUGUACAAGUUUGUAAAAAGAAGAAGGGAAAUCAAGUUUAAGCGUAAGUUCUUUAAAAAAAAUGGUGGUUUAUUAUUGCAACAAGAAUUGUCUUCCAAUGAAGGUAAUAUUGAGAAAAUGAAGUUAUUUACUUCAAAAGAUUUGGAGAAGGCCACCGACAACUACAAUGCCAAUCGAAUCCUUGGUCAAGGAGGCCAAGGCAUUGUAUACAAAGGAAUGUUAGCAGAUGGAGGAAUUGUGGCUGUAAAAAAAUCUAAAAUAUUGGAUGAGAGUAAUCUCGAGCAAUUCAUCAAUGAGGUAGUAAUUUUGUCUCAAAUUAAUCACAGAAAUGUUGUUAAGUUGUUGGGAUGUUGCUUGGAGACAGAAGUUCCUCUUUUGGUGUAUGAAUUUAUUCCAAAUGGAAGCCUCGAUCAAUACAUACACUACCAAUCUGAAGAGUUUCCAAUCACAUGGGAAAUGCGUUUACGCAUUGCUGUUGAAGUUUCAGGUGCUCUAUCUUAUCUGCAUUCAGCAGCAUCUAUUCCUAUUUAUCAUCGAGACAUCAAGUCUGCAAACAUACUUUUGGACGAUAAAUAUCAAGCUAAAGUUUCAGAUUUUGGGGCUUCUAGAUCUAUCACAAUUGAUCAAACUCACUUGACCACUCAAGUACAAGGAAGUUUUGGAUAUCUAGAUCCAGAAUACUUUCGGUCAAGUCAUUUUACUGAGAAAAGUGAUGUUUAUAGUUUUGGAGUAGUUCUUGUUGAGCUUCUAACUGGACAAAAACCUAUCCGUUUAACUGAAGCUGAAGAAGAUAAAAGUUUAGCAAGAUAUUUUAUCCAAGCAAUGAAAGAGAACUGUCUGUUUGAAGUCCUUGAUGAUCGAGUUCUCAAGGAAGCUGAGAAAGUAGAAAUUAUUACUGUUGCUACACUCGCAAAAAGAUGCUUGAACUUGAAUGGGAAGAAAAGACCUACGAUGAAAGAAGUGGCAUUUGAAUUACGGGGUAUAAGAGAAUCAAUUGGAACUUCCAUUUUGCAGCAAAAUUGUGAAAAGACUGAUUUUGUGGAUGGUGACAUUACUGGACAUGAUUUCGAAAGGGAUUCAUCUUCUAGUGGGUCAACUUUAAAUAGUGUCUCAGUUUCUGUGGAUGCCGACCCUUUAAUUUCAAACAAAUGGUGACAAAGAGAAGAAUGGCCUUGAAACUGUUUGUAUUUCAUAAAUAAGAUUGUUAAGACUUUUCCGAUAUUUUCAUUCUCUUGCAUCGUUACAGUUUCUUUGGGCACCAUCAUUUGUAAUUAAACACUUCCAAGUCAUUUCAAACAAAUUUUCCACUAUUUCAUUGAAUGCGCUGCAUCUUCUCUCCCCCCCCCCCCCCCCCCACACCAAAAAAAGGGGAGGCGGCGCAAAUGGAGGAGAUGAAGGAAAAAUCUGUUGAAAUUAAUUUCGUAGUUGAAGUUUAUAAAUGCAAGAUGAUAUGAUCUCUCAGUCUAUUAAAUACUGAUGUGCAAGAACUUUAGCACUAUGUGACCUAAUAUCUCAAGUAAAUAGGAGAGAACAACUUGAGCACUUAAGAGGGCCAACGUUAAAUAAACUCCAGAGUGGCAUGUUGUAAUUGUUGGCUUAUUGUUAUGCAGAACUUUCCCGGUAGUGAAAUAAAAUCGAGAGGAAGAUGGGAGGAAAUAAAGAUCAAUGCGCUUUCUUGUAUUUCAUGGGUUAAAAAUCUUUUUAUCUGAUUACAAACUGAUAGAUAAAAUACCCUUAUAUCAUUUGUGAUUGAAUCUCUUAGGUCAAAUAUAUAAAGUUAGAACAAUCCUCAACUCAUUAGUUAGAUUUUGAGUAUGGCUUAAACCCAUGAACUUUUAUAUUUUACUAGAGAUACUCACCCACGAUUAUGCCCGCACUACCUCCCACAGUACCUUACCACUAGACGCCCUUCACAUGGAGGCUUGGGUACCACUUGAAAAGUCAUUUGAAAGAAAAGUCUGUUUAAAAUUACGUUCCAAUUCUGUAUUUUCAACUCUCCAAGUUAUAAAUUGAUAUUCAACUCUUAUGUUAUAAAAAAAGUAAUGCUAGAGCAUUCCAACUUGAGUACCAAUGGAUGUGGCAUUCAUUCAGUGGAUUGUAGAAUAUUUAUUUUAUCAGCUAUAAAAUUUAUUAUUCAAUAGAUAAUGAUAUAUGAUAGUUGGGACUCAAAUUGGGACUUAAUUGGUGGGACACAAUCAUGAUUGGUUAAAAAAGAUAUACAGAGAUAACCAUCGUAAGAGGUAAAUCAAAAACUCUUUCUUUCUCUCUGCUAAGACCCUUUCUGCCACCAGCUGAAAUUCAAACACUAGUUUUGAUCCAUCAACGUGCCUGAAUUACACAGCCACCACAUUUUCAAACAUCUAAACUCUCAAAUCUAUUUUUCAACUCCGUUUUUCCAACCACUGCAGUCUCGAACCAACCGGAACUCCACGCUGCUACUUGUAGCUGCCACGUCGCCAAUUUCCCAUCACCACAGCACAAAAAUAAAAUAAAAUAAAAAAUAUAUAUAUAUACACGGAGGAGAGAACAACUUGUAGACUUGAGAGGGCCAGGGUUAAUUAAAAGUCAAGUUGACUUGCAGGACUUUCAUUGUAUUGGGAUAAAAGCUAAAAGGAACCUAGAAGGAAUUUAAUUAAAGAUCAACGCAUGCAAUUGCUCUGUUAAAUCUUCAUUCUUCCAAGUAAAAAUAUUGAGAAUGGUUGUUCAUCAUUAUCUGGUGUUGCUGCAAUUGAUGAUUUUGCUAGUAUGGCCAAUCAAAGCAUCAAAAGAUUUAUGCCAAUAUGAUUGUGGCAAUGUCACUAUCAGUUACCCCUUCGGAAUCGGAGACGGUUGCUACUUUGAUAACAGUUUUGAAGUAUUCUGCGAUUACUCCUCUGGCUCCCCAAAAGCUUUUCUUGCGAGCAUCAACAACCUGCAAGUAUUGGACAGUCAUGUUUAUACUGUUUAUGAUUCAUCUACUUCUUUUUAUGUAUACAUGAUUAGGGUAUACAUUCCUGUAAUUUCUUUGAAGAUCAGUAACCUGACAAGCAGUGAUAAAGGGGUCAGUCUAUCAGGUAGCCCUUUUACAUUUUCCCGGUCGCGCAAUAGAUUCACUGCCAUAGGUUGCAACAACUAUUCUACGAUUAUUAAGCGACAGAAUGAUUCAUCCGUUUUUGGUGGGUGCCUUUCGAUUAUCACUUGUGAUCCUGCUCUUAACCCUGGUUGCUACGAUUUCCUAUGCGCCUUUCCUCAAAAUAUUACUGAGGUUUUCAAUGCACAAAUAUCUAAUUUUUAUUCUAAAAGUAUUCCUCUGGAAUGUCACUCUGUUUCCAUUGUUGAAGAUUAUUGGAUCACCUCCGGGUACCUGAAGAAUCCUCACGUUUUGAAAGAUCAUGAACAAGUUCCUGCACUGUUGGAGUGGCUUGAGUAUAAAGGAUAUUGUUAUGAAGAAUAUAAUUCGAAAACUACUUGUAACAAGGACAAUAGAUGUUUAAUACAAUUAAGCUCAGGCUACCUUUGCAUUUGCUUUAGGGAAACAAGCUUUGACCGACACCACCAUGGAUAUUGCUCAGGUACAAUUUCGAAUACUAAUUAAAUUAAUUUCAUAUAUGAAGUGUAUACUACAUUUCCUUGAACCAACUACGUAUCUAACACAAAAUUAGUGAAAGUAAUUGCAGAAUUCGCAUAUGUAAAAAAGGAAAGAUUUAUAUAUAGCCAUAAUUUAUUUUGAUAUUCUAUUUCAUCUUUUGGGUUUGUUUAGGUUUCUUGUUCUAUAAUAUCACAAGCCCCUACAAUUACUCCUCAGGAUGUCCCAAAGGUUACUUUUCAGAUCCCAACUCAAGUAUCUGCGCCCAAAAUCGUAGGACAAGUUCAUAUGAACUUCUUCAAAUUAUGCACAAAAAUUCUCAUGUCAAAUUCAUUAUUAUAGGUAUGUAUUGGAAUUUGCAGAUUUUGUCGACAGAAUUAACUGAUUUUUAAUUACCGUAUAUAUAUGGGCUCACAAACGCAAAAACGUUCUGCACCUGAAAUUUGCAAUAGCAUAUACAUUUAUGAUCUCCUACUCUUAACAGACUAAACAGUUCCUUGCCAUAAAUCGCCGAACGCGUAUUAAAUAUUCUUGUCCUGGAGCGUUGCAGGUUGCAAUAGUGGGCUUGGAAUGUUGUUCCUACUAAUCGGAAUAUGGUGGUUGUGCAAGUUCGUUAAAAGAAGAAGAGAAACCAAGCUCAAACAGAAGUUCUUUAAAAGAAAUGGUGGUUUAUUAUUGCAACAACAAUCGUCAUCAAAUGAAGGUAAUACCGAGAAAACAAAAUUGUUUACUUCAAUGGAAUUGGAAAUGGCUACUGACAACUUCAAUACCAAUCGAAUCCUUGGUCAAGGAGGCCAAGGCACAGUGUACAAGGGAAUGUUGACAGAUGGAAGAAUUGCGGCUGUGAAAAAAUCCAAAUUAGUGGAUGAGAGUAAUAUUGAGCAAUUCAUCAAUGAGGUGGUAAUUUUAACUCAAAUUAACCACAGAAAUGUUGUUAAAUUGUUCGGGUGCUGCUUGGAGACAGAGGUUCCUCUUUUGGUGUAUGAAUUUAUUCCAAAUGGAACUCUCUAUCAAUAUAUACAUGACCAAACUGAGGAGUUCUCAAUCACAUGGGAAAUGCGUUUACGCAUUGCUGUAGAAGUUUCAAGUGCUCUAUCCUAUUUGCAUUCAACUACUUCUAUUCCAAUUUAUCAUCGAGACAUCAAGUCUGCAAAUAUACUUUUGGAUGAUAAAUUUCGAGCAAAAGUUUCGGACUUUGGGGCUUCUAGAUCCGUCACGAUUGAUCAAACUCACUUGACCACACGAGUACAAGGAACUUUUGGAUAUCUAGAUCCAGAGUACUUUGGGUCAAGUCAAUUUACAGAGAAAAGUGAUGUUUAUAGUUUUGGAGUUGUCCUUGUUGAGCUUUUAACUGGACAAAAACCUAUCCUUUCAACCGACACGGAAGAAGAUAAAAGUUUAGCAGGGGUUAUUUUCUCUCCGAGAGCAAAUGAAAAGAGAGAAACCAUUUUGUUUUGAUGUGUGCUUGAUGGCUCUCAAAGUUCUUUAAGAAAGCCCAAGGAAGGAAAGAGAAUUAUUUACCGUGGUUAUGGCUUGCAAAAAGGAUGCUUGAACUUUGAAGGGGAGGAAGAAGACUUCCUAGGAAAGAAGUACCAUUUGGAAUUUAGGGGGGAUUAGAGCUCAAAGUGUGAAGACAUUCAUCUUGUGGAUGCCAAUUUGAAACUGUCAUCUCCAACUGAGAGCCAUUUUAAAUGCUGUUGCUUUUUCUGUAGAUGCUAAUCCUUUGCUUUCAAACAAGUGGUGAUUAAAGGGAAGAAUUUUCCUUUAAAAUCUAAGUAUUUCAUUUCAUAAAUAAAUUAAGCUGUGGAUUUUUGCAUUAUGCUUCUCUUAUGGUUAAAAUUUUUCAUCUCUAGAAUAAAAUAUACAGAGUUUGAUGUUCGGUUUGUAAGCGGAGAAAUAAAUUUAUAAGGUAGAUUCCAACAAAGCAUCUGUGGCAAACAUAUUUAAAUAUCUAAGAAGCAAGCUUCUAAUGCUACCAAUAUUUAGGGGCCCUGUGCUUGAAGAAACAGAACUUUGAAGCUGACAGAGUGAGGCAUCUCAGCAUCUGAAUCUGCAUACAAGUGGAACAGGAGAUGCCGACAUGACAUCCUACGUGGAACUUAUGUGACACAUACAAUGAAUCCAGUUCGUUCCUAAUUCAUACGCUUACAUUGUAACCCCGUUCUGUGUGUUUCGAGUACCAUUGGCGAACCAUCACUUCGUGCCUUUGUAUUGCUAAUAGUACCUUUGCCUUGAUUGAUUUUGCUGACAAUAUAUAGGUUGUGUUUGGAAGUGAAGUACUAUAACUUUUAUGUUACGUUUACUUCCUGGAUUAGGGAAUCGGAAUCAUUAACAACGUUUAUCUCGCAAAAUAGAUUUAGGAAUCAAAAUCGGAAUCGGAAUCGUGGGACCCACCACAAUUUGGGAAUGAGCAAUGGGAGACUCAUUCCUAGGGGGAGGUGGGAAUGAGUCUCCCAUUUUCGGGAGUGACUGUUUUACCCUCCCCCAAAAUUAAAAAUGUUCAUAUUGUCCUCAUUUAUAAUUAAUUAAUAUAUUAUUAUAAUUAAUAAAUAAAUAAAUAUAUUGUUAACAAUAAUUAUUAAUAAUUUUAGUAUUUAAUAAAUAAUCACAAUAAUUAAUAUAUUAAUAUUAUUAAUUAAUUAUUAUAAUUAUUACUAUUAAUUAAUAUAUUAAUAUAUUAUUAACAAUAAUUAUUAAUAAUUUUAAUUUUUGAUAAAUAAUCACAAUAAUUAAUAUACUUUUAUUAUAAUUAAUUAGUAUACUAUUAUAAUAAUUACUAAUAUAAUUAUUUUAAUUAAUUCAUAUAUAUUAUUAAUUAAUUUAUAUAACUAUUACUAUUAAUUAAUAUGUUAGUAUAUUAUUAACAAUGAUAUAUUAAUAAUUAUAGUUUUGAAUAAAUAAUUACAAUAAUUAAUAUAUUUUUAUAAUAAUAGUUAAUAUAAUUAGUUAAAAAAAUUUACAAUUAAUUAAUAUAUUAAUAUAUUCUUGACAAUAAUUAAUAAUAAUAAUAAUUUUUUAAUAAAUAAUCACUAUAAAAUAAUAAUUAUGACAAUAAUUUGUUAAGUACUUUUUAGUAAUUUGUUACAAUUUAACUCAUUCUGAUUCCAAUUCCAAGAUAAAAUAAACACAUCAGUGGGAUUCUAGCUCAUCCUUAUUCUGAUUCAUGUAGGUCAACUAAACAAUUUAUUCUAAUUCUUUUUCCUCAUUCCGAUUCCAGCCCAUUCCAAUUACUAACAAGUAAACGCAGCAUUAAGAUGCAGAUGCUGUGGAGUAAAAGUCAUAGUUGUGGGAUAAAAGCUGCUAGUGUUUAGCAAAUUUUAAUAGUUGUAGAGUAGAAGCUAAUGGUGUUUGGUAAAUUUUAAUAGUUGUAUAGUGAAAGUUGAUGAAUAUUUGUAAUAAUUAAUUUUAAAUAAAAUUAUUUUUAAUUAUUAAUUAGUCAAAUUAUUUUUCAUAUUUUGAAUUAUCAUAUUAACUUAUGAUUAUGUUUAUUACUUUGACAAAUCAAAUUAAUAGUUAAUUAAUCAAAGUUAUUUUUCUUCACAAGCUGUAAUAAAUAUUUUUUAAAACAAAAUAAUUUAAAAAUUGAAAAUAAAUAAAUUCUAAUUUUACACAUUGAUUGUAGAAAUAAAUUAUACCAAAUGUGUCUAAUAAAGAUCAUACAACAUAACAUUAUCUACACAACUUAAAAGUGACUUUUAACCCACAAGUAUAAAAGUGUCUUGUUGUAUUAUAGCUCGGUGAGUCCAAGGUCGAUUCACAGAGAAAAUAUUUAAUUUGUUUAUUUUAUUUUAUCUAAAAAUGGAAAUAAAAUUUAAAUAUAAACAACUUAAUUUAAAUCAAAUUAUGAAAUUGAAUUAGUUAGGGUUAUGGAUCCACUCUUAGUAGUAAAUAAAAUUUAAUAAAUUCUUUUUACUAUUUUUUUAGAUUUAUUACCCAAAAGAUUAAUUAUGUAAAUUAUUAUUAUUUUCCUAUUAAUUUUAUUAUGGAUUAAGUAUUUAAUGUGCCAAAAUUUAAUUUUUCCACAAUAAAUCAAAAUACCAUUUUAUCAUACCUUAUAUUAAGAUAUUAAGAAUUUAUUGUGCCAAACUCUCUUGUUUGUCUACAAUAAAUCAAAAUUUCAAAAUAUAAAAUAUGUAUAAAAUUAAAUAGAAAAUAAUUUAAUUUAUAAAAUUAAAAAUAAAUUUUGAUUAAAUCAUAUUUAUUUCCUAAGAGUUUCACCUUACCCUAACUAUUAUUAUUUAGUUAAGAUAAUUGAAAUAAAAGUAAUUACUAAAAUUAAAUUAAACAUAAUUAAAAUGAAUAAAAAAACUAAAAUUAAAAAUAAAACUAAAUUUAAUUAUAAAAAUAAUUAAGCAAAAUAUUAAAAACACACCUGAAAAACAAGAUUACAGGGAGAUUGAGAGAAAUUGAGAAGACGAGAUGAUAAAAAACAUAAAAAGUGAGGCUCUAUUUAUAGAAAAAUAAAUUCAUGAUCCAGUGUCUUGCAGUCCAUCAUAAGCUUUAUGCAUGCGCUCUUCACAACCAUUAGAUCAAAGAUCCAACGGCUGCUCAAACUUCAAAAGUCAACAUCACACACAGCAUCAUGUGAAACGUCCGAUUCGGUCAAAGAACGGUUGAGAUUUGGCGGGUUAAUGGGUGGAUCAGAUUGACUCGAAUACAAAGGUUCGAAUCCUACAACUUACUUCACCAACCAUUGCCACGUGGCACAAUUGCGGCCAUUGAAUCAUGAACGGUUGAGAUUUAGUUAAAAUUGCAAGUUAUGCCAUGCACUCAUAUAUAUUGUAAGCUCACUUUAUCAUACAAUCAGUGCUCGGUCAACCGAAAACGUCAACCUUCUUUUACAAAAGCUCAAUUUUAAGCCGAUGUGGACUCAUCUUAAGGUUUUCAAACCUCCGGAAUCCAUAUUUGACAUCCGUUUAUCUGUUUGGAGCCUCGAACUAUGUGAAAUUAAUAUUUUACGUAAUAAACACACAAAAAUAUACAAAAUUAAAUAUAAUUAAGACAUAAUUAAUAAUUCCUAAUAUAUUGGAUAAACACAAAUAUAAAUGAUAAUAUAAUCACAAAAUAACAUUUUUAUCGCUUGAUAAUUAAACAAUUUUUAAUACCAAUCAAUUAUAAAAUUAAAAUGUAACUAAUUUCAAAAUUCUUAUAAACAUUUCCAUUGUCAUGCCUCCAUUAAACUUGCAACAAUGCCAUCUCUCAAGAUUAUUAUAUUUUGAGCUAUGUUAUCAAUUGUAUUAUAACUUUCUUUAGGAGACGCAAUCUUGCUUAUAUGUUCGUUAUUACUAUGACUUGGUUCAUCCAUUGUUUCAUCAAAAUGAUCAUGAUUUUGUGAAUAUCUUCUUAUGUAAUUAUGUAAGGCCAUGGUAGUAAUAACACUCGCUUCUUGAAUGUAUAGCUUGGCAUAUUUCGUAAAAUCUUCCACGUGUUAUUUCAAACCCCAAAAGUACCCAUUAGAGUUAGCAGUACUCUAAACACUAAGAGAUUCAGAUGCCUCAUUACUCUCUAAAGGAAAACCAAAUGAGGGAAGUCAAACAUGCUCACUCAUAACCACUGUGUUUGAACAUUAAAUUUAGGUUUUUCUCUAACUUUGGAUCAAUAACAUUUUUUCGAAAUCUACUCAAUUGCAAAUUUUCCUUUAUUUUCUUUUCCCACCAGUCUUCACUUGCAUCAACUAUCCAGGGGCAAAGCUAUGAGGGGGCUAACCCGGGCUGUAGCCUGGGUUAGUUUCUUGAAAAAAAAAAUAGUUAAUUAUAAAUUUAUUUAAAAAAAACUUAUAGUAAAAUAUAAAAUAUAACGAAUAAUUAUUGUCAAUAUCUAUUUUCUCUAAAUCGAAAAACUCACCUUCCCUGACUAAUUGAUCUAAUUAUCCAAAAUCUAAAUUCCCAAAGACUCAACUGUUCAAGUCAUUAACUUGCUGCUUUAUGAGUGACAGCCAGCCUCUACCGCACCCGCAUAAUCAUAUUGUCUUUGAAUUAGUUAUUAGCUUAUACUUUUGUCAAAUUUUUUGAUAAAAUAAUUAAUAAUUCUCUAAUAUAUUAUUAUCGCAGACAAUAUCAAUUCAGAUACGAUAAUACAUGAGUUUUCUUUUUUGAAGAAUCAGAAGACAAAACUUCUUUGAUAGUGUUUUUGAUUUACAUUGCACCUUUACAGUUUUAUUAUUAGUUUUUUGCUUGUCUAGUGUAUUUUAAUAAUUUCAUUUGUAUAGAAUAAAUUUUUUGAGAAGUAAAAUUGAAUUAAAAAAAAAAUCUAGCCCACCCCAAAAUAUAUUGCUAGCUUCGCCACUGCAACGAUCCAUAACCUAUGAUUCCACCCUAGACUAGCUUCCUAGCUAAUCAAAUUCUUCCACAGUUUCCAAUUAGUUCUAAUAGAAUCCCAUUUUUUUUUCAUCUGAAUUCUAUUGUAAUCCAAUCCAGUUUCUUUAGUGGAUUCCUUAAUUAAAUUUUCAUAUCCUUCGGAAGUCACAUGAGUCCUAGGACGAUGUUCGGCAUCCACUGCCUUAAUACAUAACUCACAAAAUACAUUUGAAGUCUGGGAGUUCCAGGUCGCCUUACUAGUUGAGCUAUUAGACAUAAUUGCGUACACUUAAACCUAGAAAAUAGAAUAAUAUUUUGUCAUCAAACAACAAUAUAGGAAAGAGAUUAAUUAAGAGCAAUACCCAAUUUUCUUUUUAAAACAAAUAACAUUAAUUAAGGAUGAAUUAUGUCUAGCAACAAGGAUGAUUUAUGCCUUACAUUACAUAUCCUGUUUCAAAAUGAGUUGUUAGUUUAAUAAACCUGGGGUUUCCUCUAAUUAAAUACCAUGUUUCGAAGAAAUUAAAAUAUUUUUUCUCAAUAGUUUAAUUUUUUGUAGUUACCUUUAAGUGAAUCCUUUAAAAUUUAUGAGAAGCUGAAAUGAUUUGUUCAAAAACAUGUAUUGUUGGAAUAUAUAGGAAUUGGUUACUUGUUUGUUGCUGCCUUUAAUGAUUUUUAUUACGGAAAUUUCAUCAAACAAGGAUUGUGCAUGUCUAUAAAAAGCAACUAAAAAAAAUUAAAAAUGCAAUAAAAAUAGUGACUUCAAAGCAAAUAAAUCACACGUGACCAAUCACCUAUUAAUUUAUUCUAAGUAAAAGCUCCAGUACAUUCUGAACAAAAAGGAAGAAAAUGAAAAAUUACAUGUAACAAAGUAAAGGAAAACUCAAAAAAUGAACAACGGGUAAAGGAAAAUGCACAUUACUUAGAUAUUUUAAAAACAAAGAUAGAACAUAUUUGUAUGAAAAUGACUGGUGUCAGAAUCGUGUCAAUGAGAAUUACCGAUGUUGCAUCGAUGAGAACUGUCGAUAUUGGAAUCAUGCUAAUAAGAACAAUGUUUAGAGUUUGUUUUAUGGAAAAAUCAAUUUGAGUUUAAGUUUAAAAAUGAGGAGGAUAAAAUCGAAAUUAAAUAAUAUGUAAGGGUAAUUUAGUAAUUUAAUAUAUAGCUAAGAAAAAUUUUUGCUUACCUGCUAAAGCCCGACUCCAAAGUGUUACUACUGAAAAUGAGGGGAUGAUAUAUGGAAAAAAGAAGCUUCAUUUUAAAUUAAUGCACAAAAACAAUUUAAAGAUUUAAGAGAUCUAAUUUGUCGUUUCAUUUCACUAAAAUGUAUUGAUAGAUAAAAUUAGCCAUUAGGUGUGUCUUAUCCUAAAAUUAAUCUUUCACGAAGUCCUUAGAAACAAUAAAAUACUAUUACAUAGCCCGGAAAGCGUUUGUAUUAAGUUAUAGAAUUAGGUGUCUCUUACACAUAUGUCUUCCCUGAAUAAAAGCGUUCGUAUUAAGUUAUGAAAUGGUGGAUUAUUAUGCCAAACAAACGGCUAUUUCCCUUUCAAAAUUAUUAAGUUAUGAAAUGGUGGAUUAUUAUACCAAACAAACGGCUCUAUCCCUUUCAAAAUUAUUGGACGUAUUUUUCAAGGAAACCUCCUCUAUCUUUCUUCCAAUUAAUGUCCAGUUAAGACUUCCGUGGGUCCAAUUAAUGUCAAUCGUUUUUGAAUGUGUACAGGAUAACAACUUGAAGACUUGAGAGGGCCAGCGUUAAUUCAAAGUCAAGACUAGGCUAUUACCCUGCAGGAUUCUUGAUAGUGAGGUGAAAAAAAAAAGGGUUGAAAGAGAUUAGGAUUUAACGCUGAGUUUAGUUUUUAUUGACCACUAAGUUAAUUAUUAAAAUUUAUUUUGUGCUUUUUCUUUCAUUUAUCUUACAUAACAAUUAUUUAUUGAGAUUCUUGUCCAAUUGAAAGAUAUUAGAUAAAAGGUUAUUAAAACUUUAGUUAUUUUUGUGUAUAAAACAAAAACUUUGGAUUAUUUAGUUUCAAAAGAAAAAAAAUCGAGACUUUGAGUUGCUUUGGAACAAAUUAUAUUUGAAAUUGAAAAGAAGAAGAAAAAAACCAUACAACGAGAAAGAGAAAAUAUAAAUGGGGUUAAUUCUAAUAAUAUGUCCUUAAAUAUAAUUGUAUAUAAUAGGGGUUUUAUAAGAUUAAUGAAGAGGUGAUCCAACAUUUUCACAAUUUGUUUUCAAUUUUUAUUCAUCACCCCGAUGCCCCAAUUUAUUUUCGUUAUUAUGUAGGUGUGGUGUUACUAGAAAUCAAAUGCUGCCUUUUUUUUCUUUUUUCUUUUUUCUUUUCUUUUCCUCUCCUCUCCUCACUUAUAGUGGAAUAUGGAGAAUUAAACAAAACCAAUUCCCAAUCAACGUUAACAUACGUUAUAUAAUAUAUUACACAUUACAAUUAUUUGUAUUUGAACCAGACUCGAAACAAAAAUUGGGUAGCCGCUUGCUGGAUUUUGUAUGGAACUUAGAGGAGAAACUUGGUAAUGAAGUGUGUGGAGGUGCGGAGACAACAGUCAGUAGGCGGUAGCAGCAGAUCUGGUCGUGGUCCUCACAGAGCAGUAGAUCAGCUGGCGGUUGGCGUUGGCGGUGAUUGUGGCGAGCGUGUGUUGGUUGCGGCUGUGUGUGUGUGUGUGUGUGUGUUUCUACUUGUGUUGAGUGUUGACUUGAGGGUGGGGAAGUGACCCAUGAGGCGUGAAGGAGGGGAGUAGAGGCUGGAGUGCGCUGUGUGGUCUCUCGUUGAGGUUUGAGGGGGAGGUAGUGAGGCGUGAGGGAGGGGAAUGAGGCUGCUGGGUACGGCUGGGUGCGCUGAGUGUGUGGUCUACUAGUUUUAUGCCUCUAUCUCUACUCGUUUUGUGCCUCCAUCUCCGUGAUGUGUGUCGUAUACGUGUGUGGUGUGUGAGGCUAUGUAGUGUGUGGUCUGUGCUCUGCAGCGUCACUAGUGCUUGAGUGCUUGUUGUUGGAUGCAUGUGUGUUGUAUCAGUGUGGGUUGUUCACUUUCUUCUUUAAGCCAACCCAUUCAGGUUAUCGAAUUGGAUCAGAUUUCACCCGAUCCGAUCGGGUUGGCAACAUUUGAUCCGAUCGGAUAUUAUGGUCAAUCCGAUCCGAUCUGAACCUAAUUUUUUUCGGAUCGAAUCGGGUUGGAUUGGUUAUUUUGCCCACCCCUACUGCCCACUGUCCCCCCUUGCCUCCUCACCAUACAAAUAACAAUUGAAAAUUAGGCCAAUUAAAUUAAAGGCAAGACGGGAUGGAAAUAUGGAAUCGUUAAUUAUUAUACCCAUGACCCCUCUAAUUAAUGGUUAUUUCCCUUUUGAUAUUAUUGUACGUGUUUGAAAGGAAACCUCAUCUAUCUUCCUUCCAAUUAAGACUAUUGUAUGUCCAAUUAAUGUAAAUUGUUUUUGAACGUGUAGAGGAUAACAUGACAAUGCGGAGACAUUUAAAGUUGAUUGAUAGAAGGAAAAAAUUUCCUAAAUAAUGAAGUUAAUUGAAAAAAUUUUAAAUUAACAAAACUAGAGUUUUAGAUCUUUUUAUAUAAUAACUUUAACUAUAAUAAAAUUCUCCUAAUCUGAAUAAAAAAUCCAAAACAAACAGUGCUCAAAUAUGUUAUUUAGGAAAAAAAAGAUAAAACUUUUAGAAGAAAUAAGAAAAAAUGGACGAAUAUCUUAAAAACGAAAAAUGACAAGGAAAGAAACAAAUUUCUAGGCUCAAGUAAGGCCCAAAAUGGCAUAAGCUUUAUAAGCUUGAUUUGUCUUCUCGUAAACUUUAAAACGAUAUAUUAUACACUCAAAACGGAUACAUAUGGCCUAAAUUACGCCCUUUGGAAAGUACCCUUCUCAUCCCACACGCCCAUCAUACAUUAGUCCCUCUCACUUGGAAAAGAACUCGCCAUCGAGUUUGACUCGUACAACGCCUCAUCAUCUAAAUGAUAUUUAAACAGAUCAACCAUAUUGAAUGUGUAAGAGAUCUUCUAGUUGUCCGGUAGUUGGAGAACAUAAGAAUUAUUAUUAAUCUUCCUUGCCACACGAAAUGGUCCAUACUUGAUGUGGACUUGCAUCACUUUCCCGUGUCGAUGCCUGUUCGCAUCGACCUUGUACAUAGCAUUUGCAACCUCCAAAUGAGCUCGUACCUUGGCAUGAAUCUGUAGAGCCCUUUCUUUUCUACCACAUUAUUCACUAUUUUUUAUACGAACCCCAUCAAGAACUAACACGACCCUAAUCAAUUUAGUUCCUAAGAUCGAAUCUAAACCAGGAAUUGAAUGGAACCCCGACCCAAUGCUUAAUGAAAGCACGAACCUUGGUAUGUGAAGACGCCACAAUCAGCUAUGGAUGGUCUGAUUGAUAAGUCAAGAGUUUGAACGUCACGGAAAUUCAAUAAGUUCAAAGAGUUUGUAAAGAACCAAAGAGAAUUAACUCUCUCACCAAUUGCAUCAAAAUUUAUCUCUGCUUAUUGGAUACGAAUACAUUAUAUGGGGCUGGUUACAAGAAUUUUUGGAAAUAAAUCCUAAGCCAAAAAUCAAAUCUGAAUAUGAAUAUAAACAAAUAGGAAAGAAUAUAAAUCAAAUUAGAAUCCUAAUCUAAGUAAAUAGGAAAGAAUAUAAAUCAAAUCAGGAUCCUAAUUGGCUUAAAUGUCUUACAUCAAUUAAAAUGGAAACUAGGCGAUUAAAAUAGAAAUAAUUGAUUUGUUUCCUUAAUAGCCUCCUCAAGAAACGAGAAAGUAUCUGAAAAAAAGAAAAAUAAUAUAUUUUCCCGCCAUAAUGUGCAAGCCAACUCCUUAUUUCAUGGAAAUAAUUAUUUGGAAACUUCAAGAGCCUAAAUCAUCCAUUUAUCACGAUUCCUUCAACGGGCCUCCACGAAUUUGAUUGAGCCCAAGUUGCUUGAAUCAAUCCAUUACGCGCUUCUUUGAAUUUCUUUGCUCGAUCUCUUGUAACAGGUCCGACGGGAACUUGAGUAGGAUCUGAAUAUGCCUCAUCCCAUGUGUUUGUGAUAGUUUUAUCCUUAAUCUCAUCAUUCCCCUCCUUUUGAAGAGGAUUUGUCCUCAAAUCAUCACCUACAUCAAAAGAACUCAAAUUAGAAACAUGAAAAGUAGCACUUACAUUGUACUCACCAGGAAAAUCCAGUUUCUAGGCAUUGUUAUUGAUCCGUUCCAAAACUUGGAAUGGGCCAUCCCCUCGAGGUAAUAACUUAGAUUUCCUUUGUUUAAGAAAUCGUUCCUUGUGCAUGUGUAACCACACCUAAUCGUCGGGUUCAAAGACUAGCUUAUGUCGCCCUUUGUUAGCUUGUUUAGCAUAUUGCUCAAUUAUCCUCUCAAUGUUGAACUUCGCCUUUUCAUGUAUCUGUUUAACAAUUUCAGCCUUUUUCUUGCCAUCUAAGUUAACACGAUAAAAAAUAGGUAAUGGAGUUAAAUCCAAUGGGGUUAAAGGAUUAAAACCAUAAACAAUUUCAAAUGGUGAAUACUUAGUAGAAGAAUGAACAGAACGAUUAUAAGCAAACUCAACCUGUGGUAAACAAUAUUCCCAAGUUUUGAUGUUCUUUUUAAUGAUAGCUCACAACAAAGUAGAUAAAGUUCUAUUCACAACUUCUGUUUGACCAUCAGUUUGUGGGUGAAAACAACAACUAAGUUCCUAACUUAGCCCAUAAUAUUUUCCAAAAGUAACUUAAAAACUUAACAUCCAUAUCAGAAAAAUUGUCCUGAGCAUACCAUGCAACCUUACAAUCUCCCUAAAGAAUAGGUCAGUGACAUUAUAAGCAUCAUCCGUUUUGUGACAUGGAAUAAAAUGUGCCAUAUUUGAAAAUUUAUUUACAACCACAAAAAUUGAGUCUUUCCCUUGUUUAGACCUAGGUAAACCUAGUACAAAAUCCAUCGAAACAUCAGUCCAAGGUGCACUAGGUAUUGGAAAAGGGGUGUAUAAGCCAUAAGGUUGCACUUUCGAUUUGGCUUGCCUAUAAGUGACACAUUUACUACAAAGUCUUUCAACAUCUCGUUUCAUAUGUGGCCAAUAGAAGUGUUCCUGUCAAACUGCUAGUCUUUACAACUCCAAAAUGCCUUAUUAACCCUCCUCCAUGGGAUUCUCUCACUAACAAAUCUCUCAAAGAACGGUUAGGCACACAUAAUUUAUUCUCCUGAAAUAAAUAGUCAUCAUGCCUAAAGUAUUUACUGACUGUGGUCUUUUCACAAGCUUGGUAUUCAACAUUAAAAUCAUGGUCAUCAGCAUACAAUUCCUUAAUAUGUUCAAAACUAAGUAGUUUAGCAUUAAGUGUUGAUAUUAAGACAUACCUGCGGGAAAGCGCAUAUGCAACAAUAUUUUUUUACCUUACUUGUAACGAAUGACAUAUGGAAAUGUCUCUAUGAAUUUUACCCAUCGAACAUGCCUCUUGUUCAGCUUGUGUUGGCCUUUAAGGUGUUUUGAGGACUUAUGAUCGGUGUGAAUCAUGAACUCCUUAGGCUAUAGGUAGUGUUGCGACAUUUCUAACGCUCGAACCAGCACAUACAACUCCUUAUCAUAAGUAGGGUAGUUUAAGUUUGCCCCACUCAGGUUUUCACUAACGUAAGCAAUUGGUCGUCCCUCCUACAUUAGGACUGCACCAAUACCAAUCCUGAGGCAUCGCAUUCAAUUUCAAAUGUUUUAUUAAAGUUAGGCAAAGAGAAUAAUGGAGCAUUUGUCAGCUUUUGCUUGAUCAUUUGAAAUGUCUCCUCUUGUGCUUCUCCCCACUUGAAUCCAACAUUUUGUUUUAUUACUUUAGUAAGCAGUGCGGCUAGUGUGCUAAAGUCUUUCAUAAAUCAUUGGUAGAAACUAGCGAGCACAUGAAAGCUUCUCACAUUACUUACACUUGUGGGACUCGGCCAGUCUUGGAUUGCACAUACCUUUUCCUCAUCAACUUGUAUACCAUGUGCACUGACAAUAAAUUCUAGAAACACACAUUUAUUUUCUAAGCAUGUCUAAAAAAAAUUUCAAAUGUAUUACAUGAUCGUUUAUGUUUUUGCUAUAAAUGAGGAUAUCAUCAAAAUAAACAACAACAAACUUGUCAAUAAAAGAUCGCAAGACAUGAUUCAUAAGUCUCAUAAAAGUGCUCGGGGCAUUAGUUAGACCAAAAUGCAUGACUAAUCAUUCAUAUAAACCAUAUUUUGUUUUAAUGGCAGUUUUCUAUUCAUCUUCUUCUUUCAUUCUAAUAUGAUGAUAUCCACUUUUCAAAUCAAUUUUGGAAAAUACACAAGACCCAUGUAAUUCAUCAAGCAUAUCAUCUAACCUAGUAAUGAGAUGUCGAUGCUUUACCGUUGUGUUGUUGAUGGCUCGACAAUCAACACACAUCCUCCACAUCUCAUCCUUCUUAGGAACUAAUAAAACGGGAAUUGCACAUGGACUCACGCUUUCUCUCACGUACCCUUUUUUCCAUUAAUUCAUUAACCUGCCUUUAAAGUUCCUUGGUCUCCUCCAGGUUGCUCCUAUAGGCUGGUCUAUUUGGAAUGGUUGUACCGGGCACAAAAUCAAUCUGAUGCUUAAUCCCUUGGAUUGGAAGUAAACCAUGUGGUGCUUCCUCAGGAAAGAUAUCCUCAUACUCCUGUAAACGAGAAGUAAUAGAACUAGGCAAGGUAUGGUCAAAUUCGUUAGUGCUUAAAAAUGUCUCUUUGUACAAAACUACAAUCAUCGACUGAUGUAAAAACAAUGCUUUUUUAAUCUCAUUGGCUCUCGCGUAGAAAUUCUUUUGUUUUCCAUCUGAUUUUCGCUCAAUGGGCGCAUUUUUCUUUGGUUUUUCUCUCACAUUUUACUCUGCCUCGUUUUGAAUUUCACUACCUUUUUCUCUCAUUUUCUUUUGCUCACUCUUUCUUUGUAAGCUCACUUGGUCUCCAUAAGCCUACUUUGGUGUCAAUGGAACAAGAGUGAUGUUGUAUUAAUUAAAUACAAAUGAAUAUUUAUUGGUGAAGCCAUCAUGCUUCACACGUCUGUCGAAUUGCCAAGGCCACCCAAGUAAUAAGUGUCUAGCCUGCAUUGGCAUUAUAUCACAAAGCACCUUAUCUUCAUACUUUCCAAUCCGAAAGUCACUAGUAACUACUUGUUCACUUGCACCUCACCACUGUCAUUUAACCAUUGUAAUUUAUAUGACCAUGGGUGUUUAAGUGUCGGAAGCCCUAACUUCUCUACCAUGAUAGUACUAGCAACAUUAGUACAACUUCCUCCAUCAAUAAUCAUACUACAUACUUUGUCUUGAGCAUAGCACCUAGUAUGGAAAAUGUUUUCCCGUUGCACUGCUUCGUCUUCCUUUACUUGUACACUCAAACCUCUCCUCGCUACUAAAGUCAAUUCCCCAGGGGCUAUUGUUGUGAAAAUUUUAAUAUACUCGCAAGCGCACGAAUCUAGAAAUAAAAUAGUGGUAACGAGGUCGAUCCCACAGGGAAUGUUAUAAAUUGUAAAGUCUAAUUUAAAUCUAAAAUUAAUAUUAAUCCUAACCUAGUUGAGCAAAUUGAGUUUUAAAAGAAAUUAAACUAAUUAAACUAACAAAGCAAUUAAAGUAAAUGAGAUUUCAAUAAGACAAAAAUUACCAAGGUUUCAAAAUCUACCACUAUUCAACUAGUAAUUAUCCAAUUAUUAAUUAAUCCCCAAUUUUAGAGUGACAACUCGAAAUUAAUCUAUGUCAUCUCAUGGAUAUAACAAUUAAGCCCAAAUAAAAUUAAUCUUGUGUAGGUUCUUUUUCUGCUUAAUAGUGUGAUAUUUAAGCGUCCCAUAUAAACAUAUUGAAUAACAAAGAGUCAAAGUUUCCUAAUUACUCUGUGUAAACAAUUUAAUGAAAGACAUAGAAUCAAAGAUAAUCAUGUAUAAACUUUAUAGAUGCAAGCAUAGAUUUAAUCGAAUAGUAAUCCUAACAAUCAACAAUGCAUGACAGAAUUGAUGAAAAGAUUUUAAUAACAUCCAACUAAUCAUGUGAAAUAAAAACCAUAAUCAUCAAAGAAUAUAUAUAGGGAAUUAAUUAAAUAAAAAUAUAAUUAUUUCAUUGAAUAGGGUUUCAUUCUUAACCUCAGCAUAAGAAAAUUAGCUAGACAUACUUGAAUUGGGAGCAACAAAAGAAAUAAAAUCAGCCAUGGAAAAAGUAAAUUGCUUCAGCUCUUCCUUUUCCUCUCUGCCGAAGCAUUUGCUUCCUUUUUCUUCCUCUGGCGGCUGCCCUUCUCCAAAAACCAAAAGCUUGCUUUUAUAUUACUCUUUAAAAUGGGCCCCACUGACCUUGUUAUUUCUUAAGCCAAAAGGCUUGGCCUUUUAAUUUUCUUUGCUCUCACUCACGUGCUCACCAAUUAAGCUUGCACUAGGAUUCUUUUUUCCACUUAUGAAAGCCAAGUGUGGGUCCUUUUAAGUUGCUUUCCAUGCAUUACAAUGCCAUGCACGUCCAGCUCACUUGAAAAAUUGAAAUUCUUUUUGAGUGCAAAUUACUCCUGUCUUUACAUGCUAUAAACUCUUAAUUGUGUCACGGCUUUGUUUCCCAAACUUGUUAUUCUUUAUGGACUUUUCAUUCUUAAUCUCCAAUUAAUUCCCUAUUCAAUAAAACAAUUCAAUUAAUUAAAAAUAACAAAUAAAAAUAACUAGCAAUUAUAUAAUUAAGGGUAAAAUAUGUAUAUAAAUUAUGCUCAUCAGCUAUAUACUCUUCGUAUUUAACGUCCUCUAAUGGUGGCAUCUCAUUUUCUUCCGUUUCAUCUUCAGUUACAAUCUUACCAUUGUCUCACAACAUCAUAACUCUCUUAUUCACACAUUCACUUGCGAUAUGCUUGUUGUCUUGAUAUUUAAAACAGUUAAUGUCACAAUUCCUAAUAGUAAGAGGCACGGUGUUACCUUGUGAAUUGUGCUUGGAGGGCUCAGAUCUUAGCUUAGGUGCAAUAGAUGCUUGUAGCCUCUCAUCUCGUUUCACACAUAGCUCGACUUCCAAUGAGUGGAACUCAAGCUUGGGGCUGCACGGGUGUUACCCCUCCUGUUGAGUUGCUGCUCAAUCUUGAUGGCUUUGUGUACCAUCUCAUAAAUCUUCACAUAAUGUUGAAACUCAACCUUAUCUGCUCUAUCAUCCUCCACAUUUGCUCUAAUCAUGACAAUCUCCAUUUCAUUAUAAUAAUCCUUCAUGCUUCGGCUACCAUGUGUAAGAUUUGUAAUUUUUUGUACAAGUCUCAAUAAUAGAGGUUAGGUACAAAAUGUCUUCUCAUCAAUGAUUUCAUUUCAUCCCAUAUCUCAACUGGACAUUCUCUAUUUCGCCUCUUACUUAUAACAAGUUUAUCCCACUAAGUAAUAACAUAGUCAGAAAACUCAAUCACAACCAAUUUUACCUUUUUUGCCUCUGAAUAAUUGUGGCAAUCAAAUAUGAACUCUUUUUUCUUCUUCCAUUCAAGGUAUGCUUCUGGGUCGGAUUUUCUUUGAAAAGAUGUGAUCUUCAUCAUUAUGCCACUCAAUCCAUUAUCUCUAUUCCUAACUCUCCUACCUCGUCCAUUUCUCCUAUAGCUACCCACUAGGUCAUUCCCUUCAUCAUACCCAUCCCUAUAAUAGUCAUCAAUCUCUCUUCUAGCUGGAGAUCUUUCUCUUCUACGUGCUUGGGGAACAUGUUGUGGCUGCCCUGCACGUGUGUUCUCUACUUGAUCCAAACGCUCGUGUAUGAGCUCUAAUUCAGCUCUCAUCAUCCUUCUUAUCAAAUUAUAGGAACCUCGUGUGUUCUCCACUUGGUUGCCCUGCACGUGUGUUCUCCACUUGGUUGCGAUGCACGUAUGUUCUCCACUUGGUGCUUAGGCUUUGAUACCAAAUGAUAGGAACCCCGUCAAGAACUAACGCGCCCCUAAUCAAUUUAGUCCCCAAGAUCGAAUCUAAACCAAGAAUUGAAUGGAACCUCGACCCAAUGCUUAAUGAAAGCACGAACCUUGGUAUGUGAAGAUGCCACAAUCAACUAUGGAUGGUCUGAUUGAUAAGUCAAGAGUUUAAACGCCAUGGAAAUCUGAUAAGUUCAAAAAGUUUGUAAAGAAUCAAAGAGAAUUAACUCUCUCACCAAUUGCAUCAAAACUUAUCUUUAUUUAUUGGAUACAAGUACAUUAUACAGGGUUGGUUACAAGAAUUUUUGAAAAUAAAUCCUUUACCAAAAAUCAAAUCUGAAUCGGAAUCUAAACAAAUAGGAAAAAAUCUAAAUCAAAUCAGAUUCCUAAUCUAAGCAAAUAGGAAAGAAUCUAAAUCAAAUCAUAAUCAUAAUCUAAGUAAAUAGGAAAGAAUCUAAAUCAAAUCAAGAUCCUAAUUGGCUUAAAUGUCUUACAUCAAUUAAAAUAGAAACUAGAUGAUUAACAUAGAUAUAACUGAUUUGUUUCCCUAAUAGCCUCCUCAAGAAACGGGAAAGUAUCUGAAAAAAAGGAAAAUAAUAUAUUUUUCCGCCAUAAUGUGCAAGCCAACUCCCUAUUUCAUGGAAGUGUUUAUUUGGAAACUUUAAGAGCUUGAAUCAUGCAUUUAUCAUGUGCGAUUCCUUCAACAGGCCUCCACGAAUUUGAUUGAGCCCAAGUUACUUGAAUCAAUCUAUUAAGUGCUUCUUUGAAUUUCUUUGCUUGAGCUCUUGUAACGGGUCCGCCGGAACUUGAGUAGGAUCUGAAUAUGCCUCAUCUCAUGUGCUUAUGAUAGUUUUAUCCUUAAUCUCAUCAAUUUUACUCCCUCAAACUGCUAUGGGCAUGAUAGCCAGAUCAUAAACAUGGCAUGGGGAACAAGUGUAGACAAUCUCAUAAAAGGUCUUACCACCAUGUUAUUGCAAGCAAACUUGACUUGAGGCAAGAUAGCUUCCCAAUUCUAUUGCUUGUCACCAUAAACAUAACACAACAUAUUGACCAGAGUGCGAUUGACCACCUCUAUUUGACCAUUUGUUUGCAAAUGAAAAGCACUACUAAACUGUACUGAAUUUAUCCUAUAGAUGAUGCCAAAACUUGCUGAUAAACUUCACAUCCAUGUCAGAAGUAAUAGUCUUUAGCAUACCAUGCAAACUUACCACUUCUUCAGAGAACAAAUGUGCAACUAAAGCAGCAUCUUCAGUAUUCUUACAAGCAAUAAAAUGCACAAUCUUUGAAAACAUAUUGAUCACAGCCUAUCAAUAUGUUCCCUUAAAAACUUUGAGGCAUAUAUAACUAAUUAGAUUUGAACAGAUACCCAUCUUGAAUAAGGAAUUCUUUUACAUUUUGAUGAUUAAUACACCAAUCUUAAAUAUGCGCAAAGUUUUCCUCCUUAGCAUACAACUCCCUCAAGCAUUCAAAACCAGUAACUUCAAUGACGAGAACAGUAAAGUAGCUUGCCUACUAAGUGCAUCUGCUAUCUUAUUCUAUUGCCCAAAUUUAUACUUCACAAUAAAAGUGAACUUUUACGUAUAGCUCACCCAUCUUGCAUGCAUCUUGCUCAUAUGUUGUUGGUGUUAAAGUACUUGAUUGCUUGAUGGUCACUAUAAGGUACGAACUCUUUGCAAAUCAAGUAAUGUUCUUAUGACUUCAACACUCUGAGGAUUGCAUAAAAUUCUUAGUCGUAAGUAGACCAUUUAUGUCAUGUUUUAUUUAACUUCUCACUUAUAUACAUAAGUGGUCGUCUCUCUUGAGAAAGAACAGCCCCAAUACCAUUACCAUAAGCAUCACAUUCAACCUCAAACAACUUGAUGAAGUUUGGUAAGGCUAACAUAGGAGUAGUAAAAAAAUUCUCUUUUAAUAAAGGAAAACUCGCACUUCGCAAUAAGUGGGGCUAUGGUACUAAAACUACAAAUAAAUAUCUUAUAAAACAUCGUCAACCAAUGAAAACUCCUAACUUCACCUACUGUCUUCGGCAUAGGCCAUUCUUUAAUGGCUUGUAUCCUCGACUCAAUAGCUCCAAUCAUAUCUACAUCAGUUAUAAAACCAAAAAUUCCACAUUACUUUACAGAAAGCUACAUCUUUAGAUUAAUGAAAAGUUUAUUUUUUUGCAACAUCUUUAUAAUCAUUCUCAAAUGUUCUAGGUGUGCCACCACAUCAACAGAAUAAACUAAGAUACUGUCAAAAUUCACUACAAUAAAUUUACAGGAAAAAGGCUUAAAACUUGAUUCAUUUAGUGCAUAAAAGUGCUUGACACAUUAGACAAUUAGAAUGGCAUAAAAAACCACUCAUACAACCCUUCGUUUAUUUUAAAUAUUGUCUUCCACUCACCAUCAGGCCUAAUUUUGAUAUUGUGAUAUCCAUUAUGCAAAUAUAUCUUUGAGAAAACUCGAGCAUCAUUUAGUUGGUCUAAUAACUCUUGAAACGUAGAAUAGGAAAUCGAUACUUCACUAUAAUAUGGUUAAUUAGCCUACUGUCUGUACAUAUAUGCCAACUCUCAUCCUUUUUUGGUACCAACAAAGUUAGUAUAGUACAUGAACUCAUGCUCUCAUGAAUGAAACCUUUCCCUAACAAUUCAUCAACCUGCCCUUGUAAGAUCACAUGCUUGUGAGGGCUCAUACGAUAAUGGGGCAAGUUAGGUAAACUUGCACCAUAUCUCAUAAAGGUGGCAGCCCGUCUAACAACUUUAGUGAUCUAAUAUCAACAAACUCAAUUAAUAAUGGCCGUACUUUUUUCAAAAACAAUCUUCACCUUUAAUUCUUCUUUUUUCUCUAGCUUCUAGCAAUCAUCGCAAUCAUCUUCUUGAUGAUUUUUAACAACCUUAGUAUUCCUCUUUUUGUUCGUUAAAGGCAUCAACGAACCUUUUUGUUAUUCCACCAAAACUCAUACAUAUUAUCCUCUCUUCUAUACUGUAUCAACAUCAAAUUGCUAAAGUUUACUAAAUAAUAGAUGGCACGCAUCCAUAUUCUUUACAUCGCACAACACAUCACUCUUAUAAAUCUUCCCAAUGGAGAAAAGAACACAACAUACCUUUAUUACUUGCAUUUCUGUCUUUUUAUUUAUCAAUCGUAUUCUGUCAGAUACUGGAUUUUUUUGGUUAAAAGUCCUAUCAUGUCAAAUAGCACCUUUGAAAAUAUGUUCUCGCUACUGCCACUAUUAAUUAUAAUGUUGCACACCUUGUCAUUGAUAAUGCCAUAUGUUUUAAAAAUCUUAUUGCGCUGAUUAUCCUCUUUAAAUUUCAAUGCUAAUAAACUCUUUUAUAUAAUACAAUUUAGUCUCUCCUUCAUUUGCUUCAAACUCUAAAGCUUCUUCGUCAUCCCCAUUCUCAAUGUCGUUCAACUUUGUCUUGCUGACUUUAGCCUCUACUAAAUUCAAAUUUUUAAGAUGAUAGUCACUUGAUCGAUGGCCUGGCUCCCUACACUUCAAACACUUGUUCAGCAUAGGCUUCACUAUAAGUGAUUGUAUCUACUAUCUCAUCUUAUAUCUCUUGUUUUAAUCUACCAAUAUAUUUCGUAACUAUUCAAAAUUAUGGCUCAUCCAUAUUAUUUUUAGUGUGUAGACGAUAAAAUUCCUUUAUGUAUUCAUCGGCAUUGUGAUUUCCUUACCUUCAGUUUUGAUAUUUAAAAUAUAGUUGCUACCAGUAAUCUACUGGCAGGAAAUACUCUCUCAUCAUCCUCUGCAUUCUAGGCCACAAUUUCAUAAUUUUUUUUGCAACUUUUCUUUAGUUUUGUAUGUAUUGCCAUCAUGCAGAAGCUACGAAAGCUUAACUCACUUCUCUUGAGGAAUCUCUAUAUACUCGAAAAAAUUAUCCACUUGUGAUAUCCAGUCUAAAAAUUUUUCAACAUGCCUCCCACAAAAAAAAAUCCAGAAUAUUAACAUUAAUCUUGUAAUCUGAACUCUUUUUGCGCCCCUAUCAUCCUCUACAUAUUCUUCUUCUUCUUAAUCGUUUCUUAGCUCCUUACGCACACGUAUUGGUUUUCAUCACGCAGGGCCUAAAUUUUGAGGUACUACUUCACCAUUGAUGCCUUGAGGUUUUAUUUCAUGACCAAUCGCUUGAGGUAUCUCCAUGUAGUUGUAAUCUUCAGGUUGUACACCACGAUUGACUCUUUGAAGUACUUCCUUGUGAUUAAAUUUUUGUUGUUGACCUCUUUUUCUGUUUUUGUUCAAGCAAAACUUAAGACUCAUGAUUGUCUCGCUCUAUCGCCACCAAUCUCGAGUUAUAAGCUUCCUCAAUUGCUUUCAAGGUUGCUUCUCUAGCCGCCCGUCUGACAGCCUCCACAGUCCUUGCCUGCAUCCCUUUAUUAACAUGUAUUUGUCUAUAAUGAUGAUUUUGAUGAUAACAAAUAAGAUUAAGAAUGAUUAAAUUUUUAAAAACUCAAAUUAUUUUUCAUACAUUUUAAAUAAAUCAUUAUUUUCAUAUAAUAAAGGUUUUAUAUUCAAAGGUAAAGUGAUUUCAUGAAAUUGGUUGUUUUUCAAGUUCAUGGUCUAAUUGAAAAAAAUUUGAGAACUUUAAAAUCAACAAGUAUUGCUCAAAAUUCUAGAAAUGGACUUGUUUGAAAAGUAUCAUAAAGUUAUGGGCCAUAGUAUAAGUACAAAAAGUUUUGGGGCAAAAAUAUAAUUUUAGAAAAUAGUUUCAUUGUAGUAGUCACUGUAGCAAACAGCUAACCGACAAAAAAAAAAAAAAUUCAAGAUUAGCCUCUGGACACUAACGGCAAACCGACUUCUUGAAAAUGGUAAACCGACAUCUUCUUUGCAAGUCACCGGACGAUAACGGCGAUCCGAAAUUUCAAUAACGGUGAUCCGACAAUUUGAAAUUCUUUCCAAUGGUAACUUGCUCAAGUUAAAACGGAAAUUCGACUUCUAUAUAACGCCGAUCCGACUUGGAGCAAAUUAUCUGUAACGGCUAUUUUUCAGCUCAAACUAUAAAAAGGCUCACUUAAACACAAACAAUGGAGAUUCCAACUACUAUCAUUGAGCAAACUAUUGAGCAUACAACUUUCAUUGAGCUUUAAAUUCUUGUAUUCAUCUCAAUUAUUCACAUACUAGGAUUUCAUUUGUAAUCAAACACAUUGUGUGAGAGAGAUUUAUUUGUAAUCCUUUUUGUAAAAUCAAGUUGAGAGGUUGUAAGUGUUGGGAUACACUUGGGUUAAGAGAUUAUGGAUAAUCUCUUAUUGUAAAGGUCUAUUUAAAGGAAAACAUUUGUCCAUGCGGUUCCUAAAAUCGCAACUUUUGUGCAGUAAAAAUAAAACGGACGGCGGAAGCUCUAGAAACCUCGGAUCGGCUUCAUUCAAAAAAGAAAAUCAAGAGGAAAGAUUGAAGUUUAAUUACCUCACUUGCACUUUCAAAAACGACUUCGUGAGGUAGGAGAAAACGACUGAAAACAGCAAGCAACGAACACUGUCCAGAAAAUACAGCUCAGCACGAACAGCUUCUGUUUUGCCACAAUCUAAGAUCCUUAAAGCACCCCAAUUGUGAUGCCUCUAAUUAGUCCACACUUAGAAAUGUUCUAGGAGUUCAGAGCAUUUGGAAUCUCGAAAUUUCGUUUAGAAAUGAGAGAGAUAAUGAAGAAACAUGAAUGCUAGUUCAUGAUGAUUCAUCCCACCAAAUAAAGCUACCAUUAUCUCUAAUAAUGGCACCAAACAUUAUCAUGUGCUAGACCCACCCACUUAGCUAUUAUUUAUUAAAAGUGAUCUUAUCACUUAAAUAAAUUAUUUAAUCAAAUAAAUAAAUAGCUAAAUUAAUUAAUUUCGCAAUUAAUUAAUUAACCCCAUUUUGAUCAAAUCAAAUGGUUAAAUGUGGGCUCAUUUUGUGACAUGUUCUAAUGCUUUCUCUUAAUCCAUAUUAGAUCCAAUAAAAGCCCAAAAUUCUAAACCCAAAAUUGGUCUAGAAGUUCAUAAUCAUAUAUGAACCCGAACAUGUACAAAAUGGUCAUUUUACGUGCUCGAUAUUACAUAAUGUUUAAUGGAGGAUUUACGAAAUUUAUUUUGUUCCUUAAACUAUUUAUGGAACAUCUAAAUUUCUAUCUUAAAUCAUAUUUAAGAUAUAUUUAUAUAUAUAUUCAUUCUCAGUGAAUUAUAAUAUAAAUAUUGAUUUUCCUAAAAUUAGGAAAUUUAACUUCUCAUUUUCUAGUAACUCCUUUUUCAUUUCUAUUUAGUGUGUGACCUUUUAGGUUCUUAGUUAUAAGGUAGUAGAACUAUUUUAAUGAUAACUCUUUAUUCAUUAAAUGAUGCUAAACUCUUUAGUCAUCAAUUAGAACUUUUCUAAUGACCUUAAGAUGCAUUGCUAAUACGCUUUACCAAUAUUGAUCUUAAGGUUUCUACAAGUCAUGAGUGACACCUAGCAGUAUAUCACAACUAUCCAAAUAACAAGAAUUGUUGGAUCUAUAGAACCUAUUCCAUUGUAUCUCUAUGUCUUGGUCUCUUCAUCAUCCAUGUCCAGAGAAAAGCACGGCUUAUGGUUUAUUAUGUUAAGCACUUAUGCUUUAUCUCAAAAUAAAUCUAAAUGAACUUGACAUGAAAAUAUAAUUUGAACUCCUUCAAAUAUAUUUCACCUUGGCCAAGGAUUUCUCAUGCCAAUUCAUAUCAUCUCAUAGGGACAUCCUUUUUGUAUAUUACAAAGUGAUGAAUUCCAUAUUGGCCAUACACUUGUCUUCAUACAUAGCCAACCAUGACAGCUAUUGCUAGAUCUCUUCCGUGAUUAGGAAUCAAUCAUUAUGCUUUCACAUAUCAGAGAUGUCUAUGUAUAAGACAUAUGUUAUGCCUCAGGUCUAAAGACCAUUACUAAACAUAGUGUCUAAUACAAUGUAUAAUAAGCCAUUAACACUCAAAACCAUAUGGCUUACUAUAUUUGGUCAAGUUCAGUAAACUCGUUCUCUCAACAAGUACCUAUGUGUUUGACUUGACAUCUCAUGUCAAUGAUAUGAAACUCACCAUCCAUUUUAGUAUCACAUUCCAUAAGGAGUCAUAACACAUACUAGUGUUUAUAGGAAUUUAUAAUGUCCAAUCAUAAAUCCACCACUAGGAACUAUUUUAGAAGUAUAGUACAAAGGAUGCACGUUUCAUAUUCUCGACGAACUCGAGAAUGUGUUCCUUAACUAUUUUACUUCUUGGACUAUAUUCAUUCAAUUAAUUUAUGAAUAUUGAUAACUAUGCCAUUUUAUAAAUAUCAAAAUGCUAUUCAAAUACAAUAAUUCCCUAAGCAAACAAACACCAUUUGAUUGGCCUUUAAGGCAUAUUACUAACAAUCUCCCACUUGCAAUAAAGCCAAUCGAGUUGUUGAAGCCUUGGAGGCUUACUUAGUAAAAUCUUCAAGCCUGAUAAGCUUGAAGGCGUGGACGUAAGCACGGUUGGCGAAACCACAUAAAAAUCAUGUGUUUGCUCUCUCUUACCCUAUCUCCUUAUUUUUUAUUUCACAUUAAUUUUUUUUAUUUCAAAUUUGAUUGCCUUGUUUAAAUUGCAUUUAGUUUUUUAGUUGCUUAAAUUUUUUAGAAACUCAAUUCACCCUCCCUUUUGGGUUGCCUAAUUAGUAUUUCAUCAUUGAUCGUCGUCUUCGGGACAAUUGCUCCUAUGAUCGUGUGGUCGUACCAUAAUGAUAAGCGAACUUGCUUUGAUACUAAUUAACGAUGCGAAAAUGUUUAAAUUUGCUGGAUAGAAGAAACAAAAGUUUCUAAAUAAUGAAGUUUAUUAAAAUGUCUGAAAUUAAUAAAACUAUAGUUUUGGGCCCCUUUAUAUAAUAAUCAUAAAUAUUUUGAAUUUAACAAAAUAGGUAAAUCUAAAAAAUUAUUUUAUAAUAAAAUUCUCAUAAUUUGAAUUAAAAAAUCUAAAACAAAUGGUGCCCAAAUCUAAGAUCUUAAAAAAAGAUAAAAAUCAUAAUAGGAAUAGAAAAUAUGAGAAAAUAUCUUAAAACAAAAAAAACGACAAGGAAAGAAAUGGAUUUUUACGCUCAAACACUGCCCAAAACUAUGCAACAAUUCUAGUUUUCAUUCGUCUCGUCACAAGCUUCAAAACAGUAUAUAAUAGGCCUAAAAUAGACACACAUAACCUAAGUUAUACCUUUCGAAAAGUAUCUCAUUCGUCCUGCGCAUCCAUCCUACAUCAUAACAGCUUGAAGACUUAGGAGGGCCAGCUUAAUUCAAAGUCAAGACUAGCUUAUUACCUUGCAGGAUUUUUAAUUGUUAGGGAAACAAUUGUUGAAAGAUGCUGGGUAUAAAGUUUAUAAAACUUUAAUUAUUUCAUAAAAUUGUUUUAUUUUUUAUUCAUCAUCACAUUUGGAUUAUCCCCAAUGGCCAAUUUUAUUUUCAUUUUUGUAUAGGUCAAAUAAAUGUUACUAGAAAUUGAUUAUUACCAUUUUUUUCUCAUUUAUUGAGGACUAUGAAGAAUUAGACGAAACUCAUAAAUGACCUAAAAUAUAUAAUGAAUAUUUAGAUAUUUUUUCAUAUCCAUACGAUAUCUUGGAGUACGACAUAGUCUCCAAAAAUAGCCAAACAUUUCACAUCUAUCACAAGUGCUUUCUUGAAUAUUAUGUUGUGGCAGGUGUUUCGUCCUCAUUUUUUUCUUUUGCUAUGGUUCUUAUAACCACCACGAGGUCGACAAUAAUUUUUUUCAGGACCUCAAUCUUAAUAAUAGCCAUGACCACAACCAUGACUACAUCUACAGGCAUGGUUAUACCAAUUUUCAUCAUGAUCACAUAGACAACAUUUGCUCCAAGAACUUGUUUUGUACCAAUAUGAUGGGCUUAAUAAUUCACUAUUCUUUUCUACAAAAAGAAGGCAUGCAAUCAAGUACCGACAGGUAGAGGUGGGCGUUCAGGUCUGGGUGAACCAAACCGAACCAAUUUCGGGUUUUAGUUCAGUUCGGGUCGAACCUAAAACUCGAACAGAUUGAAAGAGUGAAACCGAACGGAUUUGCUAUUUGGUUCGGGUUAGCCCGAACCAAAUAGAAAAAUCGUUUGGUUUCGUAUUAAAAAAAUAAAAAAUAUAUAUAACUAUCCCAUGAAUCUCGAAAUGCCCAAAUCUCCCCCACUGCCCACAAAUCCCUAACCUCUCUUAACACUCACAACUCUCCCCAGUCCUCGCCGAGCCACACCGCGAGACCCUCGCGCACGAGAGGGAAAAAAACAUACAAAAAAGAUAAAUGAAAAAAAAAAUUAAACACUCUGCUUUGCUCGCAGGACCCUGUUCAGCUGCAAUGAAAAUCACACCUCAACGUAUACCCGUAAGUUUCUCCAACAAUUGAUUAUGUGCAUACUUAAUCCCCAAAUAAAGUCUUAUGAUCUUACCAAACUUCACUAGCUAGUUAAUAACGCCACUUACCUGCAUACAUUAAAAAAAAAGAAUCAUUAAAGUUUUUACGCAUUAAAAUGAAAAAUAGAAGUUUACUUCACAAGUUUAUAAUUUGUAUACAAAUUUCUAUCUGUAAAAUGAAAACCAAUGUCAAAAUAAUAACAUACAGUAUCAAUUGGAAUAGAACAUGCCAUUCCACAAAAUGCGCCACUUCUAGAGAUAAUAGAUGUAUUGACUCUAGUAAAACUUCAUGAACAAUCAAAAUCAUACUUGCAGGGUGGCUGAUUACAUGGGCUUCCUCACAUAAUUAUUGGUCUUAUUCGUGUUUUGGUGCAUUAAUAUGCUAGUAGUGCUACACAUUCUAAAUUUUUUAUCUCAUAAAACUACUUCAAAUGAUACAUUCAUCAGUUUGUUGGUGAGACAAAAUAGUCAAUUCACUUAAAUCUUAUAAAAAAUUAUCAAUCAUUCAAUAAACGACAGAUUAUUUUACGAUGAAAUUUGAGAUAAAAAAUUAGAGAUAUCUAUCAUUAGCCUUAAUAUGCAACAUUGCCAAAGUCUUUGUCUUGGUCAUAACUAACAAGUUAAUUUUGCAUAUAAAGUUGAUUGGUUAAAAUAGUGACUCUAUAAAAAUAAUUUGUUGUUUGAAGUAUUUUGUAGAAUAAAUAACCCCAUUAAAAAUAGAAUACAAAUUUAUGGUUUAUUACAAGUUUACAACCACAAGUUCACUUUUGGUGCUCAAGUCUAAUUACAACCAGAUGUCCACUAUAGAUAAACUAUUGAAAGAUAAAAAGAAACUUUUUAUUUAAAAUACAAUGGAAUUAUACAUAAUUAAAAUUCAUAUCAAAAUGAUUACAAUAAUCAUAUCAAUAUCAAACUUCAAUGUAUGAUCACAAUUUUAAUUAAUUAUUUUCACAGUGAAUGAUAAUGUUAGGAAAAAAAGUGCAAUACAAUAUUAUUUUUAUUAUGUUUCAGUUCAAUCAUCCUAAUUUAUAAAUAAAAUUUAUUUCUAAAGGAUACUGCAUUACUAUUACAUGUAUAAAACAUUUCUUUGACUCUGUCUCAUCAGGUUCGACUUCAAGAAUAAUGAAAAUUUCUUCCAAUUGAGUACCGCGCAAGAUCUUCACAAUCACCUGAUAUCAAAAUAAUUCAAAGAAUUUUGCAAAGACAACUAGGACAAAAUAAUUGGAAAAGAGAGUAAUGCAUCAUCGUGAGAUACCUCAUCUCCAACUUUACAUUGAUCAAGAAUUUUGUGCAAAGCGGUAGCAUUGGAGACAUCUUAUCCAUUCAUAGCCUUUAUGAUGUCGCCCAAAAUGAGUUUGCCAUCAGCUCUAAGUUUGGUUGAUCUCAAACCCUACAGAUAAAGACCAAUCAACUUUAUUGAGUGAAAGCACGAGAGGGGAAAAAACAUACAAAAAGAUAAAGGAAAAAAAUGAAACACACUGCUUUGCUCAUAGGACCCUGUUCAGCUGCAAUGAAGAUCACGCCUCUACUUAUACCCGUAAGUUUCUCCAACAAUUUAUUUUGUGCAUACUUAAUCCCCAAAUAAAGUCUUAUGAUCUUACCAAACUUCACUAGCUAGUUAAUAACGCCACUUACCUGCAUACAUUAAAAAAAAAAGAAUCAUUAAAGUUUUUACGCAUUAAAAUGAAAAAUAGAAGUUUACUUCACAAGUUUAUAAUUUGUAUACAAAUUUUUAUCUGUAAAAUGAAAACCAAUGUCAAAAUAAUAACAUACAGUAUCAAUUGGAAUAGAACAUGCCAUUCCACAUAAUGCACCACUUUUAGAGAUAAUAAAGGUAUUUACCCCAGUCAAACUUCAUGAACAAUCAAAAUCAUACUUGCAGGGUGGCUAAUUACAUGGACUUUCUCACAUAAUUAUUGGUCUUAUUCGUGUUUUGGUGCAUUAAUAUGCUAGUAGUGCUACACAUUCUAAAUUUUUUAUCUCAAAAAAUUACUUUAAAUGAUAUAACAUUCAUUAGUUUGUUGGUGAGACAAAAUAGUCAAUUCACUUAAAUCUUAUAAAAAAUUAUCAAUCAUUCAAUAAACGACAAAUUAUUUUACGAUGAAAUUUGAGAUAAAAAAUUAGAGAUAUCUAUCAUUAGCCUUAAUAUGCAACAUUGCCAAAGUCUUUGUCUUGGUCAUAACUAAUAAGUUAAUUUUGCAUAUAAAGUUGAUUGGUCAAAAUAGUGACUCUAUAAAAAUAAUUUGUUGUUUGAAGUAUUUUGUAGAAUAAAUAAAAAAAUUUAUUGUUUGAAGUAUUUUGUAGAAUAAAUAGCCCCAUUAAAAAAAGAAUACAAAUUUGUGGUUUAUUACAAGUUUACAACCACAAGUUCACUUUUGGUGCUCAAGUCUAAUUACAACCAGAUGUCCACUAUAGAUAAACUAUUGAAAAAUGAAAAGAAACUUUUUAUUUAAAAUACAAUGGAACUAUACAUAAUUAAAAUUCAUAUCAAAAUUAUUACAAUAAUCAUAUCAAUACCAAACUUCAAUAUAUGAUCACAAUUUUGAUUAAUUAUUUUCACAGUGAAUGACAAUGUUAUGAAAAAAAGUGCAAUACAAUAUUAUUUUUAUUAUGUUUCAAUUCAACCAUCCUAAUUUAUAAGUGAAAUUUAUUUCUAAAGGAUAUUGCAGUACUAUUACUUGUAUAAAACAUUUCUUUGACUCUGCCUUAUCAGGUUUGACUUCAAGAAUAAUGGGAAUUUCUUCCAAUUGAGUAGCACGCAAUAUCUUUACAAUCACCUGAUAUCAAAACAAUUAAAAGAAUUUUGCAAAGACAACUAGGGCAAAAUAAUUGGAGAAAGAUAGUAAUGCAUUAUCGCGAGAUACCUCAUCUCCAACUUUACAUUGACCAAGAAUUUUGGGCAAACCGUUGGCAUUGGAGACAUCUUAUCUAUUCAUAGCCUUUAUGAUGUCGCUCAAAAUGAAAAUGAGUUUGUCAUCAGCUCCAAGUUUGGUUGAUCUCAGACCCUACAGAUAAAAAUCGAUCAACUUUACUGAGUGAAAGCACGAGAGGGAAAAAAACAUACAAAAAGAUAAAGGAAAAAAAAAAUAAACACACUGCUUUGCACGCAAGACCCUGUGUCAACUGCAAUGAAGAUCAGGCCUCUAUUUGUACCCGUAAGUUUCUCCAACAAUUGAUUAUGUCCAUACUUAAUCCCCAAAUAAAGUCUUAUGAUCUUACCAAACUUCACUAGUUGGUUAAUAACGCCACUUACCUGCAUACAUUAAAAAAAAAGAAUCAUUAAAGUUUUUACGCAUUAAAAUGAAAAAUAGAAGUUUACUUCACAAGUUUAUAAUUUGUAUACAAAUUUCUAUGUGUAAAAUGAAAACCUCUAUGUGUGUUCAGACGAGCCCCAAAGGCCUCUCAUCUCAUAUCAUCUGUAUCACUGUAUCUGGAGGGGAAGGGUAUUGUCCAAUGAUUUUGCAAAUAACCUUUUAUACACAUGUACAUAAACAUAUAAUCACAUAUGAAAUUUCAUUUCCUUUUUAUUUAACAUAUCUCAAUUCCACUCAAUUUUAUUAUCAUGCAUUUACUCAAAAAUGCUAAUAAAAUCAUUAAUCAAACUCAUUUUUAAUAAUAAUAAAUAUCAGCACGUAGAUAAAAAUCUAUUUUCUAGGAAAUUAUCAAAUUGAAGCAUCAAAUACUUAUUAUCAAAACAUGUUGUAUUGCAUCGUAAAAUCAAAAUAUACUAUGAAAAUAGGUUUUGGAUAUUCCACUCACAGUGGC
RNAcentral lists this long non-coding RNA (272210 nucleotides) under Citrus x clementina. RNAcentral describes it as "Citrus clementina (C. clementina) long non-coding RNA (CCLE_LNC004037)". The stretch from base 182300 to 182403 matches the Rfam family "Plant small nucleolar RNA R71". The record is from RNAcentral. Lineage: Eukaryota; Viridiplantae; Streptophyta; Magnoliopsida; Sapindales; Rutaceae.